GAAAGCACUCAAUGGCCAAGGAUACCAAAGGUUCCUCAGAUGCUGAGGGGGACCCAGGAUUUCAAGAAAUUCUACGAACCGAGGGUAAUUUCAAUCGGUCCUUACCACCAUGGCAAGCCCGACCUUGGCCGAGUGCAAAUGAUCAAGCCUCUAUGUGCCCAAAAAUUCCUGGCUGAUAGUAACCAGAACAUCGAAGCUUUGUGCACAAAAAUUCGAAGUAAUAUCGAGACAGUGAAAAAGUGCUAUGAUUGUAGUAGUAAAAUAAAGUAUAAUGAUGUGGAACUCGCCAGGAUGAUGCUUCUGGAUGGGUGUUUUUUUACUAUAUUUCAUCCGCGGGGGAGAUGUGAAACAGUUUCUUAAAGUUCACGAAAUAGUUUGUGUGGUGCAGGACUUGUUCUUGCUGGAGAACCAACUUCCCUAUGGAGUCCUCAAGUUGAUUUUUGAGGCAGCAAAAUUCCAGGGUGGUCUACCAAUGGAAAAGAAUAUUAUAAUAAAAUUCGUCUCUGACAUCGGAAUGCCAGAAGGGUUGUCAUCAGAAAUACAGCUGAAAGAGGUGAACGAAGAGCCCUCUCAUCUCCUCGACCUUUUGCGAAGUGCUCUCCUAGGCCGGUUCCACAUGAUUAGGAGUCAGCCCGAAAAAGAGCAGCAACCUAAGAAAAAAGGAAAGUCGUCGUGGAAAAAAGGCAAACAACGGGGCAUUUGGCAGUCUUUUCGACACAUCAAGGAGCUUAAAGCUGCCGGGAUCUAUCUCAAACCGAGUAGAACGUGUUUCUUGAGAGACGUUUCUUUCAAAUCCUACUUCUUCUUUGGCCACCUGAAACUUCCCCCAAUAACUAUUGAUGACUUCACGAAGACCAAGUUCUUGAACAUCGUAGCCUAUGAAAUGUGUCCAGGUCCAGGUGCCCCAGAUGACUAUGCGGUCACUUCUUAUAUAUGCUUCCUUGACGACCUCAUUGAUCAUGCAGACGAUGUCAAGGAGCUGAGGUCUAAGCACAUUCUCCACAACCUUCUUGGCAGCGAUGCAGAUGUGGCCGAAAUUUUCAACGAGAUUGGCAAUGGCUUGGUAGAUCCCGGAAUUUAUGAAGAUGUGAAAGCUCGUAUUCAGAAACACUACAAGAAGAGAGUGAAUACUUGGAUAGCUCAAGCCCUUCACAACCAUUUCAGGUCUCCAUGGACUGUCAUGGCUUUCAUUGCUGCUCUUUUGGUACUAUUUCUUACUGCGGUUCAGACCUACUACGUUGUUUGGUGUGUGUGAUUAGAAAAAUAAAGAUUCUUGUUUGGUGUGUGUGAUUAGACAAAUAAAGAUGCUUAUAUUGUUAAGUUGUAUCACUGGAUUUCAUGCAUGCAAUAUUAUGAGUCUUUGAAUACUCUUCAACUCUUUUAGAAAUUUUUAAUCUUCUUGGAAUCUCUUUUAAGAGAUUUAGGGCUUUUCUUUAGUUUUUUUUGUCAAAACCCCAUGCACAGAGAUUGAGUUAGAAAUGAAAAUGGAGAAAAGAAAAGUACUCGAUAGUUUUGCAUAUUACUUGAUAGAACUCGUUAAAAUUGUUUAUGUCUCUGGCACUAAAAUACACCUUGUAGCACUUAGCAAUCAAAGCCUGUUUUUCCUCCUUACUUCCAAUUUAGACAUGGAGAGGUGACACAAACUUUGGGAUAUUCAAUGAUUCAACAAAGCAUUCAUCAAAUAUUAUAUUGUUUGCUUUGAUGGAGGGGCAAAGAUGAUGAUACCAGGAGUUAGUUUCAUGAGGGAUGCGCCUAUCUUUUGAGUGGUUGGAUAUGAUGACGUUGUUGGAAAGUGUCUUAGAAAUUAUUUUUGAGUCAAUUGAAAAAUUAUAGAUAAUCUCCUAAUACAAAAUAUUAUUAUAUUUGAGUUUUCUAUUAUUAUAUAAUGGGAAUAUUAUAUUAUAAGAAUUUUUUUUUUAGGAAAAGACACAUUUGACAAUUAUACAUUUAGUUUUCUAUAUGCAAUCUUCCUAUAUAUGUAAUUAGGAAAAUAUACAUAAGAAGACAUUUAAAAAAAAAAAAUUAUCUAUCAAAUGUUUUUCUAGAAAACAUUAUAGGUGACAAAUAUAUGAAUUUUGGAUGAUCACGAGGGAUAGUCAUCGGCAGUAGACCGAAGUUUAUGAAGAUGUGAAAGCUCCUAUUCAGAAACACUACGACAAGAGACUGAAUGCUCGAGCCCUUCAGGACCAUUUCAUUACAGCUGUUUUGAUACUAUUUCUUAAUGGGGUCAGACCCACUACCGUACUACGCUCUUGACCCACAUCGAAUUAUUGCUGCUACUCAUCCAUUCCUGGAGUGCCAGCUUGCAUCUGGUUACAAAUAUAUCCUGGAAUCCAUCCCCACAUUUCCCCGUGAACUAAUCUGUUUGGUUCCGGAAACCACUAAAAAAAAUAAAAAAGGAAAAUGCUAAAAAUAUAUUUCUUUAUACUUGAUUUUGUUAAAAAAAAAAAAAAAAAUGUCAAAGAAAGUCUGAAUAUAAAUAAAAUUAUUAAAAUUUUUAUAUAUUUUUUUAAUCCUUAUAUAAAAGAGUUAAAUAAUUUAAAAAAGUUUAAGGUACUAUAUACUAUUGAUUUUAAUUUUUGAAAUUUUAAUUUUUAUUAUUUUUCCUUUUAUCUUUUCUUUCUAUUUUCUUUCUUUUAUAAUUUUCUUUAAACUUUUCGGGAACUAAAUAUAACUUAAAUAACCUAUUAAUUUGAGGUUUAUUGUUGUUGUGUUUUUUUUAUUUAAAUCUAAAUAAAAUUUAAUUUAAUUUAAUUCUACAUAUAAUUUAAUACUAUUAAGUUGUUUAUUUUUUAUUAUUUUAUUUUUAUUAAGUAUUAAGUAUGAAUAGGUGGGAGUUGCGUUGAGGUUGUGUUUUAGUUAUUUUAAAAAGCGGUGAUCCAAUUCCAUGGGAGACCUGCAAGAAAGGAGGAACGUUGGAGAGAAAGAAGGCGGUCAACCAAGUAGGAACAAUGGCGAAACUGGCCCCAAGCCUAAGGAGCAUAGGAUUGACAUUGUUGAAAUCAAUCCUACGGUGAAAAAUUGUGGAUAAAAAUUGUGCACAUCACUAAAGAAAGUGUUUUCUAACUUUUUUAAUCCAAUAUGCAUUAAAGGUGUUUCUUGAAGAGACACAUUCCAUAAUUUAACAAAUUUGAAUGUCUCAUGAAUUUGAUUUUAAAGCUAAAGAUGUCUCUUGAAGAGAUAUUUUCUACAAUUCCUAAAAAUUUUAAUUUAUACAAAAGGUGUCACUUGAAGAGACACUUACCAUAGUUCCACAAUUUCACAAAUUCCAAUAUAUAAUAAAGGUGUCUUCUUCAAGAGACACCUUCUACAAUUCCAAAAAAUUGGAUUUAUACUAAAGGUGUCUCUAGAAAAGACAUUUUCCACAAUUCCACAAAAUCCAAUAUGUAUUAAAAAUUGUGUACAUGAUUUUAAAGCUAAAGAUGUCUUUCUUCAACAUAAAUUCGAAAUUUUCUACUGUGUAUGAAAAUUGUGGAAAGUGUUUCUUCAAGAGACACUUUCAGUAUAAACUCAAUUUUUUUUUAAAUUAUGGAAGGUGUCUCUUCAAGAGACACCUUCAGUGUAGUUCCAUUUUUGAGAAUUGUGAAAGGUGUCUCUUGACACCUUCCACAAUUUUAAAAAAAUUGGGUUUAUACUAAAAGUGUCUCUUCAAGAGACACUUUCCACAACUUAACCUCUAUUGAUGGUGACCUUUUAGUAUAAAUCCAAUUUUUUGGAAUUAUAAAAGGUGUACCUUUAGUAUUGUGGACCCGCAUUUUUCACGUGCGUCCCCAUUCGGUCGGCGAGACUCUCUUUUUAUUUGUGAAAAAUUAUUUAGUUUUGGAAAAGUUGGAGCCGUCACUUAUUUUAUUUUUAUUUUAAAGGGAAAAUAAAACAAGAAAGAAAAACCCUAAAAUGUGACUCCAUAAUUUUUGGAAAAAAACAUGUCUUUGAAAAACCUGAGUCUAGGUCCGAGGAUCAGGUUACUUAUUGGGAAGGUACCUCUAGGAGGUAGCACCCUUCUAAGCCCUAAAGAGGUCUUACUAAAUUGGGGAAAUGGGGCAAUUAAUUGAUUAAUUGUAGAUACCUAAGUAAGCUAGGUGAUUUUCAGAAAGUAGCAUGCUAAAUAAGGAGAUCAAUCACAAUAAAGGAGAGUUAGGGUGCGUACCUGAACCACUUCUUAAGCGCUAUCAUAAAAUAUCAAUGGUUAAUUCAGAAAUAUGACACACGACAUGCAUUUUAUCAAGGAUGAUCAAACAAGCAUCGAGACAAUCAAGUAUGGCAUCAAACAAGGGCAAUGACAUGCAUAUUCAUGAAAUUUUGGGAACGUACCUGGAUAGCAUAUAUAACUCCUAAUGUGCUUCCUCAGGAUUAGAUAAUAAAUAAUAAAUAAUAAAUCCUAGCAUGCUUAUCUAAUUAAUUAGCAAAAAUUAUCAGAAUUGGGAAUAAUUAAUUAUCAUACAUAUCUUGUAUACAAUUCCUACAAAGAAAAAAUGUAAAUAUGAUUACGAUAAAUAGCAGGGUGGUAGCAAAAGUAAAUUUUGAAAAAAUUUUCUUAUAUAGGGGUUUCACCAAUUCCCCAAAUUAAUAUACACGAAUUUAGCCUAAAAUUGUCCCAUUUAUUUGGGACCAUAAGCUUUGAUUCGCGUUUUGUUUAAAACCAAAAUUUUUGUUGAAAAUUGAGAAGGAUGCAAACCGAUUAAGAUAUGGUUGCAUAUUAUUUUUUAAAAAGAAAAUAGAUUUUGAUUCUAAAGGCUUUAAAUGAAUAAUAAAAAAAAAUUUUAAAACGAUUUUUUUGAGAAAAAGAGUUUUGUUUUAAAAUAAAAGAAAUUAAUUUUUAAAAUAACAAAAAUAGAAAACAAAAUAUCAAUCAAAACAAAAAACAAAGAUCACGAAAUAAAGAUUUUAGAAAAUCUUGUCAAUUAAAGUGGUGAGAGUAAAGGCCAACCUUCAUGGAUUUCCAGUGGCCCUAAAAAAAAAUUUGACCAACAAUCACUAAGGCAACAAAUUUAUGACUUCCUAAUAAAACAAACUAACAAAAUUAUCAUCCAAAAACUAACAUUUAAAUUUCAAGAAACACAUGAAUAACUAGAAUUAGACUAAUUGAAAUUAAAAAUGUAAACUUUACCUCACAAGAUCGAUUAAACUAAAGAAUUAAGAUCAAUAACACAUUCAAAUUAAAAAUAAACUAGAAUUUAAAAUAAUCGGAAUUAAAAAUAUAAACUUUACCUUACAAAACCAAUUAAACUAAUAGAUUAAGAUCAAUGACUCAUUCGAAUUAAAAAUAAACUAAAAUUAAACUAAUUAGAAUUAAAAAUAUAAAUUUUAUCUCGCAAGAUCAAUUAAACUAAAGAAUUAAGAUCGAUAACACUAUUCAAAUUAAAAAUAAACUAGAAUUAAACUAAUUGAAAUUAAAAAUAUAAAUUUUACCUUACAAGACCAAUUAAACUAAAGAAUUAAGAUUAAUAACAUAUUCAAAUUAAAAAUAAACUAGGAUUAAACUAAUUGAAAUUAAAAAUAUAAAUUUUACCUCACAAGAUCAAUUAAACUAAUAGAUUUAAGAUCAAUAACUCAUUCAAAUUUAAAAAAAACUAGAAUUUAAACUAAUCGGAAUUAAAAAUAUAAACUUUACCUUACAAGUCCAAUUAAACUAAAGAAUUAAGAUCAAUAACAUAUUCAAAUUAACAAUAAACUAGGAUUAAACUAAUUGAAAUUAAAAAUAUAAAUUUUACCUCACAAGAUCAAUUAAACUAAUAGAUUUAAGAUCAAUAACUCAUUCAAAUUAAAAAAAAAACUAGAAUUUAAACUAAUCGGAAUUAAAAAUAUAAACUUUACCUUACAAGUUCAAUUAAACUAAUAGAUUUAAGAUCAAUAACUCAUUCAAAUUAAAAAUAAACUAGAAUUUAAACUAAUCGGAAUUAAAAAUAUAAACUUUACCUUAGAUCAACAACUCAUUCAAAUUAAAAAUUAAACUAGAAUUUAAACUAAUCGGAAUUAAAAAUAUAAACUUUACCUUACAAGUCCAAUUUAACUAAUAGAUUUAAGAUCAAUAACUCAUUCAAAUUAAAAAUUAAAGAUCAAUAACUCAUGCAAAUUAAAAUAAACUAUAAUUUAAACUAAUCGGAAUUAAAAAUAUAAACUUUACCUUACAAGUCCAAUUAAACUAAUAGAUUUAAGAUCAAUAACUCAUUCAAAUUAAAAAUAAACUAGAAUUUAAACUAAUCGGAAUUAAAAAUAUAAACUUUAUUUAAACUUUCAUGUAAAUUAAAAAUGAACUAGCAUAGAACUAAUGAAUUGCAAUCAUAAAAGAGAGACAUUUAAUCUAAGAAAAAUAAAAGAUCGUUCGAAAUUGAGAUUUAAAAGAAUUUAUCACAAACAAUUAAUUAAACCAAACAACUAAAACCCAAAAAAAAAGGAAAUACGGUAUCAAAAAUCGAAAACUAACCUGUAUUGUAUCGGAAAAAAUACUCUCUUGAUGUUUCAAAAUGGCAACCCAAUUAGUCUUUCAGGUCUUCUACCGCUCCCUCCUAAAAAAAUUGCGUGUGUUCCUCUCCUUUAAAAAAGAUUGCUUUUUGUAUGUGAAUUUCUGCUCCCAAAAGAAAAAAAAUCUCCCUGCCAAAGAAAAAGUCCCCCACUUGUCUUCGAUCUCUCUCCUCCAGAAAAACAAUCCCCCCUCUAAAAAUAAAACUUCUCUGAUCCAAAAAAAGGAAACCCACUUUUCUUUCUUAUUUUCUACCCUUUUAUAACCAAUUUUCCCAUGGAAAUAAUAUAUGUGCUAUCAUUCUAAAAACAAAAUCUCCUCUUUUUCAAAAUUCUGUUGAUUCUCCUUCCAAAUAGAUGGCGACCCGUUUCCUCAUGCCCAAAAAGCUAAGAAAUAUGAUUUAGAAAACUAGUAAUAAGAUAAAAUAAAAUAAAAUAAAAAUAAUAAAGAAAUUCAUAUAAGCCACACAAGUCAUGUAGGCCAUGCAAUCAUGCAAGUCAUAUAAAAAGUGGGUUUAAAAAUGCUUAAAUGGGCCUAAGGCGUUCAAGAAAGUGCCUAAGUCUAAAUUAGGGCUGCCAAGGUCAUAAUAAGGGGUUAGGCAAUCCUUCAACCAGAGUCUCCGAGGUGGUUCAAGAAAGGUAAGUAGUGUGAGUAGAUAUGGGCCACCAAUGAGCUAACUGUAAAGUAUCGAACAAGUAUCUAAUAAGACAUGUGCUAGGAGGACAAAAUUGAGGGUUUACAAAUAUGCCCCUCUUCGGUAGAGAUCACGAGUGUAAGGAAUGUGAGUAAAAAUACGAACAAAGAAUGGAACGAAGUGAACUAUAUCGAAGAACUAGAGAAUGACCAGAGAUUUUGUCCUAGCACAUGACGAGAGUAAGAUCGGAACAUGGGUUUGUGACGACAAGAAUGGAACAACUCUACGUAGGGGAAUGAUAGUGAAGAGAGAAAGGUAUGUGAUGAGUAGCACAAGAAUGAGAAAAAAAAAGAUGAAAAUGAUGACCCAAAGUCAUGGAUGAGAUGAAUAACUCUAGGUCAUGGACAAGAUGAACGACUCUGGGUCAGAAAUAAGAUGAACGACUCUGGGUCGGAAAUAGGAUGAACGACUCUGGAUCAUGAGCUCAAGGCUAUAAAUUUUAAGAAUGACUCUAGGUCAAGAUGGAGUGAAUGACUCUAGGUCGUGAGCUCCGGGCUCUAAACGGAAAAGAAACGACUCUGGGUCAUAAAUGAAAAUUGACUCUGGGUUGAGAACUCAGGGCUCUAAAUGGAUAGCCGAUCAGGAUGCUUUCCGACUCAUGGUGCCGGGUCGAGGCCACUCACAAGUGGCUAAAAUGAUGAAACGAAACAUCUCAAGGAUGUGAAGGAUGCAAACGACUCUGGGUCGUAAGCUCAGGGCUCGGGAUGCUAUGAAUGACUCUGGGUCAUGAUGCGAUGAGUAACUCAGGGUUAUGAUGAAUAGCCCAAGGCUAUGGAUGGAAUGAAUGACUCUGGGUCAUGAUGCAAUAAGCAACUCAGAGUUACGAUGAAUAGCUCAGGGCUAUGGAUGACAUGAAUGACUCUGGGUCAUGAUGCAAUGAGUAACUCGGGGUUACAAUGAAUAGCUCAGGGCUAUGAGCUCCAGGCUCUAUGACUGAUCGGCUAGAAGGAGAAUGCGAUACGCAAACUCCUGGUCAAACCACUCAUGGGCGACCAAAUGAUGAAGGCUUAGCUCAGGGUUGGAAAGACUCUGGGUCUAUAGGAAACGAUAGCUCAAGGCUACCAGGCGCAGGACCUAAGGGAAGAAAGAGAGCUCAGGGCUAUAAGACUCAGGGUCUAGAAGGAGUGGAUAGUUCAAGGCUAUGAGGCUCAGGGCCUAGAAGGAACGGAUAAAGAAGACCAACUCGAAAGUGGAUAGGAAGUAAAUGGGCUCAAAGUCGUAUACUCAAAGUGACAAGAGUCGGACUACUGAGCUCAAGAAGGGAAAUAUGACCCAGUAUCCAGGGUGCUCACACUGCUAAAACAACCAAUAAAUCAAUCAUCCGCUGAAAUCAAUAGGUCAGAAACUGAUGCAUCAUGACAAACCUCUGAAAAGUCUAAGCUGAAAGAACUCUCUGUGUCUGAAAAGCUGCCCUAUCGACGGAUCUCAAAAGGUAAAUUUCAAAGUGCAUAAAAUACUGCUCAUUCGGGUAAUCCAAUCUGCAAGGUGACAAUGAUGAAAACAAAUCUAUCCCAUGAACAUCUGGCUAAAGGACCCACCCACGUUCCUCUGGUGAAAGCCGAUGUGAUCCAUCUCUAUCUCGAAAAAUCCAUGUAAGGAGGUCCUGAUAUAAUUAAUCUCCGAAAGCUCCAAAUUAAUCUCAAUCUAAAACCAAGCUGGCCACUGUCUCGAUCUCAAGGAUACUCAAAGAAAAUGGGGAAAUAUGCCCCAGUAUAAGAUUCAGUAUCAAAAUCAUGAGGUAAACAUCCGACACUAAUCACCCAUCCUCAUACCACUGCCCAAACAAAUCUCGCAAAGGAGAGGGGAAUAUGCCCCAGUAUGGAUAUCUGAUGUCGAAGUUAUGAGAUAAACAACCAACAAUGAUCAUUCAUCUAUGUACUGCUGCCCGAACAUAAUCUCAUCAUGGAGUAUGUUCACAUCAUUUGUUUGCUAUGAAUCUAAUAUGGUUAAUGUAAACACCAACACAUGGUGGAUUGAUUCUGGAUCUACAAUCCACAUUUCAAAUUCCUUGCAGGGUAUGUAAAACCUAAGGAAGCCAGUGAAAAAUGAGCAAUUCAUCUUAUCCGGAAACAAGAUGGGCUCGCAUGUGGAAGCAAUAGGGACAUGUUAUUUAACUUUAUAUGGUGGUUUUAUUUUGGAAUUACAAAAGACCUUUUAUGUACCAAGUUUCUCACGAAACUUGAUUUUAGUUUCUAGACUUGUACCGUUUGGAUAUUCCUUUCAUUUUUCAGAAACAUCUUUCAGUUUGAUUUAUAAAUCUGAUUGUGUUGGGAAUGGUAUCUUGUCUGAUGGUCUUUAUUGUAUAUUCUUACAAAAUGAUACCGCUCAUAAUUCAUUACAUGCCCAAACUGGCAUUAAGAGAUGUGUUGUAAAAGAGGAUUCCUCUAUAUUGUGGCACCGGAGAUUAGGUCAUAUCUCCAUAGAUAGAAUCAAAAGAUUGGUGAAUGAUGGGGUACUUAGUACUCUAGAUUUUACUGACUUUGAGACUUGUGUGGACUGCAUUAAGGGUAAGCAGACCAAUAAGUCAAAGAGAGGUGCUACUAGGAGUUCCACCAUACUAAAGAUCAUACAUACUGAUAUAUGUAGUCUUGACAUGGACUCUCAUGGUCAGAAAUACUUCAUCUCUUUCAUAGAUGAUUUCUCACGAUACAUGUAUCUCUACAUACUUCAUAAUAAACAUGAAGCUUUAGAUGCCUUUAAAGUCUUCAAGGCAGAAGUAGAGAAACAAUAUGGUAAACAAAUUAAGAUUGUGAGAUCAGAUAGAGGUGGAGAAUAUUAUGGUAGAUACUUGGAAGAUGGACAAUCACCUGGGCCAUUUGUGAAGUUUCUUCCACCAUGUCUGGUUCUCCAGACCAAAAUGGUGUAGCAGAAAGAAGAAAUCGAACUUUAUUGGACAUGGUGAGGAGUAUGCUUAGUAGCUCAAAACUUCCUAAAUUCUUGUGGACUGAAGCACUUAAGACAGCUGUGUAUAUAUUAAAUCGAGUUCCAACACAGGCUGUUCUAAAAACACCAUUUGAGUUAUUGAAAGGUUGGAAACCGAGUUUGCGACAUAUGCGCGUUUGGGGAUGCUCGUCUGAAGUGAGAAUUUAUAAUCCACAAAAGAAGAAACUGGACCCAAGGACUAUUAGUGGGUAUUUCAUUGGAUAUGCUGAAAAAUCCAAGGGGUACAGAUUUUAUUGUCCAUCUCAAAACACUAGGAUUGUGGAAUCAAGAAAUGCUAAAUUUCUUGAAUAUGACUUGGUCGGUGGGAGCGAUCAAUUUAGAAACAUAGUUUCUGAUAUUGAUCAUACAGAGUCUUAACCUUCCACUUCAAGCGAUAGAUUGUUUAUUGUUCAUAACACCCCUCAAGUACAAACGGGUGUUGAACGAACAAUCGAUGAAGUUCAACCAGUCAUUGAAGUUUCCACAAGUUGUUGACAACAUUCCAAUAGACCAAGUUGAUUAGGAGUUGCCUAACACUUCUGAACAACAAGUUGAACCUCAUACUUCCUCGGAAGAUAUUGGUGCAACCUUAAGAAGGUCUGCUCGAACUAAGAGGUCAGCAAUUCCUAGUGAUUAUGUAGUGUAUCUACAAGAAUCUGAUUACAAUAUAGGAGCCAAAAAUGAUCUAGAAUCAUUUUCACAAGCCAUGAGUUGCAAAGAAUCAGAAUUGUGGUACAAUGCCAUGAAGGAUGAGAUGAGUUCCAUGAGGUGCAACGAUGUUUGGGACCUUGUUGAGUUGCCUAAUGGUGUAAAAACCAUUAAUUGUAAAUGAAUGUUGAGAGAUACAAGGCCAGACUUGUUGCAAAGGGGUUCACUAAAAAAGAAGGAAUCGAUUACACGGAAACCUUUUCUCCUGUAUCUAAAAAGGAUUCCUUGCGCAUUAUAUUGGCAUUAGUAGCCCACUUUGAUUUAGAAUUGCAACAAAUGGAUGUGAAAACAACAUUUCUUAAUGGAGAGCUAGAGGAGGAGGUUUACAUGAAACAACCUGAAGGAUUCCCCUCUAGUGAUGGUGAGCAAUUGAUUUGUAAGCUUAAGAAAUCCAUAUACGGUUUGAAACAAGCAUCUCGCCAAUGGUAUUUAAAAUUCCAUAACAUAAUUUCUUCAUUUGGUUUUGUUGAAAAUGUUAUGGAUCAAUGCAUAUACCUUAAGGUUAGUGGGAGUAAAGUUUGUUUUCUUGUUUUAUACGUGGAUGACAUCUUACUUGCAACCAAUGAUAAGGGUUUACUUCAUGAGGUGAAAAAAUUCCUCUCUAAAAAUUUUGACAUGAAGGAUAUGGGUGAGACAUCUUAUGUCAUUGGCAUUAAGAUCCAUAGAGACAGAUUUAAAGGUAUCUUAGGUUUGUCUCAAGAAACCUAUAUCAAUAAAGUUUUAGAGAGAUUUCGGAUGAAGAAUUGUUCACCUAGUGUUUCCCCUAUAGUGAAGGGUGAUAAGUUCAAUUUGAACCAAUACCCGAAAAAUGAUCUUGAGAGGGAACAGAUGAAGAACAUUCCAUAUGCUUCUGCAGUCAGAAGUUUGAUGUAUGCUUAGGUCUGCACAAGGCCUGACAUUGCAUUUGCUGUUGGAAUGUUAGGACGAUAUCAGAGUAACCUAGGUAUAGACCACUGGAAAGCUGCAAAGAAAGUGAUGAGAUAUCUUCAAGGAACCAAAGAUUACAAGCUUAUGUACAGACGAACAAGCAAUUUAAAGGUAGUUGGCUACUCAGAUUCAGACUUUGCUGGCUGUGUUGAUUCACGUAGAUUAAUAUCUGGAUACAUUUUUAUAUUGGCCGGUGGAGCUAUAUCUUGGAGGAGCGUUAAGCAGACCAUGACUGCUACUUCUACUAUGGAAGCUGAGUUCAUAUCUUGUUUUGAGGCUACUUCAAAUGGUGUAUGACUUAAGAGUUUCAUUUCUGGACUUAGAGUUAUGGAUUCAAUAUCUAGGCCAUUGAGUAUAUAUUGUGACAAUUCAGCUGCAGUCUUUAUGGCAAAGAACAAUAAAAGUGGAAGUCGAAGCAAGCACAUCGACAUUAAGUAUCUAGCCAUAAGAGAACGUGUUAAAGAAAAGAAAGUGGUCAUUGAGCACAUUAGCACUGAAUUGAUGUUUGUUGAUCCUUUGACUAAGGGCAUACCGCCGUUGAAAUUCAAGGAUCAUGUAAUGAACAUGGGACUUAGUUCCCUUAUUUAGUUUUUAUUGUACAAACUCUUAUUAUGAUGUUUUCUCAUAUUGAUGUGCACCUUUAUUUAAUUUUGAGAAAAUUCAACUUCAUUGGACCAAGAAUGAACAUAGGGUUUAUUCAUUAAGUAAUAUUAAUAUUGCCACAUAAAGUAAAAUGUUAAGAAAUGAAUGCACUGUAAUACAUGGAAGAUAACACUCGUUAUAUAAAGGACUUAUCGCCAUGAUUCAUGUAUUUGUUACUUAAUAUGGAUAAUUGAUGGAUUAAGAUAGGACAUAAGUUAAAGGUGUGGACCAAGUGGGAGAAUGUUAUCACCACCCCAUGUCGUCUCCACGUUCACCACCAUGAAAAGGUGAUUCUGAAGUGGUCAGACCCACGUCCUCCACCAUAAUCACACUUUUUCUAUUGCGUUAAAGGAGGGUGUGGCAAAUCUGCAGAGACGUGGUAUGAUGGGAAGCCAUGCAUAUAUAUUUCACAUAUGGUCCCGAACUCGUGAUCUACCAUUUUUCUUUCUUCAGUAAUACACCAUUCAUAGGAGAUCAUCAGAGUUUGGAAACCGAUUACAGCAACUUGAAUCAAUGGUUGGAGGUAAGUAGACUAUGCCUAGUCUUUUACAGAUUCAGUUCAUCUUGCAAGUAUUAAUUUUGAAUUGAAUGUAUCAUAUGAAUUUCUCACAUAUCAUACCAUUUUAGUUCAUAAAAUUAUUGAAGGAGCUUAAUUUGUCAUAAAAGGAACCAACAGAUAUUUACAUGGACGAUAAAUGAGCGAUUACAUUAUAAAAAAAAAUUCCAACUUUCCAAGAUUGAAGUCAAUACAUCAAGAUAUCAUUUUAUUUGAAAGUAUUAUAAAGAAGGAAAAACAAUUAAAAUUUGUAAAAUCUUGAGAUCAAAUUACAAAUAUUUUGAUCAAAUUUAUCCGAUUUAAAGAUUUUAGAAGGUUAAAGAUAUUAUUGAGAUAUACAAAUCAAGUUGUAGUUUUUAUAUUUGAGUAAUCAAAUCGCAAAAAAUGUCUAUAUUUUACUUUGAGCAAUUUUAUUUGAUGAAGUUUAAGUAAUUAUAAAUGAGAAAUUUUGUAAUAUUCGAAUAAGAGAUGAUAUAAUAAAUUUUUAAUUCUUUCCGCUUGUAAUCCUUUUCUAUAAUUAUUUGUAUUCCACUUUCAAUCUCAUCACUUGAACACAAAUUAGGGUUAGCCAGGAGAGAGAUUUUUUGGUAGGAUGAGUUAUUGAAUAUAAAUUGGUGAUGUGUCAGCAUCUUGGAGGGUCCAUACAUGGUUUCGAUAUCAUUAUUUACGGUUCUUUUUAAUAAGAAUAAUGUUUAAACUUUGUAGUCAUCGAUCUUGGCCUACAUGCUUACCAAAAAGUAUUGAAUUAUUGCAGCUACUCAUCAAUUCCAGGAGGGCCAGCUUAAUUAAACAACACAUCCCAACAUUUUCCAUGAAAGGACAAUAAUUGCAUUUGAUUACAUAUAUAUCCUGGAAUCCAUCUCCACAUUUUCCACAUGUACUAAUCUAUUUUAAGAGUAUGAGUCCGUUUGAUAGUGAUUUUAGGAAGCACUUUUAACUUUUUUAACACUAUAAAAUUUUUAUAUUUCAAGUAUUAAAAAAAGGUAAAAACAUUUCCUAGAAUUAUUGUCAAACACACUCUAUAUUUGCCUUCGGAAACCACAAAAAAAGGAAGGAAAAUGCUAAAAAAAUAUUUCUUUAUAUUUGAUUUUGUUACAAAAAAUGUCAAAGAAAGUCUUAAUAUAAUUAAAAUUAUUAAAUUUUUUUGUAUAUUUUUAAAAUUAUUAAUCCUUAUAAAAAAGAGUUAAAUACGUUAAAAAAGUUUAAGGUAGUAUAUAUCAUUGAUUUUAAUUUUUAAUUUUAUUAUUAUAUUUUUUUGCAUUUUUUUCCUUUUACCUUUUUUCUCUAUUUUCUUUCCCUUGUAAUUUCCUUCAAACUUUUCGGGAACCAAAUAUAGCCUAAAUAAUCUACUAAUUUGGUGUUUGUUGUUGUUGUUUUUUUUUUUUUUUUACUUAAAUCUAAAUAGAACUUAAUUUAACUUAAUUCUAAUAAGUUGUUUACUUUUUAUUAUUUUAUUUUUAUUAAGUUUUUGUAUUUUACAUUAGAGAUCUCAUUCCUUUCUUAAUUCGCCCAUUUUGGGUCUUUUCAUUUCUAAUUUUCUUUUCUUUUCAUUUUUUUGCCCUCAUUCUCAUUUCCAUUUCAUAUAACAAGUUCUCUACUUUUCUUUCUAUACAACCAUGGAUGCAAAAUGAAUCCGAUAUAAUAUUAUUGUGUAAUCCAAACUCAAAUGAUAAUACCCAGUAAUAUAAAACAAUUAUUUUAAACCUAUAACAAUACUAAAAUUUUUUUACAAAUAAUUACCCUUAUUUUCAACAUUGAUAUAUUACUAACAAGAAAUUACCUUGAUCUCAUUGGUAUGUGUUUUAGAACGUAAAAGGAAUCCUUGGGUUUACCCAAGUCCUUACAAUAAGGAAUUAAUAAAAGAAAAGGAAUAUGCCACUUUUUCCUCCAUGUUCCAAGUAAAUAUGGGAAAAGACUUAUAUAAAGAAAUUAAUACGUGUUCCAAGUAAAUUUCGGAAAAGAUUUGUAAUAAGAAAUUAAUAAAUGUUCCAAGUAAAUGUGGGAAAACACUUACAACAAGAAAUUAAUAAAUGUUCCAAGUAAAUGUGGGAAAACACUUACAACAAGAAAUUAAUAAGAGAAAAGGACCAUACCACUAUUCUAUGGGAAAAAACUUACAACAAGAAAUUAAUAAAAGGAAAGGACCAUACCACUAUUUCCUUGACAGAUGUUAGGAUGGAUUUAAGAUACAUUUAUAAUUAAUGGUGGAAAAUGUCAAGAUGCAAAAUAUCCUUUGAUCAAGGUAAGAUUGAAUAAAUCGUUUGGUAAGGGCUAGGUUUACAGUACUCAAAUAUGUUUUUUUUCAAUAGGUAUGAGAAAGACAUCAUCAAUUAACUAGUGUCAAGUAUAUAUUUUUAAGUCUUAUUAUUGUACCCCAAUCUUAUUUGUUUGUACUCUUAUACGUUAAUAUCAUUAAUAUGUAUCCUCAUUGUAAGUAAAAAAAGGGUAUUUUACUUUAGUUUUAUUUAUUUGUAUUUCAAAAUCUAAUAGAUUUCGUUAGGUUUAUAUAAGCUCUUACAAUGAGGAAUUAAUAAAAGAAAAGGAUCAUACCACUUUUUCCUUGAUGGAGGUCAGGAUAGAUUCAAGAUACAUUUAUAAUCAAACGAAAUUAUUGUGUGUUGAUGGAAAAUAUCAUGAUGUGGAAAAUGUCCUUUGAUCAAGGUGACCCUCUUGUAAUUGAUAUCGGAUUCAAUUGUUGUUUGUCAAUGGAAAUUGAAUUCCAAACCAUAUAAAAUUAAAUUAAUACAAAUGGUCCAUUUUUUUGUUUUAAUUAUUUAUAUUAUGUCAAAUAUUUCUAAUUUUAUUGUACAAAAUAAAUAAAUUAUUUUAUUCUCUAAUUAUAGAUUUAAACAUAUAAUUGAUAUCAUUCAAUCAAUUGAUACAUAAAUCAUUCUUCCAAAUUUAAACAUAAUGUAAAUGCAUACACACAAUUAAGCGGUGCAAUAUUGUUCUUAGGUUUUCACUGAAGAAUACACGUGUAUACCAAAAUACACUUCUCAUUUGGAGUGUUCUCGGGGUAAGUUUUUGUAUUUUAUAUUAGAGAUCUCAUUCAUUUCUUAAUUCGCCCUCUUUGGGUCCUUUCAUUUCUUAUUUUCUUUUCUUUUCAUUUUUUUGCUCUCAUUCUCGUUUCCAUUUCAUAUACAAGUUCUUUACUUUUCUUUCUAUACAACCAUGGAUGCAAUAUGAAUCCGAUAUAAUAUUAUUGUGUAAUCAAAACUCAAAUUAUAAUACCAAAUAAUAUAAAACAAUUAUUUUAAACCUAUAACAAUACUAACAUUUUUUUUACUAAUAAUUUCCCUUAUUUUUAACAUUGAUGUAUUACUAACAAGAAAUUACCUUGAUCUCAUUGGUUUGUUUUUUAGAAUGUAAAAGAAAUCCUCGGGUUUAUCCAAGUUCUUACAAUAAGGAAUCAAUAAAGAGAAGACCAUGCCACUUUUUCCUCCAUGUUCCAAGUAAAUAUGGGAAANNNNNNNNNNNNNNNNNNNNNNNNNNNNNNNNNNNNNNNNNNNNNNNNNNNNNNNNNNNNNNNNNNNNNNNNNNNNNNNNNNNNNNNNNNNNNNNNNNNNAAGACUUACAACAAGAAAUUAAUAAGAGAAAAGGACCAUACCACUAUUCCAUCUGUGUAUUUGUGUUCCAACUAAAAGUGGGAAAAAACUUACAACAAGAAAUUAAUAAAAGGAAAGGACCAUACCACUAUUUCCUUGACAGAUGUCAGGAUGGAUUUAAGAUACAUUUAUAAUUAAUGGUGGAAAAUGUCAAGAUGCAAAAUAUCCUUUGAUCAAGGUAAGAUUGAAUAAAUCGUUUGGUAAGGGCUAGAUUUACAGUACUCAAAUAUGUUUUUUCAAUAGGUAUGAGAAAGACAUCAUCAAUUAACUGGUGUCAAGUAUAUAUUUUUAAGUCUCAUUAUUGUACCUCAAUCUCAUUUGUUUGUACUCUUAUACCUUAAUAUCAUUAAUAUGUAUCCUCAUUGUAAGUAAAAAAAGGGUAUUUUACUUUAGUUUUAUUUAUUUGUAUUUCAAAAUCUAAAAGAUUUUGUUAGGUUUAUAUAAGCUCUUACAAUGAGGAAUUAAUAAAAGGAUCAUACCACUUUUUCCUUGAUGGAGGUCAGGAUAGAUUCAAGAUACAUUUAUAAUCAAACGAAAUUAUUGUGUGUUGAUGGAAUAUAUCAUGACGUGGAAAAUGUCCUUUGAUCAAGGUGACCCUGUCGUAAUUGAUAUCGGAUUCAAUUGUUGUCCGUCAAUGGAAAUAGAAUUCCCAACCAUAUAAGAUUAAAUUAAUAUAAAUGCUCCCUUUUUUUGUUUCAAUUUUUUAUAUUAUGUCAAAUAUUUCUAAUUUUAUUGUACAAAAUAAAUAAAUUAUUUUAUUCUCUAAUUAUAGAUUUAAACAUAUAAUUGAUAUCAUUCAAUCAAUUGAUACAUAAAUCAUUCUUCCAAAUUUAAACAUAAUGUAAAUGCAUACACACAAUUGAGCGGUGCAAUAUUGUUCCUACGUUUUCACUGAAGAAUACACGUCUAUACCAAAAUACACUUCUCAGUUGGAGUGUUCUCGGGGUAAGUUUUUGUAUUUUAUAUUAGAGAUCUCAUUCAUUUCUUAAUUCGCCCUCUUUGGGUCCUUUCAUUUCUUAUUUUCUUUUCUUUUCAUUUUUUUGCCCUCAUUCUCGUUUCCAUUUCAUAUACAAGUUCUUUACUUUUCUUUCUAUACAACCAUGGAUGCAAAAUGAAUCCGAUAUAAUAUUAUUGUGUAAUCAAAACUCAAAUUAUAAUACCAAAUAAUAUAAAACAAUUAUUUUAAACCUAUAACAAUACUAACAUUUUUUUUACUAAUAAUUUCCCUUAUUUUUAACAUUGAUGUAUUACUAACAAGAAAUUACCUUGAUCUCAUUGGUUUGUUUUUUAGAAUGUAAAAGAAAUCCUCGGGUUUAUCCAAGUUCUUACAAUAAGGAAUCAAUAAAAGAGAAGGACCAUGCCACUUUUUCCUCCAUGUUCCAAGUAAAUAUGGGAAAAGACUUAUAACAAGAAAUUAAUAAAUGUUCCAAGUAAAUGUGGGAAAAGACUUACAACAAGAAAUUAAUAAGAGAAAAGGACCAUACCACUAUUCCAUCUGUGUAUUUGUGUUCCAACUAAAAGUGGGAAAAAACUUACAACAAGAAAUUAAUAAAAGGAAAGGACCAUACCACUAUUUCCUUGACAGAUGUCAGGAUGGAUUUAAGAUACAUUUAUAAUUAAUGGUGUAAAAUGUCAAGAUGCAAAAUAUCCUUUGAUCAAGGUAAGAUUGAAUAAAUCGUUUGGUAAGGGCUAGGUUUACAGUACUCAAAUAUGUUUUUUUUCAAUAGGUAUGAGAAAGACAUCAUCAAUUAACUAGUGUCAUGUAUAUAUUUUUAAGUCUCAUUAUUGUACCCCAAUCUCAUUUGUUUGUACUCUUAUACCUUAAUAUCAUUAAUAUGUAUCCUCAUUGUAAGUAAAAAAAGGGUAUUUUACUUUAGUUUUAUUUAUUUUUAUUUCAAAAUCUAAAAGAUUUCGUUAGGUUUAUAUAAGCUCUUACAAUGAGGAAUUAAUAAAAGAAAAGGAUCAUACCACUUUUUCCUUGAUGGAGGUCAGGAUAGAUUCAAGAUACAUUUAUAAUCAAACGAAAUUAUUGUGUGUUGAUGGAAAAUAUCAUGACGUGGAAAAUGUCCUUUGAUCAAGUUGACCCUCUCGUAAUUGAUAUCGGAUUCAAUUGUUGUUUGUCAAUGGAAAUUGAAUUCCCAACCAUAUAAAAUUAAAUUAAUACAAAUGGUCCCUUUUUUUGUUUUAAUUAUUUAUAUUAUGUCAAAUAUUUCUAAUUUUAUUGUACAAAAUAAAUAAAUUAUUUUAUUCUCUAAUUAUAGAUUUAAACGUAUAAUUGAUAUCAUUCAAUCAAUUGAUACAUAAAUCAUUGUUCCAAAUUUAAACAUAAUGUAAAUGCAUACACACAAUUAAGCGGUGCAAUAUUGUUCCUAGGUUUUCAUUGAAGAAUACAAGUCUAUACCAAAAUACACUUCUCAUUUGGAGUGUUCUUGGGGUAAGUUUUUGUAUUUUAUAUUAGAGAUCUCAUUCAUUUCUUAAUUCGCCCUCUUUGGGUCCUUUCAUUUCUUAUUUUCUUUUCUUUUCAUUUUUUUUGCCCUCAUUCUCGUUUCCAUUUCAUAUACAAGUUCUUUACUUUUCUUUCUAUACAACCAUGGAUGCAAAAUGAAUCCGAUAUAAUAUUAUUGUGUAAUCAAAACUCAAAUUAUAAUACCAAAUAAUAUAAAACAAUUAUUUUAAACCUAUAACAAUACUAAAAUUUUUUUACUAAUAAUUUCCCUUAUUUUUAACAUUGAUGUAUUACUAACAAGAAAUUACCUUGAUCUCAUUGGUUUGUGUUUUAGAAUGUAAAAGAAAUCCUCGGGUUUAUCCAAGUUCUUACAAUAAGGAAUCAAUAAAAGAGAAGGACCAUGCCACUUUUUCCUCCAUGUUCCAAGUAAAUAUGGGAAAAGACUUAUAACAAGAAAUUAAUAAAUGUUCCAAGUAAAUGUGGGAAAAGACUUACAACAAGAAAUUAAUAAGAGAAAAGGACUAUACCACUAUUCCAUCUGUGUAUUUGUGUUCCAAGUAAAAAUGGGAAAAAACUUACAACAAGAAAUUAAUAAAAGGAAAGGACCAUUCCACUAUUUCCUUGACAGAUGUCAGGAUGGAUUUAAGAAAAAUUUAUAAUUAAUGGUGGAAAAUGUCAAGAUGCAAAAUAUCCUUUGAUCAAGGUAAGAUUGAAUAAAUCGUUUGGUUAGGGCUAGAUUUACAGUACUCAAAUAUGUUUUUUCAAUAGGUAUGAGAAAGACAUCAUCAAUUAACUAGUGGCAAGUAUAUAUUUUUAAGUCUCAUUAUUGUACCCCAAUCUCAUUUGUUUGUACUAUUAUAUCUUAAUAUCAUUAAUAUUUAUCCUCAUUGUAAGUAAAAAAAAAGUAUUUUACUUUAGUUUUAUUUAUUUGUAUAUCAAAAUCUAAAAGAGUUCAUUAGGUUUAUAUAAGCCCUUACAAUGAGGAAUUAAUAAAAGAAAAGCAUCAUACCAUUUUUUCCUUGAUGGAGGUUAGGAUAGAUUCAAGAUACAUUUAUAAUCAAACACAAUUAUUGUGUGUUGAUGGAAAAUAUCAUGACGUGGAAAAUGUCCUUUGAUCAAGGUUACCCUCUCGUAAUUGAUAUCGGAUUCAAUUGUUGUCCGUCAAUGGAAAUUGAAUUCCCAACCAUAUAAAAUUAAAUUAAUAAAAAUGGUCCUUUUUUUGUUUCAAUUAUUUAUAUAAUAUAAAAUAUUUCUAAUUUUCUUGCACAAAAUAAGUAAAUUAUUUUAUUCUCUAAUUAUAGAUUCAAACAUAUAAUCGAUGUCAUUCAAUCAAUUAAUACAUAAAUCCUUUUUCCAAAUUUAAACAUAAUGUAAAUGCAUACACACAAUUAAGCGGUGCAAUAUUGUUCCUAGAUUUUCACCUAAGGAUACACAUCUAUAUCAAUACACUCCCCAUUCUGAGUGCUCUUGGGUUUUGUAUUUUACAUUAGACAUCUUACUCCCUUGUUAAGUCGUCCUCUUUGGUCUUUUCAUUUCCUUUUCAUUUUUUUUUUCCCUCAUUCUCAUUUCCAUUUCAUAUAACAAGUUCUUCACUUUUCUUUCUCUACAACAAUGGAUGUAAAAUGAAUGCGAUCUAAUAUUGUUGUGCAAUCCUAACUCAAAUGAUAAUACCGACUAAUAUAAAAUAAUUAUUUUAAACCCAUAACAAUACUCAAAAUUUUCGACAAAUUAUUUCCAUUAUUUUCAACAUUGAUAUAUUACUAAUAAAUUUUAAUUUUAUCUUCCUAACACAAUCCAAAUAAUUAUAACACUUCACACAAAUAUUUAUCUUUGAUUCACAUGAAUUGAAUUUUCUCCAAUAUAAUUUCCCCUAAAAAUCAAUAAAAAAUUCAUAUCAUCAUUCAAAAAAUAAAAUAACUACAUAACUAGAAUCACUUGCAAAAAAAUAUUAUAUUAAAAGUUAGUUUGAUAGUGAUUUUAAAAAAUGUUUCUAACAUUUUUAACACUUAAAUUUUUUUAUUAAAAUAAUCAUGUUGAAAUAUUAAAAAGGUUAAAAAUGUUUACAAAAAUCACUAUUAAACAAGCUAAAAAAAUUUGUUCUACAAUGAUUUUAGGAAGCCCUUUUAGUCAUCCCAACAUUUGAAAUUUUUUAGUAGAAUAGUUGUAACCUUUCUAUCCUUCCAUUUGGUAGGAAGCGUUGGUAGUGAUUAUUAGUAUUAAGGUCGAAUGGGAAGGUGUUGUUCAUGAUGUGUGGGUCUUUUUAGAGGCAUUAAGAAGGCCAGAAUUGGGUUUUCCUCAUCCACCUAGAGGUUUGUGAAUAACAAUAUCAAACUUGUUUUUGUGAUUGAAUUUUUAUUAUCUAAUAUAUAUUUUUGUUUUUGUUUUGUUGGUAAAUAUUAUUUGGUCGAUGUUGGUUAUCCUCAAAUGAAUGGAUAUUUAGGCAGUUAUAAACGCGAGUGUUACUAUCUUCUAGAUUUUUGAUGAGGUAGUUCACUUUGAGGUAAAAAGGAAAUAUUUAAUCAUAGGCAUUCAUCAUUGAGGUGCACAAUUGAAAGAACGUUUUGUCAUUUUGAAGAAUAGAUGGAGAAUGCUACGAGAAAUGCAUAGUUUUUCUCUUGAAAAACAAGUAAAGAUUGUUAUUGCUUCCAUGACUCUUCAAAACUUCAUAAGGAUUAAUGCUAGAAUGGAUAUGGAAUGUAAACCUUAUGAUGAUGAUCAAGGGUUGCUUCCACUUAAUGAAGAAGAGAGUAGAAUAGAUUCACUUGUUGAGGAAGAUGGUUCACAUCAUGCAAGAGAGAUGGAAAAAAAAUGUGAUCGAAUUGCAAAUCUUCUUAUAUUUCAUUGAUGUUUGAUUAUGACUCUAAUAUGUAAUAAUAUAAUUUUCCCUCUAUGAAAACAUUUGUCUUCCAAUUUACUUUUAAUUAGAAAAGUUUAUGUUCUGCAAAAUAGAUUUCAUUGUUGUGAGAAACAAAAUGUUUGGAAAUUGUUUUCUAAAAUAAUUUUUAAUAACAGUUUUUGAAAACCGUUCUUUAAUAUUUUAUAAAAUAAAAGUCUAUUUAAAAACUUAAAAUAUUUUUAACUUAUUUUUAAUAAUUUUAAAUAUGUUUAAAUUUUUUUUAUGUAUAAUGUUUUAUUUUUAGAAUUCAUUUGAAUGAGAAAUAUUUCUACAUUUUCUAAUACUUGAAAAAUAAAGAAUUUUAAAUGUUAAAAAGACUAAAAACACUUUCUAAAAUCAUUGUUAAAUACACUUUUAAAAUAUGUUUGAUAGUAAUUUUAAAAAACGUUUUUGCUCUUUCUAAUAUUUGAAUGAUAUAAAUUUUUAAGUGUUAAGAAGGUUAGAAACACUUUUUAAAAUCGACAUGAAUAAAAACAACAUAAGCCAACUAAAAAGAUGUUAUAUGAAAAUACUCUAUUUUAUAUUAUUAAGAAUAGAAAACAAAAAACAAUUUUGGUUGCCAUAUGCGUUUUUAUAUUUUUUUUUUUUGAAAAACAAAAAAUUAUUCUCGAAAAAACAUAUUCCACAGUAACUCAAAUUAGUUUUCUAUGUUUAUUCCCUAUAAAAGAUAUAUAUAUUUUUUUAUGUAUAAUGCAAAAAAUAUAUAUUUAUUUUUACAUUAUUAAUUAUUGUUCAAAAACACCUAAAAUCAUUUUUAAAAAACAACCUGAUUUCAAAAUAAAUUCUUAAAAAAUUAUUUUCUAAAAAAAAAAUUAUCAAAUGCUUUUUCUGAAUCAGGAAAUUGUUUUUCGUUCUAAAAACAGAAAAAUAUUUUUAAUAACAAUUUUCAAAAGAAGACCCAAUCGAAUAAGGGUUCAAUUUAGGAAUUCCACAACUUAAAGCUCUAUUUACUGGAUGGGUGUUUUUUACUACAAUUUCAUCCGCAGCACAGAAGACGGCAGCACAAUCAAUUUGAGUAACGUUCUUAGAUGUCACCAAAUUUAUUUUGUGGGGCUGGACUUGUUCUUGCUGGAGAACCAACUUCCCUUCGGACUCCUCAAGUUGAUUUUUGAGGAAGCAAAAUUCAAGGGUGGUUCAUUAAUGCAAGAGAAGAUAAAAAAGUUGGUCACUCUUGACACCAGAAGGCCAGAUGGGUCGACAUAAAAAAGUAAUGAAUUAUUGCAUACAAGGCACGAAGACAACCUUUCAAUGCUGCUACUACUCAUCAAUUCCUGGAGGGACAACUUAAGGGGUUGAAGGGCGAUAACUGCACAUCCUGACAUUUUCCAUGAAGGUACAAUCAUUGCAUAUGUAUUUUGGAAUCCAGUCUGACAUUUUCCAUGAAAGAACAAUAAUUGCAUCUGAAUAUAAAUGUAUUUUGGAAUCCAUCCUGACAUUUUCCUCGUGAACCAACCUUUUUCAUACUAUGUUUGGCUCGGAAGUACCAAAAAAAGAUACAUUUGCCAGUGGAAAAAAAAAAAAGAUGCAUUCGUUCCAUGGAGAGAAUGUGUGGUCUGUAAAGAUUGAAGAGAUGGAUUGCAGGCGAAGACGGGGUGUUGUAGUGGCCUUGCACUUCAUAAGGAUUAAACAAUAAAUAAUGGGUGUGGAGACUUGGGUGAAAUACAAAGUAACAUGAUACUAUAAUGAUAAAAUAAUAAUAAUAAUAAUAAUAAUAAUAAUAAUAAUAAUAAUGUUAGAUGCUAAGUUAAUAAAUGAAAUAAAAUUAUAGUUUAAUUAAAUUAGCUAUAUAUUCUUAGAAACAUUAUAAAUUAGAAACUUAUUAAUUUUAAUUGAAUAAGGAAUAAAUGAAUUAAAUUAAUAUUAAUAAUUAGGAAUAAUAAUAUUAAUAAAUAAAAUUAUUAGGAUCAUCGAAUCUAUAUAAUUUUAGUUAAUUGUCUAUAGUAAGAAACUUAUUGAUUUUAGUUAAAUAAGGAAUAAAUUAAUUGAGUUAAUAUUGAUAAUUAAGAAUAAUAAUAUUAAUAAAUAAAAUUAUUAAGAUAGUGGAAUCUAUAAUUUUAGUUAAGCUUCUAUUUUUUUUUUUUCAAAUAUAUUAACUUUAGAUAAUAAGCUAUCCAUUAACCAUUUAUUAUUUAAUCAUUCAAUCCUUCAAAAUGACAUUAAUUUAACCCACUUCCUUAACCAAUUAUACAUUGAUUAAAUUCACCUUUCAAAAAUUAAAUAUACUAAAUGAUAAUAUUCAUAUUUAAUCAAUUUACCUUUUUGUAUAAAUUCUUAAAUUCAUAUUUAAUUUCAUUUUGAUUCAAAUUUAUUUCAUGUUUUAUAAUUUUAUAAGGUUGAAUUUCAAUUAUAAAAAUUAAAUUGAUUCAUAUGGUAAUAUUAAAUUAAAUAUCUUUUGAAAAAUUUAUUAUAACCAGUUAAUAUAAUACAAAUUUCAUCAAGUUUUUCUAAUUAAGGUUUUCUGAUAAUUACUUUAUAAUAAUAAAAUUAAUUCUUCUAAUACAUAUAAUAUUCAAAUUUCAAAAAUCCAAUCUCAAAUAAUUUAAUUGCUAAAUUUAUAUUUAAUUUUUGAAGUUCCAAAUUUCGAAAUGUGAAGAAUUUAAACUAUUGACCUUCCACUAGGCACUAACUUCUCAAAAGUUUCGCCUAAUUAAAGAAAAUAUCGACACGUCAAUGUUCACUAACAUCGUUCAUUUAUUUAGACCAUUCAUUUUGGUUGAUUUUGAGGAUAGUCAUCGGCAGUAGACUUGUAUCUUCUAGACCAAUUAGCAUGCCAACAGUGAUUAGGCUAAGGUGGUGAUCCAAUUCCAUGGAAGAGCAUCAAGAAAGGAGGAACGGUGGAGAGAAAGAAGGCGGCCAACCAAGCAGGAACAGUGGCCAAACUGGCCUCGAGCCUGAGGAGUAUAGGAUUGACAUUUUUGAAAUCAGUCAUAGGAAUUGGAUUGAGUCUCUCAGAACGGCAGAAGAAAGCACUCGAUCUCAGAGUCAAUGGCCAAGGAUACCAAAGGUUCCUCAGAUGCUGAGGGGGACCCAGGAUUUCAAGAAAUUCUACGAACCGGGGUUAAUUUCAAUCGGUCCUUAUCACCAUGGCAAGCCCCACCUUCACGCAGGGGAAAUAAUCAAGCGUCUAUGUGCCCGAAAAUUCCUUGCUGAUAGUGAGCAGGACAUGGACGCUUUGUACACAAAAAUUCAAAGUAAUAUCGAGGCAGUGAGGACGUGCUAUGAUAUGAUACCGACGAACAAGUAUGAUGAUGAGAAACUCGCCCGGAUGAUGCUUCUGGAUGGGUGUUUUUUACUACAAUUUUUCUGCGGGCAGGGUAAUGAAAACUUUCUUAGAUGUCACCAAUUAUUUUUUGCGGAGCUGGACUCGUUCAUGCUGGAGAACCAACUUCCUUUUAGAGUCCUCAAGUUGAUUUUUGAGGGAGCAAAUUUUAAGGGACCAGUGGAAAAGAAAAUAAAAAAAUUCGUUACUAGCACCCUAUGGCCAGAAAGGUCGACAUCAGAAACAGAGCUGGAAGAGGACGAAGAGCCCUCUCAUCUCCUCGCCCUUUUGCGAAGUACUCUCCUAGGCCGGCAACCUGAGAAAAAAGAAAAGUCGUCGUCGUGUCAAGGAGGAGAUGGGAGGUCCUGUUGCCCAUGGAAGAAAGGCCAAAAACGAGGCUUUUCAAGGUCUUUUCGAAACGUCAAGGAGCUUAAAGUUGCCGGGAUCCAUCUCCAACCGAGUGGAACGAGUUUCUUGAGAGACGUUUCUUUCAAUUCCUACUUCUUCUAUGGCUGCAUGAAUCUUCCCCCAAUAAUCGUUGAUGACUUCACGAAGCCCAAGUUCUUGAACAUUGUAGCCUAUGAAAUGUGUCCAGAUGCCCCAGAUGACUAUGCGGUCACUUCUUAUGUAUGCUUCCUUUACGAGCUCAUUGAUCAUGCAGACGAUGUCAAGGAGCUGAGAUCUAAGCACAUUCUCUACAACUGUCUUGGAAGCGAUGAAGAUGUGGCCAAAAUUUUCAACGAGAUCGGCAAUGGCUUGGUAGAUCCCGAUGCUUAUAAAGAAGUGAAAACUAGUAUUCAGAAACACUACGACAAGAGAGGGAAUACUUGGAUAGCUGAAGGCCUUCACGAGCAUUUCAGGUCUCCAUGGACUAUCAUCGCUUUCAUUGCUGCUGUUUUGAUACUACUUCUUACCGGGUUUCAGACCUACUUCGCUCUUCCCGCUAAACCCAAAUGAGUCAUGGUAAUAUAUGUUGAAGACUGAUUCAAAGUGGCUGUUGGUAUAUUCCUAUUCUUAUGGUUGAGUUAGUCAAAUAAGGAGCUUGUUGCUAAAAUCGAGUUAGUGGGUGUAGUGGGUCAAGUGUUAGUGGUGUAGUGGGGCAGAUUGUGUCCUCUUUGUUUUUUUUUAUAAAUAGACAUGUUUGCUGUAGUGGAAAAAUGACUGCAAUAAAAUAUCCAGAAGCAUUUUCUUUGGUCUGGUGAAGCUCUGUUUUUUAGAGUUAAAGAGCUCUAUUUUUUUCCUUGCUAUUGUUUUGUCUUGUUUUUGUCCAACAAUUUUUGGUAUCAGAGCAACCAGGUUCCUUCUGAACUGGGCGAAUAAUGGCAACAACCAACGGCAGUAUGGUGAGUGUGUCUCAACCAGCAAUUCCCAUUUUCAAAGGUGAGUGCUAUGAGUUUUGGAGCAUCAAAAUGAAGACUUUAUUCAAGUCUCAAGAUCUGUGGGACUUGGUUGAAAAUGGCUAUCCUUAUCCGGACGAAGAAGCUAGGUUGAAAGAAAAUACGAAGAAGAACUCCAAGGCAUUGUUCUUUAUUCAACAGGCUAUACAUGAAUCAAUCUUCUCAAAGAUUGCAGCAGCAACCACAGCAAAAGAGGCGUGGACAACCUUGAAAACUGCAUUUCAGGGUUCCUCUAAAGUGAUCACGGUGAAGCUCCAGUCCUUGCGCCGUGACUUUGAAACCUUGCACAUGAAAAAUGGAGAGUCAGUGCAAGAUUUUUUGUCAAGAGUUGCUGCUAUAGUUAAUCAAAUGAGGUCGUAUGGUGAAGAUAUUCUUGAUCAAACUGUCGUAGCAAAGGUGUUAAGGAGUUUAACGCCUAAGUUUGAUCAUGUAGUUGCAGCCAUUGAGGAGUCUAAGGAUCUGUCAACCUAUUCAUUUGAUGAGCUCAUGGGAUCCUUGCAAUCUCAUGAAGUGAGGCUGUCCAGAACAGAGGAGAAGAAUGAAGAAAAGGCAUUUUACACGAAGGGGGAGACAUCAGAUCAGAAGAAUGGAGGCAGAGAAGCUACUGGUAGAGGACGUGGCAAAGGAGGUGCUCAUGGAAGAGGUGGUCGUGGCAGAGGCCGAGGUGAUGCACAAGGUGACCAAAGGCAGUCAACUGAGAAGAGCAGAAACAAGAGUAAUAUCCAGUGCUACUACUGCAAGCGGUUUGGACAUGUUCAAGCUGAAUGUUGGAAGAAAGAAAGGCAAGAAAAACAAGCUAACUAUGUCGAGCAAGAGGAAGAUCAAGUCAAGUUGUUCAUGGCCUAUAAUGAAGAGGUAGUAUCUUCCAACAAUAUUUGGUUUUUGGAUAGUGGAUGUUCUAACCACAUGACAGGGAUAAAGUCACUCUUUAAGGAGCUGGAUGAAUCACACAAGUUGAAGGUGAAACUUGGUGAUGACAGACAAGUGCAAGUGGAAGGCAAGGGGACCGUGGCAGUAAACAAUGGUCAUGGUAAUGUAAAGCUCCUUUACAAUGUGUACUUUAUUCCUAGUUUGACUCAAAACUUGUUAAGUGUGGGGCAACUUAUGGUUAGUGGAUACUCCAUUUUGUUUGAUGGUGCUACUUGUGUGAUCAAAGAUAAAAAGUCUGAUCAAAUAAUAGUUGAUGUUCGUAUGGCCGCAAACAAGUUGUUUCCUCUUGAAGUGUCAAGUAUAGAAAAGCAUGCUCUUGUUGUUAAAGAGACUAGUGAGUCUAAUCUGUGGCACUUAAGGUAUGGUCAUCUAAAUGUCGAAGGGUUGAAGUUACUAAGUAAAAAGGAAAUGGUGUUUGGACUACCUAAAAUUGACUUGGUGAAUGUGUGUGAGGGCUGUAUUUAUGGGAAACAAAGCAAGAAACCAUUCCCUAAGGGAAGGUCAAGGAGGGCAUCUAGUUGUCUUGAGAUUAUACAUGCUGAUCUAUGUGGUCUUAUGCAAACUGCUUCAUUUGGUGGCAGUAGAUAUUUUUUGUUGUUUACAGAUGAUCAUAGCAGGAUGAGUUGGGUGUAUUUUCUUCAAUCAAAGGCAGAGACUUUUGAGACCUUCAAGAAGUUCAAAGCAUUUGUAGAGAAGCAGAAUGGCAAGUGCAUUAAGGUGUUGCGGACUGACAGAGGUGGAGAGUUCUUAUCAAAUGAUUUUAAAGUAUUUUGUGAAGAGGAAGGCUUGCAUAGAGAGCUGACUACUCCUUAUUCACCAGAGCAAAACGGUGUGGCUGAGAGGAAGAAUAGAACGGUGGUUGAGAUGGCUAGAAGCAUGAUGAAGGCCAAGAACCUUUCAAACCAUUUUUGGGCAGAAGGAGUUGCUACAGCUGUAUACUUGUUGAAUAUUUCUCCAACCAAGGCAGUGUUGAAUAGAACUCCAUAUGAAGCUUGGUAUGGGAGGAAACCUUGGGUAAGCCAUUUAAAGGUUUUUGGUAGUGUUGCCUAUACGUUGAUUGACUCACAUAACCGUAGUAAGCUUGAUGAAAAAUCAGUAAAGUGCAUCUUUAUUGGUUAUUGCUCUCAAUCAAAAGGAUAUAAGCUAUAUAACCCUGUUAGUGGUAAGAUAAUUGUUAGCAGGAAUGUGGUGUUUGAUGAAAAAGCUAGCUGGACUUGGCGUGUAAGUGAAGACGGUGCUCUUGUGGAGAUUUCAAGUGAAAGUGAAGUGGCACAGAGUGAAGAUCAGCAGCCUUCUGUUCAGAUUCCAGCAAGUCCAACUCUCUCGCAUUCACCUAGUUCCCCAAAUUUGAGUAGCAGCAGUUCUUCACAAUCUUUAGAGGAAACCCCUCUAAGGAAAUUCAGAUCUUUAAGGGACAUCUAUGAGACUACACAAGUCUUGUUUGUAGCUGAUCCAACAACCUUUGAAGAAGCAGUGGAGAAGGAAGAAUGGUGCAGUGCUAUGAAAGAAGAGAUAGCUGCCAUUGAGAAGAAUGAGACUUGGAACUGGUGGAGCUUCCUGAAGACAAGAAUGUGAUAGGUGUUAAAUGGGUUUUCAGAACCAAGUACUUAGCAGAUGGUAGUAUACAAAAGCACAAGGCACGGUUAGUGGCAAAGGGCUAUGCACAGCAACAUGGAGUUGAUUAUGAUGACACCUUCUCACCAGUUGCACGGUUUGAAACAGUAAGGACCUUAUUAGCCUUAGCUACUCAUAUGCAUUGGUGUGUUUAUCAGUUUGAUGUCAAGUCUGCUUUUCUUAAUGGAGAGCUAGUAGAGGAGGUGUAUGUAUCUCAGCCUGAAGGCUUCAUAGUUCCUGGUAAAGAAGAGCACGUGUAUAGACUAAAGAAGGCCCUUUAUGGGUUGAAACAAGCCCCACGAGCAUGGUACAGUAAGAUAGAUUCUUACUUUGUUGAGAAUGGCUUGGAAAGGAGCAAGAGUGAGCCAAAUCUUUACCUGAAAAGGCAAGGUAAAAAUGAUCUUCUUAUUAUUUGUCUUUAUGUAGAUGACAUGAUCUAUAUGGGUUCAUCCUCUUUUCUUAUUAAUGAGUUUAAAGCCUGUAUGAAGAAGAAGUUUGAGAUGUCAGACCUAGGGCUGUUGCAUUCUUUCUUGGUUUAGAGGUAAAACAAGUAGAGGAUGGAGUCUUUGUUUCACAAAGAAAGUAUGCUGUUGAUUUGCUUAAGAAGUUCAAUAUGUUAAAUUGCAAAGUAGUAGCUACUCCUAUGAAUUCAAAUGAGAAGUUGCAGGCUGAAGAUGGCACUGAAAGAGCUGAUGCUAGGAGGUUUAGAAGUCUGGUUGGAGGCCUCAUUUAUCUGACACAUACACAGCCAGAUAUAGCUUUUGCAGUUGGGGUGAUCUCCAGAUUUAUGCAUUGUCCUUCGAAGCAACAUCUUGGAGCUGCAAAGAGAUUGUUGCGAUACAUUGCUGGAACAUAUGAUUUCGGGAUAUGGUAUGGUCAUGUUCAAGAGUUCAAAUUGGUUGGCUACACUGAUAGUGAUUGGGCAGGGUGCUUAGAGGAUAGAAAAAGCACUUCAGGCUAUAUGUUUUCUCUUGGGUCAGGUGCAGUCUGUUGGAGUUCAAAGAAGCAAGCAGUGACAGCCUUGUCCUUUUCUGAAGCUGAGUAUACAGCUGCAACCUCAUCCGCAUGCCAGGCAGUGUGGUUGAGGCGAAUUCUUGCUGAUAUUAAUCAAGAACAUGAGGAGCCAACUGUAAUUUACUGUGACAACAAAGCUGCCAUAGCAAUGACCAAGAAUCCAGCCUACCAUGGAAGGACAAAACAUGUUGAUAUUCGGGUUCAUUUCAUAAGAGAUCUUGUGGUUGAAGGUAAAGUUGUUUUGCAGUAUUGUAACACAAAUGAGCAGGUAGCGGAUGUGCUGACAAAAGCUUUAUCUAGAGACAAGCAUGUCUACUUCAGAAGCAAGCUUGGAGUUUGCAACUUUGAAUCAAGGGGGAGUGUUGAAGACUGAUUCAAAGUGGCUGUUGGCAUAUUCCUAUUCUUAUGGUUGAGUUAGUCAAAUAAGGAGCUUGUUGCUAAAAUCGAGUUAGUGGGUGUAGUGGGGCAGAUUGUGUCCUCUUUGUUUUUUUUUUAUAAAUAGACAUGUUUGCUGUAGUGGAAAAAUGACUGCAAUAAAAUAUCCAGAAGCAUUUUCUUUGGUCUGGUGAAGCUCUGUUUUUUAGAGUUAAAAAGCUCUAUUUUUUUCCUUGCUAUUGUUUUGUCUUGUUUUUGUCCAACAAUAUAUAUAUAUGGGUUAAUUAUGAAUGUGAUGUGUUUUUUUCUUGUUUGGUGUGUAUGAUUCUUGUAUCACUGGAUUUCAUGGAUGCAAUAUUAUUCGUCUUUUCCUCCCAUUGAGUUUGCUAUCAUCUAUAAUAUCUGUUUCAACUCGCAAUUUCCAGCUACCUUCUUGGUAUUCUUUUUCAUAGACCAGGAUAAUAGGUUGUUAAACAUCCACAUAGAAAAUUUUCAGUCAACAAUUUGUAAUUCCGUGGAUGGGAUGGGAUUGAAUAAUAUUUUUCAAAUGAGAAAAAAGUGGAUAAAAUCAUAAUUUUUAUAUAUUUAUAAAUUGAGGGAAGAAUCUCAUAUAUGUGCUCUAAUAUUUUUUUUUUUAAUAAAAGACGGAAAUAUCAUUCUAAGCAAUUUAAUGCUUGAUUUUGGAUCAAAAGAGAUUUCAUAAAUAAAUAGUACAUUUUUAAUGAAGUCUUCCAAUCCUCGUCUAAGAAUCUUCAAGUUUUCAAUUUCUUUAAGAAAUCUUGAAUAUUCUUCAACUCUUCAAAAAAUUAUUCAAUCAAUAGUUUGUUAUUCCAUGGAUAGGAUGGGAUUGAAUAUUUUUCAAAUGAGAAAAUAGUGGAUAAAAUCAUAAUUUUUAUAUAUAUUUAUAAAUUGAGGGAAGAAUCUCAUAUAUUCUCUCUGAUAUAUAUAUAUAUAUUUUAAUGAAAGACAGAAAUAUCAUUUUAAGUAAUUUAAUGCUUGAUUUUGGAUCAAAAGAGAUUUCAUAAAUAAAUAGUACAUUUUUAAUGAAGUCUUCCAAUCUUCGUCUAAGAAUCUCUUCAAAAAAAUUUAAUAUUUUUUCAAUCUCUUUUAAGAGAGCUCUUGGACCUUAAAGAAAGAGCCCAUCGUGAUACUUUUAGGGGGUGUUUGGUAUACGGGAAUAGGGAGUGGGAAUAGACAUCUCAUUCCUUUUCUCCCUUAUUCCUAUGUUUGGAUAAAUGUUAAGAAGGCGGAAAUGAAAUAAAAAAUUAUUCCGUCAGAAAUCAAAUUCAACUUAUGAGUCGGAUUUGCAUUCAUUAAAAGUAGGUGGUAUUCUGAUUCAUUAAACCUAUUUGAUAAUAUAAAAUAACCUAAAUUACUAUUUUACCCUCUUAUCUUGUUCUUCAAACCCGAUGUUUAUCUUCUUUGCAAAGGUAGAGAUCCAUUCAUCAUCCACUUCUUAUCUUCUUUGCAAAGUUAGAGACCCACUCAUCUUCCAAUUCUCUGCAACAAGUGAUUCUUCCAAAUUGAAUCAAUUAAACCUUCCACGAUAUUUAAAAAAAAAAAAUCAAUUUCUAAUUUAUAGGGUUUUGGAUGUUCAUUUUGAUUGUUGGAUCUAGGAUUCGUCAUUGUUUGCUGUAACUAGGUUCUGAAAACUCCCUUCUACAUCUUCGAUCAGGUUUACCUUAUUUUCUCUUUCUUCUUCUACUUCUUUAUAUGUGUUUCUUCUUCUCUAUAAAUCGAUUAAAUUUUUUUUAUUAAUUUAUGUUUGGAAUCUUUGAUGUUUCUUUAUCUUGUAUUAAUGGAAACUGGAGAGAAAAAUUGAAAUGGUUGGAAAAAGAUUUUUCGAUUUCACGUGUUUACAAUAUUGAAAAUUUUUAAUGGUUAGGAAAAAAAUAAAAAGAAAAAAACAAACAAAAACAAAACUUUUGGUUUUUUUUCCCCUUUGUUUAUUAUUACCGGCAUCUUCCUUUCCUAGUUGAAAAUAGGAAAAACAUUUGCUAGCUUUGAGAAUUUAAAUAUUAUAAUAAAUAAUUUUUUUUUAAAAAUAUAAUUUUAUAACUACUUAAGCAUGACAAAUUAUUCAAAUUUUUAAUAAAAAUAAUAAUUGAAUAUUUGUGCAUUAGGGUUAUACGAUUUUUUAUGGUUAAUUUUUUAUUUAUUGAGUAUAUAUAUAUUUUUUAGUCUUAUUAUUUAAUAACAAAAAACCUCUCAAAUUUUAUUUUUUUAAAUAAAAGUAAAAAUAAAAAAAUAUUUUAAAUUAUAUGUAAGGAUAUUAUUGUAAAUUUAUUUCUUUUUCAUUUCUAUUCAUAUUAUUAUCAAACAUUGGAAUGGAAACAAAUAAUCAUUUCAAUCUUGCAUUCUUAAGUUCAUCCAAAUGCUAGAAAUGAAAUCAUCAAAUUCAUUCCAUUCCACUAAGAAAUAGGAAAGGAAACAAAAUAUUAUUUUCAUUCCCUAUUCCGACGUACCAAACACCCCCUCAAUAUUAUGUGUAUGUCAUGGAAUUUAAUUCUAAAAAUCCUUAAAAGAGUUUAAUUUACCAUAAAAGCAACCAACAGUGAUCUACAUGGACAAUAGAAAAAACAAAAAUCCAACUUUCCAUGAUUGAAGUAAUGAAUUGUACAGACUUUAUGCUGCUACUCAUCAGGAAGGCCAACUUAAUCAAAGGGCCAUAAGUACUGCACAUCCUGACAUUUUCCUCGUGAACCAAUUUUUUUUUUUUUAUGCUACGUUAUGACAUUUUCGUCGAGAACCAAUCUUUUUCGAUACUAUGUUUGGUUCAGAAAUUCUUAGAAAAAAAAAAAAAGAAAUAAAAAAGGAAAAUGCUAAAAAAAAAAAUUAUAUUUAAUUUCAACAUGAAAAAUGUGAAAGAAAGUCUCACUAUAAUUAAAAUCAUUAAAAAACUUUAUAUAAUUUUAAAUUAUUCAAUCACCACAUUAAAGAGUUAAAUAUAUGAAAAAAGUUGGAGACAAUACAUAAAACUAAUUCAAUGAUUUUAAAUUUAUUUUUUUUCUUCAUUUUUUCUUUUCUUUUGUUUUUCUUUUUCUAGUAUUUUCCUUUAAUUCUUUCAAGAAUCAAACAUAACCUAAAUAACCUACUAAUUUGGUGUUUGUUUUUGUUUUUUUUUUACUUAAAUCUAAAUAUAAUUUAAUUAUAAAUACAAUUUAAUAGUAUUAAAUAUUAAGUUAUUUAUUUUUUAUUAUUUUAUUUUUAUUAAAUAUUAAUAAGAUAAGAGUUAUGUUGAAGUUAUAUUUUGGUUAUUUUAAAAAAUUAUUUCUAACAUUAAAGCAAAAAAUAAAAUAUUUUGAUUUUUUUAUUUAGUCAAAAAGUUUAAAAAAUAAUUAAUAAGUAAAAAGAAUUUAAAAAAUUAUUUAUAGUUUGAAAGCAAAUUACAUUCAACAUUAAAUAAAAAAAUCAAACGUCACGUUAAGAUUCAAAAUGAUUAUAAAUGUGUGACACUAAGCUUAAUAUAAACUUUUGUAUAUUUCACAUUAAGACUUCUUAAUUUAUUCUCUUUAGUUAUUUCAUUUUUUUUCCUGACAUUUUUUGAGGUCUUUUUAUUCUCAUUUCUGUUUCAUAUAACAACUUCUUUAGUUUUCUUUCCAUAUAACCAUAGAGGCAAAAUGAGUGUAAUAUAAUACAAUUGUCCAAUAAUAAUAUCUAAUAAUAUAAAACAAUUAUUUUAAAUAUAUAACAAUAUUUAAAAUUUUAGACAAAAAAUAAUAAUAUAUGUAUGGUAUAGUUUAUUAUAUUUGAAAAUAAUAUUAUAUGCGUUGAUAAAAAAAUAUUAAUUUUGUAAGUGUAUAUUUAUUAUUAAAUUACAUCAAAUAUUGUCCGAUAAUAAUAUUAUGAUAUUUGAUUAUAAUAUAUUUAAUAUUAAAAUUAUGAUACAUUUAAUUCAAUUAUAUUAAAUGAUAUAAAAUAAAUAAUAAUAUAUGUAUAAUUUUUUAAUAUUUAAUUAAUAAUAUUAAAAACACUAAAAAAAAGUUCUCAUGAUAAUUUUUAUAUUUUUAGUAAUUAAUUAAAUAAAAAAAAUUAUUUAAUUAUAAAAUACCUAUAAUUAAUUUGUUCUUCAAAAUAUAUCACGGUGGAAUAUAUUUAUGAAGGGUGAGCUUGCCCUAGUGGUUGGCAAAGUUUAUUUCGAACCUUUUGUUUGAGUCCCCUCAUCUGCAACACAAAAUUAAGAUAUUUUGAUCUUUGACCGUCCCUACCUCGCGUUGCAGCCUAUUUGAGCGCGCCCCCCAACCUGCAUUGCAACCUGUUUGAUCGCCCACGACCCGCGUUACAGCCCGCAGUUGGCAGACCGUCGUUGCAGUGGGUCGACUUUCUUUGCUGAAAUUUCAUCGAAAUUUGCCAAAUUUUCAUCGAAAAAUGCCAGUAGCUGGAGAUAUUUUUUCUAUUUUGUCAAUUAAUCAGCAAAUUCUGAAAUUUCGAAACUUGCCCGUGUGUGUUUUUUUUUUUAAAAAAAAAUCACCUCAUGGAUUUUGAGCUUUUAUUUUUUCAAAUAUAUCAACUUUAGGGGCUAACCAUCAAUUAUUUAAUCAUUCAACGUACAAUAAUGAGAUUCUCAAUCCUUCGUAAUGACAUUAAUUUAAUCCACUUCUGUUGUUAAUUAUACUUCAAUUAAAUCAGCCUUUCAAAAAUUAAAUUAAAUCUAUUAAAUGAUAAUAUUCAAAUUAAUUAAUCAAUUUACCUUUUUAUAUAAAUUCUUAAAUUUAUAUAACAUAAUGUAAUCUUGAUUUCAUUUCGAAAGAAUUUUGCUUCAUGUUUUGUAAUUUUAUAAGGUUGAAUUCCAAUUAUAAUUAAAAAAUAAAUUGAUCUAUUAUAAUAUUAAAUUAAAUAUCUUUUAAAAAAUUUACUAUAACGAUUUGAUAUAAUAUGAAUCUCAAGUAUUUGUAAUUAAAGUUCUUUGAUAAUUAGCUUAUAAGAAUAUAAUUAAUUUUUAUAAUACAUGCAAUAUUCAAAUUUCAAAAAUCCAAUCUCAAAUAACUUUUAAGUUUAAUUUUUGAAAUGUGACUUGGCAAGAAUUUAAAUUAAUGACGGCUUGGCCUAAUUAAAUAAAAUAUUUACACGUGAAUGUUCACUAACAUCAUCAUGAAUGGUCUAAAUAAAUGAAUGUUCUAGACCCUUCAUUCUGGAUGCUGUUGAGGAUAGUCAUCGGCAGUAGAAACAUCUUCUGAACCGAUUAAAAUACCAACAGUCACCAUUCAUUUAUUUAGACCAUUCAUUUUGGUUGAUGUUGAGGAUAGUCAUCGGCAGUAGACCUACAUCUUCUGGACCAAUUAGCAUACCAACAGUGAUUAGGCUAAGGUGGUGAUCCAAUUCCAUGGAUGAGCAGCAAGGAAGGAGGAACGUUGGAGAGAUAGAACCAGUUGGCGGCCAACCAAGCAGGAACAGUGGCCAAACUGGCCUCGAGCCUGAGGAGCAUAGGAUUGACAUUGUUGAAAUCAGUCAUAGGGAUUGGAUUGAGUCUCUCAGAACGGCAGAAGAAAGCACUCAAUGGCGAAGGAUACCAAAGGUUCCUCAGAAGCUGAGGGGGACCCAGGAUUUCAAGAAAUUCUACGAACCGAGGGUAAUUUCAAUCGGUCCUUACCACCAUGGCGAACCCAACCUUGGCCCAGUGGAAAUGAUCAAGCUUCCAUGUGCCCAAAAAUUCCUGGCUCAUAGUAACCAGGACAUUGAAGCUUUGUACACAAAAAUUCGAAGUAAAAUCGAGGCAGUGAAAAAGUGCUAUGAUUAGAGUAGUACAGAAAAGUAUGAUGAUGAGAAACUCGCCAGGAUGAUGCUUCUGGAUGGGUGUUUUGUACUACAAUUCAUCCGCUGGAAAGGUAUGAGAAAAUUUCUUAGAAAUCACCAAAUAAAUUUUGUGAUGCAGGACUUGUUCUUGCUGGAGAACCAACUUCCCUUUGGAGUCCUCAAGUUGAUUUUUGAGGGAGCAAAUUUCCAGGGUGGUCUACCAAUGGAAAAGAAUAUAAAAAAUUUCAUCACUUACUUCGGAAUGCCAGAAGGGUUGUCAUCAGAAAUACAGCUGUAAGAGGUGAACGAAGAGCCCUCUCAUCUACUCGACCUUUUGCAAAGUGCUCUCCUAGGCCAGAGUCAGCCCGAACAAGAGCAGCAACCUGAGAAAAAAGGAAAGUCGUCGUCGUCGUCUCAAGGAGGAAAGUGGGGGUUCUGUUGCCGAUGGAAAAAAAGCAUACAACGGGGCAUUUGGCAGUCUUUUCGACACAUCAAGGAGCUUAAAGCUGCCGGGAUCUAUCUCAAACCGAGUAGAACGUGUUUCUUGAGAGACAUUUCUUUCAAAUCCUACUUCUUCUUUGGCUACCUGAAACUUCCCCCAAUAACCAUUGAUGACUUCACGAAGACCAAGUUCUUGAACAUGGUAGCCUAUGAAAUGUGUCCAGAUGCCCCAGAUGACUAUGCGGUCACUUCUUACAUAUGCUUCCUUUACGACCUCAUUGAUCAUGCAGACGAUGUCAAGGAGCUGAGAUCUAAGCACAUUCUCCACAACCUUCUUGGCAGCGAUGACGAUGUGGCCCAAAUUUUCAACGAGAUCGGCAAUGACUUGGUAGAUCCCGAUGCUUAUAAAGAUGUAAAAGAUUGUAUUCAGAAGCACUACAAGAAGAGAGUGAAUACUUGGAUAGCUCAAGCCCUUCACAACCAUUUCAGGUCUCCAUGGACUGUCAUGGCUUUCAUUGCUGCUGUUUUGAUACUAUUUCAGGUCUCCAUGGAUUAAUUAUGACUGUGAUGUGUUUUUAUCCUGUUUGGUGUGUGUGAUUAGAGAAAUAAAGAUGUGUAGAUUGUUAAGUUGUAUCACUGGAUUUCAUGCAUGCAAUAUUAUGGGUCUUUUCCAGUUUUCCUCCCCACAUGAAUUUGCUAUACAAUCUCCAGCUUGCUUUUUUCUGUUCUUUUUCAUAGAGCAGGAUCAUAGAUAACACAACAUCAACAUAGAAAAUUUUCGGUCAACAGUAUGUGAUUCCGUGGAUGGGAUGGGAUUGAAUUUGCUCACACACUUUUUUAUCUAAGGAGAAAAUUGUGGAUAAAAUCAUAAUUUUGAUAUAUUUAUAAAUUGAGGAAGGGCUAUCUCUAAUUUAUUUUUAAUAUAAAAGAUAAAAUCAUAAUACAUAACUAAGAAAGGGGAGCGAAGACAUUUUUUAUUUCAUUGUUGAACUUGUUUCAAAAAAAAAAUCCACACACAGAGAUUGAGUUAGAAAUGAAGGUAGAGAAAAGAAUGAUAGAACUCGUUAAAAUUGUUUAUAUCUCAGGCACUAAAAUACAUCUUGUAUCACUUUUUAGGGUAAAAGUGUUUUUAAAGAGCAUUGCCAAUUGGAUUUUAAAUAAUCUAGAUUGUCACUUUUUUUUUUCAAUUAUAUAUAUUAUAUCAAAUAUUUCUAUUUUUUUUGUACAAAGUAAAUAAAUUAUUUAAUAUAUUCAAACAUUGUCAUUCAAUCAAUUGAUAUAAAUCUUUCUUUUAAAGUAAACAUGAUGUAAAUAAUUACGUAUAAUCAAGCAAUCAACUAUCGUUCUUAAUUUAUUUUCUUUGGUUAUUUCAUUUUUUUUUUUUUUUUUUUGCCCUUUUAUUCUCAUUUCUGUUUCAUAUAACAUUUUCUUUACUUUUCUUUCCAUAUAAAAUGAGUGUGAUAUAAUACUAUUGUCCAAUAAUAAUAUCUAAUAAUAUAAAACAAUUAUUUUAAAUAUAUAACAACAUUUAAAAUUUUAGACAAAUAAUUUUCGUUAUUUUCAAUAUUGAUGACACUAAUAAAUUUCAAUUUUAUCUUCAUACAAGCCAAAUAACUCUUAACACUUCACACAAUUUAUCUUUCAUUCACUUGAAUUGAAUUUUUCUCCAACAUCAUUUCCACUAAAAAUCAAUUAUUGCAAAAAAAUAAAAUAAAAUGACAACUAUACACGUAGAAUCCCUUACAAGUAGAAUCACUUGCAAAAAAACACCAUGAUAAGUAAAUCUAAAUCCAAAAAAUAAUAAUCACAAAUUUUUUUAUUAAAAUAUAUUUAUGGACCCCGCAUUUCGGCUUAUACGCCUCCACUCGACGGCGAGCUCGAUUUUUAUUUGAAAAUGACUUGGAGUCGCCACUCAUUUUUGUUUUAUUUUAAAAAGGGUAAGCGAAAUAAAAAAGAAAACCCUAAGUGUGACUCCUUAUUUUGGAAAAGAUGGUUUGUGAAAAACUGGAUCGGGCUUAGGGGUCAGGUUACUUAUCAGGAAGGUACGACAUAAACCGUAGCACCCCUCAAAGUCCCUAAAGUCGGGUCUCUACUAAUACAAUGAAACUGACGUAGCAAUCGACGAGAAAGUCAAUGGAUACUCACCUCAAACACGCACAAUAGGUGAAUCGGAACAUGAAUAGAGAAUGAUCAGAAUGAAAGUGUAUGCGUACCUGGGCCACGGACCAUAAUGCGCUAUCCAAAAAUGGGAUUAGCACACAAUUAAUGAAUACGGAAUAUGGCUCAUGCAUAUUGGAGUGCAAAUCGAAGAUCAAACGAAAUACACUAAGUACGACAGUUAUCAAUCAAAAGGGAUCAAACAUCGGGCCCCCACUAAAGCCCAAUUUAUUGUUCAUGAAUUAGUCUUACAAAUUCCGUGUUUAAAAUUAUGAAGACUUCACUUCUUGCUUAUGUAGAAUCAAGAAGAUCAGAAGAUUAUUUAAUAACCGAAAUGGAAUUAAAACUAUUCGAGUGAAAACUGGAUUCUUGGAGUUUAUUUGAAAAUUAGGAUCUCAAAAAUUACUUGGAAAUUGGAGCCUGGGGAACUGAAUUUAAGAAUGGGAAUUUUGGAAGUUAAGUUUCAAAAAUUGGAAUCCUGAAGAAUUAUUUAAAGAUUGAGUUUCAAAAAUAAACAAAUAAAUAAAAUAAUAAUGAUUAAAUAAAUCAAUAUGGGAAUUAAAUAUUUUGGAAAUUGGAAUCUAAAUUUAGAAAUCGGGAUUUUGAAGAAUUGUUUGAAGAUUGAAUUUUAAAAAUAAAUAAAUAAAUAAAAUAAUGAGGAUUUAAAUAAAUUGACAUGAGAAUUAAAAUUUCGGAAAUUGGAAUUUAAUUUAGAAGCCAGAAAAUUGGAACUGUUUUAAAGAAGGAAAUUUUGAAAUGGAUAGCUGGAAUAAUAAUAGUGAUGAUAAUAAUAAUUGUUUUGAAAGCUAAAUUUUAAAUAUUAAAACUUUGGUAAUUAGAUUGAAAUUCGUAUUUUUGACAAUUAACUCUGGAAGUUGAGAAUUUAAAAAUUAUUCCAAAAUGAAGACCUUGAUAAUGAGAUUUAAGAAAUGAACCCUAGGAAAUUAAACUGCGAGAAUAUGGAUUUUGAAAGUUGAAUUUGAAGAUUUAAGUAGUAGUAGUAAUAAUAAUAAUAAUAAUAACAAUAACAGUAAUAAUAAUAUUAAACUGCGAGAAUAUGGAUUUUGAAAGUUGAAUUUGAAGAUUUAAGUAAUAAUAAUAAUAAUAAUAAUAAUAAUAAUAAUAAUAAUAAUAAUAAUAACAACAACAAUAAUAAUAAUAAUAAUAUUAAACUGCGAGAAUAUGAAUUUUGAAAGUUGAAUUUGAAGAUUAAAAUAGUAAUAAUAAUAAUAAACUACGAGAAUAUAGAUUUUGAAAGUUGAAUUAGAAGAUUUAAGUAAUAAUAAUAAUAGUAAUAAUAAUAAUAUUGAACUUGAAUAUUUAAGUAAUAAUAAUAAUAGAAAUGGGCUUAAGACAAUGGCUAGAAAUGGGCUUAGGACAAUGGCUACUCAAAUUGAGCCCUUUAAUGGGCCUAGGGUGGGAAGAUUGAAUUUGAAGAUUUAAGUAAUAACAAUAGAAAUGGGCUUAGGACAAAAUGGGCUUAGGACAAUGGCUACGACUUGAGCCCUUUAAUGGGCCUAGGGUGGAAAAAUUGAAGAUUUAAGUAAUAACAAUAGAAAUGGGCUUAUGACAAUGGCUACAAAUUGAGCCCUUUAAUGGGCGGGAAAAUUGAAGUUGAAGAUUUAAGUAAUAAUAAUAGAAAUGGGCUUAGGACAAUGGCUACAAAUUGAGCCCUCUAAUGGGCUUAAGGUGGGAAGAUUAAAUCUCAAAGAAAGAUAGUGGGCCUUGGGCAUCUUGGUGGUGCAUGGAUUCUCUAUAUUGUAGCCAUAGUUUCAAGGUGAACAAGAGGGAACGACGGCACGAACCAGCUCCAGGGGUAUAACCGAAAGUGUAGAGAUGGCGCGGAGGUUGGGGCUUGAUGAACAGCAUGGGAUAGGUUGAUGGUGAUGAGCUUGUGGUACGAGAGAUAAGAUGAGCUUGGUGAUGGAAACGAGUGAGCAUGCAACUUGGAGAGGUGAGGAGAGUAGGAUAUGCGACUUGGAGCAUUAGUGGGUAUGAUUGUGGUGUAGAGAGGGAAGAGGUGGUGGGACGAAGUGCGCAUAAGAGAUUUGACACAAAGAGGCGAUAUGGGAAGAGUGGAGAUGGGUGGUAUGAAAAGUGAGUACAUGCGGAUAUGAGUGUGAAGAGGUUGGUGAGAAGCGGAGAUGUCCAUGCAUGCUUGAAAUGGGUGACAAAAUAAUGAUAUAAGGGGUAGUGGAAGGUGAUGACGGGAAGUGGGUUCAAUGAAACUGUUAGAGAGAGAAAGGGGUGCUAUUGGUAGUGAGAAGAGUGGAAGCACGAGCGUGAGUGAUGGUGAGUUUGAGUGGGUUUGGGUGAUGAUGUAGAUAUAGAAAGUGAAUAAAUAGAAGAGGUGGGUGAAGAAUAGGGCAUGAAACGUAUGAGGUGUGUAGAUGGUAUGAAAAGGUGGACAUGGUCUCCAUGGACUAUCAUGGCUUUCAUUUCAGCUGUUUUGUAGUCCACUUUCAAUCUCAUCACUUCAACACAAAUUGGGGCCAGCCAGGAGAGAGAUUUUUUGGUAGGAUGAGUUAUUGAAUAUAAAUUGGUGACGUGUCAGCAUCUUAGAGGGUCCAUGCAUGGUUUCAAUAUCAUUAUUUACGGUUCUUUUUAAUAAGAAUAAUGUUUAAACUUUGUACUCAUCCAAAAAGUAUUGAAUUAUUGGUACUAAACCGCACAUCCCAACAUUUUCCAUGAAAGGACAAUAAUUGCAUCUAAUUACAAAUAUAUCCUGGAAUCCAUCCCAUAUUUUUCUCGUGAACUAAUCUGUUUGGUUCGGAAACCACUGAAAAAAGAGAUGGAAAAUGCUAAAAAUAUAUUUUUUUAUAUUUGAUUUUGUUACAAAAAAAAAAAAAUUAACCAUGAAAGUCUGAAUAUAAUUAAAAUUAUUUAAAUUUUGUAUAUUUUUAAAAUUAUUAAUCCUUAUGUAAAAGAGUUAAAUACUUAAAAAUAAUAUUUAUCAUUGAUUUUAACUUUAAUUUUUUUUUCCUUUUACCUUUUCUCUCUAUUUUCUUUCCCUCACAAUUUCCUUCAAAAUAUUCCCUCAAUAACCUACUAAUUUAGUGUUUGUUGUUAUACUUUUUUUUUUUUUUAAACUUAAAUUUAAAUAAAAUUUAAUUUAACUUAAUUAUAAUAAAAGAAAAGGAUCAUACCACUUUUUUUUUUUUUUUUUUUUUUUUUUUUUUUUAUGGAUGUCAAGAUGGAUUUAAGAUACAUUUAUAAUAAGAUGAAAUUAUAGUCUGUUGAUGGAAAAUAUCAUUAUAAAAAAUGUCAUUUGAUCAGUGUGACCCUCUCGUAAUUGAUAACAAAUUCAAUUAUUGUCUGUCGAUGGAAACUGAAUUUCCAACCACACAAAAUUAAAUUCAUAUAAACAAUGACUUUUCUUGUUUCAAUUAUUUAUAUUAUAUCAAAUAUUUCUAAUUUUUUUGUAUAAAUAAAUUAUUUUAUUCUCUAAUUAUAGAUUCAAACAUACAAUGUCAUCCAAUCAAUAGAUACAUAAAUCUUUUUUUCAAAUAUAAACAUAAUGCAAAUAUAUACACACAAUCAAGUGGUGCGAUAUCGUUCCUAAGUUUUUACUGAAGAAUACACGUUUAUACCUAAAUACACUUCUCAUUUGGAGUGUUCUCGGGGUAAGUUUUUGUAAUUUAUAUAAGAGAUCUCACUUAUUUCUCAAUUCGCCCUCUUUGAAUCUUUUCAUUUCGAUCUUAUUUUCUUUUCUUUUAAUCUUUUUGCCCUCAUUCUCAUUUCCAUUUCAUAUAACAAGUUCUUCACUUUUCUUUGUCUACAACCAUGGAUGUAAAAUGAGUGCGGUAUAAUAUUGUUGUGCAAUCCUAACUCAAAUGAUAAUACCAACUAAUAUAAAAUAAUUAUUUUAAACCAAUAGUCAUCGGCAGUAGACUUAUAUCUUCUGGACCAAUUAGUAUACCAACAGUGAUCAGGCUAAGGUGAUGAUCCAAUUCCAUGGAAGAGCAUCAAGAAAGGAGGAGGAACGUUGGAGAGAAAGAAGGCGGCCAACCAAGCAGGAACAGUGGCCAAACUGGCCUCGAGCCUGAGGAGCAUAUGAUUGACAGUGUUGAAAUCAGUCCUAGGGUGAAAAAUUGGAUUAAGUCUCUCAAAAACGCAGAAGAAAGCACUCAAUCUCAAAGUUCAUGGCCAAGGAUACCAAAGGUUCCUCAGUUGCUGAGGGGGACCCAUGAUUUCGAGAGAUUGUACGAACCGAGGGUAAUUUCAAUCGGUCCUUACCACCAUGGCAAACCCCACCUUCAACCAGUGGAGACGAUCAAGCUUCAAUAUGCCCAAAAAUUCCUGGCUGAUAGUGACCAGGACAUCGAAGCUUUGUACACAAAAAUUGGAAGUAAUAUCGAGGCGUUGAGGAAGUGCUAUGAUAAGAUACCGACGGAUGAUGAGAAACUCGCCUGGAUGAUGCUUCUGGAUGGGUGUUUUUUACUACAAUUCAUCCGCAGCAGAAAGGACGGCAGCACAGUCGAUUUGAGUAACGUUCUUAGAAUUCACCAAAUAAAUUUUGUGGAGCGGGACUUGUUCUUGCUGGAGAACCAACUGCCCUUUGGAGUCCUCCAGUUGAUUUUUGAGGGAGCAAAAUUCAAUGAUGGUUCAACAAUGGAACAGAUGAUAAAAAAUUUCGUCACUCGCAUCGCAAGUCUACAACCGUCAUCAGAAAAACCGCUGGAUGAGCGCUCUCAUCUCCUCGACCUUUUGCGAAGUGCUAUCCUAGGCAAGAGUGCGCCCAAACAAGAGCGGCAACCUGAUAAAAAAGGAAAGUCGUCGUCGUCUUCAGGAGGAGAUGGGCGGUUCUGUUGCCCAUGGAAAAAAGGCAAACAACGAGGCAUUCGGCAGCCUUUUCGAAACAUCAAGGAGCUUAAAGCUUCCGGGAUCCAUCUCCGACAGAGUAGAACGAGUUUCUUGACAGACAUUUCUUUCAAUUCCUACUUCUUCCGUGGCUACCUGAAUCUUCCCCCAAUAAUCGUUGAUGACUCCACGAAGUCCAGGUUCUUGAACAUUGUAGCCUAUGAAAUGUGUCCAGAUGCCCCUGAUGACUAUACGGUCACUUCUUAUUUAUGCUUCCUUCACGGGCUCAUUCAUCAUGCGGACGAUGUCAAGGAGCUGAGAUCUAGGCACAUUCUCAUCAACCAUCUUGGCAGCGAUGAAGAUGUGGCCCGACUUUUCAACGAGAUCGCCAACGACGUGGUAGAUACCGGAGUUUAUGGAGAUGUGAAAGCUCGUAUUCAGAAAGACUACGACAAGAGGGUGAAUACUUGCAUAGCAGCCAUUAACGGAUUGGCACUGCUUUUACGGCUGUACAAUUGAUACUAUUUCUUACUGGUGUCCAAACCUACUACGCUCUUCCAGGUAAUUAAUGUAUGUGUGUAUGUAUGUGAUUAAUUAUCAUUGUGAUGUGCUUUUUUUUUCUUGUUUGGUGUGUUUAUGUUUGAAAAAAAUCCAACUUUCCAUGAUUGAAGUAAAUAUAUCAAUACAAGAUAUCAUUUUAUUAGAGAGUAUUAUGUAGAAGGAAAAACAAUUAAAAUUUGUAAAAUCUCUAGAUCAAAUUACCAAUAUUUGUAUCAAACCUAUCAAGUUUAAAGAUUUUAAAAAUUAAAGGAUGUUAUUCAAGAUAUACAAAUCAAGUUUUGAGUAGUCAAAUCAUAAAAAAAGUUUGAGGUAACAUAUAAAAAUAAUUUAUUAAUUAAAAUUUUUUUUCUUUCUCUAUUUUCUUUUUCUUAUAUUUUCUUUCAAACUUUUUAGGAACCAAACAUAACCUACUAAUUUAGUGUUUUUCUUUUACUUAAAUCUAAAUAGAACUUAAUUUUACUUAAUUCUAAAUACAACUUAAUAAUAUUAAGUAUUAAGUUGUUUAUUUUUAUUAUUUCAUUUCUUUUAAGUAUUAAGCAUUAAUAGGUGGGAGUUGCAUUGAGGUUGUGUUUUGGUUAUUUUAAAAGGUUACUUCUAGCAUUAAGUAAAAAAAAUUAAAUAUUUUGACUUUUUUCAUUCAAUCAAUUUUUUUUAAAAAAAAUAAGUAAUAAGUAAAAAAUAAGUAAAUCAUCUCAAGUCUGAAAGCAAAUUAUAUUCAAUAUUAAAAGAAAAAAAAAUCAAAACAACCGUAGAACCCCAUCUAGUUGCAGCUCGUUUCUUAUCAGGUGCAGCAUUUCUGAGGUUUUAUGCGUGUCAACUCGAGAAAGGCUGGGGCGGGGACCGUUUUCUGGAAACAUCAGCUGCAUGAAACGUGUGGGGAGCAACUGACCACAGCCAUAGUGGUGGUUGGGGCUCCAGACAUGCUGAGCGGGGGAACAGGGGAGUGGAUAUUGGCUUGUGAGAGGAGAAAAAAAGAAAGAGUUGCUUAUCUUCCCACCCAUUCACCUAUCCCACAUUCUCUCACGUCCGUGCAGCCCACAUGCUCCCCUCAUGACAUUCCCUUGCUCAUCCUAUCAUGCAUUUUUCACUCCCAUGUUCAUGCCAUACUCACCGCCAUCUUUUCUCUCUCUACACCGUGUCAUGCACCCAUUUGUUUUCCUAAAAAGACCACAACCCCUGUUUUGUGCUCCAUCACAGCCCAUGCUUGUGCCACCACAUAACCCUCGUUUUCACCCCCACUUUCAUACCCAUGCAACCAAUCUUUCUCACCCUCUCAUCACCCACUGAAGUGUAUGGAAGUCGUGGUGAUUUCCCUCCAUCUCGCGUUGCCUAGGCUGUCCUCAGUCCGCGUGUUUUCCUGCGCGCUUGCUUCAGAUUAAACUUCGUUCGUCGGCUUCUUUAAAACCCUUUCAACUCGUGUUGUAGUUUAAUGGAUCAAAGCCCAAAUCAGAGAGGAAGGCAAACCUGGGUUCUUGGGUGCAAGUGUAUGCCAAAGGGGAGGUGUAGGAGGGUGAAUUUCACGAGUGGUGGUGUUCAGGAAGUGGGGUUUAUUAUUAUCAUAGGAGUGGGAGGAUAUGUGGGCAUGGAUCAACCUACAGGUAUGGGCAUAAAAGUGGGCCUGAGCAUGGGCCUGAGCCUGGGGGUGAAUGUGGGCCUGAGCAUGGGUUUGAAUAUUGAAAUGUGGCAAGUAGCCCGGAUGCAACAACCAACUUUGCCUCCUGGAGGUUAUAACCUCAUGAUGGGCUCAGGUGGUUAUACUCUUUAGCAACCAACCAUAUGGUAAUGGCUACCAUUAGGAAUGCUAUACACGUAAUGGAUGCCUAUUAUUUCAAGUGAUUCCUAUAUUCCCAAUUUACGCAAUUUAAUUCUUAAAGCCCUAAUUUCUCGAUAUUCUUUCAAAUUUCGAUUUUCACACUAAUAUAUUUGAUCACUAUUACCAUUAUUUCAUUAUUAUUUGUUUAUUUCUAAAAUUCGAUCUUUAAACACAUCUUCAAAAAUUCCAUUUUUUUAAAAUUUAAUUUCUAAUCCUGAUAAUUCCCAUACUCGCUUUAAUUUAUUUAAUCAUAAAUAUUUUAUUCAUUUAUUUUAAAACUCUAUUUUUAAUCUAUUCUUUAAAAUUCCCGAUUACCGAAUUAAAUUCCGAAAAUUCCCAUACUCACUUUAAUUUAUUUAAUCACUAAUAUUUCAAUCAUUUAUUUUAAAAUUCCAUUUUUAAUCUAUUCUUUAAAACUUCCGAUUUCAAAAAUUCCAAAAUUCACGUUUAUUUAUUUAAUCAUUAUUUUCGUUCCGUUUUAAACAAUUCAUUAAAAUUUUCGACUUCCAAUUUUAAUUCCGAAAAUUCCAAUAUUCACAUUAAUUUAUUUAAUUAUUAUUAUUUUAUUUAUUUAUUCUAAAAUUCCAUUUUUAAACAAUUCAUUAAAAUUUCCACUUUUGCUAAUUCCAAAAUUCCAACAUUCACAUUAAUCUAUUUAAUUAUUAUUAUUUUAUUUAUUUAUUCUAAAAUUUCAUUUUAAACAAUUCCAACAUUCACAUUAAUCUAUUUAAUUAUUAUUAUUUUAGUUAUUUAUUUUGAAAUUCCAUUUUAAACAAUCCUUCAAAAUUCCAAUUUCUGAACUUAAUUUCCAAUUUCCAAAAUUCUAAUUUCUUUCAAAUUUAAUAUCUAAAAUUCCAAUUCUUAAAUUUAAUUUUCAAGACUCCAAUCUUCAAAUAAUUUUCGAGACUCUAAUUUUCAAAUAAAUUUGAAAAAUCCAGUUUUCUCUCGAAUAGCUUUAAUUCCACUCCGAUUUUUAAAUAAUGUUCUAUUUCUUUUGAUUUUUUUACACAAGCAAGAAUGAUGAAUCUUCAUAAUUCCGAAAUAAUGGGAUUCGCGAGAUUAAUUCAGGCAAGAUCAAUCGGGCUUUGGUGAGGGCCCCACAUAUGUGAUUUUAUGACUGACUGAUUGAUUAAUUAAUUUAUUUACCAUGCUUGUUUGAUUUAUUCUGUUACUUGACAUGCGCAUAAUUUUAUCUAUUCGUCAUUCACUAAUCCUGUUUCAUGAUAGCGCAUUCGUGACUUGAGGACCAGGUACGCAUCCACUCAUAUUUUGUUCGUUCUUUAUACAUGCUCUGCUUCCCACGUCGUGCAUGAUUAAGGUGAGUAUUCAUUGGCUUUCUCAUUGAUUGCCGCGUUAGCUUCAUUCUAUUAGUAGAGACCCGAUUUCAGGGACUUAGAGGGGUGCUACGGUUCAUGUCAUACCUUCUCGAUAAGUAACCUGACCCCCGAACUCGAUCCGGUUUUUCGUAGAUCACCUUUUCCAAAUAAGGAGUCACACUUAGGAUUUUUCUUUCUUAUUUUGUUUACCCUUUUAAAAAUAAAACAAAAAUAAGUGGCGACUCCAAGUCAUUUUCUUAAUCAAAUAAAAUCAUUUUUCAAAUAAAAAUCGAGCUCGCCAUCGAGUGGGAAAUACAUGAGCCGAAAUGUGGGGUCCACAACAACAUAAGAUUUAAAAUUCAAAAUGAUUAUAAAUGUGUGACACUAAGCUUAAUGCACGCGUGCUAAAGGUCACUAAUGUUAUUCGUAGUUUUCCCAUGGCAAUUGGUAUGUUUCACAAUCUUUCUUGGACGUGGGAGGGGCUUGGGUUUUUGAAUGAGAAUGAAGCUUUUUGAAAGGUUUGUAAUAAUAAAAUAUAACAUCAAAAAUAAAAUGAGGUAUUUAUGUAAAAUAAAAAGAAAAUUGUCUAAAAAAAUUCAUUAAGGCUGUGUCUCUCUGGUUUAAAAAAUUUGAGGGAAAGAAAAUAGAUAAAAAAAAGUGGAAGGAAAAAAAAUGAAGGAAAAUAAAAAAUAAAUUAAAAGUCAAUAAAUUAUUUUUAUAUUCUUCUUCAAAUUUAUUUCACUUGCUCUUCUUCAUUAUAUAAAGAUUAUAUAAUUUUAAAAUGCAUAUAUUUUUAACUAAUUUGAAUUAUAUUUGAUUUUUUUUUGUAUUUUUUUUAUAGUAAAACCAAAUAUAAGAAAAUCAUUUUCCUUAAUAUUUUUUCAUUUUCUUAGUACUUUUUGAAAACCAAAUAUAACCUAAUUCUUAAUUAAUUUAAAUUAUAUUUGAUAUUAAAUAUUUAAUUAUGUAAAUAUUAAAAAUAAAUAAAAUCUAAUAAUUGUACUAAUAUUUUAUAUUUUCAUUUUCUAAUUUUUACUUUAUUUUAAUAGAUACUAAACAUGAUUUUUAAAUUUUAAAAAAUUUUUUAAUUAUAAAAAUAAGAAUGGAAAAAUAAAUAUCGGAUAGCUAAUUUUGACAGACAUGUAAUUUUGAUAGUGAGUGGUGUGAGGAGGGCUUUUUUGCCCAAAUUUUUGUGUUUUCCAAAUCUAAGCCAUUUCCUUGCCUACUUUUUUUCUCCAUGUUCCAAGUAAACAAGGGUAAAUACUUACAAUAAAAAAUUAAUGAAAGACAAAAACCAUACAACUAUUUCCUCCAUAGAUACCAACAUGGAUUCGAGAUUUAAGAUACAUUUAUAAUUAGACGAAAAAUGGCACGAUGAAAAAUAUCAUUUGAUUAAGGUAAGGUGGAAAAAUAAGGGCUACAUUUAAAGUACUCGAGUAUAUUAUAUAUGCUCCCUUUAGGGUGAUUCCCAUAUCAUUUAUAUAUUUCUUUUUAAUUCAAUUUGAAAUUUGAAUUCAAUUUUAUAUUUAUAUUGUAUAUAUUUAUAAUAAUAUAUAUUAUAUAUAAUUAUUUAUAAUAAAAUAAUAAAAAUUAUAAUAUUAAUUAAUUUAAUAGGAUUAAAAAGGACUAAUUUUUUUUAAAUUAUUAUAUAUAUAGGUCUGAAUGGAAAAAAUAUCAUCCAUUUAUUUAUACUCUUAUAUGUUGAUAUCAUUAGUUUGUACCCUCAUUCUAAACAAGGGUACCUUAUCUUGAUCUCAUGCAUUGGUUUGUGUUUUGGAAUUUGAAAGGUUUCCUUAGGUUUAUUUAAGUUUUGACAAUAAAUAAUUAGUAAAAGAAAAGGACCAUACCACUUUUUCCUCCAUAUUCCAAGUAAAUAUGGGAAAAGACUUACCACAAGAAAUUAAAGAAAGGAAAAGAACCACACCACUAUUUCCUCAAUAAAUGUCAAGAGGAUACAUUUGUAAUCAAUGUUGGGAAAUGUCAACAUGGAAAAUAUCCUUUGAUCAAUGUAAGAUGGAAAAGAUCAUUUGACAAGGGCUACAUUUACAGGACUCAAAUAUAUUUUUUUCAAUAGGUAUGAAAAAAACAUCAUCAAUCAAGUGGUGUUAAAUAUAUAUUUUUUAAUCUCAUUAUUUGUACCACAAUCCUAUUUAUUUAUACUCUUAUACCUUGAUAUUAUUAGUUUGUAUCUUCAUUCUAUCUUACCUUGAUCUCAUUAGUUUGUUUUUCAAAAUAUGAAAGGCUUCCUUAUGUUCAUCCAAGUCCUUAGACUCCUUACAAUAAGGAAUUAAUAUAUGAAAAUGAUCGUACCAUUUUUUUCUUGAUGGAUGUCAGGAUGGAUUCAAGAUACAUUUAUAAUAAGAUGUAAUUAUUAUUUAUAUAUUGAGAUUGAAUAUUAAGAUUAUUUUAAUUUUUUAAUUAUAAAAACAAGAAUUGAAAAAUUAAAAUUGGAUAGUGUCAACCCCUUAGCCUUUUGACCCAAUUUUGGAGAAAAGGGUCUCAUGGGUAGGCCUUGCACCCAUGGGAGCCUAGAUAGAGAGCAAGAAUGGCCUGGAGGUUUGGCGGUUCAAACCCCAAGAGUUAUAAUGAGAAGGCCAUGUUUGAGCCAAACGUGCACCACAUGCGAGCUAGAUGCGUACCGCGUGCACACUACAGACAAGCUAAACAGGCACCGCACGCGCACCUCGAGUGAGCCAAACAGGUACCGCGCAUACACCAGGCAUAUGUUGGCUAUGGAGUUGGUGUAGUUGGAGGGCGAGGUUUAUUUUGAAAUAUAAUUUAUAAUUAUUUAAAUGUUUCAUUAUGUCUCCUCCAGACAUCUUGAUAACGAUCCGUAUUGCUCUUUAAGGGGGAAAGGGGAUAGGUAAUUCGAGGGGGCACCAAGGGAAGGCCUUGAUCGCACCAAGGGAGCACCAUGGCACGACUCGUGGCGUGCCUAGGACACACAGAUAGACACUCAAGCACACACACAUGGGUUCCACAAUAUGUGUGGCGUGCACCCUGUGGCUGCAACAGCCCGGGGUCUGGUACAACCUACCUCCUCCCCGCACAGGCAUGAAGGGGCCUAAGCCUUGUGCAACUAGCUAACUGAGGAAGCCAUGGUUUGAUGAGGCACUAGACAGACAGUUGGCUUGUACCCAUAAUGCUUACGCACGACACAGGAGCGCAAUGCCAUAGUUCAUUGCUAUAGAGCUUGACCUGACAGUGGGAGAUAGACAUAGGCCCAUACCAUGGGCACCUUGACAUGGCAUGGACUGACACGUCAGUGUGGGGAAGACACACUGAUGCACCAAGCACCUGGUCAGUUGGUUGGUGCAUGUUGCUAGUUCAGAUGACAGCUAGCUAGUGGUAGCAAGUGUGUGAUCCGGACAAUAGUCAGUUUCAAGGGAUUGACAGAUGGUUGGUGCGAAGAGACGCCUUGGACUAAGGGAGUGUCUCCAGCUAGGUGGUUACAUGAGCAGUUCACCAGUUGGGUGGUUAUGCAAGCAGUUUAUGGGCGAUUGUGGCAGUUGCAAAACCACCAGAUUGGCUCCUUGGUUUUGAAUUUUGAAAUUUGAAAUUGUAACUUGCAGGCUGGUCAUUUAAAAAGGGGCCUCUUCCAUCUUUGAGAUAGAGGAUGAGAGCAUGGGAUAUGUCUUUGAAUGCUUAAGGGUUCUAAGCAUUGUACUCUGACUUAGACCAAGUGUUGAGACACUUUGGAAAACGAUUUUAUAUCUUGUAGUGACUGAAAUAAUACAAGUUAGGAAGGGUUCCCGUAAUUGUUGUGUCAUGUUACUUUGUUUUUCUAAGGGUUGGGAAGAAAGGUUAGCUAAGGAAAGGUCCUUAGUACUGCACACUCGAUGAAAAAAUUAAUGCAAUUAUCAGGGGUGUGAUAGAUAGCUAGUAUUUACAGGCAUAUGUAAUUUUGAUAGAGAUGAGAAGAGAAGAAUGAGUGGUAUGAGGAGUGCAUUUUUGCCCAAAUUUUUGUGUUUUAGGAAUCCAAAGCAUUUCCUUUCCCACUUUUUUCUCCAUGUUCUAGGUAAUCAUGGGAAAAAAGUUGCAAAAAAAAAUUAAUUAAAGAAAAGGAAUAUACCACUAUUUCCUUGAUAGAUAUUAGGAUGUAUUUAAGAUUUAAGAUACAUUUAUAAUCCGCAGUGGAAAAUAUCAAGAUAGAAAAUAUCAUUUGAUAAGGACUACAUUUUUAGUACUCAAAUAUACUUCUUUUUAUAGGUAUGAAUGGAUGAAAAGAUAUCAUCAAUCAAUCAAGUGGUGUCAAAUUUAUAUUUUUAAGUAUUAUUAUUUGUGCUCAAAUCCCAUUUAUUUAUACUCUUCUACCUUGAUAUUCUUAGUUUGUACCCUCAUUAUGUGGAAACAAGGGUACUUUACCUUGAUCUCAUUGGUUUUAGUUUGAAAAUUUAAAAGGUUUCCUAAGGUUUAUCUAAGUCCAUACAAUAAGGAAUUAAUAAUAAAAAAAAGGACCAUGCCACUUUUUCCUCCAUGUUCCAAGUAAAUAUGGGAAAAGACCUACAACAAGAAAUUAAUAAAAGAAAAGGACCAUACCACUAUUUCCUUAAUAGAUGUUAAGAUGGAUUCAAGAUACAUUUAUAAGUAAUGGUGAAAAAUGUCAAGAUGGAAAAUAUCCUUUGAUUAAGGUAAGAUCGAAUAAAUCCUUUGCUAAGGGCUAUAUUUAUAGUACUCAAAUAAGCUCUUUUUUGAUACGUAUGGAAAAGACAUUAUCAAUUAAUUGGUGUCAAGUAUAUAUUUUUAAGUCUCAUUAUUAAUGGACCCCAAUUCCAUUUAUUUAUACUCUUAUACCUUGAUAUCAUUAAUAUGUAUCCUCAUUAUAAGUGAAAAAGGGUACCUUACCUUAGUCUUAUUUAUUUGUAUUUCAUAAUCUAAAAGAUUUCCUUAGGUUUAUAUAAACCCUUACAAUAACGAAUUAAUAAAAGAAAAAGACCAUACCACUUUUUCCUUGAUGGAUGUCAAGAUGGAUUCAAGAUAUAUUUAUAAUUAGAUGUAAAUAUUGUCUGUUGCUGGAAAAUAUCAUUAUGGAAAAUGUCCCAUGAUCAAGAUAACCCUCUUGUAAUUGAUGUCGAAUUCAAUUAUUGUCAAUCGAUGGGAAUUGAAUUCCCAACCAUACAAAAUUAAAUUAAUAUAAAUGGUCACUUCACUUUUCUUAUUUCAAUUAUUUAUACCAUAUCAAAUACUUCUAAUUUUUUUGUACAAAAUAAAUAAAUUAUUUGUUAUCUAAUUAUAGAUUCAAAUAUACAAUUGAUGUCAUUGAAUCAAUUGAUACAUAAAUCCUUCUUCCAAAUAUUAACAUAAUGAAAAUGCAAACACACAAUCAAGUAAUGCAAUAUUGUUCCUGAGUGUUCAUAUAAGGAUACACGUGUAUAUCUAAAUACACUCCCCAUUUGGAGUGUUCUUGAGGUAAGUUUUUGUAUCUUAUAUGAAAAAUCUCACUCCCUUCUUAAUUCAAUUUCUUUGGGUCCUUUCAUUUCUCAUUUUAUUUUCUUUUAUUUUUUUUGCCCUCAUUCUCAUUUCCAUUUCAUAUAAGAAGUUCUUAACUUUGCUUUCUAUACCACCAUGGAUGCAAAAUGAAUGAGAUAUAAUAUUAUUGUGCAAACGAAACUCAAAUGAUAUAUAAUACUCAAUAAUAUAAAAUAAUUAUUUUAAACCUAUAAAAAUACUCAAAAUUUUCAAUAAAUAAUUUCCAUUAUUUUCAACGUUGAUAUAUCAUUAAUAAAUUUCAAUUUUAUCUUCCUAACACAGUCCAAAUAAUUAUAACACUUCACACAAAUAUUUAUCUUUGAUUAAUAUGAAUUGAAUUUUUCUCCAACAUAAUUUCCACUAAAAAUCAAUUAAAAUUUCAUAUAAUCGUAAAAAUAAUUAAAAUAACAACUAUAUACUUAGAAUCACUUGCAAAAUAUUAUCAUAAUAAGAGUUUGUUUGAUAGUGAUCAUAAAAGAUGCUUUUAAUAUUUUUAACAUUUAAAAUUUUUUACCAAAAGAAUUGUUUUAAGUACUAGAAAAACUAAACACGUUUUCAAAAAUCACUAUCAAACAAGUUGAAAGAACAUGUUUGAUAUUAUGAAACCCUUUUAACCUUCCCCACAUUUGAAAAUUUUUAGCCAAGUAUUUGUAACCUUUCUAACCUUCCGUUUGGUAGGAAGCGGUGGCAGUGAUUGUUAGUAUUAGUAAUAAUCACUAGACGAAGUCAUGGGCAGUAGACCAAGUCAUCCCUCUUGGUAGGAAGCGCUUUUAACACCAAGCCAUCGGCAGUAGACUUACCUCUUCUGAACCAACAUAUUAACAGUGAUUAGGCCAAAGUGGUGACCCAAUUCCAUGGAAGAGCAGCAAGAAAGGAGGAACGUUGGAGAGAUAGAACUAGAAGGCGGACAACCAAUCAGGAACAGUGGCCAAACCGGCCCCGAGCUUAGGGAGCAUAGGAUGGACAUUGUUGAAAUCAGUCCUAGGGUGAAAAAUUGGAUUGGGUCUUUCAAAAAAGCAGAAGAAAGUACUCAAUCUCAAACUCAAUGGCCAAGGAUACCAAAGGUUCCUCAGAUGCUGAGGGGGACCCAGAAUAUCAAGAAAAUCUACGAACCGAGGGUAAUUUCAAUCGGUCCUUACCACCAUGGCGAGCCCGACCUUGGCCCAGUGGAAAUGAUCAAGCCUCCAUGUGCCCAAUAAUUCCUGGCUGAUAGUAACCAGGACAUCGAAGCUUUGUACACAAAAAUUGGAAGAAAUAUCGAGGCAGUGAAAAAGUGCUAUGGUUGGAGUAGUACAAAAAAGGAUGAUGGUGAGGAACUUGCCUGGAUGAUGCUUCUGGAUGGGUGUUUUUUACUACAAUUCAUCCGCUGGAAAGGUAUGAGAAAGUUUCGUAGAAAUCACCAAAUAAAUUUUGUGGUGCAGGACUUGUUCUUGCUGGAGAACCAACUUCCCUUUGGAGUCCUCAAGUUGAUUUUUGAGGGAACAAAUUUCCAGGGUGGUCUACCAAUGGAAAAGAAUAUAAAAAUAUUCAUCACUUACUUCGGAAUGCCAGAAGGGUUGUCAUCAGAAAUACAGCUGGAAGAGGUGAACGAAGAGCCCUCUCAUCUCCUCGACCUUUUGCGAAGUGCUCUCCUAGGCCAGAGUCAACCCGAACAAGAGCAGCAACCUGAGAAAAAAGGAAAGUCGUCGUCGUCUCAAGGAGGAAAGUGGGGGGUCUGUUGCCGAUGGAAAAAAUGCAAACAACGGGGCAUUUGGCAGUUUUUUCGACACAUCAAGGAGCUUAAAGCUGCCGGGAUCUAUCUCAAACCGAGUAGAACGUGUUUCUUGAGAGACAUUUCUUUCAAAUCCUACUUCUUCUUUGGCUACCUGAAACUUCCCCCAAUAACCAUUGAUGACUUCACGAAGACCAAGUUCUUGAACAUGGUAGCCCUAUGAAAUGUGUCCAGAUGCCCCAGAUGACUAUGCGGUCACUUCUUAUAUAUGCUUCCUUUACGACCUCAUUGAUCAUGCAGACGAUGUCAAGGAGCUGAGAUCUAAGCACAUUCUCCACAACCUUCUUGGCAGCGAUGACGAUGUGGCCAAAAUUUUCAACGAGAUCAGCAAUGACUUGGUAAAUCCCGAAGCUUAUAAAGAUGUGAAAGAUUGUAUUCAGAAACACUACGACAAGAGAGUGAAUACUUGGACAGCUCAAGCCCUUCACAACCAUUUCAGGUCUCCAUGGACCAGGGUUCAAAGUCGCAGUAUCGGUCAUUGACUCGGGAGGUCCUGAGACACAUCGGUCUCGAUAUCUCGGAUCGGUAUCGGGUGAUACGCAAAAAAUUUUAAUUUAAGAGCUCAAAAUAAUUUUCAAAAAUUAUGAAAAUUAUUAAAAAAAUAAAAUACAAAUAAGAAGAGUAAAAAAAUUAAUAAAAUAAACUUCUAUUAUAUUAAAAUUAUUCAAAUUAUAAUAAAAGCAUAUUUUUGGGAUGAUUUAUAAUAAUAUUAAAAAUCUUUAAAAAUAUUUUAAUUUAAUUACUUGAUGAUAAAUAUUUCUUAUUGAAGAUGAAAAUAAUAAAAAGUAAAUUUUUUUAAUAAAAAAUUAUUUAAAUUAAAUAUUUUGAAUUUUUUUAAAAAUGUUUUCAAUUAUUAAAAAAAUAAAACCAUGAUUCAUCUUUAAAAAAAUAAAUAUAAUUUUUCUUAUAAAAUGUAUUCAUUAAUUUUAAUUUUUAUAUAAAUAUUUAUUUGAUAUAAGUCUAAUAUUUAUUAUUUAUUUUUUAUCAUUAUAAUUUUUAUCAAAUUAUUUAAAAUCCAUAUCCCAUCAAAUACUCAUAAUCUAAUUAAAAAAUAAAUACAAAUUAUUUAAACCUAAAUCCUCCAAAUAUCCAUAACCCUCCGGCGUGAAAUGGUUUUGGAAAGCGAUUUGAGAGUGAGUUAGGACAGCAUGCCUUCGGUGAAAAGCUUGGCCUCUGCCCCUCUGGAUUGUGGUGCCUCAACAGGUGAUUGUAGAAGUGGGAUGUCAGCCUACAUGAUCACCGGAGGCAAAUCCUUGCAGAAGUUCCAUAACACAGUCUGUCCCGACUGCAAACCCAUCAGGACCGUUGAUGAUAACAGCGGUGCCGAAGUCCGGCGACUCUACUCCUCAUGUCGCUCAAAUCCAUCUCCGGCGGGAACUUGGGCGAUCCGAACAAGCAGGCGUGCUUCUUCAACCUCGCCGGCGACUCCAAGAUGCAAGGUUCUAACUCUGUAUUUUUCAUUUUCGUGGGUUUUGAUCCUCUCAUCUGAUCUUCUCCACAAUUUCUACUCCAACUCGGGUAUCGGUCCGGUACCGACCAUGGUCGAGGCGGAUACGACUCGGCCGAGUCGUACCGGUCUCGACCGAGAUUUUGAACCAUGCCAUGGACUGUCAUGGCUUUCAUUGCUGCUCUUUUGAUACUAUUUCUUACUGGGUUCAGACCUACUACGCUCUUCCCGGUAAUUAAUAUAUAUAUAUACAUAUAUAUAUAUAUAUAUAUAUAUAUAUAUAUAUAUAUAUAUAUAUAUAUAUAUAUAUAUAUAUAUAUAUAUAUAUCUGGAUUAAUUAUGACUGUGAUGUGUUUUUAUCCUGUUUGGUGUGUGUGAUUAGAAACAAAGAUGUAUAGAUUGUUAAGUUGUAUCACUGGAUUUCAUGCAUGCAAUAUUAUGGGUCUUUUCCAGUUUUCCUCCCCACAUGAAUUUGCUAUACAAUUUCCAGCUUGCUUUUUUCUAUUCUUUUUCAUAGACCAGGAUAAUAGAUAACACAACAUCAACAUAGAAAAUUUUCAGUCAACAGUAUGUGAUUCCGUGGAUGGGAUGGGAUUGAAUUUGCUCACACACUUUUUUAUCUAAGGAGAAAAUUGUGGAUAAAAUCAUAAUUUUGAUAUAUUUAUAAAUUGAGGAAGGGCUCUCUCUAAUUUUUAUUUUUUAUUUUUUAUUUUUUUUAUAAAAGAUAAAAUCAUAAUACAUCACCCAAGGAAGGGGAGUGAAGGCAUUUUUUAUUUCAUCGUUGAACUUGUUUGAAAAAAAAAAAACCCCACUGUAGACCCCCCCGAGGAGCUGAGAGUUUUUUUUUUAUGAUUAUUCUUUUUGCUAUUUUUCUGACUCCUCUGAAGUGGGCUGCUCUCGGGCGGCAGAUGGGACGGGGGUAAGGAGAUGGCUUGGAGGAGAAGCUAAAAAAGAAAAGAGGAAAAGGAAAGAAAAGAAGGGGAAUCCAGAGAGAGAGGGAGAGAGCUCGGAGGGAACAACAGAGUAAGCUGAAGAGUAUUCUCAGGUAUGAAUGUAACAGGUUCAUUGUUAGAUUUAGAUCCUUGCUAUCCCUCCGCAUUUUUUUCUUGUUGAUAUUUUGGAUAUUUGUUGUUUUGCUUGGGGUGGAUUGUUGCUUGUUGAGAUAUAACCUUGAAUUCAUGCUUGCCAUCAUCCAUCUUAAUAUGCUCUGUUUCUAUUGUGAUUGCGGAAUGCCCGAGAAACCCCUCCAAUAUUUACACUUGAUGCUGUUUUUCUCACCUAAUGAGAAGAUUCACUGAUGAUUCAUGAUGUGAAGCUUCCUUUGAGAACCUUACUAUUUGUUUUCUGCUAUGCUCUGUUCCAUGUUUUUUUUUUCUUUUUUUUUCUUCUUUGUUUUGACUACUCUUUGUCCUUGGACCGUGUUCAAUGCAUAGAUGGUGGGAGAGGAGCAACUCUUGGCUUGAGGAGAGCUUCCCAGAAAAACGGGCAGAGAAAACUUUUCGGGGAUGGUCCGAAACAAAGAAGAAAGGAGAAAUGAGCUUUUCUGACGCUUAAGAGGAUUCCGAAAAUUUUUCGAGGCUGGUGCUGGUGCUGGCUGGUGCUGGUGCUGGUGCUGGCUGGUGCUGGUGCUGGUGCUGGCUGCUGGCUGGUGCUGGCUGGUGCUGGUGCUGGCUGGUGCUGGUGCUGGCUGCUGGCUGGUGUUGGCUGGCGUCGCCGCUGCCGCCGCGGGGAGGUGGUGAUCGUGCUGGAGCCAGGCGGGAGGAGGAGCUGUGGAGAAGAUGAAGUUUGGGCUUGGGCUUGAGUUGGGGUACUAGGCCCAAUUUUGUGAUGAAGCCCAGGCCCAAGUGGAAAGAUAUAAAAAAAAGAAGAGAACGAAAGAAGGUCUAAGGCUUAAGUGUUUUUGCUAUUGGCUUUGGGCUUGAUGGAAAUGGGCUCUUUUUAAUAAAAUGGACAUGGGCUUAGGCUUAUAGAUUUGGGCUUGAUGGAGAUGGGCUCUUUUUAAUAAAAUGGACGUGGGCUUUAGGCUUAUAGACUUGGGCUUAAUGAUAUGGAUAUUAUUAUUAUUAUUACUAUUAUUAUCAUGGUUAUUAUUAUUAUUAUCAUUCUUAUUAUCAUUAUUAUUAUUAUUAUUAUUAUUAUUAUUAAUUCAACUUUUAAAAUCCUAUUAUUAUUAUUACUAACCCAACUUUCAAAAAUCUCAUUACUAUUAUUAUUAUUAACCCAACUUUCAAAAUCUCAUUAUUAUCAUUAUUAUUAAUUCACACUUUCAACAUCUAUUUAUUAUUAUUAUUAUCAUCAUUAACCCAAACUUUCAAAAAUCUCAUUAUUAUCAUUAUUAUUAUUUCACACUUUCGACAUCUAUUUAUUAUUAUUAUUAUUAUUAUCAUUAAUCCAAACUCUCAAAAUCUCAUUAUUAUUAUUAUUAAUUCACACUUUCAAAAUCUUUUUAUUAUCAUUAUUAUUAAUUCAACUUUCAAAAUCCUACUAUUAUUAUUAUUAACCCAACUCUCAAAAUAUUAUUAUUAUUAUUAUCAUUAAUUCAACUUUUAAAACCUUAUUAUUAUUAUUAUUAUUAUUACUAUUAUUAUUAUUAUUAAUUUGAUUCUCAAAAUCUUAUUAUUAUUAUUAUUAUUAAUUCACAUUUUCAAAAUAUUAUUAUUAUUAUUAUUAUUAUUAUUAAUUCACACUUUCAAAAUAUCAUUAUUAUUAUUAUUAUUAUUAAUUCACGCUUUCAAAAUAUCAUUAUCAUUAUUAUUAUUAUUAUUACCUCAACUUUCAAAAUAUUAUUAUUAUUAUUAUUAUCAUUAAUUCAGACUUUUGAAAUCAUAUUAUUAUUAUUAUUAUUAAUUCAAACUCUCAAGACCUUAUUACUAUCAUUAUUAUGAAUUCAACUUUCAAAAAUCUAGGGUCUCGCAAUUCAAUUUCCUAAAGUCCGUUUCUCAUUUUCUUUAACAAAUUUCAAUUUAAUCAUCGGAGCUGUAAUCUUCAAAAUUUAAUUCCAAAUACUCCAAUUUUCAAAUAAGCUCCAAUAAUUCGAUUUUCACUCGAAUAGUUUUUAAUCACAUUUCAGUUCCUAAAUAAUCUUUGGAUCUUCUUGAUUUUACAUGAGCAAUAGCGAUUCCUUCAUAAUUCUAAAACGCGGGAUUUGUGAGUUUAGCUCAUGAAUAAUAAAUCGGGUUUUGUUGGAGGCCCUGUGUUUGACCCCUUUUGACUGUCAAUUAUCGUGCUUACUGUAUUUUGCUUGAGUUUCAUUUUGCACUCCGAUAUGUAUGAGCUAUGUUUUGUAUUCAUUAAUUGUGCACUAAUCUCGUUUCUUGAUAGCGCAUUGUGGCUCGUGGCCGAGGUACGCAUCCACUCCCUUUUCUAGUCAAUCUCUAUUGCGUGUUUUGAUUCCCAUAUUGUGCAUGAUUUAGGUGAAUAUCCACUGACUUUCUCGUUUGAUUAUCACGUCAACUUCAUUUUAUUAGUAGAGACCCGACUUUAGGGGCUUAGAGGGUUGCUACGGUCUUUAUCGUACCUUCCCGAUGAGUAACCUGACCCCCGAACCCGAUCCGGUUUUCACAGACCACCUUUUCCAAAACAAGGAGUCACACUUAGGGUUUUUCUUUCUUAUUUUGUUUACCCUUUAAAAAUAAAACAAAAAUAAGUGGCGACUCCAAGUCAUUUUUUUAAUCAACAAAUCAAUUUUUCAAAUAAAAAUCGAGCUCGCCAUUGAGUGGGAAACGCAUGAGCCGAAAUGCGGGGUUCACACCCAUGCACAGAGAUUGAGUUAGAAAUGAAAGUGGAGAAAAGAAUGAUAGAAAACAUGUCAUUCAAUCAAUUGAUAUAAAUCUUUCUUUUAAAGUAAACAUGAUGCAAAUAAUUACAUAUAAUCAAGCAAUGAACUAUCAUUAUUAAUUUAUUUUCUUCGGUCAUUUCAUUUUUUUUUUUGGCCCUUUUAUUCUCAUUUCUGUUUCAUAUAACAUUUUCUUUACUUUUCUUUCCAUAUAAAAUGAGUGUGAUAUAAUAUGAUUGUCCAAUAAUAAUAUCUAAUAAUAUAAAACAAUUAUUUUAAAUAUAUAACAACAUUUAAAAUUUUAGACAAAUAAUUUCCGUUAUUUUCAAUAUUGAUGACACUAAUAAAUUUCAAUUUUAUCAUCAUAACACUUCACACAAAUAUUUAUCUUUCAUUCACAUGUAUUGAAUUAUUCUCCAACAUCAUUUCCACUAAAAAAAUCAAUUAUUGCAAAAGAAAAUAAAUCCAAAAAAUAAUAAUCACUUGCAAAAAGACACCAUGAUAAGUAAAUCUAAAUCCAAAAAAUAAUAAUCACAAUUUUUUUAUUAAAAUAUAUUAUAUGAAAGUUUUGGGGAACAAACUAUUCUAUCAAAAAUCGAGAAUCUAAUCGAUAAUUUUGAAAUUAGACUUCAUGAUAUUUCUCACAUAAAAUAAAACAUUCUCCUAAAAUUUCAUACAAAAAAUCAAAUUUAUUUGCUUCAUCAAACAGCCUUCUGAAGAUCUAUGAUACUGAAUGCUCAGUCUUUUUUUUUUUUUUUUCCUUUUAAUUCAUUCUACACCUCUCUUUCUCUCUCCUAAUACUAGACUUUUUCUUUCUGUUUAUUAUUAUUAUUUCCCUUAGUUGAUUUUUAUCGUUUCUCAUUCAGGAUUUCACACCACUUUCAUAUCAUAAUAAAACUGUAUUUUACCAUAUUCCCAUUUUAAGCUUUUAUUUUUUCAAAUAUAUCAACUUUAGCUAAUAAUAUAAUAAUCCACUAACCUUCGUUCAAUUUACAAUAAUAAGAUUCUUAAUCCUUUGAAAUGACAUUAGUUUAAUUUACUUCUUUUAUUAAAUAUACUUCAAUUAAAUCAACCUUUUAAAAAUUAAAUCUACUAAAUGAUAAUAUUCAUAUUUAAUUAAUUUACCUUUUUAUAUAAAUUCAUAAAUUUACAUAACAUAAUUCAAUUUUAAUUUCAUUUUAUUCAAUUUUGUUUUGUGUUUUUAUAAUUUAUAAGGUUGAAUUCCCAUUAUAAUUAAAAAUUAAAUUGUUUUAUUAUAAUAUUAAAUUAAAUUAAAUAUCUUUUGAAAAAAUUAUUAUAACCAUACAACAUAAUACAAAUUUCACCAAGUUUUUCUAUCAAGGGUUUUCGGAUCAUUACCUUAUAAUAAUAAAAUUAAUUUUUACCAUAUAUGUAAUAUUUGAAUUUCAAAAAUCCAACCACAAAUAAUUUAAUAGUUAAAUUUAAAUUUAAUUUUUGAAAUUCUUAAUUUCGAAAUGUGACUUGGCAAGAAUAUAAACUUUCUAUUAGCUUUGCAAAAAUUACACACAAUUAAAUAAAACGUUGACACGUGAAUGCUUAGUAACAUCAUGGCAGUAGAUUGACAAAUAUAUGAAUUUUGGAUGAUCACGAGGGAUAGUCAUCGGUAGUAACAUCAUGGCAGUAGACUGACAAAAAGCCCAACAUUUUCCAUGAAAGGACAAUAAUUGCAUCUGAUUAUAAAUAGGGAGAAUUACCCUUAAGGGUAGGCUGGGGAAAAAAAUUACUGAAAAGGGUGGGUAGAUUUGAUAAUUCUUAUAAAGGCCUUAUAUUUUUAUUAGACCAAUUUACCCUGAUUUCUCAAGUCCAUUUACCUAUUGAAAAGUACAUCUUCUUUCUUGAUAAUCAUAAAGUAUAAGUACAAUACAAAUGCAAUAAAGUUACAAUGAAAAAAUAUUAACAUUACAAUACAUUACAAUAUACCAAAAUGACAAAUUAUUGAAUUCGUUUUUUUUACUGAACUAGUAUUUCUAGGCUAUCAUGUUAUAUUCCUAUCAUAAAGCAUCCUUGCAAGCCAAAAUUAUAAAAAGACAAUAAAAAUACAUUAUUAUAAUUUUAAUACAUAAAGUUAUUCAUGGUAAUCCAAUGAUAUAUAUAAAAAAAAUCUAUAAAAUUAAUUUUUUAUAUAAAAAUAUAAAUGUACAAUAAAAAUACACUACGAUUAUAAUAUAAAUACAAUAACAUUACGAUAAGGUAAAAUUUUGAAAAUUUCAAAUUUCUUAUGAAAUUGGGCAGUUGUCUAAUAUACAUGUCUAAUAUACAACAAAUAUUGUUCUUUAUUAUAUAAAAUAUGUUUCAAUUGAUUAUAAUUUUUAGUUUUCAAUGAAAAUCCGAAUAUGUUAAUAAAUACCCAAAUAAGCAUGAAACAACUGAGAAAUUUUUUUAUUCUGCCAUGCCAAACAAGUCUCAACAACAAAAUUAAAGUGCAAACCUUUUCAAUGGAAAUCAAUAAUAAUCAUAUCAAACAACCCACCCAGAAAAUAAAUUAAAAAUAAAAACACAUCUUCAAUAUGACCAAAAUAAUAUAAAAAAAUUCAAAAAAAAAAAUUUAAUAACAUUUUACACAAAAAAAAAAUGUAAUUUCUUUCUCAAAACCUCCUUCAAUAUUUCAGAUCUACAUUGUUAAAAUUAUUAAUAGUUCUUUCCUUCAAUCCAAAUUUUAAAUUAUUUAUUUAUUUGCAUAAACUAACGUAUUUUUUUUUUUGGCAUUUUUUUUUUAAAAAUCUUACAUUUAAUGGAUUUCUUGCUAGAUUCACACAAAAAUACAAGCUUUGUGGAGACGGUUCAGAUCAUAACCUGAAGUGCUGGAGUUUUUUCCUCUUUCCCUUUUCUUCUUCAAUACCGAUAAGCUACAGUUGGAUUAAAAGAAGAUUUUUUUUUUUAUGCAUAUUUUUUUUAAAUCUUACCUUUAAUGGAUUUCUUGCUAGAUUCACACAAAAAUACAAGCUUUGUGGAGACAGUUCAGAUCAUAACCUGAAGUGCUGGAAUUUUUUCCUCUUUUCCUUUUCUUCUUCAACAUCGAUAAACUACAGCCGGGUUAAAAGAAGAUUUUUUUUUUGUUUGCUGGCUUUUCACUUGUUAAGGGUAGUCUUGGCAUUUAAACAAAAUAAAGCCUUUGAAAGAAUUAUCAUAAUUCCACCCUACCCUUCAUAAGAAUUAUUAAAUAUACCCACCCUUUUGGAUCAUAUGUUUUCCCAGUCCACCCUUAACAGGAAUUCUCCCUUACAAAUAUAUCCUGGAAUCCAAUCCCCAUAUUUUUCCCGUGAACUAAUCUGUUUGGUUCCAGAAACCACUAAAAAAAAAAAAGGAAAAUGCUAAAAUUAUAUUUCUUUAUACUUGAUUUUGUUACAAAAAAAAAAAAAAAAAAAAAAUCAAAGAAAGUCUGAAUAUAAAUAAAAUUAUUAAAAUUUUUGUAUAUUUUUUAAAUUAUUAAUCCUUAUAUAAAAGAGUUAAAUAAUUGAAAAAAAGUUUAAGGUACUAUAUACUAUUGAUUUUAAUUUUUAAAAUUUUGAUUUUAAUUUUUAAAAGUUUAACUUUUUUUUUUUUAAUCUUUUCUUUUUAUUUUCUUUCUCCCGUGAUUUUCUUCAAACUUUUUUGGAACUAAAUAUAACCUAAACAACCUAUUAAUUUGAGGUUUGUUGUUGUUGAGUUUUUUUUUUACUUAAAUUUAAAUAAUAUUUAAUUUAAUUUAAUUCUAAAUAUAACUUAAUACUAUUAAGUUGUUUAUUUUUAUUAAAUAUUAAGUAUUAAUAGGUGGAGUUGGGUUGAGGUUGUGUUUUAGUUAUUUUAAAAAGUGGUGAUCCAAUUCCAUGGGAGAGGGGCAAGAAAGGAGGAACGUUGGAGAGAAAGAAGGCGGUCAACCAAGCUGGAACAGUGGCGAAACUGGCCCCGAGCCUAAGGAGCAUAGGAUUGACAUUGUUGAAAUCAAUCCUACGGUGAAAAAUUGGAAUCGGUUCAUCCAAAAAGCAAAAGAAAGGAUUCAAUCUCAAAGUCAAUGGCCAAGGAUACCAAAGGUUCCUCAGAUGCUGAGGGGGACCCAGGAUUUCAAGAAAUUCUACGAACCGAGGGUAAUUUCAUUGGGUCCUUACCACCAUGGCAAUCCCCACCUUCGCCCAGGGGAAAUGAUCAAGCCCCUAUUUGCCCAAAAAUUCCUGGCUGAUAGGAACCAGGACAUCGAUGCUUUGUACACAAAAAUUGAAAGUAAUAUCGAGGCAGUGAAGAAGUGCUAUGAUUGGAGUAGUACAAGCGAGUAUGAUGAUGAAGCACUCGCCUGGAUGAUGCUUCUGGAUGGGUGUUUUUUACUACAAUUCAUUUGCGGUACAGGUAUGAAAAACUUUCUUAGAUAUCACCAAAUAGGUUUUGUGGAGCUGGACUUGUUCCUGCUUGAGAACCAACUUCCUUUUGGAGUCCUCAAGUUGAUUUUUGAGGGAACAAGUUUACCAGUGGAAGAGACGAUUAAAGAAUUCGUCACUAACACCAUAAGGCCAGAAGGGUCGACAUCAGAAAUACAACUUAAAGAGGAGUACAAAGAGCCCUCUCAUCUCCUCGACCUCUUGCGAAGUGCUCGCCUAGGUAGGUAUAAAAAGAUUAGCAAGCAAGAACUAGGGAGUCAACCGGAACAAGAGCAGGAAGCUGGAAAAAAGGGAGAGUCGUCGUCGUCUCGAGGAAGAGAUGGAGGGUUCUGUUGCCCAUGGAAAAAAGGCAAACAACAAGGCAAUUGGCCGUCUUUUCGACACAUCAAGGAGCUUAAAGCUGCCGGGAUCCAUCUCCAACCGAGUGCAACGAGUUCCUUGACAGACAUUUAUUUCAAUUCCUACUUCUUCUAUGGCUACCUGAAACUUCCCCAAAUAAUCGUUGAUGACUCUACGAAGCCCAAGUUCUUGAACAUUGUAGCCUAUGAAAUGUGUCCAGAUGCCCCAGAUGACUAUGCGGUCACUUCUUAUGUAUGCUUCCUUUACGAGCUCAUUGAUCAUGCAGACGAUGUGAAGGAGCUGAGAUCUAAGCACAUUCUCUACAACUGUCUUGGCUGCGAUGAAGAUGUGGCCAAAAUUUUCAACGAGAUCGGCAAUGACUUGGUAGAUCCCGAUGCUUAUAAAGAAGUGAAAACUAGUAUUCAGAAACACUACGACAAGAGAGUGAAUAUUUGGAUAGCUAAAGGCCUUCACGAACAUUUCAGGUCUCCAUGGACUAUCAUCGCUUUCAUUGCUGCUGUUUUGAUACUACUUUUUACUGGGGUUUCGACCUACUACGCUCUUCCCGAUAAAUCUUCUUAUCGGGUUUCAGACCUACUUCGCUCUUCCCGCUAAAUCCAAGUGAGUCAUGGUAAUAUAUAUCUUCAAAUUGAUAAAUGGUAGUUUUUUCUAUUCAUUCUUUCAUUCGUUCAUGUACAGAGAAUAUAUAGAGGGUAAUCACCAUUCUAAGAAUGGGAAAGAAUGAUACAAGGAAAGAAUGAUAUAGGAAAUAACAAUUAAUAUUCUAAUAUCUCAACUUUCCUAAUAUCUCAAUAUUCUUAAUAUCUCAACUUUCCUAAUAUUUAAACAUUCCUAAUAUCUCAACACUAAAUAAUAUAAGGAAAGAAUGAUAUACGGAAAACAUUCCUAAUAUCUCAACACUUCCCCUCAAGUUGGUGCAUAGAUGUCACACAUGCCCAACUUGUCUAAAAAUUUUGAGAACACUUGACUUGAGACAACUUUGGUGAGGAUAUCGGCCAAUUGAUCUUCUGAUCGAAUCUUAGGCAAUUCCACAAUCUUAUCAUCCAAAUUUUCCUUAAUGAAGAAUCUAUCCACCUCGACAUGCUUUGUACGAUCAUGUUGUACUGGAUUAUGAGCAACGUCACAUGCGACUUUAUUGUCACAAAACAAUCGAAUUGGUCGCCUAGAUAAGUAACCUAAAUCCUGUAAGAGAAGUCUUAGCCAUAAUGCCUCACAAAGUCCUAGAGUCAUACCUCUAAAUUCUACUUCUGCACUUGAACGAGCGACGACAUUCUGCUUCUUACUUUUCCAUGUCACAAGAUUACCACCUACAAAGGUAAAGUAACCAGAUGUAGAUUGCCUAUCAUCCACUGCACCGGCCCAAUCAGCAUCAGUAUAUACUUCUAUACUCUGAUGAUUAACAUUUUUAGCGAACAAAAUUCCCUUCCCAGGAGCAUUCUUCAAAUACCUCAAAAUACGCAUAACUGCAUUCAUAUGUUGCUCUUCAGGAUUAUGCAUGUAUUGACUCACUACACUCAAUGCAUAAGCAAGAUCUAGUCUUGUAUGAGCUAAGUACAUUAAUCUCCCUACAAGUCUCUGGUAUCUUCCCUUAUCCGUUGAUACUUGAUUAGGCUCAACACACAAUUUCAGACCUUCUUCUAUUGGUGUAUUAACAGGUUGACAUCCCGACAUUCCAGUCUCCUGUAAAAGAUCUAAGGCAUACUUUCUUUGAGACAGAAAAAUUCCUUCACUUGAUCGAUAAACUUCAAUCCCAAGAAAGUAUUUCAGAGGACCUAGAUCUUUCAUUUCGAAUUCUUUAGAUAGAUAAUUUUGGAGAGCUUUUAUUUCUUUAGGAUCAUUUCCUGUAACUACCAUGUCAUCCACAUAUACGAUGAGUGCGAUAAUCUUACCAUGUUGCUUUUUCAGGAACAAAGUAUGAUCUGAAUUACUUUGAUGAUAGCCAAAAGCUCUCAUUGACUUUGUGAACCUUCCAAACCAUGCUCUCGGGGAUUGCUUCAACCCAUACAAUGACUUCUUCAAUUUGCACACCUUCUGACAUUGCUUUUCUGACACCAUGCAUCCUGGUGGAAGAUCCAUAUAUACUUCUUCAGAUAACUCGCCAUGCAGAAAGGCAUUUUUCACAUCGAAUUGUUGUAAUGGCCAAUCUAGUUUUGCAGCUAAAGACAGUAAUACUCGAACUGUGUUGAUCUUAGCUACAGGUGCAAAUGUCUCUGUGUAGUCAAUUCCAUAAGUUUGAGUGUACCCUUUUGCUACCAGUCUUGCUUUAAAUCGUUGAAUACUACCUUCUGCCUUGUACUUCACAGUAUAGAUCCAACGACACCCAACUGGCUUCUUUCCUGGUGGACAUUCUACGAGUUCCCAUGUUUCAUUCUUCUGCAAUGAUUUCAUCUUUUCAUUCAUGGCUGCUUUCCACCUUGGAACAGCUAAGGCUUCCUGCACACUGUUAGGAAUAGCUACAGUAGAUAAUUGAUUUACAAAUGACUUAUUUGAUUCAGACAAACGAUGGUUAGACACAUAGUUGCUCAUUGGAUAUUUGACUUUGGUAGACAAUUCAGGUUCAUAUGUAGGUUUAGGAAUACCUCUAUUAUGACGGUGUGGUAACUGUUUCAUGAAUGGAUCAGGUUCCAAAUUAAGAACACCUUCAACAGACGACGAUUGGUUUGGUAUUUCAGUAAAGACAUUUUCGAACCCAAAUUGUUGACCACUCAUAUCCAACUCACCCGCUUCUUGGUUCACUAGUUUAGAUUGUCCAGAUUCAUUCUCCUUAGAGAUAUGAUAAUCAUAAUCGAGAGUCUGAAUUUCCUUAUGGUACUCCCCCUGAAGUUCAGACUCAGAUGAAAAAUACAUCGAAUCUUCAUGAAACACCACAUCCAUUGUAAUAUACAUUUGUCGAGUUGGAGGAUGGUAACAUCGAUAUCCCUUUUUGUGCAAUGCAUAUCCAACAAACACACAUUGCAAUGCAUGGGAAGUUAAUUUGGUGCGUUGGUGUUUGUGUAGAUGCACAAAUGCCACACAACCAAAAACACGAGGAGGUAGAUUUGGGACAGUUGGGGCAACUACGAUAUUAGUAAGAGCUUAGAGAGGUGUUUGGAAGUUAAUUGAGUUAGAAGGUACCCGAUUAAUCAAGUAUGCGGCAGAUGUGAUUGCUUCUCCCCAAUAAGAUAUCGGUGUUUUUGCUGCUAUCAAGGAAGCACGAACAACCUCUAACAAGUGCCGAUUUUUUCAUUCAGCGACUCCAUUUUGCUGGGGUGUAUUGGAACAAGUAGUCUGAUGAAUGAUGCCAUGUCCUUCCAAAUACUUUUGAAGAUCAAAACUUUGAUAUUCUCCACCAUUAUCACUAUGCAGAACCCGAACCUUUGCAUUGUACUGAGUUUCAAUCAUUUUAUGAAAAUUUUGAAACAACAAGUUCACUUCAUCUUUGGUCUUCAUCAAGCAUAGCCAUGUCAUUCUGGUACAAUCAUCAAUAAAAGUAACAAACCAACGUGAGCCACUCAAAGUUGGGACUUUGGAUGGGCGGCCCCAAACAUUAGAAUGUAUAACCAUAAAAGGAAACGGACUUUUGUUCAAAAUUAACGGAAACGAAACACGAUGGCUUUUAGCCAAUUCACAAAUAUCACAAUGGAAACCAGAAAUAUCACUCUUUGCAAACAAACUAGGAAACAAUUUUUUUAAAUAACCAAAGGAAGCAUGUCCCAGACGUCGAUGCCACAACCAAAUUUCAGACUUUUUCUUCUCCCCCUCAGAUCCAUCUGCCAUCAAGGCUUGUUGCAACUUAUUUGAAUCCUUUGACUGCAAGUCCAAGUAAUAGAGUUUUCCCCGCUUAAUACCCCAACCAAUCGUCUGUCUUGUUUGGAUGUCCUUAAUCACACAAAAUUCAGGCCAAAAAAUGACAAUACAAGAUAAGGCUGCGGUGAUUUGAGAAACUGACAAAAGAUUGUAAUUUAAAGAUGGAACAACUAAGACAGAAUCCAAAUUCAAAGUAUCAGUAAGAGUUAAGGAUCAUUCCCCAAUGACUGGGGUUAUGUUACCUUUGGCUGUGGAAACAAUUUUUUGUGAGGAAGGUCUAAGGGGUGAAACCUGUCUAGAAUCAAAAGUCAUAUGAUCUGUAGCACCAGAAUCAAUUAUCCUUGCACUAUUAAUAACAGGUGUAAAAGUAUUUAAAAACUUACCACCAUGAUUUGUAGCGGCUACCAAUGUAGAGGCUUUCUCAGCAACAUUAGCCUCUGUUUUUAUUUCGGCAACAGUUGCAAUCGAGGUUUUCUUGGAAUCCUUCUUCCGUUGAUCAAGAUUAUUAUCAUUAAUAACAAAGUGUUGAUAGCCUAAACAUGAUCUAAAGGUCCAUAGUUCAAACCCUCGGUUCCUCAUUGUUUUCCUGGUCAUACCAAGAGUCGUUGCUUUGAAAUUGUGGCAUAUCCAGAUUGGUGGGAUCAAUCUUAUUGUAGUGAGUGCAUUUGAAGGUUGACUUAUCAACAUUAGGGCUUGUCUUAGGAUGGAUGAUCGCUGUCGGACUACCAUAGCGACAAAAUAUCUAGGAUUUCAGUUCCAUGGCUCUGAUACCAUCUUCAAAUUGAUAAAUGGUAGUUUUUUCCAUUCAUUCUUUCAUUCGUUCAUGUACAGAGAAUAUAUAGAGGGUAAUCACCAUUCUAAGAAUGAGAAGGAAUGAUACAAGGAAAGAAUGAUAUAGGAAAUAACAAUUAAUAUCCUAAUAUCUCAACUUUCCUAAUAUCUCAAUAUUCCUAAUAUUUCAAUAUUCUUAAUAUCUCAACUUUCCUAAUAUUUAAACAUUCCUAAUAUCUCAACACUAAAUAAUAUAAGGAAAGAAUGAUAUACUGAAAGCAUUCCUAAUAUCUCAACAAUAUAUAUGGGUUAAUUAUGAAUGUGAUGUGUUUUUUUCUUGUUUGGUGUGUAUGAUUGUUGUAUCACUGGAUUUCAUGGACGCAAUAUUAUUAGUCUUUUCCUCCCCAUGAGUUUGCUAUAAUCUAUAUAAUAUAUGUUUGAACUCACAAUUUCCAGCUACCUUCUUUGUAUUCUUUUUCAUAGACCAGCAUCAUAGAUAACAAACUAUCCACAUAGAAAAUUUUCAGUUAACGGUGUGUAAUUCCGUGGAUGGGAUUGAAUAUUCAACACACAAUUGUUUUUUCGAAUAAGAAAAUUAUGGAUAUAUUAAAAUCAUAAUUUUGAUAUAUCUAUAUAUAUAUAUAUAUAUAUAUAUAUAUAUAUAUAUAUAUAUUUAGAAAAGCAAUUAAAAACUGCAUUUUUUAAUGAAGUCUUCUGAUUUUUAUUGAUUUUUUUUUUUCAAAUUUCCAACUUUUUUAAGAAAUCUUCUAAUACUCUUGAAUUCUUCAAGAGAUUUUUAAUCUUCUAUCUCUUUAAGGCUCUAGGACAUUUCUUUAUAAAAAUACGUACAUUCAUUUGGAGAUCAACUAGGGCUCCAUUAGACCCUAUGUUGGUCUAAAUAUUCAUUUUGCGAACCUUGGGAAUGGAUUUGAGGCAUUUGCCUACCUUGAAAUGUGAUUUACAAUCCCCACACAUUAUCCUUAAGAAAAAUAUAUACAUUCUUCACAAAAAUACAUACACUUUUUUGGAGGCUAACCUUGAUCCCAUUAGAUUCUAUUUAGAUCUAAAUAUUUAUUUGGGGAUCUUUGGAAUGAAGUUAAGUCAUUUUUCUAUCUUGAAAUGUGAUUUAGAACCCCAUGUACAUCUUUAAGAAAAAUAAGUAUAUUCCUCACAAAAAUACGUAUGUUUUUUUAAAAGCCAAUCGUGACCUCAUAGGCCUUAUUUGAGUCUAAACAUUCAUUUGGGGAACCUUGGGAAUGGAUUUAAGCUCUUCGUCCACCCUAAAAUGUGAUUUGCAAUCGCACGUAUAUCUUUAAGAAAAAUAUAUACUUCUUUUAAAAAAAAAGUGUGUACAUUCUUCACAAAUAUAUAUAUAUAUAUAUAUAUAUAUAUAUAUAUAUAUAUAUAUAUAUAUAUAUAUAUAUUUGAUAGCCAACCAAGGCUCCAAUAAUCCCUGAUAAAAAUAUAUGUAUUUUUUAAAAUGAUGUAUGUAGUUUAACAAAUAUAAGAAAAAUUAAUUAAGGGGAAAUUAAUGUAAAAUAUUAAAUACAAUUUUUUUUUUUAUGAAAAAUAUAUUUUCUUUUAUAUUUUAUGUUAAUAAAAAAUUAAAGGUUUUAACAAAGCAAAAGGUUAGAACCAGAAAUUAAGUUAAAACCAUAAGAAAAAAAAAAAUAAAAGCACCAUCACUUACUAAUAUUUGAUUUGAAAAAAUAAAAAUAAAAAUAAUAAAAAUAAUAAAAUAGUGUUACAAAGAUAUUCUUACUUUCACAUGUAAUAAGAUUUAAAAAAUAAAUAAAUAUUUUAUUUGACAUUAAUAUAAAAAAUCUUAUAUCAUAAACCUCUAAAUAAUAAAAUAAAUUUUCUAAAUUUAAACCUUAAACCAUUAAAUGUAUUAUUAUAAUUAAUAUUUAAAAUCAUCAAGUAUAUUACUUUUGGGAUAAUAUUUUCAUUUUUGUUCAUUAUAUAUUUAUGUUUUUAUUUAAUUUCUUAUUAUUAGCUAUUUAUUAUAUAUUAUUAUUUUAAGUUUAAUAUAUCCAAAAAAUAAUUAAAAUCAAUAAAUACGGAGAGUGAAAAAAUUUGAAAUUAAAGAGGUUUUAUAAGAGAAUACAUGAGCAUAUUAAGAGAAAUGGUAAAAGAAAGAAAGAAAAAUAACAAUAUUUUUAAAUGUGAUAGGUGGCAAUUGAUAGGAUGGUUAAGGAUGGUAAUGAGACAGGUUUUUUCGGAUACUCGUCCUGUCCAGGCCCUAAUGGGACGGAUUUGAAAUUUAAAUAAACGGGUUUGAGAUAUUUUUAAAGCUUGAGAUAAGUUUGGGGCAAGUUCGGGUAUUAUCUUGUCCCAUCCCGUCACACCUUGAUUAUAUAUAAAAUUAAUUUUAAAAAUUAAAUUAAAUUAAUUUUUAUUUUCUUAUUUUUAAUAUAUAGAUAAUAAUAAUAAUAAAUUUUCAAUAAAUAAGUUUUAAAAAAAUUAUAAUAAUUCAAUUAUUUAUAAAAUAUAUUUAUUUUAAUGUUUUUUAGAAAUUAAAAUAAUUUUUUUAAAAGAAUUAAAAUUUUUUCAAAAAAGGGUUAAAUGGGUAAGGCGGAACGGGUAUGAGAAUUUCUCAUACCCGCCCGCAUUAUUUAAUUUUUUUAAUGGGACAACGAUGAAAGUUAUUUUGAAUAAACGAGACAAGGUUGGGAUGAGAGCUACUCAUCUUAAACAUGCCUUGUUGCCUUUCCUAGUGAAAGAGGAAAAAAAAAAAAAAAAACAAAAGCCAAAAAACAAAAAAAGGAAAAAAGUAGGAACAUGUUUUUUUCCCAAAUAGAAAACGUAAAAGUAAAGUCCAACAAUUUUUUUUUUUUUGGUUAUAUAUAUAGCAUGGUGGGGAGGGUAUAUUCCAUAUUACAUGAGACUUCCAUGGCGGGGAAGGUAUAUUUCAUAUCACAAACUUACUCAAUUGUGUUUUUCCUUUUAGGAUAUGGAAGGGCUUUCCUUAUGCCCAAGAAAUGCAUAGAUUCAAUUGAAGAAAUUGAGGAAUAUGGUUGUUCUUUUUUUUUUUUUUUUUUUUUUUUUUUUUUUUUUUUCUUUUUUUCCUUUUUUCCUUUUUUAAAAAAAGAUGAGCCAAGGUGGAACUCAGGUGGAACACAUUGGUUCCAGUCAUUUUCUUGGGCAAAGAUAUGUCCAGGAUAUGGGAAAGGGGCAUUAAAUUAAAUAUCUUUUGAAAAGUUUAUUAUAAUCAUUUCACACAAUAUAAAUUUCACUAAAUUUUUCGAACUAAGGUUCUCUGAUAAUUACUUUAUAAUAAUAAAAUUAAUUCUUACAUUACAUGUAAUAUUCAAAUUUAAAAAAUCCAAUCUCAAAUAAUUUAAUAGCUAAAUUUAAAUUUAAUUUUUGAAACUCCAAGUUUCGAAAUGUGACUUGGCAAGAAUUUAAAGUACUGAUUUUCGACUAACUUUUCACAAAUUUUGCCUAAUUAAAUAAAAUAUUAGCAUGUGAAUGUUCACUAACAUCACGUAAUUCAUUGAUUUAGAGGAUUCAAUUUGGUUGAUGUUGAGGAUAGUCAUCGGCAGUAGACUAACAUCUUCUCGACCAAUUAACAUACCAACAGUGAUUAGGCCAAAUGUGGUGAUCGAAUUCCAUGGAAAAGCAGCAAAAAGGGAGGUGCGUUGGAGAGAAGGAAGGCGGUCAACCAAGCAGGAACAGUGGAGAAAUUGGCCUCGAGCCUAAGGAGCAUAGGAAUGAAAUUAAUGAAAUCAGUCCUAGGAUGAAAAUUUGGAUUGGGUCUGUCCAAAAAGCAGAAGAAAAGACGAAACCUCACUAUCAAUGGCCAAGGAUACCGAAGGUUCCUCUGAUGCUGAGGGGGACCUGGGAUUUCGAGAAAUUCUAUGAACCAAGGGUAAUAUCAUUCGGUCCUUACCACCAUGGCAAGCCCCAACUUCACCCAGUGGAAAUGAUCAAGCCUCUUAUGUGCCAAAAAAUUCCUGGAUGACAGUAACCAGGACAUCGAAGCUUUGUACACAAAAAAUGGAAGGAAAAUCAAGGAAGUGAGGAACUGCUAUGAUUGGAGUGGUACAAACGAGUAUGAUGAUGAGGCACUCGCCUGGAUGAUGCUUCUGGAUGGGUGUUUUUUACUAUAUUUCAUUCACUGUGUAGUGAGAAGAAAUCAGAGUAAGUUGCAUGGUUUGAAUGUUAAAGAUUAUAUGAUUACUUUUGUGCACCAGGACUUGUUCUUGCUUGAGAACCAACUUCCCUUUGGAGUCCUCAAGUUGAUUUUUGAGGAAUCAGAAUUCAAUAUUGAUGGUUCACCAAUGCAAGAGAUGAUAAAAAAAUUCGUCAUUGACACCGGUAGGCCAGAAGGGUCGACAUCAGAAAUACAGAUGGAAGAGCCCUCUCAUCUCCUCGACCUCUUGCGAAGUGCUCUCCUAGGCGGGUCUAAAAAGAGUAGCAAGCAAGAAGCUCAGGGGUUCUGUUGCCCAUGGAAAAAAGGCAAACAACAGGGCAAUCGGCUGUCUUUUUGACACAUCAAGGAGCUUAAAGCUACCGGGAUCUAUCUCAAACCGAGUAGAACGAGUUCCUUGACAGACAUUUCUUUCAAUUCCAACUUCUUCUAUGGUUACAAGGAACUUCCCCCAAUAAUCAUUGAUGGCUCCACGAAGCCCACGUUCUUGAACAUGGUAGCCUAUGAAAUGAGUCCAGAUGGUCCAGAUGGCCCAGGUGGCUAUGCGGUCAGUUCUUAUAUAUGCUUCCUUGACAACCUCAUUGAUCAUGCAGACGAUGUCAAGGAGCUGAGAUCUAAGCACAUUCUCUACAACUAUCUUGGCAGCGAUAUAGAUGUGGCCCAAAUUUUCAACGAGAUUGCCAAUGACUUGGUAGACACCGAAGCUUAUGAAAGUGUGAAAGCCCGUAUUCAGGAACACUACGGCAAGAGCGUGAAUACUUGGAUAGCUGAAGCCCUUCACAACCAUUUCAGCUCUCCAUGGAUUCUCAUGGCUUUCAUUGCUGCUGUUUUGAUACUACUAGUUCCUAUGCAUUUGAUUUCAGAAUUUAAAUUGUUUUUUUCUUUUUACUUUUUCAUGAAUUAUUAUAAACUUUUGAUCGAAUAGAAAAAACCAAAAUAUUUGACUUUUUCUAAAUGGAAAAAGUAACAUAUUGGUUUUUCUUUACUAUUUUAAUGUUUGAUAGAUGAUCUGCACCCAUCGAGUUAAUCAAUUCAAAAAGUGUUGUUCAACAGUGUUGGAAAAUCAUCUAAUCCUGUCUCCUUGUAGAACAACUUGAACAAAAAUUUAUUGCUUACAGUUAGCAACCAUUGUGGGGCAUCCUGGCUGCCCAAACACACAUUUUCUGUUGGAAUGUGAUGCAUCAGAGACAACACUUCUUUAAUUCCUUCCCAAUCAUGGGAGUCUCUAAUAAAAUUAGGAUUCCGAAGCUCUGCAUCCUCGUCCUGUACAGAAUGGUCUGCCACACAUGCCUCCUCAUUCACCAGAAUUAUAAACUAAUUUAGGAACCUCAUCUUAAGAGAUCCACCCAUAGACCAAACAUCUUAACCAUAAAUCACAUUUGAGUCCUUUCUAUGAUUUUAUUGGAAACUUUAUAGCCUCAACAACACAUAACCAUUUGUAAAUCAAGCCCUUCACUAUUGCCCCAGUCAACAUCUUAUUCAGCCUCAACAUUAUGCUAAUAGCACCUUCAACUACAAUUUCGACAAUGCCACUCCUUACUGGUGUGGUUGUAGUCUUUUGUGCACAUGACCAGUUGUAACUUUUCUCUAACUACUGAGCAUUUCUAUCACAAAGGAUUUAUUGAUUUAACAUCCUGUUGAAAAAACUUCUCCUUCAGUCGAGGUAUGCAUAGAUCAUACAUAAUCCCACAUUCCACAAACACCUUUCCACUUCAUUCCUUCCAUUCUAAUAUUAAUGCACAAAGAAGUUGCAUGCAGAACAGAGAAUCUAAAUGUCAGAGGGUCUACCUGAUCAUCAACCUUCAUAUGCUUUUAGAACAGAUUGGCAUCAGGGCAUUCUCUAGUCAAUGGUCGUAAGCCCCUACCAUAGCACAAAGUAUUUUUAAGCGGCAAGGUACUCAAGAGAAAGUAAAGAAAAAGAAAAGGAGAAAAGAAAAAGGACAGAACAAUAGGUUCCUUAUUAUUUGUACACUUCCAUUAUUAUAUAUCACAAUGUUGCUUGGUGUUUAGCAAUAGUAUUCCCACCAGCAUCUUGAGUCUGCCAGGGAGAAAUAAACGUACUCGGGUCUAGAACUUACAAAGCUCCCAACUUGCUAGUGGAAACUGGUAUAGAACCAACCAAAUUAUUUCUGUAUCCUAUGAAGAUUUGAAAAUUAUAUAAUCUUCCUAUGUCAGAAGGGAUGACACCAUUGUGAUUGUUGUCAACAAUGCCCAGCAUCAGCAAGCCAGUGCAGUUACAAAUGCUUUCAGGAAUGACACCUUCCAAAAAGUUAAGUCCAGAACCUAGAAAUGCAAGAUUUCCAAGGAAUGUUGAACAAUUCUACAUGGAAUGGUACAACACUAGUUGCUUCAUAGUGCCAAGAUUAUGGGGGAUGCCCUCAUUGGAGCCAACUAUUGGAACAAAUUAGCAUGCUAUUGACAACUACUCCACUGUGUUGCCUGCAAAUUAAAUUUUCCAUUGGUGGUCUUCUUCCACAUAUCUGGUGCCACACAGCUCUUGAUAUAGCAAGGAUUGCUCUAGACUUGAUGAGUACCUCAAAAAAUGCCAAGGAAAGUACAGUGAUUAAUCUAACAUGCUUUAAGUCAGAGGCUCUUCCUCCCAUCCAUGACCAGGGAGUCUCUUUGAUUUCAACCUUUUUAACACUCAAUAUUAGUUUUCAAUAUUUGUUUCAUCUUAUAGUAUAGAGUUACUGAAACAGAGUAACUUGCUUCAAACAUAUUCUUAAGAGACUCACAGGCGAAGACGGCACAAACCUAGAUUACCUCAAAGUGUUGGAUCCCUGCCUGUAUGCAAACACCCCUUCAUAAUAUAAGAUCUAUCCAACUAAGCACCAAAAAUCCAUAUUCCUAUACAUGACCAAAAUAGUAAAGCUAAUCCAUACAUUUUUAGGCACAUAUAUCAGGUAAAUAAGAACUAAGAAUCAAAAGAAUAAACCUAAACUAGAUGAUUCAACAGGACGUAAUUCAGAAGUGAUAUUUCACGAAAUGUGAUUUAGAGAAUUAAUACCCUGAAGGUGGUAGGCCAAACUUAGGUUCUGCAUAAAGGGAUACACCAAAAGACAUUCUGUUGGUCUUGUGUCUGGAAAGCUGCAUCUCCACCAGGACUUUCAUAAUCUAUUAAUUGUUUCACUGCAACUUUGGUGUUAUUUGCAAGCACUCCCUUAUGAACUUUUCCAAAGCAUCCCUGUCCAUGAACAUUUUUCUCACUAAAAUUGUCUAUAGCUAGCUGUAACUCCCUCCAUGCAAAUCUUCUCAAUUGGCCAAAUGCAAUUCUUUGGUCAACUUCACCUGAAAACAGAUGGAAAGAUGUCUAGAAAGAAAAUUUCCAAGAGAAUCAAAUUUUGCAUCAAAUCCUUAAAAUCUGUCCAAGUAUUUAAAAGAGAUAAAAGCAUAGUUCUUUUCAAUACAGAACUAUGGCAUGAUCUGUAAAUCUCUUCAAACUUUUUGUACUUGUAGGCAUCCCAAGAUAACAUCCAAUUGAGAACAAGCCUUUGAAAAUCUAACAAAAACUUGCUUUGAUGCUAUUAUCACCUAAAAAAGAAGAAGAAGAAAGCAUUGUAGCCAUUGCACAGAACCAGUCCCAUUCAUAAGGGUGGACGGGUGACACACCCAACCUUCACCAUUUUUUGCAUGAUUUGGUCAUACAUAAAGCAAUCAAUAUAUACUUGGUUAAACAUCAAGCUUAAUUUUAGCCUAAUCAAUUGACUAAAGCUGCAAUUACACUUAAGUUUAAACUACCAAAAGUUCACCCAUUUUCACAACAUUAAAAUUAAGCUAAAAUUACAGUGAAAGUGAUAGAACUUCAAGCCAAAAUUUAGGUGGAGAAAUGAAUUUAAUUUGUCUCAAGAGCUGAAUUACAAUGAAGUCAAUAAAUAAUAUUAUCUUCUUCGGUUCAUGAACACCAAACUGAAAUUACAACAAAAUUGAAAUCAACAUUUUGCAUCAAAUUAACCUAAUUUCACUCAUCUUUUAUCUUAAACUAAAAUACAUCUUGUAGCACUCAGUGAUCAAAGCCUGUUUUUCUUCCCCCUUACUUCCUGUUUAGACAUGGAGAGGUGAAACAAACUUUGAGAUAUUCAAUGAUUCAACAAAGCUUUAAUCAAAUACUAAACUGCUUGCUUUGAUGGAAGAGUUAGUUUCAUGAGGGAUGUGCCCAUCUUCCUUGAAGCUUGUACCUAUGCACUUACGAUUGGUAAAAGCCAGGCACCAUAAACAUAAGAGUUUUUGAAUUUUUAAGGGAAAAUCAUGCUUUCAAACACUAAUAAAAAAAGUACAUCUGUUCCUAGGGGAACUAGAACCCCUAUAUCCCCAAUCAUGAUCUAUAUAUUCCUUUGGGAACCCUCAAUAAGUGAUUACAGGUCCUCCUUAUUCCCAAAAUGAACUUUGGAACCUCAAGUACAUCCUUAAAAAAAAUAAGUACAUCUGUUUCUAAGGAAACCGAGACUCCUAUCCCCCUUAUAAUGGUCUAUCUAUUCCUUUGAGGACUCUCGAGAAUUGAUUAUAGGUCAUCCCCAUACCAAAACGGACUUUGGAACCCCAAAUACAUCUUUAAGAAAAAUAAGUACAUUUGUUUUUAGGGGAACCAAGACCCCUAUCUCUUUUAUCCUGGUCUAUAUAUUCCUUUGGGAGCCUUCUAGAAGUGAUUGGAAGCCCUCCCCUUCCCCAAAAUGGAAUUUGGAAUUUUAAGUACAUCAUUAAAACAAAUAAGUACAUCCUUAAGAAAAUUAAGUACAUCUAUUCCUAGGCAAACUAGGGUCCUAUCUCCCUUAUCAUGCUCUAUAUAUUCCUUUGGGUACUCUUUGGAAGUGAUCGGAGGUUCUCCCUAUCCUUAAAAUGGAAUUUGGAACCCCAAGUACAUCCUUAAGAAAAAUAAGUACAUUUGUUCCUAUGGGAAUCGAGACCCCUAUCUCUUUUAUCAUGGUCUAUAUAUUCCUUUGAGGACCCUUAGGAAUUGAUUGGAGGUCCUUCCUAUCCUUGAAAUGAACUUUGGAACCCUAAGUACAUCCUUAAGAAAAGUAAGUACCUCUAUUCCUAGGAAAAUCAAGACCUUUGUCUCAUUUAUCAUGGUUUCCAUAGAUUUCUUUGGGGACCCUUGGGAACUAAUUGGAGGUCCUCUCCAUUCUUGAAACGGACUUUAGAACCCCAGAUAUAUCCUUAAGAAAAAUAAGUACAUUUAUUCCUAAGAGAAUUGAGAUUCUUAUCUCCCUCAUCAUGGUUCAUAUAUUCUUUUAAUGACCCUCUAGAAGUGAUUUGAAGUCGUCUCUCACCCUGAAAUGGAUUUUGGAACCCUAAGUACACCCUUAAAAAAAAUAAGUACAUCCUUAAGGUUAAGGAAAUGCAUAUUGUUAGGAUAUGUAGAUGGAGUGAAAAUGUACAAGUUAUGGUGCUUAGAUUCAAAAUUCUCUAAUUUAUAAUUAACAGGGAUGUGGCUUUUAACGAGUAUGAAAUGUUGAGUCCAAGAAAGGAGCAACUUCAUGUAGAAAACAACCCUAGUAUGAGAGAAAAUGUGGAGUUUGUGCCUAACAUAGAAAAAACGAUUUCAAAAAAGCCAAAUGAGGAAGAAGUGCAACAUCUUGAUGAUAAAGAAAAGACAUCACAAUAGCAACAAUAUUAUUUGGCUAGAGAUAGAACGAGGAGGCAAAUUAAACCACCACAAAGGUAUGCUUAUGUAGAUUUGGUUACUUAUGCACUUGGUGUGGCAAAGAACAUUGAAAAAGAGGAAUUUCAAACUUAUCACUAGUAGAGAGUCUACACAAUAGAUUGUUGCCAUGAAUGAGGAAAUUGAAUCUCUUCAAAAGAAUCAUACUUGGAAACUAGUUGAGAAGCCUAAAAAUCAAAAGAUUGUUGGUUGCAAAUAGGUCUUCAAAAGAAAUUAAGGGAAGGAAUUUCAAGAGUAAGGAUGACAAGUUUAAAGCAUGCUUAGUGGCAAAGGGUUACACACAAAAGAAAGGAGUGGACUUCAAUAAAGUUGUCUCCAGUUGUGAAGCAUAGCUCAAUCAAAGUGUUACUUGCUAUGGUUGCUUUAUUUAAUUUAGAUUUAGAGCAACUUUAUGUCAUGACUGUUUUUCUACAUGGUAAGUUGGAAGAAUAGAUUUAUAUGAAUUAACCCGAGGAAUUCAUUAUUUCAAAAAAGACCAUGUUUGUUUGUUGAAGAAAUCUCUUUAUGGCUUGAAGCAAUCUCUUAAGCAAUGGUAUAAAAGGUUUGAUACUUUUAUUAUUGGCAAUGGCAACCAUAAGAGUGAGUAUGAUAAUUAUGUUUAUCACAAGGAAUUGUUUGAUGGUUCUUUCAUUUAUUUAUUGUUAUAUGUUAAUGACAUGUUAAUUUCCUGCAAGAAUAUGUUUGAUAUUAACAAGUUGAAAACUCAACUCUAAGGAGAGUUUGAAAUGAAAGACCUUAGAGUUGUGAAGAAAAUAUUAGGUAUGGAUAUUCAUAGAGACCAAAAAGUAGGGGAAUUGUACUUUUCACAAAAAAGUACAUUGAGAAAGUGUUAAAAUGCUUUGGAAUGCAAGGGUCAAAACCUAUGAAUACUCCAUUAGCAACUCCAAACUUUCAAGUGCUUUUGUUGGGAACCCUAUAUUACUUCGUUCCCAUGCCCUAGAUCUCAUAGGGUGCAUGCAUUUAUCCCUAGACAUCUCUAAACCUACUGUAGCGAAAAACUAAGUAUUCAAAAACCAAUAUUGAUACCAUAGAAAUCUUAGAUCUAGAGAAAAAAAAUCACAUACCUUUGAUUCAAAUGUUCUUGAAUUGAUUCCUAUUGAUGUAGAUAAGUCCAAAGUCAUAAUGGAUCUUGUAACACCAUGAUCUUCCGCCCGAUAACUCUUUAUUGUGUCUAGGCACUGAAAUGGUUGACAUCUUAAGGGUGGAGGUUAGACUUCUCUCUUUGGACUAUAUGGAGAAAAUGGCAAGACAUGGAAACCCUAACCCUUAACGGGUAUUUAUAGGCUUCUUAGUAAGCUUAAGUGACUUAAGCCCACCCAAAAAGGUUGCUAAUUAAUUAAUUAGUUAACAAUACAAGAUCCUAAUUAACCAAUUAGCUUAGUUAAGAGAUAUCACUAACUUAUCACCAUGCAACCUUGCAUAAUCACUAAAAUAUCCUUAUGCACAAAAAUGAACUAAAAACCUUUCCAACCCUCAUAAACUAUACCAUCAAGGAAUAUGAGCUCAAAGUAGGGACCACUAGGACCCAUAGGAGUACUAGCUCCCUUAGAAUAAAAUUCUAAAAUUGACUCAACAUCUCACUAUAGAAAGUCAACUGCACUCUAGUACCUUAUGUGUAUUACAACGAGACACCAAGUGCUCGGGUUCGUGACCUACAAUCUACUACAUGCAAACUCUCCAUGAACUGGUGUUUGUAGUCUAACAAAGUAGUGCUAUCACUUAUUAAGAUUAUCUCUCAAAUCCUUAAGUUAUAGAUUCCAUUUUUUUUAUGUGAUCAAAUGACAUACUCUAGCUCAAAGAAGGAUUUGUCAAAUUCCACUAAAUGAAUUAUUGUGGCCACAUAUUUCAUGAUUACAUAUCCUUUAGAUCACCCAAGGAGACGCGCUGUCUCAAUCCCAUGAGAUAUCAUGGUGCCUCUAUUGAGAAUACUUGUUGCCACCAACCUCCAUCAACAAUGACCCAAUCCAUGGGGAUAUGUGACCACUUUAGGGUCUCAUCCAUAAGUUAAAGUCUCUUAUUGAUUUCAACAUAUGCUUAAUAUUCUCUCAAGGUUGAGAGUCCAUGUAGUAUAGUCACUUAGUUAAUCAUAAAAUUUGAUAGUCUUGCAUCAUGAUUCAUCGUAGGUCCUAUCCAGUGUGCACCACAUAUACUAGCGUACUCACCAUAGGAAUCCCAUCCUAACGACCUAGAUAAGCAAUCCCUCCGAUUAGGAGGUGGUGCACUAUAGUCUCUACUAGAUUGUCCAAAUCCAUGAACCAAUUGUGGACAACUUAUCUAUUUAUAAGAAACCCAUGACUUGUAACUUUUGUGCAACUCCUAAUAUACCAAAGUCAUGUACAAUGUAAGAGACAUGUGUUGAAUGUUCAAAUCAAUAUUAAUACACCAAAAGGAUAGCAAGAGGAUGGUUAAGUCUGACUUUGUUACAUUAUGUUAUGCUUUUAAGGGCUCAAUCCCAACAACUUUAUCACCAUAGAUCAAAGAAGAAAUGGAGCACAUGUCACAUGUUCCUUAUGCUAGUGUAGUUGGGAACAUUAUGUAUGUCAUGGUUUGCACUAGGCUAGACAUUUCACAUGUAGUUAGUGUGGUGAGUAGAUAUAUGGAUCACUCUCGAAAGAUCCAUUGGCAAGCAGUGAACAAAUAUUUCGAUAUUUGAGAGAAACAUCACAUGUUGGCUUAACAUAUGAUAAAAGUAGUGACAUCUCUGAGAAAAUUGUUGGUUAUGUUGAUUCUAAUUAUGCUAGAGAUUUGGGGAAAAGAAGAUCUCAAACAAUUUGUGGUAGUGUUAUUAGUUGGAAAGAACCUUUGCAAUUUAUAGUUGCUUUAUCAACCACUGAAGUAGAAUACAUGGCGGUCAUAGAAGCGGUGAAAGAAGUUAUUUGCCUUAAGGGCUUGGUUGGAGAUUUAAGCUUACAAUAGGAGUUGAUUGUUGUGUAUUAUGAUAGCCAAAGUACCAUACAUUUGACUAAAAAUCAAAUGUUCCAUAAGAGGAGCAAACAUAUUGAUGUCAAUGCAUUUUAUUAUGGAUGUGAUCGCAAAGGGUGCUAUUGCAAUGAAAAAAAAAUCCCUAUAGUGGAGAAUCUUGCAGAUAUGAUGACUAAGUUCGUUUUUACAGUUAAAUUCAGGUAUUACUUGGACUUAAUUGAUGUUAAUAGUAUCUAAAGACUCCUUUAGGGUGUGGGAGUGAAGAAACAUGGAAGACUUUCGAGUUUGUUUGAAUCUUGAGAAUUUGAGCCAAGGUGGAGAUUAUUGAAAAGUGUCUCAGAUUCUAUUUUUGAGUCAAUUGGAAAGUUAUAGAUAGUUUCCUAAUAAAAAAAUAUUCUUGUAAGUGGGUUUCCUAUUAUUAUAGAGGAAAUAUUCUUUUAGGAAAAAACAUUUUUGAUAAUUAUACACUUAGUUUCCUAUAUAGAAUCUUUCUAUGUAAUUAGAGAAAUAUGUAUAAAAAGAUAUUUUGACCAAAAUAGUGGAAGUUUUUUUUUUGGGUAUAAUUGGGACUUUGGGAUUUGAAAGCUCUAAGAUUGUAAUAUCCUUCAAUAAUAAUGGAAAUUAUUUUUUAUCUUCACCUGUGGAUGUAGGUUUGAGGUCGAACCACAUAAAUUGUUAUGUACUUUGUGUGUUUUGUUUUUGUUAGGAAUUUGAGGCUAAUCCAAACUAUGGUAAUCACCUUGGGGGGGGGGGGGGGGGGAUAAAUAGGGUGAUGGUCUCUUUUUCACAAAUUUAAACUAUGCAAAAAUAAGAGUCAAUUAUAUGCAAAUAUAUAAUAAACAAAAUAAACACAAUUGCAUAUAAUUUAAAAGAGUUAGGGAAGAGAGAGUGCAAACAUGAGAGUUUAUAGUGGUUCGGUACUUCCUUGCCUACAUCCACUCUCCUCAACCUCCUAAUCGAGUGAGGGUUCCACUAUCUUGAAGCUUCAACCAAGUUUCCAAUCUCUUUACAAUUGGAUUAUGGUUCCAAUUCACCCUCUUGGACUUUUGGCUCCAAGCACCCUUUACACUUCUUCAAGAGAUAUCCCUCUCUUGAAUAACCUCUCAAGUGAUACCCCUCACUUGAGAAAAUCCCUCACAAAGAUAUACAAAUAAUGAUCUCACAAAAAUCCUAGUAAUAGAACUUUAGGCUCAAAGAUACAAGAAAAACUAGGAUUGAAUGGUGCACUAAAGAUAUGCAAGUUAUGAAACAAUGGUGCACUCAAAAACACUCUUCCAAGGCUCAAAUAUAAUCAAGAAUGAUUUGGAAAGGUUAAGCUCUUGAAACAAUGAAGAUUGGAGCCUUUUUAUAGAAGAGAAAAUCCAAACUAGCCGUUUGGGGGUUCGUCCGGUCGAGCUAUGGGUCGACUGGUUGACUAGCCAUUAGCAUUAAAUGCUUGGCAGGUGACCGUUGGGCCUUAGCCGGACCUCGACCGGGAAGAGAGUUACCUUGAUCGGGAAAAGAAGGCCACUAGGAGAGAGAGAAACUUUUGGCCUCCCUCGACCGGUACUCGACCGGACGAGCACAACUGGUUGACCGGUUCCUCGACCAGUUGAACUGGUUGAGCCAUUUUUUGGCUCAACACCCAACCCUUUUCAACUUAAAACCUCUUAACACAAGUUUGAAAAUUAUUUAACACAAGGUUUUAGUUGAAAACAUGAAAUCAUCCAAUUUUAAAGAUAUUUAAAACAAUAUUACUCUUGGAUGAUUUUGGUGCAUAAAUAAAGAAUGAAAUGCAUGAAAGUCCUAGUGCACCAACAACCUUACAAAGAGAUCUUAAGAAGUUUUGGUCUUGAAAAACUCUUCUCUUUGAGGUGGUCUUCUUCUUCGUGAUUUCUCCUUGGCUUGAUUUGUCUUUGGAUUGACACUUUGGAAGUCGUCUUGCCUAAUCACACUUGAAAUAUAAUCAUUAGUUCUAAACCUUGUUUUGUUAUCAUCAAAAUCAAGAUUAACCAAACCUUGGUUUCACAGUUUUCAUUUUUUUUUUCUCCCUAUUAUUAUUACUAUUAUUAUUAUAUAUACACCCAUGUGACUUGCAUGGUGGAAAGAGAAUAUUUCAUAUUCCAGGCAAGAAGCAAAGGUUACUCAAUUGUGUUUUUCCUUUUAGAAUGCAGAAGGGGUUUCCUUAUACUGAAGAAAUGCAUAGAUUCAAUUGAAAAAAUUGAGAAAUAUGGUUGUUCUUUUUCUUUUUCUUUUUCUAAAUCAUAGAUGAGCCAAGAUGAAACCCAUGUGGAACACAUUGGUUCCAGGCAUUUUCUUGGACAAAGAUAUGUCCAAAAUAUGGGAAAAUGACAUUUUAAAAUUAAAAAUGAUUUUAAAUUUUAAAUUUCUUUUUUUAUAUGUUUAAAAGCUUUUCAACUAGUAGAUUCGAAUUAUAACUUCCAAUUUAAUCGAAGAUUAAAAAUUACAAUAAUGAGAUUCUCAAUUCUUCAAAAUGAAAUUAAUUUAAUCCAUUUCCUUUGUAAAUUAUACCUCAAUUCAAUCAACCUUUCAAAAAUUAAAUUUACUUAAUGAUAAUAUUCAUAUUUAAUCAAUUUACCUUUUUGUGUAAAUUCCUAAAUUUAUAUAACAUAAUUUAAUCUUAAUUUUAUUUUGAUUCAAUUUUGUUUCACGUUUUAUAAUUUUAUAAGGUUGAAUUCUAAUAAUAAUUAAAAAUUAAAUUGAUUUGUUAUAAUAUUAAAUUAAAUAUCUUUUGAAAAUUUUAUUAUAACUAUUUGACAUAAUACAAAUUUCACCAAAAUUUUUAAUUAACUUUCUCUAAUGAUUACUUUAUAAUAAUAAAAUUAAUUAUUACAAUACAUGUAAUAUUCAAAUUUCAAAAAUUCAAGCUCAAAUAAUUUAAAUUUAAUUUUGAAGUUCCUAAUUUCCAAAUGUGACUCUCGACAAGAAUUUAAACUAACUUUCGACUAUUUUUUCACAAAUUUCACCUAAUUAAAUAAUAUAUUGACACGUGAAUGUUCACUAACGACACGUGAUCACGAUUCAUUUUGGUUGAUGUUCAGGAUGGUCAUCGGCAGUAGACUAACAUCUUCUGGACCAAUUAACAUACCAGCAGUGAUUAGGCCAAGGUGGUGAUCCAAUUCCAUGGAAGGGCAGCAAGAAAGGAGGAACGUUGGAGAGAAAGAAGGCGGCCAACCAAGCAGGAACAGUGGUCAAACUGGCCCCGAGUCGAAGGAGCGUAGGAUUGACAUUGUUGAAAUCAGUCAUAAGGUGAAAAAUUGGAUUGAGUCUCUCAAAAAAUGCAGAAGAAAAGACUCAAUCUCAAAGUCAAUGGCCAAGGACACCAAAGGUUCCUCACAUGCUGAGGGGGACCCAGGAUUUCAACAAAUCUACGAACCGAGGGUAAUUUCAAUCAGCCCUUACCACCAUGGCAAGCCCCACCUUCACCCAGGGGAAAUGAUCAAGCCUCUAUGUGCCCCAAACUUCCUGGAUGAUAGUAAGCAGGACAUCGAAGCUUUGUACACAAAAUUGAAAGUAAUAUGAGGCAGUGAAAAAGUGCUAUGAUUGGAGUAGUACAAACGAGUAUGAUGAUGAGGCGCUCGCCUGGAUGAUGCUUCUGGAUGGGUGUUUUUUACUACAGUUCAUCCGCAGCAAAGAAUACGACAGUAAAGUCGAUAUGAGUAACGUUCAUAGAAAUCACCAAAUAAAUUUUGUGGUGCAGGACUUGUUCUUGCUGGAGAACCAACUUCCCUGUGGAAUCCUCAAGUUGAUUUUUGAGGGAGCAAAAUUCAAUGAUGGUUCACCAAUGAAAAAAAAGAUAAAAAAAAUUCGUCACUAACACCGCAAGGCCAGAAGGGACAUCAGAAAAAGAGGUGGAAGAGUUGGACGAAGAGCCCUCUCAUCUCCUCGACCUUUUGCGAAGUGCUCUCCUAGGCGGGUCUAAAUAGAUUAGAAAGCAAGAAGCUCAGGGGUUCUGUUGCCCCGAUUGGCCGUCUUUUCGACACAUCAAGGAGCUUAAAGCUGCCGGGAUCCAUCUCAAACGGAGUAGAACCAGUUUCUUGAGAGACGUUUCUUUCAAUUCCUACUUCUUCUAUGGCUGCCUGAAUCUUCCCCCAAUAAUCGUUGAUGACUUCACGAAGCCCAUGUUCUUGAACAUUGUAGCCUACGAAAUGUGUCCAGAUGCCCCAGAUGACUAUGCGGUCACUUCUUAUAUAUGCUUCCUUUACGACAUCAUUGAUCAUGCAGACGAUGUCAAGGAGCUGAGAUCUAAGCACAUUCUCUCCAACCUUCUUGGCAGCGAUGAAAAUGUGGCCUAACUUUUCAACGAGAUCGGCAAUGACUUGGUAGAUCCCAAAGCUUAUCAAGAUGUGAAAGAUCGUAUUCAGGAACACUACAACAAGAGAAUGAAUACUUGGAUAGCUUAAGCCCUUCACGACCAUUUCAGUACUCCAUGGACUAUCAUCGCUUUCAUUGCUGCUGUUUUGAUACUAUUUCUUACUGGGGUUCAGACCUACUACGCAAUUCCCGGUAAUUAAUAUAUAUAUAUAUAUUGGGUUAAUUAUGUCUGUUGUGUGUUUUUUUCUUGUUUGGUGUGUAUGAUUAGAGAAAUAAAGAUGUAUAGAUUGUUAAGUUGUAUGACUGGAUUUCAUGGAUGCAAUAUUAUUAGUCUUUUCCUUCCCAUGAGUUUGCUAUCUAUAAUAUCUGUUUGAACUCACAAUUUCCAGCUACCUUCUUUGUAUUCUUUUUCAUAGACCAGGAUCAUACAUAACACAACCACAUAGAAAAUUUUGCGAUUGAAUAUUGCACACAAUUUUUUUUUGAACGAGAAAAUUGUGGAUAAAAUCAUAAUUUUCAUAUAUUUAUAGAUUGAGGGAACAAUCUUAAUUAUGCCCUUUGAUUUUUUAUUUUUUAUUUAUAAAAGAUAAAAAUAUCUUUUUAGGCAAUUUAAAUGCUUAAUUUUGAAUCAAACGAGAUUUCAUUAAUAAAUAUGACAUUUUUAAAUGAAGUCUUCCAAUCUUCAUUGAAAGAAUCUUCAAGUUUUCAACUUCUUUAAGAAAUCUUCAAAUACUUUUCAACUCUUCAAGAUAUUUUUAAUCUUCUUGAAUUCUUUUUAAGAGCUCUAGGGCUUUUCUUUAGUCUUCUGCCAAAAUACAUCACUGAAUGAAGGAGAGAACAAAGGCAUUUUUCAUUCAUCACUGAACUUGUUUGAAAAGAAAAACACACACACACAGAUGGAGUUAGAAAUGAAAGUGGAGAAAAGCACUCGACAGUUUUGCAUACUGCAUGAUAGAACUCGUUGAAAUUGUUUAUAUCCCUGGCACUAAAAUACAUCUUGUAGCACUUAGUGAUCAAAGCCUGUUUUUCCUCCUCACUUCCUGUUCAGACAUGGAGAAGUGAAACAAACUUUGAGAUAUUCAUUGAUUCAACAAAGCUUUAAUCAAAUACUAAACUGCUUGCUUUGAUGGAAGGGCAGAGAUGAUGGUACCAGGAAUUAGUUUCAUGAGAGAUGCGCCCAUCUUCCUCCAAGCUUGUACCUAUGCGCUUGCGAUUGGUAAAAGCCAGGCACCAUAAACAUAAGAGUUUUUGAAUUUUUAUGGGAAAAUCAUGCUUUCAUACACUAAUUAAUAAUAAUAAAAAAAUUCUCCAUAUUUAAAAAAAAUAUAUAUAUAUCAAGACCACUGUAGUUUUCCUUUUAAAACUUUUUUAAUUUCAAUUUUUUAAUGUUUUAUCUUUUCAUAUUUAUUGGUUUCAAUCAUUAUAUUGAACACAUUAAACACAAAAUGAUAACAUUAUUGAGAACAAAUAAAAUAUAACCUAAAAUACAAUAGACAAACAAUUGAAGUUUCUUAGUAAUAUCUAAUUUAUAAUUUUCAAGAAUAGAAGAGCGAGUAUAUGAAUACUCUUGAGAAAAAAAUUAUUAUUUUAUUAAAAAAAACAAGUACUUUUAUUGUUCUUUAUGAUUAAAAAAUAAUAUUUUAUUUUCCUCCAUUUUUUUUAAUAUAAUCUAUUAAAUUAUAUUUGUUGUUGUCAAAUUUCUUUGUAUUAUUAUUAUUUUAAAAUUUGCAAGUCAUGCAAAUUUGUCAUAAUCUCAUAACAAUAAUUAACAUACAUGUUAGAUAUAAUUUCUAAGUUUUUUAUGUUCGAUAUAGAAAUUUUUUUAUGUUGCAUAAUAUAUUUUUAUUUAAUAUAAUAAAUUUAGAAGUAAUAUAUUAAUAAAGUUGAUCAUACACCUUCAUGAAAUAAAAUAUUCAAAGAAUAUUAAAAUUUAGAUGAUCCUGUCACUAUAUCCAAUUAUGUAGGAAAAAUGUGUACAAUCUUCAUCAAAAUAUAUAGGUACAUUCUUUUAGGGGGAAUCGGGACACUCACACUUGUUAUGUCCUAAAUAGUCAUUUGGGAGACCUCGAGGAAUGAUUUAUGACCUUACCCCAACUAGAAAUCAAAUUUUGAACCUUAUACACAUCUAAAAGAAAACUACAUACAUUCUUUUUAGGGUGAAUUGGGACCCCAACCACUCUUAUUACAUCCUAAAUAGUCAUUUGGGGGACCUCGAGAAGCGAUUUGAUUCCCCCACCCCAAAAUUAAAUUUGGAACCCCAUAUAUAUCCUUAAUAUAUGUAUACACACACACACACACAUAAUUAAAAAAAUACGUAUAUGUUUUAUAAAAAUAUAUGCAUUUUUUGAAGGGUGAACCGGGACCCCAAUCACACUUACUAUGUCCUAAAUAGUAAUUUAGGGACCUCGAGGAGUCAUUUGUAACCUUCUCUCACCUCGAAAUCAGAUUUGGAAUGUCACAUAUAUUCUUCACAAAAAUACAUACAUUUUUUUAGAGUGAAUCCCAAUCACCCUUAUUAUGACCUAUAUAUUCCUUUAGGGACCAUCAGGAAGUGAUUUGAGGUAUUCCCCCACCCCAAAAAGGAUAUUGCAACCCCAUAUACAUCCUUAAGAAAAAUAAGUACAUUUGUUCCUAAGGGAACUAGGACUCCUAUGUCCCUUAUCAAUGUCUAUAUAUUCUUUUGAAAACCCUCGAGAACUGAUUGAAGGUCCACCCCAUCCCCGAAACGGACUUUGGAACCUUAAGUACAUCCUUAAUAAAAAUAAGUACAUAUGCUCCUAGGGAUAUUGAGACCCUUAUCUCCAUUAUCAUGGUCUAUAUAUUCUUUUAGGGACCUUUGGAAAGUGAUUGGAUAUCUCAUAAACUCGUAUACCUCUUAAGAAAAAGAGGUGUUACAUAGUCUAUAGGACAUAUCCCCAAAAGAAUAUGAGAAAAGAUGAAAAACCUUUCCACGAUCUCACUUAGUCCUUCAAAGUUUGAUAUCUUUUUUCCAUCUUUCCAUUUUGCAAUGGAGACUCUAGUGCACAUAACUAGGAAAUAAUCUCAUGCUCCAACAAAGAGAAUCAAACUUACUAGACAUAUCACCCUGAUAUAAUCAAAGUGCCUUGAUAUCCGACUCCACCUUAAAUUCAAUGAAUUUAUCCCAGUUAUCAAAUUCUUAUACACAUAUUCAAACCUAGACUAAUCAUCACUAAAAAGUGAUGAAGUACACAUACCCUCCCCAUGCAUGAAUACUAAAAGAUCCAUGCAUGUUAGUAUGCACUAACUCCAAACAUUCCUUGGCUCUAAUCCUCUUGGCCAUUUUACCAUCUAUAUAAAAUUCACAAACUAGAAGAUCCUUUGAAUAAAAAAGUCCAAACCUAACUAGUCUUUAAAUCCUACUCAAAUUGAUAUGACCUAGGUCUUUAUACCAAAUGUUUGAUUAGUGCUAAGUUCAAUCUUAAGAUCUAACUAUUCUCAUCAUUUGCCAAAAUGAUAAUGAAAUACAUAUAAAAAAAAAAAAAUUGGAAGAUAUUACAUUCCACUGACCUGCACAACUAACUUUGCAAUUGAAGUUAAGGUAAAUAUAAUCUCAUCAUUUAACCUUCUCACUUGUUGAAUAUCCUGUAAAGACUACAUAUUGUAGGCAUAUAAUCUAUUCACCAUAAAUGGUAAAAUCCACCACUAAAUAUUCAACAAUGAGAAAAUGAUGCAUAUUUUUUUUUCUUUUAGGUAAACUAAGCAUUUCUUUUCUAGUGUCCUAAAAGAAUACAAAGGAAUCACCUGCCCUUGAACUUGCUUUCUUAUUUCUUCUCUUGAAUUUUCUUUAUUUGGUAUUGUUGUUCUUCUUCUUGGCUAAAAAAAAUGUAAAGAACCUUUUACUUCCAUAUGAACACCCUUAUAAUCUUUAAGAUUCCCCUAAACCAUCCCAAGGGAAACUAACAAUGUCUCUAAGAUUAUAUGAACUCUACUGUUUAUAAUAGUCCUAAGGACAACUUGUUAAAGUUGACCUGCCUUUAUCACCAAAUAGCCUUUGCAAACUAGAAAGAGAACAUCAAAGUCCUUGGUAAUAGAUAUGUGUUGCUAUUGCAACACAUUAUCCAAAGAUCUAAGUACGAGACACUUGGUCUUUUGAUCCAUCUAGCACCACCUUUAAUAUACCUACUUUUUCCUUUUUUACUAGGUUGGUUCAAAAGAAAUAGCUUGUUUUGCCUAAACUAGUUUUUAUGCAAUUAGUUACUAUAUCCAAAUUAGUUCAAAUGAUUAGUUGGGUUUGGUCUAUUGUGAGAAAGAUAGUGAUAAUAAAACCAACAUGAUAUCUUAACAAAGAUUAUAACCAUGCAUAUGACAUAAUUGAGCAUUCAAGGCAAUUGGUAAUUAAUUUAGCAAAAAUGUAGUGCUCUCAAACUACAUGUCAUUUCGCAAGGUAUCUUAGUGUCAUAAGAAUCAAGCUUACAAUGGGGAGGUCAUGAUUUUAUUACUAGUUAGAGACCUUCUCAAAUUGACCUCUUUGUCUUAACCAUGAAGGUAUCUAAAGGCAAGAUUAACAUACAUUUUUAUUUGGCUCAUGAACUAUGCAAAUGGGACCACAGUGCAGGCGUUUCAACAACUUCAAAUCCACUGAUAAGUGUAUAACCAUUGUCCUUGAACUAUCAGUGUCACCAAGUAAGGAACCCCACCAGUGGGAUGGUUUCUCCCACUACAGACAUGUCUAGUCUCAUCCUAAUGGAGAGUUCUUAUCCUUUGAUUCUUAAGACCUAACCUACCGUGGGGGUGGUGAUGAGCCCAAAUCUAGAUGGGCUCGAUAAUGGAGGCAUGGGCUUUCCUAAGGCCCUCUCCCACUUAAUUUUUUGAGAUAGAUGACCAUUUUAAAACAUUGUAAUUCCCUUGAUGAAUAAAUUAUCUACUUUGAGAAUUUUCAAAAAUAUUUAUUUCCUAAUUGGAAACUUAGUGUAAUAGGAGAAUAAAUUCUCCUUCUCUUACACAAAUCCAAUUAAUAAAUAUUUUAUUUAGGAAAUGUCUCAAAGAAAUUUAUUUCCAUCAAAUUACUAAGCCUUUUGAUAAUGAUUUUUUAAUGAAAAAUUAUCUUUAAUGAAAAUUUCCAAAAUGUUUAUUUUCCAAAUUGGAACUCUAGUGUAAUGAGGAAAUUACCAAUUUAUGAGAUUUUGAAAAUCUUAAGAGCACCUUAUCCAGGAAAUCAACUUUUGCUUCUCAUAUUCAAAAAUACUUAUAAGAUUUACUUAUUUCUUUUGCUUCUCAUAUUAAAAAAUCCUUAUAAGAUUUACUUAUUUCUUACACCUUUCCAACUUAAUAAAUAUUUCCAUGACAAUUUUAUAAUAAUUUAUUCCAUUAAAUAAUACCAAAAAUAGAACCUUUUAGUAAUUCCUUAAAGGAUAAACUAUUCUCUAUGAAAAACUCCUAAAAAUGCCUAUUUUCAAAAAAGGAAUUAAAUAAUUCAUUUUGGAAAGUAUUUUCAAAAUAUUUUAUAUCUCCAUUGAAUUACUAAAACUUUCCAAAAAUUAUUUUGAUAACCCUUCCUAUCAUAAAUUAUCCAUCAUGAGCUAAGACUCCUCUGCUAGAAAAAUUACUCUCUCAAUCCUUAUUCUUGAAUGAUCCAUAUCCAAACUGAAUGGUUUCCUUAUUUUAUUUUAUUUUUAGGGGGGAGAGCUUGGAGGAUCAUUAUAGAUGUAGUUCUCCUUCUCUCGAGAUGGGGGGUUGGGAAGCCUAGAGGACCACCUAUAUAAAACCAAGUAGAUAGUUCCAAAAAGAAUAACAUUAUUCUUAGCAACAACCAGUUUAAACAAAUAAUCUUUGGAAAAUAUCUUCUCAUGAAAAUUUACUAAGAAUACCAAAAUACUUAUUCAAAAUUAACACUUAUUUUGGUAACCUUCUUAAUUAUAAAUUAUCUAUCAUGAAUUUUCAAAAUUAACUUAUUCUCUUUAACUAAAAAACUUAUGCAAAAAGGAAAAAUAUUAUUUUAUAAAGAUUUGGAACAUCAAGAGCUUUUUCUUAAAAUAUUAUUUUUAGAGAUCUCAAAGAUUUGAGAAGAUUUUAAAUAAAAUUAAAAUCUAUAAGAAUUAAUUUUAAAAAGAAAAGAAAACUUUUAACCCUUUUUCAACUUAUCUUUUCUUAAAAUAAAAUUUCUCAACCAUUCACAUUCUAAUUUAAAUAAGUUUUCCAAUUUUGAAAAAUCCAUGAAAAUUUUUAUUCAAUUGAGAAUAUCAAAAUAAUUUAAUGUCGCAUAUGCAAUAAAUAAAGAGCAUAUAUAAACAAGGAAAUAAAUAAGCAAAAUUUCCCCAUGGCCUUUAGGGAUCCUACUGCGUAGUCUAGUAAUACAUUUCAAUAAAAUCCAAAUCACCAAUAUUAUCAAAUCAAACCUACAACAAAUAAAGGGUUAGAAAAAAGGAAAAACCCUUCAUCAGUAUGCCAAAAGUGCCAAUCUAUUGUCACUUGUGCUCGAGCGCCCAAAAAUUUGAAGAAAAUGUUAGAUACAACUUGCAUUGUGAUUACUACUCAAAAAAUACUCUUUUAUAGGUUGAAACUAACUGUUUUAAACACUUUUGAGUGGUAGUUAAUACCUUUUAACUCAAUUGGCACAUUAAGUAACCUAGCAAGGGUUACUAAUCAGUUUUGGCAAGUUUUGGUGUUUUUGGUAGCUAUUUGAUCAUUGAAACAAGCCAAGAAUGAGGGAGAAUUUUGUGAAAUCCAUGGCAAUGCAAGUUGAAGCUCAAAUACAUGAAGAAUCCGAGCUUUGGAGCACUUCAUAGCCCUUUGCCAAGCUUGGCAAUAGGUUGCCAAGCCAAUCAGAGAUGCAAGGAAGAAAACUAGAGGAAAAGUCCAACAACCAGCAUUUUCGCAUAGCAUGCGAAAUAAAGAGGAAGAGCAGCUGCAGGAAUGAGAGCAGGAUUGAGUGAAAGACAAUUUCGCACACCAUGCGAAACCACAAGAAGCAGCCAAAGAAUUUCGCACACCAUGUGAAAUUUCGCAUGGUAUGCGAAAUCCUCUUGUGUACCGACUCCGUUAGAUUUUUAUCUCCAGAUAUUUUGUAUAAUUUCCUAUUUUCUCCUUGUAAUCAAGCUAGAUAUUUUCAUGUAUAUCUUUUCUAGACAUGAAAGAAAUUCAUUCAUGAAACACUUGUAAAAUUCCCGUAGAAGAAAUAUAUAGAGAUUUUGCUCUGUCUUUCCUUCUCAUUUUGUUUUCACUUUUCUUUCUAGCCAAACAACCUCUGAGGAUGAUUUCUCAGGGGAUGAGUGGCUAGGUUUUACAUUUCUUGGAGUGAUGGAAACUAGGUGAAGGACCCGAAUGCAAAGAUGGGAGUUGUCCUUGCUUUAAAUGAAAGUAGUUGUUAACGUGAGGAAAAGAUCCAAAAUCUCCCUUUUUGCCUAAGGAACCCGAUCCUAGUGACCUAAAGCUCCAAGAGACCUUUUCUUUGUAGUUAACUUCACUAAUUAUUUUUGCUUAACUUAAAAUCAAUCUUUGCAACCAAAAUUCCAUUUUCUUUAAAAACUAAUUUUCAUAAGGAAAAACACCAUUUUAUUUCCUUCACUAAUGUGAACUGUAUGAUGAAAACCCAUCCCUAUGGAUGAUCCUAGAGCCACUAGACUAAGUUAGCUAUGCUAUCCUAGUGUGAGGUGAUUUAGGUUUGAUAAAUUUUGUUGAUAACACCUGCCUGAGCCAGAAUCAAAUGGCAUGACUGUAAUGAAGACGAAUCAAGUAUGCAUACUUGAAAGAAGACAAGCAGUGCCAUGUUGUUAUAUCUUCAGCUCUUACCAUUCAUUAGGAGGAUUGUCUACUUGAAGUCCUUAGAAGAUGUAGGAAGGAAAUAGGGUGGCAAAUUUCUGAUUUGAAAGGGAUCAACCCUUUAGUCUGCACCCAUCAUAUUUACAUGGAGGAUGAAGCUAAGCCAGUUUGUCAACCUCAGAGAAGGUUGAAUCCUCACAUGCAAAAGGUGGUGCAAACUAAAGUUCUUAAGCUACUUCAGGCCGGUAUUAUCUACCCCAUAUCAGAUAGCCCAUGGGUGAGUCCUACUCAAGUUGUGCCAAAGAAGUCUGGGAUCACGGUGGUGCAAAAUGAUAAGGGAGAAAAUGUCUCUACACGCCUCACUACAUGUUGGAGGGUGUGUAUCGAUUACAGGAGAUUGAAUGCGGUGACAAGGAAUGACCAUUUCCCGUUGCCCUUUAUUGAUCAAGUGCUUGAGAGGGUCUCUGGGCAUCCUUUUUAUUGUUUCUUGGAUGGCUACUCCGGGUACUUUCAGAUAGAAAUUGAUGUUGAAUACUAGGAGAAGACCACUUUCAUAUGCCCAUUUAGAACCUAUGCAUACAGGAGAAUGCCUUUCGGCUUAUGCAAUGCACCCGCAACUGUCUAAAGAUGCAUGUUAAGCAUUUUUAGUGAUAUAGUGGAGCGUAUUAUGGAAGUCUUUAUGGAUGAUAUCACCAUAUAUGGAAGUGCAUUUGAUGAAUGCUUGAUCAACUUAGAAGUUGUUCUGAACCGAUGCAUUGAGAAAGACUUAGUGCUUAACUGGGAGAAGUGUCAUUUCAUGGUACAACAAGGGAUUGUCCUUGGACACAUCAUCUCCAAGCAAGGCAUUGAAGUAGACAAAGCAAAUGUUAAACUCAUUGUUAAGUUACCAUCCCCAACAAAUGUCAAAGGAGUAAGGUAAUUCCUUGGCCAUGUCAGGUUCUAUAGGAGGUUUAUAAAGGAUUUCUCUAAGCUUGCAAGGCCUCUUUGUGAACUAUUGGUGAAGGAUGCUAAAUUCAUAUGGGAUGAUAGAUGCCAAAGGAGUUUUGAAGAAUUGAAGCUAUUUCUGACAACCGCACCAAUAGUGAGGGCUCCCAACUGGCAACUGCCCUUUGAGGUAAUGUGUGAUGCCAGUGACUUUGCUAUAGGAGUUGUUCUUGGCCAAAGAGAAUAUGGAAAGCCCUAUGUGAUCUACCAUGCGAGCAACACAUUGAAUGAGGCGCAAAGAAACUACACAACCACUGAGAAAGAAUUGUUAUAUGUGGUUUUUGCCUUAGAUAAGUUUCGUGCUUACUUGGUGGGGUCUUUCAUUGUGGUUUUCACUUAUCACUCUGCUUUGAAGUAUCUGUUGACUAAGCAAGAUGCGCAAGCAAGGCUGAUUAGAUGGAUUUUCUUGCUUUAAGAGUUCAAUCUCUAAAUCAAAGACAAGAAAUGAGUGGAGAAUGUGGUAGCAGACCACCUUUCAAGGCUAGCUAUAGCACAUAAUACCCAUGGUUUGCCCAUUAAUGAUGAUUUUCCAAAGGAGUCUCUCAUGUUGGUGGAAGUUGCCCCUUGGUAUGCUCACAUUGCGAACUACCUAGUCAUAGGAGAAGUUCCAAGUGAAUGGAAAACACAAGAUAAGAAACAUUUCUUUGCAAAAAUUCACGCCUAUUAUUGGGAAGAGCCAUUUCUAUUCAAGUAUUGUGUGGAUCAGGUAAUAAGGAAGUGCGUUCCUGAAGAAGAGCAACAGGGGAUCCUCAGCCAUUGCCAUGAAAAUGCAUGUGGAGGCCACUUUGCUUCUUAGAAGACAGCCAUGAGGGUGUUGCAAUCGGGUUUCUAUUGGCCAUCACUUUUCAAAGAUGCCCACACCAUGUGCAAGAGUUGUGAUCGAUGCCAGAGGCUUAGGAAAUUGACACGCAGGAACAUGAUGCCUUUGAACCCCAUUUUGAUAGUUGAUCUUUUUUAUGUUUGGGGCAUUGACUUCAUGGGACCUUUCCCUAUGUCUUUUAGCUACUCUUACAUCUUGGUAAGAGUAGAUUAUGUUUCUAAGUGGGUUGAGGCAAUCCCAUGUAAACACAAUGACCAUAAAAUGGUUCUCAAGUUUCUCAAGGAGAACAUCUUCUCAAGAUUUGGGGUGCCCAAAGCCAUAAUUAGUGAUGGGGGUACUCAUUUUUACAACAAGCCUUUUGAAACUCUCUUGGCCAAGUAUGGGGUGAAGCAUAAGGUAGCUACACCUUACCACCCUCAAACUAGUGGGCAAGUUGAGUUAGCGAACCGGGAUAUUAAAAACAUAUUGAUGAAGGUGGUGAACACAAAUAGAAAAGAUUGGCCAGUCAAGCUCCUUGAUUCACUAUGGGCAUAUAGAACAGCUUAUAAGACCAUUCUUGGAAUGUCUCUGAUUCGUGCCCAGUAGGGUAUUUUAAUCAAAAAUAUUUAUAAAUCCUAUGACCUUAUACUAGCGUAGCAAAGCUACUAUAGUACAACAGCUCUAGGGUCGAACUCUGGGAUGGGUUUUCAUUCUACCAGUGAUAGACUCAAGAUUAGAAAUUGAAUCUGAUGAUUUCCUUUGUCAAAAACUUAAAGUUUAAAAGAAAAUAAAAUUUGUUUUGAAAGUGGUGUUUGAAACUAAACUAACAUAGAACUAGGUAAAAAUGGAAGAAAGAAAGUCUCCCGGAGCUAGAGGUUGCUAGGAUCAAGUUCAGAAUGCAAAGUGGGAAAUUCCGGAUUUUUCUCCUCGUAUUAGGGACAACUGAUUACUACUCAAAAAGUGCUAUUUGAUAGCUUAUAAUUAAUCCUUUUAAACACUUUUGAGUAGUAGUUUAGGCCUUUUAACUCAAUUGGCAUGUUAAGGAUCCUUUAAAGCAAUUUUAAUCACUUUGUGCAAGUUUUGGUGUUUUUGUUAGUAUUUUGAUCACCAAAGCAAGUCAAGACUGAGGAGAGCUAUGAGGAAUCUUGGGCAAAGCUUAGAAGUCAUUUUCCAAGAGUGAAUCCGGAUUGCAAGGAGAAAAAGCAAAGAGAAUCUACCAUAGAGCAUAUUCUUGAUGACAGUCACAGAGGCCACUUUUGGAGCACUUUCUGAAGUCCAAAUAAUGCAUGCUAUAUACCAUUUCAAAGCUCAGGAAGUCAACAAUCUAAUGCUUCAAACGGUGUGCAAUUCGGAGUUGAAACGAAGAAGUUGCAGCCAUUACAAGCCAAUCACUCCGAGUUGAAGGAAGCAUUUUGCAAAGUGCUGCGAAAUCACCCUUUUGUUGCGAAGUGAUUUCGCAGCAUUUUUGUACAGUAAGUUGUUUCUCCUUCUGAUGAUGCACGAUUUAUGCCGCGAGAAGGAAGCUAGGAACCUCAAGGUGGAAGCCAACUUCGCAGCCCUGUGAAGAUAGCUUGGUGUUGCGAAAAUAUUUCGCAGCCCUCUUGAGUGUCUGCGAAAUCUCGCAGACACCAUUUUUCUCCUGCGAAAUGGUUCCUGAAGCCUCCCGAUAUUUGCUACCGACAUUGGGAGAUAUUUUCCAUUAGAUUUUUGUUGUCUAAAUCCCAAAAUACUCCUUGUAAACCUCCAAUUACAAGAUUCCUUAGCUUUUAAGUUAGUAAAAAGACUAAAUAUCUUUGUAACAAUUAGUUUUAUAUUAUGUUCAUAUAUAUACCUCUCGGGAGCCUGUUCUCGGAGAGGAGUUCCUUCUGAAAAAGUUUGGGUAAGCAAGUAAAGUCUAUUUUCUUUCUACUGCCUUACCUUAUCACUUUGUAUUUUCAUUUCAUUUCUAAGUUAUGAAUUCUCUGAGGAGUUUUCCCCAGAGAAUGAGUAACUAAACCUCUAGUUCCUUGGAGCUAAGGUUGCCGGGGAAGGUUCCAAGUGCAAGAAUGCAAAGCUUUGUGGUUUUAGCUUUUAAUGAAGAGGAAGUGAAAUCCUUUAAUGAUUUCUAUGUUUUUAGUUAACUUAAAACACCUUAGAGUCACCUGGGCCAACACUUGGUAAGGCAAGUGAUUUCCAACCAUGGAAAUGCACUAGUUUACCUCUUGCGAGCCUCUGGGAGGUGAUUUCAAGGUAGGAUUUUCUGGAAUUACCAACACUUGGUAAGCUUUUGGACUCCUAGGAGACAUCCAUUAGUUAUCUCUUGCGAGUUUGUGAAGGGAAGUCCAAGGUUAAAGAUCAUCUUGAAUGGUAAGUGCUCGUGAGAGGCAUGAACCAUUGCAAGUUGCAUCAGUGAGAGAAUUAAAGUGAAAUCUAAUUGAAGGAAUCUCUGUACAACACCGGUUAGAGAAUUGACUAUAUGUUGAAUCUCUAACGCGAGGAAAUGAACCAUCUGACCGGAGCUAUGUCUUUUGCAUGAGGAAUCACCCCAGUGAACCUAACUCUCCAGGGAAUGCUUUUCUUCCUAAAUUAUUCCAAACUUCUGUUAUGUUAGUUAGUUUAAGUAUAAACAUUUACCAAUCAAAGUUUGUGUUUUACUUCUUAAGCUAACCGUGAAAUGAAACAAGACCAAUUCACUUGGAAUUGGUAUCAUUGAUAGCUUGCUAAUCCUUCCCAGUGAACGAUCCUAGAGCCGCUAUACUAUAGUAGCUUUUUCUUUGCUACCCUAGUAUAUGGUGUAAUAGGUAUAAAUUUUGUUGAUUACUCCCUCAUCCAAGGAGCACCAGCUGGACAUGAAUCAGCUGAGACACCAAUUGGGCACGAAUCAAAUGGCGCCGUUGCCGGGGAAGAUGUCAAGUUUAUAUUGAUACCAUUUUUGAGCACUUGUGAUUUUCAUCACAAGCUGGUAACGUUUCUUUCACUUUACUAAUUUUCAUUCUUUCUUUAUGUAUUCAUAAUCUAAGUUUAUCUUAUUAAAUUUAGCCUAGUUUAAUUUUGCUGUUGUAGCCUUGUUUCUCUUGUUGUCCUCUGUUUUUUUUUUAAGUUGUAGAUAGAUACUAGUUGUGUAUGCCCAAGUGGAUACGAGACAGUGGAGGAAGGCUUGUUAAGUGUGAUACACCUCAGAGGGGAGAAUUUGAAGUAAUCUUGAAUAUCAUGGAAGCUACACCUGAAGAUCAGCAUAGUCACCAAGGUCGUCAAGACAAUCUCAAUGAAUUCAGAUCAAUGAGGGACCGUAUGCAUCCACCUCGUAUGAGUGCACCAUCAUGCAUAGUGCCCCCUACAGAGCAGCUAGUGAUCAGACCGUAUCUUGUUCCACUUCUACCAACUUUCCAUGGGAUGGAAAGUGAGAAUCCGUAUGCACACAUCAAGGAAUUUGAAGAUGUUUGUAAUACAUUCCAAGAGGGAGGAGCUUCAAUUGAUUUGAUGAGGCUUAAGUUAUUUCCUUUUACUUUAAAGGAUAAGGCCAAAAUUUGGCUUAAUUCUUUAAGGCCAAGGAGUAUCCGCUCUUGGACUGAUUUACAAGCUGAAUUCCUCAAGAAAUUUUUUCCUACUCAUAGAACAAAUGGCUUGAAAAGGCAAAUUUCAAACUUCUCAGCUAAAGAGAAUGAGAAAUUCUAUGAGUAUUGGGAGAGAUACAUGGAAGCUAUAAAUGCUUGUCCUCACCAUGACUUUGAUACUUGGCUAUUGGUGAGCUAUUUUUAUGAUGGUAUGUCUUCCUCAAUGAAGCAACUCCUCGAGACAAUGUGUGGAGGAGAUUUCAUGAGCAAAAAUCCAGAGGAAGCUAUGGAUUUCUUGAGCUAUGUAGCUGAUGUUUCAAGGGGAUGGGAUGAACCAACUAAAGGAGAAGUGGGAAAGAUGAAGUCUCAGUUGAAUGCUUACAAUGCAAAGGCUGGGAUGUAUACUUUAAAAGAAGAUGAUGACAUGAAAGCAAAGUUGGCAACUAUGACAAGAAGAUUGGAGGAGCUGGAACUGAAAAGAAUACAUGAAGUGCAAGCUGUUGCUGAAGCACCAGUGCAAGUGAAGCUGUGUCCUAAUUGUCAAUCAUUUGAACAUUUGGUGGAGGAAUGCCCUGCAAUUUCAACUGAAAGGGAGAUGUUUAGAGAUCAAGCAAAUGUUGUUGGACAAUUCAGGCCCAAUAACAAUGCGCCAUAUGGAAAUACCUACAACUCAAGUUGGAGGAAUCAUCCAAAUUUCUCAUGGAAGGCCAGAGCAACUCAAUACCAACAGCCGGAUCCACCAUCUCAACAAUCUUCAAGUAUUGAACAAGCAAUAGCCAAUCUCAGCAAGGUAAUGGGAGAUUUUAUUGAAAAGCAAGAAGCCACUAAUGCUCGAGUCGAUCAAAGAAUUGAUAGAAUGGAGAGUAUGUUGAAUAAAAGGAUGGAUGGAAUGCAAAAUGAUAUGAACCAAAAGUUUGACAACAUCCAGUAUUCAAUUUCAAGGCUUACAAAUUUGAAUACACUGCAAGAAAAGGGAAGAUUUCCUUCUCAACCUCACCAAAAUCCCAAGGGUGUCCAUGAAGUGGAAAGCCAAGAGGGAGAGUCAUCACAGAUGAAAGAUGUCAAAGCCUUGAUCACUCUAAGGAGUGGUAAGAAAAUUGAGCAGCCAAUACCCAAGCCACAUGUUGAGAAAGAAGAAGAGAUAAAGAAAGGGAAUGAAAUGGAAGAUAAAGAGUGUGAGAUCAGUGAAGAAAAGAAGGACUCUGAUUCAACAAUGAAAGCAAUUCCAGAGAAAGAGCUUCUGAAGGAAGAAAUGCUGAAGAAAUCAACUUCUCCACCUUUUCCCCAAGCAUUACAUGGGAAAAAGAGGAUUAGAAAUGCAGCUGAAAUCCUUGAAGUCUUGAGGCAAGUGAAAGUUAAUAUUCCACUGCUGGAUAUGAUUAAACAAGUUCCAACAUAUGCAAAAUUCCUAAAGGAUUUAUGUACUAUCAAAAGAGGGUUAACUGUAAACAAGAAAGCCUUCUUGACUGAGCAAGUAAGUGCAAUCUUACAGUGUAAGUCUCCUUUGAAGUACAAAGACCCUGGAAGUCCUACCAUUUCAGUCAUGAUUGGAGGAAAGGUAGUGGAGAAAGCCCUGUUAGAUUUGGGAGCAAGUGUGAAUUUGCUUCCAUAUUCCGUCUACAAGCAAUUGGGACUUGGAGAGUUGAAGCCAACAGCAAUCACUCUAUCUCUGGCAGAUAGAUCGGUGAAAAUUCCAAGAGGGGUAAUUGAGGAUGUAUUGGUUCAAGUGGAUAAUUUCUACUAUCCAGUAGAUUUUAUUGUUCUUGAUACAGAUCCUACUGUAAAGGAAGCUAAUUUAGUUCCUAUCAUCCUUGGAAGGCCAUUUCUUGCAACUUCAAAUGCAAUCAUCAACUGUAGAAAUGGGCUUAUGCAACUCACUUUUGGUAACAUGACACUGGAUCUCAAUAUUUUCUACAUGUCUAAAAAGCAAAUCACUCCGGAGGAAGAAGAAGGUCCAGAAGAGCUAUGUAUAAUUGAUACUUUGGUGGAGGAGCACUGCAAUCAACAUAUGCAAGAAAAGUUGAAUGAAAGUCUUGAGGAUAUUGAGGAAGGUUUUUCUGAAUCUCCUAUUGGGCUUGCUACUCUACAAAGUUGGAGAAAGAUAGAAGGAAUUCUACCUUUGUUCAAUAAGGAAGAGGAGGCAGCUGUUGAAAAAGAAAUUCCAAAACUCAAUCUGAAGCCUUUACCUGUGGAGCUGAAAUAUACAUAUCUUGAAGAAAAUAAUCAAUGUCCUGUUGUGAUAUCCUCAUCUCUGACCAGUCAACAAGAGAAUUGUUUAAUGGAAGUUCUCAAGAGGUGUAAGAAGGCAAUAGGAUGGCAAAUAUCUGACUUGAAAGGCAUUAGUCCUUUAGUUUGUACUCAUCAUAUAUAUAUGGAGGAGGAAGCAAAGCCAAUUCGUCAAUUUCAAAGAAGGUUGAAUCCUCAUCUACAAGAGGUGGUGCGAGCUGAAGUGCUGAAGCUACUUCAAGCAGGAAUCAUUUACCCUAUAUCUGAUAGCCCUUGGGUGAGUCCUACUCAAGUGGUACCAAAGAAGUCAGGGAUCACAGUGAUUCAAAAUGAAAAAGGGGAAGAAAUUACUACACGCCUCACUUCAGGUUGGAGGGUGUGUAUUGAUUAUAGAAAGCUGAAUGCUGUCACUAGGAAAGAUCAUUUUCCAUUGCCAUUUAUUGAUCAAGUGCUGGAGAGAGUCUCUGGACAUCCAUUCUAUUGUUUCUUGGAUGGGUAUUCAGGGUAUUUUCAGAUUGAAAUUGAUUUGGCAGAUCAAGUAAAGACCACUUUUACAUGUCCAUUUGGAACAUAUGCUUAUAGAAGAAUGCCUUUUGGUUUAUGCAAUGCACCUGCUACAUUUCAAAGAUGUAUGUUGAGUAUUUUCAGUGAUAUGGUGGAGCGAAUUAUGGAGGUUUUCAUGGAUGACAUCACCGUAUAUGGAGGUACAUUUGAGUAAUGCUUGGUUAAUUUGGAAGCAGUUCUUCAUAGAUGCAUUGAAAAAGAUCUGGUGCUCAACUGGGAGAAAUGCCAUUUUAUGGUACGUCAAGGAAUUGUCCUUGGCCAUAUCAUCUCUGAAAAAGGCAUUGAAGUUGAUAAAGCAAAGGUGGAGCUUAUUGUCAAAUUACCAUCUCCAACAACUGUAAAAGGAGUAAGGCAGUUCCUUGGCCAUGCAGGGUUCUAUAGGAGGUUUAUAAAAGGUUUUUCAAGUCUUUCAAAACCUCUUUGUGAGCUGUUAGCUAAGGAUGCUAAGUUUAUAUGGGAUGAAAGGUGUCAGAAUAGCUUUGAUCAACUGAAGAAAUUUUUAACAACUACUCCAAUAGUGAGAGCCCUUAACUGGCAAUUACCUUUUGAACUGAUGUGUGAUGCCAGUGACUUUGCUAUAGGAGCUGUGCUUGGCCAAAGAGAAGAUGGGAAGCCCUAUGUGAUUUACUAUGCAAGUAAAACACUGAAUGAAGCUCAAAGGAACUACACAACUACAGAGAAAGAAUUGUUAGCUGUGGUAUUUGCUUUGGACAAAUUUCGUGCUUAUUUAGUGGGGUCUUUCAUCAUUGUCUUCACUGACCAUUCAGCCUUGAAGUAUUUAUUGACAAAGCAAGAUGCAAAAGCAAGGUUGAUUAGAUGGAUUCUUCUGUUACAAGAAUUCGAUCUUCAAAUCAAAGAUAAGAAAGGAGUGGAGAAUGUAGUAGCUGACCACUUGUCAAGGUUAGUUAUAGCACAUAAUUCCCAUCCCUUGCCUAUCAAUGAUGAUUUUCCUGAAGAAUCACUCAUGUUUCUAGUGAAAACUCCUUGGUAUGCUCAUAUUGCCAAUUAUUUAGUAACUGGUGAAAUUCCAAGUGAGUGGAAUGCACAGGACAGGAAGCACUUCUUUGCCAAAAUUCAUUCUUAUUAUUGGGAAGAGCCCUUUCUCUUUAAGUAUUGUGCAGAUCAGAUUAUUAGGAAGUGUGUCCCCGAAGAUGAGCAGCAAGGGAUUCUAUCUCAUUGUCAUGAGAAUGCAUGUGGAGGCCACUUUGCCUCUCAGAAAACAGCCAUGAAGGUAUUGCAAUCAGGGUUUACUUGGCCAUCUCUUUUCAAAGAUGCCCACAUCAUGUGAAGAAAUUGUGAUAGAUGCCAAAGGCUUGGAAAGCUAACAAAAAGAAAUCAAAUGCCUAUGAACCCCAUUCUGAUAGUAGAGUUAUUUGAAGUAUGGGGCAUUGACUUCAUGGGACCUUUCCCAAUGUCUUUUGGUAAUCCAUAUAUCUUGGUGGGGGUAGAUUAUGUUUCUAAAUGGGUUGAGGCAAUCCCCUGUAAACAAAAUGAUCACAGGGUGGUUCUCAAGUUUCUUAAAGAGAACAUUUUCUCAAGAUUUGGGGUGCCCAAGGCCAUAAUCAGUGAUGGAGGUGCUCAUUUUUGCAACAAACCUUUUGAAGCUCUGUUAUCCAAGUAUGGAGUGAAGCAUAAGGUGGCUACACCUUAUCAUCCUCAGACUUCCGGGCAAGUUGAGCUAGCUAAUAGGGAAAUAAAGAACAUCUUGAUGAAAGUGGUGAAUUCCAACAGAAAAGAUUGGUCUAUUAGGCUUCAUGAUUCAUUGUGGGCAUAUAGAACAGCUUAUAAGACUAUUCUUGGGAUGUCUCCCUAUCGUCUUGUCUAUGGCAAAGCAUGUCAUCUCCCUGUGGAAGUUGAAUACAAAGCUUGGUGGGCAAUAAAGAAGCUGAACAUGGACUUGAUCAAGGCAGGAGAAAAGAGAUUUCUAGACCUUAAUGAGAUGGAGGAAUUAAGAAAUAAUGCUUAUAUCAAUUCCAAAGUUGUAAAACAGAGGAUGAAGAAAUGGCAUGACCAACUCAUCUCUAACAAGGAAUUUCAGGAAGGGCAAAGAGUUUUGAUGUAUGACACAAGACUCCAUAUCUUUCCUGGGAAGCACAAAUCGAGGUGGAUAGGCCCGUUUGUUAUUCACCGAGUAUGGUCCAAUGGAGUGGUGGAAUUAUUGAAUUCCAAUGGCAAGGAUAGCUUUAAAGUCAAUGGAUAUCGUCUCAAGCCAUUCAUGGAGCCAUUCAAAUCAGAAAAGGAGGCAAUCAACCUCCUUGAGCCUCAAAAAGUCUAAGCAAAGAAGGGUUUGCUAGACGUGGUUUUACCACAGUCCAAAAUUUUUGUAAAUUUUGUAAAUUUUCAAGUUGUUUCCAUAUUUUUGAUCUUAGUUUUUGAUCUUAAAUCAUGUUUUUAGGUGUGUUUUAAUUGUUUUGAAUGAUCCCAGGUGGAAGAAAUUUCAAGGAGAUUGAAAGAAAAAAAAAUCGGGUCGAAAUCAGAGCCAAAACAGAGGAAAAACAGAGGAAAAACAGGGGAAAAACAGAGCUCUGCGAAAUUUCGCAGAGUGAAGGAAACCUCUGCGAAAUCAGCACUAUGCUGCAAAUCCAUUCCGCAGCACUGUAGAAGUCUCUGCGAGGGUAUUUCGCAGCUACGAAAGCAAAUUUGGCACACGAGUGCCACUUCGCAGUACAGUAGCAUCCAUUUGGUAGCUGCGAAACACAUUGCGAAAUGGAAAAGCGUGAUUUCGCACCAAAAGUCCCAUUCCGCAGGGUAUUUCGCAAUUGCGAAAGUGGUUUUGGCACACGAGUGCCACUCCGCAGCACAGUAACAUCAAUUUCGCAGCUGCGAAACUCACUGCGAAGUUGCUGCGAAAAUGGCAUUUUGCUGCGAAAUUGGCGUUUUGUUGCGAAACUCAAACUGACACUUAGGCUUCCGUUUUUCCUAUUUAUACCGGUCAUUUGAGCUGCGAAAAGGGUUUCAAAAAUCAGAGCACCAUUCUCGCAGCCUCUUCGUCUUCUUCAGUGAGCCUCGCCGUCCAAACCCCCGGUCAUCCUCUCAGAUCAUCUACGUCAGCCAAAGUUCGGUAGCCUAAAAUGGCGCGAACACGAGGGGCUAAGUCUUCUUCUCCUUCGAACCGCAAGAAGAGUCUGCGAAAGGAGCCAAGUCCAGGUUCUGUUCCAGAACCUGCUCCAGAGCCCUCGCCGUCGAGACCAAUUCCUCCUCCGGUGAAGCCCGUGCCACCAAAGCCGCCGGCAAGACGAUAUCUAACCAGGUCAGGAGGUAGGCCAUUACAGAAGAGACCCAGGGUGGAGAGCUCAGAACCCAUCGAUUUGACUGAGCAAUCUCCAGAGCCUUCACCAAUCCCAUCACCGGUUCAAACUCCAGUGCCAUCUCCGGUUCCCUCGCCAAGUCCCCUGCCAGUUCCAUCGCCGGUACCAUCUCCAACGCCGCAAGAAAAAUCUCAGGAGCCCCAAGCGCCACUUCCCGAACCCCAAAUUCAAGCUGAAACAGCUCUGGAAGAAGUAAUUAGGAGGCCAAUGCUACCUCAGCCCCCAAUUGAAGGAAACUUGGAUUGUCGAACUCGAGCAUUCCAUUCCGAGCUUUGUUUCGACUUAGCAGCAUUCAGAGUGAGGCCGGAGCUUGCCCAAUCAUUCCAGCUGCUGAGGAGGUAUCAUAUGGAGCAUCUGCUAGCUCCAAGAGACUUUUUCUAUCCCCGAAUAGCCACGGAUUUCUACCAAUCCAUGACAACCAAAGAGGUCAGGAAUCCAACCUUGAUUCAUUUUACUAUCGAUGGGAGACAUGGUAUAUUGGGAGCACGACAUAUUGCUGAAGCCCUGCAAAUUCCCUUUGAGCCAACCCAAUUCGAUAAUUUUAGAGCUUGGGCAAAUCCUACUGAGCUAGAGAUGGUUCGCACCCUUUCUAAAGGAGCUGCAAAUCGAUCACAUCUGCUGAGGGGGGAGCUUCCUCCAGUUAUGUUUUUGAUUGAUGCCUUUUUGAGGCAUAAUAUCUAUCCAUUGCAGCAUUGGACCCAAAGAAGGGGAGUCCUCCUGGAAGCUCUUUACAAGAUGUCAGAAGGAUUUUUCUUUGGGCCUCAUCAUCUGAUCAUGGCAGCCCUUCUCUAUUUUGAAGAGAAGGUGGACAGAAAGAAGCUUCAAAGAGCUGAUUGCAUUCCCCUCCUCUUCCCAAGGCUGCUAUGCAAAAUUUUGGAGCAUAUGGGAUAUCCCUUUGAGCCUCAGCUGGAGAGAAAGCGAAUAUGCCGUGAGCCAUUCACUCUUGAUAAAUGGAACAAUAUGACGACCUACAAAAUUGAUCAGCCUGGGCAGCCUCAGCCAGCUGCAAGGAGAGCAUCCCCAAGACAUAUACCCGAAGGUAUAACAGUUGCUGCUCUUGCCAUUCCUAGAGCUCCUCCAGCUGCACCUGCUUCAUCUCAGCCAUCCACAUCAGCUGAGCCGAGGAUGGCUAUUCCUAUAUCUGAAUAUCGAGAGUUGUGCCGUGCAUUGGAGACUCUUACAGCUUCUCAGAGCAGUCUUGCUCAAGAGAUGGCAGCCAUCAGAGCAUGCCAAGAGAAGAUGUUAGCCACUCAGGCUCAACAAGCUGCCAUCUUAAGGCAGCUCUAAGUCCAUUUCGAUCUGCCACAAGCUGUAGAGCCCUCCACUGAUACUCCAGCAGAGCCACACUCUCAGCCUUCAGAAUCUCAUCCUCCAGAGCCAGAAGCCCCAGCUGAUCUACUAAAAAGGCAGCAGAUCCAUCUGCCUAAUUCUAGCCACAACCCCACUCAUCAGACUACUAUCUAUCUAAUAUUUCUAUGUAUUUCGUUUUUUUUAGUUGAAAAGAAGUCCCAGUAUUUUGGUACUAUAUAUGGGAUUCCUUGUGUUACUUGUCCUUGGCACUAUACUCGAAUGAAUUGAAAGUAAUACAAGUUGAAUAUUUCUUGUUUAAAGUUAGCAUUAAGUUAUUCUUAUUUCCUUUUCUCACAUAUUCUAUUCUUUUUGAAACAUGUGGUUUUCCCCAAUCAAUAUUCGAAUUUGAUAUCAGCAAGGAGGUACCACUUCCUCCCUUUAAUUACAGUCACUCAUAUCACAUUGAGGACAAUGCUCAGUUCGGUUGGGGGGAAUGAGGAAGGAAGUAUGCUAAAUCUUUUUGGUAUUGCAAGUAUAUUGGUUAAUUAGUUGUAGUUUUUGCUUUUUACUCUUGUUACUCUAUUCUCCAUGAAUUUUGAGGAAAAAUUUUCAAAUUAAACCAAGAGAAAUUGAACUGUUGUUUUUCACUUGACUUAGAGUAUGGAUUAUGCUUACUAAAGUGGUUCAAUUGUUGAAGCUUCUAUUGAAAUUGAAUUGAGUUCUUCCACUUUAAGCUAUCCACACAAUGUGCACAUUAGAUUCCGAUUAUAAGAUGAAAAGCUAUUUCCCUCCUGACUUAGGAUAAUUUUGGGACUUGGUAUAUUUGACCUCAUUUGAUAAAAAUUGAAACACCCUGCAAAAGGCCAAAGAGCCUUUGAAAUAAAGAAAGUUGUUUGCUUGCCUUGAAACCCGAGUAAGGUCUGAGGGGUAUAUGGUGAAAAUCUUUAAAGCCUGGUGCCCUAAGCCUUAAUUGGUUGGGAGUCACCGACCUCAAUGCUCAUUAUAAGGGUGAAUAGGUAAAGUUAGCAUAUGGUAGAUGCUUGGGUAUUAGAAAUUCAUUCUUAAAAGUCCGGGGAAAAAUCCGAGGAGUUAGUGGUUGAAAGAUCCUUAAAGCUUGGUGCCCUAAACCUUAAUUGGUUGGGAGUCAUCGAUGGACCCCCAUUACAUGGACAAGUCAGAAAGAGUACCCCAUAAAGCUACCUUGAAAAAAAAAAAAAAAAAAAAAAAAAGGUGUGUUCUUUUCUUAUUGAUUAUGGUCAGAUUAUUGCUAAAGUGUUAAAAAGAGAUAGGUUGGGGGGUGAGAUUAGUAGCAUAUUAUUCUCGGAAGCUAAGGAACUAAUACACAUAGAUUUGUGUGGAAGAUUAAAGUUUGAUUCUUAGGAAGUGGAAAUGAUUUUAAAACUUCAGUUUGCAUAAUGCACUCCCUUGAUUGAUAGUGUUUAGCAUAGUUUGUUAUGACUCUUGUUGAGAUUUGGGUUUGUAUUUCUUUAAUGCUUCAUGUGAGAAUUAGAUCAUCAUGCCACUUGAGAAUUAUUUUCUUUCAGCAUGAUGUUGUAAAUUUUAGAUUAGUUUGCUAUUUAUUUUCAUUUUUCUCUCCUAUAUUGCUAAGGGACUAGCAAUAUGUCGGUUGGGGGGAGUGAUUACUACUCAAAAAGUGCUAUUUGAUAGCCUAUAAUUAAUCCUUUUAAACACUUUUGAGUAGUAGUUUAGGCCUUUUAACUCAAUUGGCAUGUUAAGGAUCCUUUAAAGCAAUUUUAAUCACUUUGUGCAAGUUUUGGUGUUUUUGUUAGUAUUUUGAUCACCAAAGCAAGUCAAGACUGAGGAGAGCUAUGAGGAAUCUUGGGCAAAGCUUAGAAGUCAUUUUCCAAGAGUGAAUCCGGAUUGUAAGGAGAAAAAGCAAAGAGAAUCUGCCAUAGAGCAUAUUCUUGAUGACAGUCACAGAGGCCACUUUUGGAGCACUUUCUGAAGUCCAAAUGAUGCAUGCUAUAUACCAUUUCAAAGCUCAGGAAGUCAACAAUCCAAUGCUUCAAACGGUGUGCAAUUCGGAGUUGAAACGAAGAAGUUGCAGCCAUUACAAGCCAAUCACUCAGAGCUGAAGGAAGCAUUUUGCAAAGUGCUGCGAAAUCACCCUUUUGUUGCGAAGUGAUUUCGCAGCAUUUUUGUACAGUAAGUUGUUUCUCCUUCUGACGAUGCACGAUUUAUGCCGCGAGAAGGAAGCUAGGAACCUCAAGGUGGAAGCCAACUUCGCAGCCCUGUGAAGAUAGCUUGGUGUUGCGAAAAUAUUUCGCAGCCCUCUUGAGUGUCUGCGAAAUCUCGCAGACACCAUUUUUCUCCUGUGAAAUGGUUCCUGAAGCCUCCCGAUAUUUGCUACCGACAUUGGGAGAUAUUUUCCAUUAGAUUUUUGUUGUCUAAAUCCCAAAAUACUCCUUGUAAACCUCCAAUUACAAGAUUCCUUAGCUUUUAAGUUAGUAAAAAGACUAAAUAUCUUUGUAACAAUUAGUUUUAUAUUAUGUUCAUAUAUAUACCUCUCGGGAGCCUGUUCUCGGAGAGGAGUUCCUUCUGAAAAAGUUUGGGUAAGCAAGUAAAGUCUAUUUUCUUUCUACUGCCUUACCUUAUCACUUUGUAUUUUCAUUUCAUUUCUAAGUUAUGAAUUCUCUGAGGAGUUUUCCCCAGAGAAUGAGUAACUAAACCUCUAGUUCCUUGGAGCUAAGGUUGCCGGGGAAGGUUCCAAGUGCACGAAUGCAAAGCUUUGUGGUUUUAGCUUUUAAUGAAGAGGAAGUGAAAUCCUUUAAUGAUUUCUAUGUUUUUAGUUAACUUAAAACACCUUAGAGUCACCUGGGCCAACACUUGGUAAGGCAAGUGAUUUCCAACCAUGGAAAUGCACUAGUUUACCUCUUGCGAGCCUCUGGGAGGUGAUUUCAAGGUAGGAUUUUCUGGAAUUACCAACACUUGGUAAGCUUUUGGACUCCUAGGAGACAUCCAUUAGUUAUCUCUUGCGAGUUUGUGAAGGGAAGUCCAAGAUUAAAGAUCAUCUUGAAUGGUAAGUGCUCGUGAGAGGCAUGAACCAUUGCAAGUUGCAUCAGUGAGAGAAUUAAAGUGAAAUCUAAUUGAAGGAGUCUCUGUACAACACCGGUUAGAGAAUUGACUAUAUGUUGAAUCUCUAACGCGAGGAAAUGAACCAUCUGACCGGAGCUAUGUCUUUUGCAUGAGGAAUCACCCCAGUGAACCUAACUCUCCAGGGAAUGCUUUUCUUCCUAAAUUAUUCCAAACUUCUGUUAUGUUAGUUAGUUUAAGUAUAAACCUUUACCAAUCAAAGUUUGUGUUUUACUUCUUAAGCUAACCGUGAAAUGAAACAAGACCAAUUCACUUGGAAUUGGUAUCAUUGAUAGCUUGCUAAUCCUUCCCAGUGAACGAUCCUAGAGCCGCUAUACUAUAGUAGCUUUUUCUUUGCUACCCUAGUAUAUGGUGUAAUAGGUAUAAAUUUUGUUGAUUACUCCCUCAUCCAAGGAGCACCAGCUGGACAUGAAUCAGUUGAGACACCAAUUGGGCACGAAUCAACAACAACAUAAAGGAUGGUUGUUUCUUGAACCGGUAUAGAUUUAACAAUGAAGAUUUAAUCCAUAAAAAGUCAAUAGAAAUGGUAGUCAAGUUCCAUUAAUGGCUUUAGACACUAUGGGUCUUCACCUUGAGCCACUUUCCAAUGGCUCGUACAUGAUAACUAAUGGUCUUAUGUGGAUCUAGCAAUAAGUAUCCACAGAGACCUAAAAGCUUAUCAUGUAUUGGCCAUUCAAAGUGAUUCAAAGGGAUUUAAAGCAAAACUUUAGAUUUUAAAAACCAUUUAUGAACUCCAACUACCUGUAUUUAAAGCACUAGAAUUUUCCACUUUUGCAUCUGGACUUUUCACCUAGCUUCCUUCACUCCAAGAAACUAAAGGUUUAGCCUCUCAUCCUCUGGGAAAACAUCCUCAGAGGUUGUUUGGCUUCCAAGAAAAAGAAAAUACAAUAAAAAAGAGAAGGUAAAAGCAGAGCAAAGCUCUGUAUUUUUCUUCAUUUCAAAACUAUACAAAAGAUGUGUCGUCCUCCUUCCCCUGAGAACAGGCUCCCAAGAGAUAUUUAUAUAGAAAAUUACAAAACAAAAUAUCUUUUGGAUAUUCAUCCUUUUUCCAAACUUAAUAACUAAGGAAUCCUAUAAUUGGUGGAUUACAAGGAGAGUUUGGGAAUUUAGACAUCAAAUAUCUAAAGCAAAAUAUCUCACAAUGUCGGUCGCAAAGAUGGGAAGCUUUAGGAGAAAACCACGGCACUGCAAGAUGGCCGCAAAACUCUCCGGGUAAGCGUUAUCCUCGGAUCCGAAUAUGUAUAUCCGGAUAGUUGAAACGCCUUCUCUCCCAUCCGGAUAUGUCUACCGAAUAUGAGACAUCCGGAGAAGGUAGAACUUCGAUCGGACUGUGAUACAUCCGGGUAAGUGCUAUUAGAAAAGAGGAUCCGGAUAUGUCUGCUAGAGGAAGUUGAAACGCCUCUUUUCCCAUCCGGCUCCUGAAUUCCGGAUGUCAUCCGGAAUGAUGGCGGCGCUGGAUGUAAGUGGCAGUAGCCGGAUUCCGGAUGUGAUACAUCCUGGUGGUAAGUGGCGGUAGCCGGAUGGAAUUCUUACCCGGAUGGAAUGAGCUGGAUCCCAUACUCCUUGUAUUCUGGAUUUGCUUAAGGAUUCCAAAGAACUCUCCUCAAUCUCAUAUUGCUUUGGUGAUAAAAAAGCUAUCAAAACACCAAAACUUAACACAAUUUGAUUAGAAUUGAUUGCAAGGGUCCUUAACAUGCCAAAUGGGUUAAAAGGUAAUAACUACUACUCAAAAGUGUUUAAAAGAGUUAAUUACCAGUUAUGAAAUAACACUUUUUGAGUAGUAAUCACUCCCCCCAACCGACAUAUUGCUAGUCCCUUAGCAAUGAAGGAGAGAAAAAUAAAAAUAAACAAUACUAUAAUUUACAACAUCAUGCUGAUCAAAAAACAAUUUCCAAGUGGCAUGAUGAUCUAACUCUCACAUGGAACAUUAAAGAAAUAAAACUCAAACUUCAACAAGAGUUAUCAAAUAACUUGUCUAAUCACUAUUCUUAAAGAGAAGACAUUAUGCAAACUUAAGCUUUAAAAUCAUUUCCACUUCCAUAGGAUCAAACCUUACUCUUCCACAAAAAUCUAAGUGUUAUUUAUUAGCUUCUGAAUAUAGUAUGUUGAACUAAUCUCUCCCCCAAACCUAGUUCUUUUUCAAAGCUUCGCAAACUGGUCAACCUCCAAUAGGCUAAGAACGCACCUCUUUUUUUCACAAUUUUUUUCUUGUAGGAGUACAAGGCUAAAGGUAUUUUUUUUCUAAAUUGUCCAUGUAACGGGGGUCCAUCGAUGACUCCCAACCAAUUAAGGCUUAGGGCAUCAAGUUUUAAGGAUCUUUCAACUACUAACUCCUUGGAUUUUACCCCGGACUUUUAAGAAUGAAUUUUUAAUACCCAAGCACCUACAGUAUGUUAAACUCCACCUAUCCACCCUUGUAACGAGCAUUGAGGUCGGUGACUCCCAACCAAUGAAGGCUUAGGGCACCAGGUUUUAAAGAUUUUCACCAUAUACCCCUUAGACCUUGCUCGGGUUUCAAGGCAAGUAAACAUUUUUUCUUUCUUUUUUUUUUUUUUUCAAAGACUCAUUGGCCUUUUAUAAGGUGUCCCAACACUAUUAAAUGAGGUCAAAGGUACCAAGUCUAAAUUUUCCUAAGUUAAGAGGGAAAUAGUUUUUCAUCUUAUACUCGGAACCUAUUGUGCACAGUGUGUGAAUAGCUUAAAGUGGAAGAACUGAGGUUGAAUUCACUAAAAGUUUCAACAAUUCAUCAACUUUAGUAAGCAUAAUACAAAAUCUAAGUCAAGUAAAAAGACAAAAAUUCAAUUUCUCCCAUUUCAUUUUGAAAAUUUUUCCUUAAUAACCAUGGAGAGUAGAAAAAAACUUUAAAAAUUUUAAAAAUUAAGCAAAAAACAACUAAAUUACCAAAAUACUUAGCAUUAUUAACAAAAACUUCCUUCCUCAACUCUCCUCCCAACCAAGCUGAACAUUGUCCUCAAUGUGACAACAACGAUUGAACAAUAGGGAGGAAGUGGUGCCUCCUGAGUGGUAUGAAGUUCAAGUAGAAUAGGAGAACCCACAUGUUUCAAAAAACAAUAAAAGAUAUGAGUAGAGGAAUUAAAAAAAUAUAAUGCUAAGUGCUCACAAAUGAUAGAGAUUUGUAUUACUUGAUGGCAACACAAUUUUAUAUAAAAAACAAGCAAUACAACCAAUCCCACUAUAUAAUACCAAAAAUAUGGGAUUUCAUAAAGGAAAUACAUAAAGUAAAGUAUGUAAAUGAUCAGAAAUAGGGAGGAUGAUGAUGGUAAGCUGAUGGCUCAGGUAGAUGUCUCUGCAUCUUCAGUAGCCGGCUCAGGAGGGGCAUGGGGCUCCGUGGCCUCUGAGUGGGGCACUGCAGUGGUAGGGGUAAGAUGCUCAGUAGCUGAUGGAAGACCCAGAUGGUGCUGAAGCUGCCUCAGGAUGGCAGUGUGUUGAGUCUAGGUGGUCAAAAUCUGCUCCUAGUGAGCACGAAUAGCUGACAUCUCUUGAGCAAGGCUACUCUGAGUCGCAGUCAGUGUCUGCAAUGUGUGGCAUAGAUCUCUAUACUCUGAAACGGGUAUGGUCAUCCUAGGCUCGGCUGAAGUAGAGGGCUCUGAUGCAGUUGGAAUAACUAGAGGGGUACUAUGGGUGGCAGGAAAAGCAAAGGGUAUACCCUCAGGUAUGGGCUCUGGAGAUGCUCUCCUGGCAGCUGGUAUCUCAGCUGGCUGUGGGUCCUCUGGCUGCUGUGGCUGUGGAAGCUCUGGAUGCUCUGCUCUAUAUGCUGUCAUAUUGGUCCACUUGUCGAGAGUGAAUACCUCUUGGCAUAUACGUCUGCGCUCCAGCUGAGGGUCUGAUGGAUACCCCAGAUGCUCCAAAAUUUGACAUAGCAAUUGUGGGAAAAGAAGUGGAAUAGCAUCUGCUCUUAGCAGCUUCUUCCUAUGCACCUUCUCUUCAAAGUAGAGAAGGGCAGCCAUAAUCAGAUGGUGAGGGCCAAAGAAAUAUCCCUCUGAUAUCCUAAACAGGGCCUCUAGCAGAACUCCUCUCCUCUGCACCCAAUGCUGAAGUGGAUAAAUGUUGUGGCGCAGGAGUGCAUCAAUGAAGAACAUGCUCGGAGGAAGUUCCUUCCUCAACAGAUAUGGAUUUGUGGAUGUUCCUCUGGACAAAAUAUGAACCAUUUCAAGCUGGGAAGGAUUAGUCCAUACUCGGUAAUCCUUUAGACGGGCUGGCUCAUAUGGAAUAUGCAGGGCCUUUGCUAUGUGGCGAGCUCCUAAAAUACCAUGACGUCAUUCAAUGGUGAAGUGGAUAAGAGUAGGAUCUUUGAUCUGAUUAAUAGUCAUGGACUGAUAGAAGUCCAUUGCUACUCGGGGAUAGAAAAAAUCCCUGGGGGUCAGCAAUUGCUCCAUGUGAAAUCUGUGUAGUAGAUGGAAUGAGUCUGCGAGCUUCGGCUGAAACCUGAAGGUGGCUGUGUCAAAACACAGCUCAGAGUGAAAUGGUCGAGCCCGACAAUCUAAAUUCCCCUCAAUGGGCGGCUGAGCGACCAUCGGACGCUUGAUCAGCACCUCAGGAGCUAUCCCUGAGGGAAUUUGAGACUUUGCAAAUGGCGGUUGCGACGGCUGAGGCUCCACUGGAUUCUCUGAAGAUAGCGCCGGAGACAGCUCUGUAGAUGGGUCCGGAGAGGGCUCUGGAGAGGAGUCCAGAGACUGCUCCGUUAAGUCUAUUGGCUCUGAAUCUACUACCCUAGCUUUCUUUUGUGGGGGAUGCCCCCUUGACCUGGUCUGAUAACGCUUCACCUAAGGACUCAACGGCGCGGGUUCCGCCGGAGGUGGUGCGGCUACUUAUCGCGGAGGCUCUGAUGUGGAGCCUUGAACAGGCGCCUCUCGCUCGACUCUCUUGCGGCCGGACGAAAAUGAUGACUUUGCUCCUCUGGUUCGCGCCAUGGCGGACCGAAGAGAAUGGUCAGAGGUGAUGGCCGGUGGCUCGCUCGGCUUCGGGCUCAGGUGAGAGAGCGAACGAACGGUUGCUCUGGUGUUUUUUCUUUCUGAAACCUUUUGGCAGCUCAAAUGACCGGUUUUUAUAAAAAAUAAAGGAAUAUAAAGGGUCAUUUUGAUUUUCGCAGAGGAAGGCUGAUUUCGCAGCAAAAGGUUGUUUUCGCAACAAAAGGCCAUUUUCGUAGCCCAUUUCGCAGCUGCGAAAUGGGGGGAACUAUGCUGCGAAAUGGCACUCGUGUGCUUAAGUGUGGUUUCGCAGCUGCGAAAAUUUUCGCAGAGAGGGGCUUGAGGCUGCGAAAUGAUUUCGCAGCAAAAUAGCGAUUUUGCAGCGAAGUGGCGAUUUCGCAGAGGCUUUUUUUAGGCUGCGAAAUCUCGCAGACCCUUGUUUUUCCCCUGUUUUACACUCUUUCUUGCUCCAAACGACUUUCCUUCAAUUUCUUUGCAAUGACUCCUGAUUUUGAUCAUCCAAAAACCUAUAUUACAUCAAAACAAAUUAGAAUGAAAUUAAGGUCAAAAAUAAAAAUCAAAACAUGCAUAUACACAAGAAAAAACACUAGAUUAAACUAAAAUCAACGCAAAAGGAAACAAAAAGAGGGUGAACUUUUUAGUCUUUGAAGAGACUAAAUUCAACCACGAACUGAGUGUUUUCAUGUUAGAGGUGGAUCAAGGAGGAUGAAUUCCUCCUUGUCUCGGGAAAAUGAUUCCAUAUAGGGCUUGAGACGAUGCCCAUUCACUUUGAAAGUUCGAGUGCUCUUGAAGUUGAGUAGUUCCACUACUCCAUUUGAUUGCACGUCAUGAAUUAUAAAAGGACCCGUCCACCUUGAUUUCAAUUUUCCCGGAAAAAGAUGAAGUUUAGAGUCAUAAAGCAAGACUCUUUGUCCCUUAGUAAAAUUCUUCUGAUUUACCAACUGAUCAUGCCAUUUCUUCAGCCUCUCUUUUGCAAUUUUUGAAUUGAGGUAAGCAUCAUUCCUCAUUUCCUCCAAUUCGUUCAAAUCCAAACAUCUCUUUAACCCGGCUCUUGUCAAAUCCAUGUUGAGCUUCUUGAUUUCCCACCAUGCUUUAUAUUCAACCUCCACUGGGAGAUGGCAUGCUUUGCCAUAAACAAGGCGAUAAGGAGACAUUCCAAGAAUGGUCUUAUAAGCGGUCCUAUAAGCCCAUAAUGAAUCCAGGAGCUUAAUAGACCAAUCCUUCCUAUUCACAUUCACCACCUUCAUCAAUAUAUUCUUGAUCUCCCGGUUGGCUAACUCAACUUGGCCACUUGUUUGAGGGUGAUAAGGUGUAGCUACCUUGUGCUUGACCCCAUAUUUGGCUAGAAGAGUCUUAAAAGGCUUGUUGCAAAAGUGGUUUCCUCCAUCACUGAUAAUGGCCUUAGGCACUCCAAACCUUGAAAAGAUGUUCUCCUUGAGAAAUUUGAGAACCACCUUAUGAUCAUUGCUCCUACAUGGGACUGCUUCUACCCACUUAGAGACAUAAUCCACUCCCACCAAAAUGUAGGAGUGUCCAAAUGACAUUGGAAAUGGUCCCAUGAAGUCUAUCCCCCAAACAUCAAAGACAUCCACUAUCAAGAUGGGGUUCAAGGGCAUCAUAUUUCGGCGUGUUAGCUUCCCAAGCCUUUGACACCGAUCACAUCCCUUGCACAUAGAGUGGGCAUCCUUGAAAAGAGAGGGCCAUCAAAAACCUGAUUGGACCACUCUCAUGGCUGUUUUCUAGGAAGCAAAAUGACCUCCACAUGCACUAUCAUGACAAUGGGAUAGAAUUCCUGAUUGCUCUGGUUCAGGAACACAUUUCCUUAUGAUUUGAUCCGCACAAUAUUUGAAGAGAAAAGGCUCCUCCCAAUAAUAGGCAUGGAUCUUAGCAAAGAAAUGCUUCUUGUCUUGGGCACUUCACUCACUUGGAACUUUUCCAGUAACCAAGUAAUUUGCAAUGUGAGAAUACCAUGGAGCUACCUCUAUUGACAUGAGAGACUCCUCAGGGAAGUCAUCAUUAAUAGGUAGGCCAUGUGAGUCAUGUGCUAUCACAAGUCUUGACAAGUGGUCAGCUACCACAUUUUCUACUCCCUUUUUAUCCCGGAUUUGGAGAUUGAAUUCUUGAAGCAAAAGGAUCCAUCUUAUCAAUCUUGCCUUGGCAUCUUGCUUGGUUAGCAAGUACUUCAAAGCAGAAUGGUCAGUGAACACCACUAUACAGGACCCUACUAAAUAGGCACGAAACUUAUCCAAGGCAAAAACUACUGCCAACAACUCCUUCUCAGUAGUUGUGUAGUUCCUUUGAGCCUCAUUCAAAGUUUUGCUUGCAUAAUAAAUCACAUAGGGCUUUCCAUCUUCUCUUUGCCCCAAAACAGCCCCCAUAGCAAGAUCACUUGCAUCACACAUUACCUCAAAAGGUAAUUUCCAAUUUGAGGCUCUCACUAUUGGUGCAGUUGUGAGGAAUUGCUUCAGUUCCUCAAAACUCUUCUGACAUUUCUCAUCCCACACAAACUUGGCAUCCUUUACCAAGAGUUCACAAAGAGGUUUUGAGAUUUUUGAGAAAUCCUUAAUGAACCUCCUAUAGAACCCGGCAUGUCCUAGGAAUUGCCUAAUUCCUUUAACAUUUGUGGGAGGUGGCAACUUAACAAUUAGCUCCACCUUUGCCUUAUCUACCUCAAUGCCAUUCUUGGAGAUUAUAUGUCCUAAGACAAUUCCUUGUUGUACCAUAAAAUAGCACUUCUCCCAAUUUAGCACUAGGUCUUUCUCAAUACAUCUUUGGAGAACAGCUUCUAAAUGCAACAAACACUCCUUAUAAGAACCUCCAUAUACAGUGAUGUCAUCCAUGAAGACUUCCAUGAUGCGCUCCACCAUAUCACUGAAGAUGCUUAGCAUACAUCUUUGGAAAGUUGCAGGUGCAUUACAUAGACCAAAGGGCAUCCUCCUAUAGGUAAAAGUACCAAAGGGGCAAGUGAAGGUUGUCUUUUCUUGAUCUUCCAAAUCAAUCUCUAUUUGGAAGUACCCCGAGUAACCAUCCAAAAAACAGUAGAAAGGAUGCCCUGAGACUCUUUCAAGGACUUGGUCCAUGAAAGGCAAUGGGAAAUGGUCUUUCCCAGUCACUGAAUUCAACCUCCUGUAGUCUAUACACACCCUCCAUCCUGAGGUAAGACGUGUAGAGACUUCCUCCCCUUUCUCAUUUUGGAUCACAGUAAUUCCAGAUUUCUUUGGGACUACUUGGGUUGGGCUCACCCACAAGCUAUCUGAAAUGGGAUAUAUGAUCCCUGCUUGAAGUAGCUUCAGAACUUCACCCCUUACCACCUCUUGCAUGUGAGGAUUCAACCUCCUCUGGGGCUGCCUCACUGGUUUAGCAUCUUCCUCCAUGAAGAUAUGGUGGGUGCAUACCAAAGGGCUAAUCCCUUUCAAAUCAGAAAUGUGUCAUCCAAUGGCCUUUUGCAUUUUUUGAGGACUCCCAAAAGACUAUCCUCUUGAUCACUUGUGAGAGUUGAAGAAACCACCAUUGGACAUUUCUCAUCUUCCUCCAAAUAUGCAUACUUCAAAUCAACAGGAAGUGGCUUCAAAACUAGUUUUGGAGGGUCCUCCCUAGCUGCUCCUUGUGAGUCCUCCUUAUUGAACAAGGGUAAGAUCUCUUCCCUUCUCCUCCAAGGAGACAUGACGACUAACACAUCAGAGGGUUCAGGUAACCCUUCUUCAAGCACUCCAAGGCUUUCAUUCAAGCUCUUUUCUAAAUUCUUGUCACAAUGCUCUUCAACCAAAGUGUUGAUCAAGUACGCCUCCUCCAAUCCUUCCUCCUCUUCGGGGUGAAGAUGCCUCUUGCAUAGGUGGAAUAUGUUUAGUUCCAAGGUCAUGUUUCCAAAUGUGAACUGCAUCACCCCAUUCCUACAAUUGAUGAUGGCAUUGGAGGUAGCUAGGAAAGGUCUCCCUAGGAUGAUUGGCACAUGAUUUGUUUCCUUAAUAGUGAGAUCAGUAUCAAGCACCACAAAAUCCACGGGAUAGUAGAAUUUGUCCACUUGAACUAAAACAUCCUCUAUCACUCCCCUUGGGAUUUUGACUGACCUAUCAACUAAGGAGAGAGUGACGGUUGUGGGCUUCAAUUCUCCAAGUCCCAGUUGCUUAUACACAGAGUAUGGGAGCAAAUUCACACUUGCCCCCAAGUCUAGUAAAGCCUUCUCCACAUGUGUCCCUCCAAUGUUGACUGAAAUGGUGGGACACCCCGGAUCUUUGUACUUAACUGGAGACUUACACUGAAUGAUGGCACUUACUUGCUCAGUGAGGAAUGCCUUCUUUGUCACAAUUAACCCUCUCUUGACCGUGCACAAGUCCUUUAAAAUUUUUGCAUAUGUGAGGACUUGCUUGAUCAUAUCAAGGAAGGGUAUAUUCACCUUCACUUGUCUCAAAAUUUCAAGAAUUUCUGAUGAAUUCUUGAUUCCCUUCUUUCCAUGUAAAGCUUGAGGAAAAGGGGGAGGCAUAUGUUUCUUCAUCAUAUCCUCUUUAAUCACUAUCCUUGGCUCAUCUUCAAUGCUUGAAUCAGAUGCAUUUUUCUUCCCACUCUUCUCUUCUUGGUUAUUGCUCUCUUUAACCAAGGUUCUCCUUGACAUGAGUUCUUCAUCUUGCCUCACCUUAGGCAAGGGUUGGUCAACCUCCUUCCCACUCCUCAAGGUGAUCACAGCUUUAACCUCCCUCAACUUUGAAGACUCCCCAUCUUGGGUUUCAACUUCAUGAACACCCUUUGGAUUUUGGCUUGGUUGAGAGGGAAACUUUCCUUUCUCAAUCACUGUGUUGAGGUUGGUAAGCGUAGAGAUGGAGUAUUGAAUAUUAUCCAUCUUCUGAGAUAGAUCAUUUUGCAUCCCAUCCAUUCUCUUAAUUUGAGAACUUUCAACAUUUUCAAUCUUUUGGUGCAAUUGGGAGUUGAUUGCCUUUUGUUCACCCACAAAGUCACCCAUGACUUUACUUAGGUUCACAAUGGCUUGCUCCACUGAAGAGGUUUGUUGAGGUGCUUGGGUUUGGGCUUGUGGUUGGUAUGGAGGUGGCCUUGGUUUCCAAGAAAAAUUUGGAUGGUUUCUCCAGCUUGAAUUAUAGGUGUUUCCAUAAGGUGCAUUGUUGUUGGGCCUAAAUUGCCCCACAACAUUGGCUUGAUCACCUAACAUUUCCCUAACAGCUGGGAUGGUUGGGCACUCAUCUACCACAUGAUCACAUGAUUGGCAAAUGGUGCAUGGCAUGACAUGGGCUUGUGUCUCGGAAAUGGCUUAGACUUCAUGCAUUUUUUUCAACUCAAGUUCUUCCAACCUCCUUGCCAUUGUUGCUACCUUAGCUUUCAUGUCCAUGUCUUCACUUAACAUGUACAUUCCAACCUUUGGAUUUACAGGAGCUUUCAUCCUUCCCAUUUCUCUUGAGUUGGGUUCAUCCCAUCCUCUUGAUACCUCAGAUACAUAACUUAGAAAGUCCAUGGCUUCUUCCGGAUUCUUACUCAUAAAAUCUCCCCCACACAUGGUUUCAAAAAUUUGCUUCAUGCAGGAAGACAUCUCAUCAUAAAAAUAGCUCACCAAGAGCCAUGUAUCAAAGCCAUGAUGAGGACAAGCAUUGAUGGCCUCCAUAUACCUUUCCCAACAUUCAUAGAACUUCUCAUUUUCUUUUGCAGAAAAAUUUGAGAUUUGUCUCUUCAACCUAUUGGUCCUAUGAGUGGGGAAAAAUUUCUUCAAAAAUUCGGCCUGAAGAUCAACCCAAUUCCUUAUGCUCCUUGGCCUUAAAGAGUUAAGCCAUAUUUUUGCCUUGUCCUUCAAAGUAAAAGGGAAUAGCUUGAGUCUCAUCAAGUCUAUUGAAGCUCCUCCCCCUCCAAAAGUAUUGCACACCUCCUCAAACUCCUUGAUGUGGGCAUAUGGGUUCUCACUCUCCAUUCCAUGGAAAUUUGGUAGGAGGGGCACAAUAUGAGGCCUUAUAAUCAGCUGCUCAAGAGGAGGUACGAUGCAUGAGGGUGCACUCAUCCUUGGUGGGUGCAUUCUAUCCCUCAUGGAUAGAUAUGCAUUUGGAUUAUCCCCUUGAACGUGUUGAGAAUUCUGAUCCUAUUGUGGAGGGUCCAUGAUGUUUACACAGAUAUCCAACUCUGUGUCUUGAGGAUUCUCAAUCCUUACUAGUCUUCCCUCUUGGUUCCGAAUCCAAUAGGGCAUGCACAAGUUACAACUUCCCUGAAAACAAAACAAAGACAACAAAAACAAAAGAAAACUAGAAGAAAAUUAAGGUUAGAAAGAAAAUGAAAGUAAACUUAACAAAAGGAAUUCUACAAUAAAAAAAAAAUGAAGUUAGUGAAAAAGGAAUUCACCAAACUUGUGAUGGAAAUCACAAGUAGCCUCUAAAAAGUUGUAUCACUAUAUCGUGGCACCAUCCCCGGCAACGGCGCCAUUUUGAUUGUGCCCAGUAGGGUAUUUUAAUCAAAAAUAUUUAUAAAUCCUAUGACCUUAUACUAGCGUAGCAAAGCUACUAUAGUAUAGCAUCUAUAGGGUCGAACUCUGGGAUGGGUUUUCAUUCUACCAGUGAUAAACUCAAGAUUAGAAAUUGAAUCUGAUGAUUUCCUUUGUCAAAAACUUAAAGUUUAAAAGAAAAUAAAAUUUGUUUUGAAAGUGGUGUUUGAAACUAAACUAACAUAGAACUAGGUAAAAAUGGAAGAAAGAAAGUCUCCCGGAGCUAGAGGUUGCUAGAAUCAAGUUCAGAAUGCAAAGUGGGAAAUUCCGGAUUUUUCUCCUCGUAUUAGGGACAACAACAUAAAGGAUGGUUGUUUCCCGAACCGGUAUAGAUUUAACAAUGAAGAUUUAAUCCAUAAAAAGUCAAUAGAAAUGGUAGUCAAGUUCCAUUAAUGGCUUUAGACACUAUGGGUCUUCACCUUGAGCCGCUUUCCAAUGGCUCGUACAUGAUAACUAAUGGUCUUAUGUGGAUCUAGCAAUAAGUAUCCACAGAGACCUAAAAGCUUAUCAUGUAUUGGCCAUUCAAAGUGAUUCAAAGGGACUUAAAGCAAAACUUUAGAUUUUAAAAACCAUUUGUGAACUCCAACUACCUGUAUUUAAAGCACUAGAAUUUUCCACUUUUGCAUCUGGACUUUUCACCUAGCUUCUCUCACUCCAAGAAACUAAAGGUUUAGCCUCUCAUCCUCUGGGAAAACAUCCUCAGAGGUUGUUUGGCUUCCAAGAAAAAGAAAAUACAAUAAAAAAGAGAAGGUAAAAGCAGAGCAAAGCUCUGUAUUUUUCUUCAUUUCAAAACUAUACAAAAGAUGCGUCGUCCUCCCUCCCCUGAGAACAGGCUCCCAAGAGAUAUUUAUAUAGAAAAUUACAAAACAAAAUAUCUUUUGGAUAUUCAUCCUUUUUCCAAACUUAAUAACUAAGGAAUCCUGUAAUUGGUGGAUUACAAGGAGAGUUUGGGGAUUUAGACAUCAAAUAUCUAAAGCAAAAUAUCUCACAAUGUCGGUCGCAAAGAUGGGAAGCUUCAGGAGAAAACCACGGCACUGCAAGAUGGCUGCAAAACUCUCCGGGUAAGCGCUAUCCUCGGAUCUGGAUAUGUAUAUCCGGAUAGUUGAAACACCUCCUCUCCCAUCCGGAUAUGUUUACCGAAUGUGAGACAUCCGGAGAAGGUAGAACUUCGGUCGGACUGUGAUACAUCCGGGUAAGCGCUAUUAGAAAAGAGGAUCCGGAUAUGUCUGCUAGAGGAAGUUGAAACGCCUCUUUCCCCAUCCGGCAUGAUGACGGCGUUGGAUGUAAGUGGCGGUAGCCGGAUUCCGGAUGUGAUACAUCCUGGUGGUAAGUGGCGGCAGCCGGAUGGAAUUCUUACCUGGAUGGAAUGAGCUGGAUCCCAUACUCCUUGUAUUCUGGAUUUGCUUAAGGAUUCCAAAGAACUCUCCUCAAUCUCAGAUUGCUUUGGUGAUAAAAAAGCUAUCAAAACACCAAAACUUAACACAAUUUGAUUAGAAUUGAUUGCAAGGUCCUUAACAUGCCAAUUGGGUUAAAAGGUAAUAACUACUACUCAAAAGUGUUUAAAAGAGUUAAUUACCAGUUAUGAAAUAGCACUUUUUGAGUAGUAAUCAGUCUCUUUAUCGCUUAGUCUAUGGCAAAGCAUGCCAUCUCCCUAUGGAAUUGGAAUACAAAGCUUGGUGGGCAAUCAAGAAACUCAACAUGGAUUUGAGCAGAGUUGGGUUGAAGAGGUUCUUAGACCUCAAUGAGAUAGAGAAAUUGAGAAAUGAUGCCUACAUCAAUUCAAAAAUUGCAAAAGAGAAAUUGAAAAGGUGGCAUGAUUAGUUGAUUUCCCGUAAGGAUUUUCGAAAGGGACAAAGAGUCUUGCUCUAUGACUCUAAGCUCCACAUCUUUCCGGGUAAGCUGAAAUCAAGGUGGAUAGGUCCUUUUACCAUUCACCAAGUGCAUUCAAAUGGAGUAGUGGAACUACUCAACUCCAACAGCACCAGAAGCUUCAAAGUGAAUGGCCACCGUCUCAAGCCCUUUGUGGAGCAUUUUUCUCGCGACAAGGAGGAAUUCAUCCUCCUUGAUCCACAUCAAGCUUGACAAGACCAAUCCUUUUGAUGGACUUAGUCUUUCUAAAGACUAUCGAGUCUAUAUCUUUUUGUUUUAUUUUUUAUUUGAGAGUUUUCCUGUAUUAUUACUUAUUUUUAUUUUUAUUUCUCGUUUUUAUUUUAUCUUGGUUUGAUUUAACUUAGGUUUUUGAUGAUCAAUUGUAGGGGGACUUCAAAUAGAGGAAAAACCAAGUAAAUUCGCACACACUGCGAAAUUUUCAUAGGGCAUGCGAAAUUCAUGAAUCAUUUUGCAUGGGGUGCGAAAAUAAAAACACCUUGCGAACUCAUUUUGCACACUUCGUGAAAUUUUCAUAGAGCAUGCGAAAAAUUUCGCACACCUAACACCAUUUGGCACACUGUACGAAAACCUAAGGGGUUUGCGAAGUAAUUUCGCACCCCAUAUGCCAUUUCGCAUGCUGUGCAAAACUCAAGGGACGCUGUGCAAAAAUGAAAAGUCCCUACCAUUCCUUUUUAAACCCCUGAGCCCUAAUUUCUCCAUUUCGCAAACACCAAACACCCUAUGAAUUCCUCAUUUUCCUCUGCCACCUUGCGACCUCAUCCAUAUCCAUUCAAUAUCCUGCCCCGUGCACAUCACUUUGAAGACUCACACUCCAAGCCAUAUUGGAGCACGGACCCGAGGAGCUCUUCCCGCCCCUUCACCGAGUCGCACUUUGAGACAAAUGGCCUCCACUGCUCAGGUAUCUAGUGAUUCUCCAUCUCAGGCCAUGGAGGCCCCGCGGAUUCCACCUUCUGAGGGUGGAGCGCCCACUAGUCCUUCAUUUUCGGCUCCUCAGCGCAGAUAUGAGAUGAAGAGACCACCUACUACACCAGGGGCGACUAUUUUACGCCCUGAGAGUUCAGUACGACGCCCUCCUACCAAGAGGGCUAGGACUUUAGGCUCAGACGAGUCAUCCAAAGCUCCACAGCCUGAGCCUCCGGUAGCUACACAUGCUAGAGCUCCUGCAGAUUCUGAGCUCCUUUUUGACAUGUCACUAGAGUCUAUUAUCAGACGCCCGAUGGUCACAACACCGCCCAUUGAGGGUAACUCAAAUUGUAGAGCGAGACCGUUCCACUCGGAGUUAUAUUUUGAUCAAGAGGUCACGCAACAGUAGCCUGAGCUCUGAGACUCAUAUGGCCUACUACAAAGGUACCAUCUUGAGCACCUUAUGACUCCUCGUGAGUUCUUUUAUCCUAAAGUAGCACUAGACUUUUACCAAUCCAUGACUACUCGUGGCGUCUCAAGUCCUACCGUGAUACACUUCACCAUUGAUGGACGUCAUGGUGUCCUCGAGGCCAGACAUAUUACAGAGGCUCUAUAGAUUCCUUUCGAGCCAGUGGAUCCGUUUGUUUUCUGCCAGUGGUCCCCAAUAUCUCAAAGGGACAUGGUCCGUAUUUGAUCCAGAAAGACCUCUUCAGAUUCAAUCCUUCUACGAAAGGAGCUUCCACCUGGGAUGCUCCUCAUAGAUGUGGUGCUAUGCUCCAACCUCUUUCCCUUACAGCAUUCGGUAUAGAGGUAAGGAGAUAUUUUGGACACUUUAUUUCGUAUAUCAGAGGGCUUCUACUUUGGCCCGCACCACUUGAUCAUGGCCUUUCUUGCCCACUUUGAGGAGAAGGUCCAUAGGUGAUUCGUGCCCAGCUGGUGUACCUUGAUUUUGGUCCUCAGACGGGAGUAAUCAACAAAAUUUAUAACCUAUUAUACCAUGUACUAGGAUAGCCUCAGCUAGCAUAGCAUAGUGCCUCUAGGAUCGUUCACUGGGAUGGGUUUUCACUUUACAAUUGAUAUUAGUUCAAAGCUGAAUUUGUGCUUUUUCAUUUCAAGGUUAGCUCUAAAAGAAAACAUAAAGAUGUUUGAAAAGGUUGGUUUUUAAGUGAAACAAAAAAUAAAGUAACGGGAAUUACUUACUAAGAAAAGCGUUUCUUGGAGUUUUAGGAUCACUGGGGUCAGGCUCCUCAUGCAAAAACAGAGCUCCUGUCACUUGAGUCUUUUCCUCGUGUUGGGGAUUUAACAUAUAGUUAUUUCCCGAACUGGUGUGGUACAGAUGCUUCCCUUUAAUGGGUUCAAACACUAAAUCCCUCUCACUGAUACAUCUUGCAAUGGUUCAUACCUCUCACCUAGCAUUGGCCAUUCAAGAUGAUCCUUAACUUUGGAUUACCCGUCAAAAGCUCGCAAGAGAUAACUAAUGGAUGUCUCCUUAGAGUCCAAAAGCUUACCAAGUGUUGGCUAUUCUAGAAAAUCCUACCUUUAAACCACCUCCCAAAGGCUCGCAAGAGGUAAACUAGUGCAUCUCAAUGGACGGAGAUCACUUGCCUUACCAAGUGUUGGCCCCGGUGAUUUCAAGGCGUUUUAAGUUAACUAAAAAGAUAAAAACCAUUAACGGGUUACACUUUCUCUUCAUUAGUAGCUGAAACAACAAAACUUCCAAUUUUUGCAUUUGGAAACUUACCCGGCUUUCUUCACUCCAAGAGACAAAAAGCUUAGCCACUCAUCCUCUGAGGAAACAUCCUUAGAGUUUGAUUUGUUAGAAAUAAAAAUAACGAGAAAACAAAAAUAUGAAGGAAAAACAGAGCAAGUGCUCUGUAGAAUAUUUUUCUUACUAUCGUCGAUUACAUAUCUGAUAUAUGAUUCCUCUUCUCUUUACAUUGGUUCAAAGAUAUAUAUAGAGAAGAUAUUUUCUAAGAAAUAUCCCAAUAAUAUCUUCGACUGAUUACAAGGAGAAAAUAGAAAUUUACACAAAAUAUCUUGAGAAAAAAUCUAACUUAGUCGGUGGCAAAUAUCUAAGUUUACACAGGUGGAUUUCACAAGUUUGAAUUGUCCAUUUUGCAAGUUGAAUUUGUGAUUUCACAACUUGGAGGUGAUUCCGCAACUUGGAGAUGAUUUGCAACUUGUUUCGUAGCUUGGAGGUGAUUUCGCAACGUGGUUCGCAGCUGCGAAGAUGGAGUUUCAACUUGCGAAGUGGCACACGUGUGCUUGGAGGUGGUUUCGCAGCUGUGAAACACCUUACUAAAUUUCGCAAGUAGAUUUUAUUUCGCAGCUCAUUUCGCAGCUGCGAAAUGGGCUUUGGGCUGUGAAAUUUUCGCAUAGCUUGAUGCAGUUGUCUUCAAACGGCCAUAACUUCUUCAUUUCAACUCCAAUUGACACAUCGUUUGAAGUGUUGGACUCCUGACUUCCUGAGCUUCGAAAAGACAUAUAGUAUGAAUGAAAUGGACUCCAGGAAGUACUCGAAAUGUGUCCAACAGUUGCUGUCCUCUUAAAUUUCUUCAUGUUAGAUUUCUCUCAUUUUCCUCCUUGCAUUCUUGAUUGACUUUGGCAAAGGACUACGAAGCUCCAAAGCUUGGAUUCUUCAUGUAAAUGAGCUUCCAUUUUCUUUGCCAUGGAUUAUAUAAAGCUCUCCCUCAUCUUAGAUUGCUUUGGUGAUCAAAAAGCUAUCAAAAACACCAAAACUUAACACAAUUUGAUUAGAAAUGAUUGCAAGGGUCCUUAACAUGCCAGUUGAGUCAAAAGGUAAUAACUACUACUCAAAAGUGUUUAAAAGAGUUAAUUACAAGCUAUAAAAUAACACUUUUUGAGUAGUAAUCAAUAGGAAGAAGCUUCAGAGGGCGGACACCAUUCCAUUACUAUUCCUAAGGUUGUUGUGCCAGAUAUUGGAGUAUAUGGGCUUUCCUACUAAGCCUCGGCUCAAGCGUCGUCGCCUUUGUCGAGAGCGAUUCACUCUCGACAAAUGAAAUUAGUUGGCGGGAUAUUCUGCACCUCCAGGAGCCCGUCCCAUGGUAUCACCUCCAGUGCCCCCAUAGCCAGAGCAGGGCAAGCUUCUGGCAGAGACUACACCACCAGUGCCCACACCUGAGGCUAUUUCUGCUACUCCCCCUAUGACUCCUACUGUUCCAUCACCAGUCACUCCUACUACAUCCAAGCCUUCCAUCACCAUAUCGGCUUCGAAAUUUCACACCCUUGUGCAUACCUUUUAGACACUGACCACCACACAUGCGGCUCUCUUCCAGUAGAUGGCUGACAUGCGUGCACAUCAGGACCAACAGACUGCUAUACUUCGCCAGAUUCAGCAGCACCUCAGACUUCUACCUCUACCUCAGCCUGAUCUUCUUGCAUCAUCAAAGCCUUUAGCUCCAACUGAGGACACUACCACGGUAGAGGUCCAGAUCCCACCACCUCAAGAGCCCACCACAAAUGCCAUUGCUUCACAUGAUCCUCAGGAUAACCCUCAGACAGUUAACACAAUCACAGCUACACCUGAGAAUGCAUCAUCUCCACCUGAGGCUCCCACUACUUGAUCAUAGGACAUCUCUUUAUCUUAUUGUAUUUACAUAUUAUAUUAGUGGAGAUUUGUCAUUGUUUUGAUGCUUUAUAUUCUGAGACUGGAUGUAUUACCUGAUCAUAUCUCAUAUUGUACUUUCUCAUAUUAGUAUAUAGACAUCAUAUUUUUUAUAUUACUUGGCAUUUUUCUAUUUCCUCUACUCAUUACCUUUUUGUUUUCUGACUCAUGUGGUUUCUCUUAUACAACUUAGACUUCAUUUCACUCAGGAGGUACCACUUUCUCCCUUUAUUUUCAAUUGCUCUUGACACAUUGAGGACAAUGUUGAUCUUGGUUGGGGGAAGAGUUGAGGAAGGAAGUUUUGUUAAUAAUGCUAGGUUAAUUUGUUAAUUUAGUUACUUUUUGCUUAAUUUUAAAAGUUUUUUUACCCUACUCUCCAUGGUUAUUAAGGAAAAAUUCUCAAAAUGAAAUGGGAGAAAUUGAGUUCUUGCAUUUUUACUUGAAUCUUAGAGUUUGUAUUAUGCUUAUUGAAGUUGAUGAAUUAUUGAAAAUCCUAUUGAAUUCAACCUUAUUUCUUCCACUUUAAUCUUACCACACAUUGUGCACAUUAGGUUCCAAUUAUAAGAUGAAAAACUAUCUCACCCCCUGAACUUAGGAAAAUUUUGACUUGGUACCUUUGACCUAAUUUUAAUAGUGUUGGGACACCUUAUAAAAGGCCAAUGAGCCUUAAAAAAAAGAAGAAGAAGAACAAAGUGUUUCACUUGCCUUGAAACCCGAGCAAGGUCCAAGGGGUAUAUAGCGAAAAUCUUUAAAACCCGGUGCCCUAAGCCUUGAUUGGUUGGGAGUCACCGACCUCAAUGCUCGUUACAAGGGUGAAUAGGUGGAGUUUAACAUAUUGUAGGUGCUUAGGUAUUGAAUUUCAAUCUCAAAAGUCCGGGAAAAAAUCUGAGGAGUUAGUGGUCAAAAGAUCCUUAAAGCUUGAUGCCCUAAACUUUGAUUGGUUGGGAGUCAAUGAUAGAUCCCCGUUACAUGGACACUUUAGAAAACAAUUCCUUCAGCAUUGCACUCCUACAAGAAAAAAAUGUGAAAUAAAAGAGGUGCGUUCUUAGCCUAUUGGAGGUUGGUCAGUUUGCUAAAGUUUGAGAAAGAACUAGGUUGGGAGGAGAGAAUAGUUCGACAUACUAUAAUCGGAAACUAAUAAGCUUAACACUUAGAUUUUUGUGUGAGAGUAAGAAUUAGACCUUUGGGAGUGGAAAUUCUUUUGAUGCUUAAAUUUGCAUAAUGCCUACUCUUUAUAAAUUGUGAUUAGGCAAGAAAUUUGAUGACUCUUGUUGAAGGUUGGGUUUUGCCUCUUUGAUAUUCCAUGAGAGAGUAUAAUUCGCAUCAUGCCACUUAAAUUUUUUUUAGAGUAAUCAGCAUGAUAUUGUAAAUUAUUUCACUGUCUAUUUUUCUUUAUCUCUCCUUCAUUGCUAAGGGACUACCAAUGUGUCGGUUGGGGGGAGUGAUUACUACUCAAAAAGUACUCUUUUAUAGCUUGAAACUAACUGUUUUAAACACUUUUGAGUAGUAGUUAAUACAUUUUAACUCAAUUGGCACAUUAAGGAACCUAGCAAGGGUUACUAAUCAGUUUUGACAAGUUUUGGUGUUUUUGGUAGCUAUUUGAUCAUUGAAACAAGCCAAGAAUGAGGGAGAAUUUUGUGAAAUCCAUGGCAAUGCAAGUUGAAGCUCAAAUACAUGAAGAGUCCGAGCUUUGAAACAUUUCAUAGCCCUUUGCCAAGCUUGGCAAUAGGUUGCCAAGCCAAUCAGAGAUGCAAGGAAGAAAACUAAAGGAAAAAGUCCAACAACCAGCAUUUUAGCAUGGCUAUGCGAAAAUUUCGCAUAGCAUGCGAAAUCAAGAGAAAGAGCAGCUGCAGGACUGAGUGAAAGACAAUUUCGCACACCAUGCAAAACCACAAAAAGCAGCCAAAGAAUUUCGUACACCAUGAGAAAUUUCACAUGGUAUGCGAAAUCCUCUUGUGCACCAACUCCGUUAGAUUUUUAUUUCCAGAUAUUUUGUAUAAUUUCCUGUUUUCUCCUUAUAAUCAAGCUAGAUAUUUUCAUAUAUAUCUUUUCUAGUCAUGAAAGAAAUUUAUUCAUGAAACACUUGUAAAAUUCCCGUAGAAGAAAUAUAUAGAGCUUUUGCUCUGCCUUUCCUUCUCAUUUUGUUUUCACUUUUCUUUUUAGCCAAAUAACCUCUGAGGAUGAUUUCUCAGGGGAUGAGUGGCUAGGUUUUAUGUUUCUUGGAGUGAUGGAAGCUAGGUGAAGGACCUGAAUGCAAAGAUGGGAGUUGUCCUUGCUUUAAAUGAAAGUAGUUGUUAACCAUUAAUGGUUUUUAUUUUAAGGUUUAGCUUUAAAUCCCUUAAAAUCACCUUGAAUGGCCAAUACUUGGUAAGCUUUUCAGAUUCUAUGGAUGCUUAUUGCUAGAUCCAUGGAUGUCCAUUAGUUAUCAUUUACGAGCCAUUGGAAGGUGGUUCAAGGUGAGGGUCUUUAGUGUUUGAAGCCAUUAAUGGGAAGCAAUUACCAUUUUUCAUGAAUCCUUUCGAUCAAAUCUUAAUUGCUAAAAAACAAAACCGGUUCGGGAGAUAACCAUCCUUUAUGUUAUUGUCCCCAACGCGAGGAGAAGAUCCAGAAUCUCCCCCUUUGCCUGAGAAACCCGAUCCUAGUGACCUAAAGCUCCAAGAGACCUUUUCUUUAUAGUUAACUUCACUUAUUAUUUUUGCUUAACUUAAAAUCAAUCUUUGCAACCACAAUUCCAUUUUCUUUAAAAGCUAAUUUUCAUAAGGAAAAACACCAUUUUAUUUCCUUCACUAAAAUCAACUGUACGAUGAAAACCCAUCCCUGUGGAUGAUCCUAAAGCCACUAUACUAUGUUAGUUAUGCUACUCUAGUGUAAGGUGAUUUAGGUUUUAUAAUUUUUUUGUUGAUAACACCCGUCUGGGCCAGAAUCAAAUGGCACGACUGCAAUGGGGACAAAUCACAUUGCUGAAAGAAGUGCUUGAGCCGCUCAAGCGUAAACAUUACUUGAGCCACUCAAGCACUAACAUUGUUUGAGCAUUGCAUUUCUUACCUACACUCUCGAGGUUGCUUCUGCACUUUUUUCAACUACCUUAAGCUUUAAAAUCUUGCCUUUUUUUGGUUGAGGAAUAUCCAUUGAACCGCUAUGAUUGGCGAAAUGCUUCCAUGCUCUCUUUGGGUUACAAGAUUGAUUAAAAACCAAAAUUUUACAUAAUCACAAGUCAUAUACUCCUCAAAAUGAGAGUUUAUAGUCAAUCUAGCCAAAAGGAAAAAAACUUUUAUAUCCAAAAAGAAAAUCCUAUGCUCUUAAUCACAAAGCUUACAACCUAAACUAGAAAACAAUAGAUUAAACCAAUAACAAUCAACUAAUCUGAACAUAAUAAUGAUAUUCAUUCAUCCAUUUAGGCCAUGGGAUGAAUAACCAAACUUAAAAAAAAAAAACAAAAAAAAAAACCAUGAGCACCCUCUAGAAUAGAUCUAGCUAACAAGAACAUAACCUGAGGCUCUAAUACCAAUUACCAGGAAUACUAGAUUUCUCUAUUCCCUGUCCCUGGAUCUAGUAGGGUGCAUGCAUCUAUGCUAAGCACCUCUAAAUCUAUUACAAUGGAAACAUAUGGCUACAAAACCAUAUAAAGAUAAAAAUCUAGAGAAAACAAAGCUCAUACCGAAUCUAGAUGUUCCUAGAUCAAUUCCAGAUGGUGAAGAACAUGCUUAAAGGUCUCAUACACUCAAGAUCUUCCACCUGAUGACUCGAACCACAAUCUUGGUACUCCAAAGUGUGGGCUUUGGAAGAGAUGAAGAUAUGACUCUCUCUAUCUUUCUUUAGAGAUGAAAGAUGGAUCUCAUCAAAAAGUGGUGGAAACAUUAACCCCUAAGGGGGUAUUUAUAGGGUUCCCCUACUAAGCUUAAGUGACUUAAGCUCACCAAAGCUUGGGUCACUUAAUCUAACCUAAAACUAGUUCUAAUUGAUUAAUUAACCACAUAGAGUCAUCUAAUUAAUCAAUUAGCCCAAUCUAGAGACCUUGUUCACUAUCUCCUGUGCAACCAUGAAUCAUUACCAAAACAACCUUAUACACAAAAGUGAAUAUUGGCUCUCUUAGAAUUCAAUUCUAAAAUUGAUUCAACAUUCCACUAAAGAUAAUCAAUUGCACUCCAGUACCCUAUGUAAAUAACAACAAAAUGAAGUUUGAGUUCAUGACCUACUAUCCAUUACAUGCAGACUCCCCAUGAAUCGGUAUUUGUAAUUUAACAAGGUAGUAGUAUCACUUAUCAAGAUUACCUCUCCAAUCCUUGAGUUAAAAAUCUCAUUUGGAUCACCCAAGAAGACACAUUGUCUCCAUGAGAUGUCAUGAUGUCUCUAUUGAGAAUACUUGUUGUCACCAGCCUCCAUCAAUAGUGACCCAAUCCAUAAAGAUAUAUAACCACUUUAGGAUCUCACCCACCCACAUGUCCAAUCCUCAUGUUGAUUUUGAGACAGGCUCAAUAUGCUCUCAAGUUUGCAAGUCAAUCCAAUAUAGUAGUUUGUUGAAUCAUGACAAUUAAUAGUCUUGUGUCAUGAUUCAUCAUAGCUCUUUUCUAGUAGGCAUGACAUACACUAGUGCAAACAUCAUAGGAAACUCAUCCCAACAAUCAAGACAAGUAAUCCAUUCCAUUAGGAGAUGGUGUACUACAAUCUCUAAUGGAUUGCACAAAUCUAUGAACCAAUUAUGGACAACUUAUAUAUCUACUUACAAGAAACCCUUGACUUGUAUCUUUUGUGCAACUCCUAAGGCACUCAAGUCAUGUACAAUUUAAGAGAUAUAAACUAAAUGCUCAAAUCAAUGUCAAUACACCAAAGGGAUAACGAUGGGAUAGUCAAGUCUAAUUUUGUUACAUCAUGUCUUACUUUUAGGAUCUCAAUCCCAACAGUAUCACAUGGUAGUAGAAGAUAUAUGUUGAACUUUAUUGAUUAUUACUCUAGAAAGGUCUGGGUAUAUAUAUUCAAACACAAGAAUGAUGUCUUUGGGUAGUUCAAACAAUGGAAAGCUAUGUUCAAGAAGCAAACUAGAAAAUAAAUCAAGCACUUGAGAAUUGACAAUGGUAUGAAAUUUAUAUGGGAAGAGUUUAAUGAGUUUUGCAAGAAUGAAAGUAUUGUGAGACAUUACAUAGUUAGGCAUACUCCACAUAAAAAUGGUGUUGCAAAACAAAUGAAUGGAACUCUUUUAGAGAAAGCAUGAUGCACGCUUUCAAAUGCAGUGUUGUCAAAUGGAAUUUUAGGCUGAAGUGAUAAAUUCUACUUGUUAUCUUGUGAAUAGAUCUCCUUCAAUUCCUAUUAAUUAUAGGACUCCUGAAAAGAGAUGGUCUGGUUCUCUUUCUAAUUAUGGUAAUUUAAGAUUUUUUUUUUUCUUGUCCUACUUAUACUCAUGUAAAUGAAGGUAAGUUGGAACCAAGGAGAAGGAAGUGCAUAUUGUUAGGAUAUGCAGAUGAAGUGAAAGGGUACAAGUUAUGGUGACUAGAGUCAAAAUUCUCUAAAUUUAUAAUUAACAGGGAUGAGACUUUUAAUGAGUUUGAAAUGUUGUAUCCUAGGAAUGAGUAACUUGAUGUAGGAAACAACCCUAGUAUGAGAGAAAAUGUGGAGUUUGUGUCUAAAGCUUUAGAAACCAUAGAAAAAAAAAAUUAAAUAAGGCCAAAAGAGGAAGAAAUGCAACAUCUUAAUGAUAAAGAAAACGCACCAUAAGAGCAACAAUAUUAUUUAGCCAAAGAUAGAACAAAGAGGCAAAUUAAACCACCACAAAGGCAUGCUUAUGUAGAUUUGGUUGUUUAUGCACUUAGUAUGGUAAAGAACAUUAUUGAAAAUGAGGAACCACACACUUAUCAUGAAGUCAUCACUAGUAGAUGGUCUACACAAUGGAAUGUUGCUAUGAAUUAGGAGAUUAAAUCUCUUCAAAAGAACUAUACUUAACAACUAGUUGAGAAACCUAAAAACUCAAAAGAUUGUUGGUUGCAAAUGAUUCUUCAAAGAAAUGAAGGAAUUUCGGGAGUGGAGGAUGCUAGGUUCAAAGCACACUUAGUGGCAAAGGGUCACACACAAAAGGAGGGGGUGGGUUUCAAUGAAGUGUUUUCCCUAGUUGUGAAGCAUAACUCAAUUGGAGUGUUACUUGUUAUGGUUGUUUUAUUUAAUUUAGAAUUGGAGCAACUUGAUGUCAAGACUACUUUUUUACAUGAUAAGUUAGAAGAACAAAUUUAUAUGCAUCAACCUAAGGGAUUCAUUAUUUCGAGAAAAGAAAACCAUGUUUGUUUGCCGAAGAAAUCUCUUUAUGGUUUGAAGCAAUCUCCUAGGCAAUGGUAUAAAAGGUUUGAUACUUUUAUUAUUUGUAAUGGCCACCACAAGAGUGAGUAUGAUAAUUGUGUUCAUCAUAAGGAAUUGUUUGAUUAUUCUUUCAUUUAUUUAUUGUUAUAUGUUGAUGAUAUGUUAAUUUUCUACAAGAAUAUGUGAUAACCCGACUCUUGGUAGCUUGGCAUGUAAGGGUAUCAACAAAAUUUACACCUAAGGUCCUUACACUAAAGUAGCAAAGCUACUAUAGCAUAGUGGCUCUAGGAUCGAACACUGGGAAGGGUUUUUACUUUAACUGGUGAAGUUCGGAGGAUGGAGUGAACUUUUCUUAAUAAAAAUUAGGUUAAGAUGAAAACAUAAAAAGAUGAAGGCGUUGUAAACUAAACUAACAUGAAAAUAGGUUAAAAGAUGGAAAAAGAAGUUUCUCAAAGCUUUGGAUAGCCAUGCUUAACUCACUGUGUAAAAAUGGAGAUUUUGGGACUCUUCACCUCGAGUUGGGGAAGCAACUAAGGUGAUGCUUACUUCCCGAACCGGUAUGAGUUUAACAACUGAGUUUUAGUCCUUGAAAACUUACAAAAAGGGUAGCUGAACCUCAUAAAUGCUCUUUUAUUAGUAUAGGUCAUCUCCUCGACUUGCAAUACAAUGGCUCGUAGGAGAUAAUUAAUGAACGUCAGUGGAUCUAACAAUAAGAAUCCACUGAGACCAAAAGGUUAUCAAGUAUUGGCCAUUCAAAGCAAGUUAGAGGGAUUAAAAGCUUUACUUUGAAUGAAAACAUUUAUGACGCUUAGCUACUUACAUUUAUGGCUUGGAAAUCUUCAUCGUGACACGGGAGCUUCACAUGGCAUCCAUUACUUCAAGAAACUAAAAGGAUUUAGCCUUUCAUCCUUGGGGAUUUCAUCCUCCAAGGAUGUUUGGCUACUAAGAAAAUGAGAAAGAAAAGAGAAAAGAAGCGUAUGAACAGAAGUGCUCUUAUAACUUAUAAAGUUACAGGUUACAAGAUGAUCGUGUCUGAGGCUCUUCACCUCUAUUUAAAGACAAUAAAAAGCUAAAUUACAAGAGCUAUUACAAAAGCAACCUUUUCAUUGGUUGAUUACAAGGGUAAAAUAGAUUUUUACAAAGCUAAAAGUCAAGCAAAAUAUCUUGGAGAACCGGCAGUGGAAUAUCAUCAACAGCGUCUCAAAACAGGGGAUUUCAAAGGCAUUUCGCAAAGGGGGGGAGGGGGAGGGGAAGAUGAAAGGUCCAAAUUUUGCAAGGUGCCUAAAUCCAGCUUGCGAAAUUUCGCAAGGUGGUUUCUUCAUGGUGCGAAAUGGCCAAAUUUCGCACCAUGAGGAAAAUCCCCUUGCGAAAUUUUGGCAAGGCGAAAUUCACCUUGCGAAAUGGUGUUCCCAUUGCUUGUGCUCGUGUUUCCACUUGAAAUUCAAGCCUGUAAACGUCCAAAAUCCUUGCUUAACUCACCCAAGUAGCUCCUCCAUCAAUUGGUAUGCUUGAAUUGGUUCAUAAGCUGAUGAAAAACAUGUAAACUUGCCACUAAAAAUGGUUAGAACUAAUUACUAAGGAGCUUAAUGAAUUAAUUGGGUUAAAUGAAUAUGAUUACUACACAAAGGUGCUUAAAACCCUUAUAAUUAGGUCUACAAAAUAGCACUUUUUGGUAGUAAUCACACCCCCCAACCGACUCAUUGCUAGUCCCUUAGCAAUGGAGGAGAUAAAAACUAAGCAAACAUAAUAAUAUACAUAAAAGAGGUCAUGCAAAUCACUCCAAAAAAUAAUUGAGUGGCAUGACUGAUAUCAAAACACAUCUCACAUGGUGAACUAAAGAUAUGAAGAUUCAAAAUGCAAUAGGAGUUGUCAAAGCUAAAACUUAAACAAAAAGUACAAAGAGUGGAGAUUAUGCAAUUAAGUAUCAAAAGAAUCUCUACUCUCAAGGUUCCGAAUCAAACUCUUCCAUAAUGAGCUAAGUGUUAAUGAGAUUAGCUUCCAGAUAUAGUAUGUACAACUAUCCUCUCCCCCCAACCUAAGCUUUUCUCGAACUUUGGCAAAAUUAACCAACUCUUAAUAGGUUAGGAACGCACCUUCUUAUUCACAAUUCUUUUUAUUCACUAAACUUAACCAAUUCACCUAUGUAGCAAGCAGAGGAUCGAUGACUCCCAACCAAUCAGGGUUUAGGGCAUCGGGUUUUAAAGGCUUUCGCCACCCAUUCGGAUCAUGCUUAGGUUUCAAGGAAAGAAUAGAAGCUUAUUCUCUUUUUUUUUUUUUUUUUUUUUUUUUUUUAAGACUCAUUGGUCUUUUUGAGGUGUCCCAACACUAUUAAAAAGAGGUUAAGUAAUGAACCAAGUCAAAAUUUUCCUAAGCUUAAAGGGUGAGAAAGUUUUACAUCAUAUAUCCGAGAUCUAAUGUGCACGGUGUGUGUAAAGCUUGAAAUGGAAGAAAAAAGUUCGAAAUCAAAGAGGGUUUCAAUAGAUUAUCAACUUUGAAAGCAUAAAACAAACUCUAAGACUUAAGUAAUUAAGUUAAAACUCGACUUAUCCUAUUUUAUUUUGAGAAAUUAUCUUUAACAACCAUAGAGAAUGAAACAAAAAUUUUUGAAAAAGGUCAAAAACUACUAAAUCAACAAAAUAACUAACUAAAAUAGGAAAUACUUACUUCCUCAACUCUCCCCCCAACCGAGAUGAACAUUGUCCCCAAUGUUUCUAUCGAAAAAGACGAGGAAGGAAUGAUAUACCUUAUGGUGAUGUGGUAUUCAAGGCGUGUGAGUGCAUCCACAUGAUUCAAAAACCAUAAGAAACGUGAGAGAGGAAAUAAGAUACAAAAAAUGAUGCUUAUAUAAACUGAGAGAGUUGAGUACAAGAUAUAAGCAUGAGGUACAUACAAUCUCAGAAUAUAAAACAUGUAUCAUAUACAAAAUGGAGAUAGAAAUAUCCAAUCAUGGAUGUGGCUCCUGAGGUGGAGGAGGUGAUAUGCCCAGGUGAUGGUGGAUCUGAGAGAGCAUGGCGGAGUGCUGGUCCAGGAUAGCUGUAUGCUGAGCCUGAAUAGAUGUAUGCUGAGCCUGAUGUGUCUGUAUGGUAUCCAUCUGUCGUCUGAUGGCCUGCAUCUCACGGACUAAGGUGGCCUGAGAGGUGCUCAAUGAGUGAAAGGACGACAUGAGAGCUCUGAACUCUGUAGCGGAGACAGCAAUGGAUGGCCCGGCUGAAGACUCAGCAUAGGCUGGAGCAGGAGUGACUGGUGGUGUGGGAGUAUCAGUAGUGCAAGUCACUAGAGCAGGUACUGAAGAAGAAGGCUCUGUGGUAUGUGGGUCCUGCUCUGGUGAUGUCUGUGCUGUAGGUGCUGAGGUUGCUGGAGAAUCGGGAGGCGCUGGAGAAGCUGGAGGCGCGGGAGCUAAUGGUCUAGGGAUACCCUAGUCCAUGGGUGAGAGGUCUAAGAAAUGGGUCCAACUCUCACUGGUAAAGAGCUCUCGACAAUGAUGACGACGCUCUAGAUGGGGCUGAGAAGGGUAUCCCAUAUCCUCUAAGACCUGAGAGAUCAGCCUUGGAAAUAAGAGUGGAAUAGUACCAGCUCUGUGUAGGCGCUUCCUAUGCACCUUCUCCUCAAAAUAGGUAAGAGUAGCCAUGACUAGAUGGUGGGGUCCAAAGUAGAAUCCCUCAGAGAUGCGGUAAAGCGCAUCUAAGAUAGCACCUCUCCUCUGGACGACAUGCUGGAGGGGAAAAAGAUUGGUGCGGAGCACCAAAUCGAUAAGUAACAUCUGUGGAGGAAGCUCCCUCCUCAAAAUGGUCCUACCAGUGACUCUACCUCCUGAUAAGGUAGACACCAUGUCGGGCUCUGAAUACUGAGACCAAUGCCGGAAGGAACCAAGGUCCUCAAGGAUAGGCGGAAAAUGCAUAGCGGCGGCUAUAUCUCGGGCCUCUAAAAUACCAUGCUGGCCAUCAAUAAAAAAAUGAAUGGCUAUGGGGUCCGGACGCCUCUAGUAGUCAUAGUCUGGUAGAAAUCUAAGACUACCCUAGGGUAAUAGAAGGACCUAGGAGUCAUAAAUGGCUCGAUGUGGUACCUCUACAGAAGGCGGUAUGACUCCUCUAGCUCUGGUAAUAGGCGGAGAGUCUCAUGCUCCAUACAGAUCUCGUAGUGAAAUGGCCUAUCUCUGAUAUCCGUGUUGCCUGGGAGGGGUGGCCCUACUAUCAUAGGCCGCUUGAGGACCUCUGCUAGGUGUGAAGGGCCUGGGAUAGUAGAUAUUGGAGGUGAUGGAGGGGCUCUGGAGGACUCGCCUGGUCCUGAAAUCCUAGUCCUCUUAGGUGAAAGACUGCUCACAAGGGGUGGCAUUGGUGCCCUGGAAGACCCAGAUGAUCGUCUGGUCCCGUACCCGUGCUGAGUAGAGGGAACUGGGGUCUGGGCAGGCUGAGAUGGUGUAGAACGACCACCUCUCUGUGAGUGGGCCCCACGCUGACUAGCUGAAGAGGAUGCCCCCCGUGUCUGUGCCAUGGUAUAAAUACUGAAAUAAGACUGAAAAGCACGAAAAAUAGAGCAUCCCUGAUUACUACCAAAAAGUGCUAUUUUGUAGACCUAAUCAUAAUGGUUUUAAGCACCUUUGAGUAGUAAUCAUAUUCAUUUAACCCAAUUAAUUCAUUAAGGUCCUUAGUAAUUGGUUCUAACCAUUUUGUGGUAAGUUUUGGUGCUUUUUGAUAGCUUUUUGCUCACCAAAGCAAUCCAAGAAUGAGGGAGAGCUGUAUAUAGUUCAUGGCAAAGCUUUUGAAAGCUCAAAUUCAUGAAGAAACCAAGCUUUGGAGCUCAAUAACCCUUUUCCAAAGUCGUUCAAAGUAUGCAAGGAAAGAACAAACGGAGAGAGGAAAACAGAGUAAGGAAAAUAGGGGACAGCAACUGCAGCCUUCCUUCGCACUUUUAGAGCACUUUCCGAAGUUCAUUUUCUACAUGCUAUAUACCAUUUCAAAGCUCAGGAAGUCAAGAAUCUAAAGCUUCAAACCGUGUACGAUUUGGAGCUGAAAUGAGGAAGAUAUGGCCUUAGGAAGACAACUGCAUCAAGCUAAAGGACAAUUUCGCACCUUGCGAAAUUGGAACUCCAACGUGCGAAAUUUAAAGUGGAUGGCAGCUGUGUAGUUGCGGUGAAGCCCAGCAUGCGAAGUUGAUUUUGCAACUUGUGGACUUGGAUCUCAACAUGAGAAAGUGAAUUCUAAGUUGCGAAAUCAACUUGCGAAAUUUUCGCAAGUCACCAUGCAACGUGCGAAACUGGGAUAUUUAUGCCGACUCUUUUUCUUCUGAUAUUUUUGUGUCUAAAUUUCCAUUUUCUCCUUGUAUUCAGCCACUCAUGUAAUUCCUUAGCUAUGAAGUAUCCAAGGAAGGGUAAAUUACCUUCCUAUAUAAACUCUCUUGUAAACACUGAAAAAAGGACUCUCGGGGAGCUUUUUCCAAGAGACCAACUUAUGUAAAUUUUACACUUAGUGAAAUACAGAGAUCUCUUUUGCUUUCUUUUUCUCUCUACUAUUUUCUUUUUCUUGGAAGCCAAACAGCCUCUGAGGAUGUUUUCCCAGGGGAUGAGAGGCUAAACUUAUAGUUUCUUGGAGUGAAGGAAGCUAGGUGAAAAGUCCAGAUGAAAAGGUGGAAAGCUUCCGUGCAUUAAAUUCAGGUAGUUGGAGUUCAUAAAUGGCUUCUAAAUCCAAAGUUUUGCUUUAAAUCCCUUAGAAUCACUUUGAACGGCCAAUACAUGGUAAGCUUCAGGUCUCUGUGGAUGCUUAUUGCUAGAUCCAUAUCAGUCCAUUAGUUAUCAUGUACGAGCCAUUGGAAAGUGGUUCAAGGUGAAGACCCAUAGUGUCUUAAGCCAUUAAUGGACCUUGACUAUCAUUUCUAUUGACUUUUUAUAGAUUAAAUCUUCAUUGUUAAACCUAUACCGGUUCGGGAAAUAACUAUAGGUUAAAUCCCCAAUGCGAGGAGAAAAAUCCGGAAUUUCCACUUUGCAUUCUGAACUUGAUCCUAGCAACCCUUAGCUCCGGGAGACUUUCUUUCUUCCAUUUUUACUUAGUUCUAUGUUAGUUUAAUUUCAGUCACCACUUGCAAAACAAAUUUUAUUUUCUUUUAAACUUCAAGUUUAUGAUAAAGGAAAUCAUCAGACUCAAUUUCUAAUCUAGAGUCUGUCACUGAUAGAGUGAAAACCCAUCCCUGAGUUCGACCCUAGAGCUGCUAUACUAUAGUAGCUUUGCUACGCCAGUAUAAGGUCAUAGGAUUUAUAAAUAUUUUUUUAUUAAAAGACCCGACGGGGUAUGAAUAAAUCCCAGGGGUAAAGUGUCAAAAAUAUAGUUGAAAUGGUAACCAGUGCAAAAUUUGCAAGGCAUGAAUAGUGGUUGCUAAAUUUGGCAACGGGCACUAUUCACGCAACACUAAUCACAGGCACUAUUCAUCUUCUUUUCCAAUGCUUACUUUGAAUUUGAGUUUUCAUUUUUAACGGUUUAAAGUUCAGAAAAAGGGUAUGGUUUUAAUGGAAACAUGAUUCUAAAUGCAAUGGAGUAAGUUUGGGAGCCUAAAACACAUUGCAAGAUAGAGAUUUUUGCAAAAAUGGUGGCCGGCCAUGUGGGUCUUUGAUUUGAAAAAAUGGAUUUUUGAAAUGGUUUUAAUGGAUGAAAAUGCAUGUUUAUGGUCCCUUAAACAUUGAAAUGACAUAAACAAGCAAUUUAAGGAGCCAAAAAUGGAGAAAAAUGAAAAAUUAUUCACCUUGGAACAAUGAAGCACGCGGCCUAGAGAGGAAAUGCAAGGGGAAUAGUGUUUUAUGCAUGAAAAAUGAAGUUGAGAAGGCUUUAAAAAGGGUUUUUGGCCAUGAAUUUUUUUUUGAAAAUUUGUCUAAGUACGGGGAUGAACUGAGGAGUGUUAAAACUACAAAAUUGAAGUUUGAAAAUGAAUUUAAAAAGAAUCAAAUCCUUGGUAAGCAUGAAGAAAAAAUUUCGCAAGGUGAAAAUUCACCUUGCCAAAUUUUCGCACUGGCUACUCCCCUUAAAAACCAAUUCCGAGAGGUUGUAAAUUGCAUCUUGCCAAAAUGUGCAUUUCGCAAGGUGAAAAUUGACUUGCGAAAAUUUUCGCACUGGUUACUCCUUGCGAAAGUGCAAUCCCAGCGAAAGUGCAAUCCCGAGAGGUCGUAAAUUGCAUCUUGCCAAAAUGUGCAUUUUGCAAGGUGAAAUUCACCUUGCCAAAUUUUCGCAACUCACUUUUUGAGUUGCGAAAUGGGCUUUUAAGCUUGGACUUAGAUAUAUUUCUCCCCUAUUUCACCUUUCUCUCCACAUUUAUGAGCUUGUGAGCUUUUGUACCUGCUAUUGGACAUCAAAGCUCCAUUAAAAACAUUAAAAAAUCAAAAUCAAAACUAAGAAACCUAAACAAAAUAUGUGCAAAAGUAUUAAAAAUGCAAAGUAAACAAGAAUGUAAUACUAAAAUUAAAACAAAAAGAGAUGAGCACUUAACUUUUCAUGCUAAGCUCAUCAACUUACCACACUUUCUCAAGGAUGUGAUGGGUCAUGGAGGAUGAGUACCUCCUUGUCACGGGAAAAUGGCUCGAUGUAGGGUUUGAGUCUUUGCCCAUUUACCUUGAAGAUCUUUGCACUUUUUGAAUUGAGUAACUCAAUUACUCCAUGUGAGUGUACUUGGUGGAUGACAAAAGGCCCUACCCACCUUGAUUUGAGCUUUCCCGGAAAUAUGUGAAGCUUAGAGUCAUAUAGCAAGACUCUUUGUCCCUUGAAAAAUUCUUUCUUGGUCACCAACUGAUCAUGCCAUCUCUUUAGCUUUUCCUUAGCUAUUUUUGAGUUGAGAUAGGCAUCAUUUCUCAAUUCCUCAAGCUCAUUCAAAUCCAAACUCCUCUUUAGCCUAGCCUUUGUUAAAUCCAUGUUGAGCUUUUUAAUGGCCCACCAUGCCUUGAACUCAAUCUCAACGGGAAGAUGGCAAGCUUUGCCAUAAACAAGACAGUACGGUGACAUCCCAAGGAUAGUCUUAUAAGUCGUCCUAUACGCCCAUAGGGAAUCAAGGAGCUUAAACAAACCAAUCUUUCUUAUUGGUGUUCACCACCUUCAUCAAGAUGUUCUUAAUUUCCCGGUUGGCUAGCUCUACUUGGCCACUCGUCUGAGGAUGAUAAGGUGUAGCUACCUUAUGCUUAAUUCCGUACUUGGCCAAAAGAGCUUCAAAGGGCUUGUUGCACAAGUGAGUGCCUCCAUCACUGAUGAUUGCUUUAGGCACUCCAAACCUCGAGAAGAUGUUUUCUUUUAGGAACUUGAGAACCACUUUGUGAUCAUUGGUUCCACAGGGUAUAGCUUCAACCCACUUUGAAACAUAAUCAACUCCUACCAAGAUGUAGGAGUGGCCAAAAGACAUAGGGAAAGGUCCCAUGAAGUCUAUGCCCCAAACAUAAAAAAGAUCCACUAUCAAGAUGGGGUUCAAAGGCAUCAUGUUUCUCCUUGAAAGCUUGCCUAGUCUUUGGCACUUAUCACAUCCUUUACUUACCUCAUGGGCAUCCUUAAAAAGUGAGGGCCACCAAAAGCCCGAUUGAAGAACUCUCAUUGCCGUCUUUUGAGAGGCAAAGUGGCCUCCACAUGCAUUCCCAUGGCAAUGAGAUAGGAUCCCAUGCUUCUCUUUUUCAGGCACACACUUCCUUAUAAUUUGGUCUGCACAAUACUUGAAGAGAAAAGGCUCCUCCCAAUAAUAUGCAUGGACCUUGGCAAAGAAAUUCUUCUUGUCCUGAGAGCUCCAUUCACUUGGUAUUUCUCCCGUGACCAAGUAAUUGGCAAUGUGUGCAAACCAUGGCACUUCCUCCACAAGCAUCAAGGAUUCCUCAGGGAAAUCAUCAUUUAUGGGAAGUCCAUGGGUGUCAUGAGCGAUGUUGAGCCUUAACAAGUGGUCAGCUACCACAUUCUCAAUACCUUUCUUAUCUCUGAUCUGGAGGUUGAACUCUUGAAGCAAAAGUAUCCACCUAAUCAACCUAGCCUUGGCAUCUUGCUUGGUUAGCAAAUACUUCAAAGCUGAAUGAUCCGUGAAUACCACAAUGGAAGACCCUAUCAAAUAAGCUCUGAACUUAUCCAAAGCAUACACCACAGCAAGUAAUUCCUUCUCAGUGGUGGUGUAAUUCCUUUGAGCAUCAUUCAAAGACUUGCUUGCAUAGUAGAUCACAUAAGGUUUACCAUCUUCUCUUUGUCCCAAAACAGCCCCAAUGGCAUAAUCACUUGAGUCACACAUCACUUCAAAUGGCAACUCCCAAUUUGGUGCUCUCAUAAUGGGCGCUGAUGUCAAGAAUUGCUUAAGAAGCUCAAAACUCCUUUGACAUUUAUCAUCCCACUCAAACUUGGCAUCCUUCACCAAUAAUUCACAAAGAGGUUUGGCAAUCUUGGAAAAAUCCUUUAUAAACCUCCUAUAGAACCCGGCAUGCCCAAGGAAUUGCCUUAUUCCUUUUACAUUGGUGGGAGGUGGCAACUUCACAAUUAGUUCCGCCUUAGCUCUAUCUACCUCUAUACCCUUCUUUGAGAUUACGUGCCCAAGAACAAUACCUUGAUUUACCAUAAAAUGGCACUUCUCCCAAUUGAGUACUAGGUCUUUCUCUAUGCAUCUUUUCAAAACAUCUUCAAGAUGUGACAAACAAUCCUCAAAAGAAGUCCCAUACACAGUUAUGUCAUCCAUGAAGACUUCCAUGAUUCGUUCAACCAUGUCACUGAAGAUGCUAAGCAUGCAUCUUUUGAAGGUAGCAGGAGCGUUGCAUAAUCCAAAAGGCAUCCGCCUAUAAGCAUAGGUGUCGAAUGGACAAGUGAAGGUAGUCUUCUCCUGGUCCUCCACAUCAAUCUCUAUUUGAAAAUACCCGGAAUACCCAUCCAAGAAGCAAUAAAAAGGAUGCCCAGAUACUCUCUCAAGGACUUGAUCCAUGAAAGGUAAAGGGAAGUGAUCCUUUCUCGUUACUGUGUUCAACUUCCUGUAGUCAAUGCACACCCUCCAACCAGUUGUGAGGUGUGUGGACACUUCAUCUCCAUUUUCCCCCUUGACUACGGUUAUCCCGGACUUCUUUGGAACAACUUGGGUUGGACUCACCCAAGUGCUAUCUGAAAUGGGGUAAAUGAUGCCCGCUUGAAGAAGCUUCAACACUUCAGCCCUUACUACCUCUUGCAUAUGAGGAUUCAAUCUCCUCUGUGGCUGACGAGUUGGCUUAGCUCCCUCCUCCAUAUAAAUAUGGUGCGUGCAAAUCAAUGGGCUUAUCCCCUUCAAAUCAGAAAUUUGCCAUCCGAUGGCCUUCUUGUGCUUUCUAAGGAUUCUUAGAAGAUUGUCCUCUUGUGAAACGGUUAAAGAAGAAGAAAUUACCACUGGGGCUUUAUUGCCUUCCUCCAAGUAAGCAUACUUCAACUCGGCAGGAAGGGUCUUCAAUUCAAGCUUAAGGAUUGCAUCCUUAGCUUCUUUCAUCUCUUCCUCAUCCUUGAACAAAGGGAGGAUCACUGGCUUUUGUCUCCAGUUUGACAUAACAGCAUUCAUUCCCAUGGGUUCAGCUAACCCAUCAUUAAGAUCUUCAUGGAUUUCAUCUGGAUUCUCUUCAAACUAAUCAAGCAUACUCUGAUUACAAUGCUCCUCCACCAGGGUAUCUAUCAUACACACUUCUUCUAGGCCCUCAUCUUCUUCAGGAUGGAUGUGCUUUUGACAUAGAUGGAAGAUGUUGAGUUCCAAUGUCAUAUUCCCAAAAGUGAGUUGCAUGACCCCGUUCCUACAAUUGAUGAUUGCAUUGGAUGUUGCAAGGAAUGGUCUUCCAAGGAUGAUUGGAACAUAGUUGAUCCCUUUGACAAUGGGAUCCGUAUCAAGCACCACAAAAUCUACUGGAUAGUAGAAUUUGUCAACUUGAACCAAUACAUCCUCUAUUACCCCCCUGGGGAUUUUCACUGAUCGGUCAGCUAAGGAUAGGGUGAUCGAUGUUGGCUUGAGUUCUCCCAACCCCAGGUCCUUGUAUAUAGAGUAUGGAAGCAAGUUAACACUUGCCCCCAAAUCAAGCAAUGCCUUCUCCACUUGGGUUCCUCCAAUAUUGACUGAGAUUGUAGGACACCCCGGAUCUUUGUAUUUGAUUGGAGAGUUGCAUUAGAUUAUAGCACUCACUUGCUCGGUUAGGAAGGCUUGCUUUGUAACAUUGAGUCCUCUUUUCACAGUGCACAAGUCCUUCAAAAACUUUGCAUAUGUGGGUACUUGCUUGAUCAUAUCAAGUAAAGGAAUAUUCACCUUCACUUGUCUUAGCACAUCAAGAAUCUCAGAAGCAUUCUUGAUUGGUUUCUUCCCACGCAAGGCUUGAGGAAAUGGAGGAGGCAUGUGCUUCUUCAUCAUGCCUUCCUUUAAAAGAAUUUGAGGUUCCUCAUCCAUGCUAGGAAUGAUGCUUUCUUUCAUCUGAACUUCCUUACCCUUUUGUUCUUUCUUCUUUUCUUCUUUUCUAUCAGCCUUGUCUUCGUUGGCUUUCCUCUGAUCAUGCUCCGGCUGAUGCACUUCCUUACCACUUCUCAAAGUGAUAAUAGCUUGCACGUCCCUCACCUUUGAAGAAUCCUCAUCUUUAGAUUCCACUUCAUGUAUCCCCUUAGGAUUUUGGUGAGGCUGAGAGGGAAACUUCCCUUUCUCAUUGACAGUGUUCAAAUUUGUAAGCCUUGAGAUGGAAUAUUGGAUGUUGUCAAUUUUCUGAGACAACUCAUUAUGCAUCCCAUCUAUCUUCUUGUUCAAUGUACUCUCUACGUUGUCAAUCUUCUGAUUUAGUUGAGAGUUGAUGGAUUUUUGGUCACUCACAAAGUCACCCAUAACCUUGCUAAGGCUUAUGAGUGCUUGCUCAACUGAGGAUUGACCUUGACUCUGUUGGCUUGAUUGGGCUGGUGACUGAUAUGGGUUUGGCCUUGGCUUCCAUGCAAAUUUUGGGUGGUUCCUCCAGCUAGAGUUGUACGUGUUGCCAUAGGGAGCAUUUGAAUUUGGCUUCCAUUGGCCAAUCAGGUUAGCUUGUUCCUCGAACAUUUCUCUUGCUGCUGGAAUGGUGGGACAUUCUUCCACCAUAUGUUCAAAUGACUAACAGAUGGAGCAAGGAUUGGCUUGUUGUUGAGGUUCUGAAAUAGCUUGGACUUCGUGAACUUUUCUCAACUCCAUUUCCUCCAUUUUUCUAGCCAUGGCAGCUACCUUGGCUUUCAUCUCCAUGUCUUCACUCAGAUUGUACAUCCCCCCUCUUGACAUUUGCUGAACUGGCCUCUUCCCCAUUUCUCUGUUAUUGGGCUCAUCCCAUCCACGGGAAACCUCUGAGACAUAACUUAGGAAAUCCAUAGCCUCCUCAGGGUUCUUGCUCAUGAAAUCACCCCCACACAUUGUCUCCAAUAUCUGCUUCAUUGAAGAUGACAUGCCAUCAUAAAAAUAGCUCACCAACAGCCAUGUAUCAAAGCCGUGGUGAGGACAUGCAUUGAUGGCCUCCAUAUACCUCUCCCAGUAUUCAUAAAAUUUUUCAUUCUCACGUGCUGAGAAGUUGGAGAUUUGUCUCUUCAAUCCAUUUGUUCUAUGAGUAGGGAAAAACUUCUUCAAAAAAUCAGCUUGAAGUUCUGUCCAUGUUCUUAUGCUUCUCGGCCUCAAGGAAUUGAGCCAUAUCUGGGCUUUGUCCUUUAAUGUGAAUGGAAAGAGCUUCAACCUCAUAAGCUCAAUAGCUGUUCCCCCUUCUUGAAAAGUAUUGCACACAUCUUCGAAUUCCUUUAUGUGCGCAUAUGGAUUUUCACUUUCCAUCCCAUGGAAAGUAGGAAGCAGAGGCACGAUGUGUGGCCUGAUAAUCAAUUGCUUUGUAGGAGGAAUGAUGCAAGAUGGUGCACUCAUCCUCGGAGGGUGCAUCCUGUCCCUCAUGGACCUAUACAAGUUCGGAUCAUUCUACUGCCCGUGUUGUGAAUGUUGAUCCUCUGGCUGAUUCUCCAUGACUUCCAAAAUAAUCUCUAAUUCAGUAGCUCGUGGAGUCUCUAUCCGCACUAACCUUCCCUCUUGGUCUCUAAUCCAAUAGGGCAUGCACGGAUUCAGCUGGAACAAAACAAAUAAACAAAACAAAGAAAAAGAAAAAAAAAACAGAGCAUGCGGAAGGAAAAACAAAGUAUGAAAAAUAAACUAAAAAUGAAAGUUAAAAGCUAAAAGAAACUUAUCUAAACUAAGUUAAAAAUGUUCUAAAACUAAAAUAAAAAGUUAGUAAAUGAAAAAUGAGAUAGAAUUCACCUCACUCAUGAGAAGUCUCACAAGUUACCUCCGGCUGAUCUAUUCACAGUGAAGUAGCACCCCUCCUCGGCAACGGCGCUAUUUGAUAACCCGACUCUUGGUAGCUUGGCAUGUAAGGGUAUCAACAAAAUUUAUACCUAAGGUCCUUACACUAAAGUAGCAAAGCUAUUAUAGCAUAGUGGCUCUAGGAUCGAACACUGGGAAGGGUUUUUACUUUAACUGGUGAAGUUCGGAGGAUGGAGUGAACUUUUCUUAAUAAAAAUUAGGUUAAGAUGAAAACAUAAAAAGAUGAAGGCGUUGUAAACUAAACUAACAUGAAACUAGGUUAAAAGAUGGAAAAAGAAGUUUCUCAGAGCUUUGGAUAGCCAUGCUUAACUCAUUGUGUAAAAAUGGAGAUUUUGGGACUCUUCACCUUGAGUUGGGGAAGCAACUAAGGUGAUGCUUACUUCCCGAACCGGUAUGAGUUUAACAACUGAGUUUUAGUCCUUGAAAACUUACAAAAAGGGUAGCUGAACCUCAUAAAUGCUCUUUUAUUGGUAUAGGUCAUCUCCUCGACUUGCAAUACAAUGGCUUGUAGGAGAUAAUUAAUGAACGUCAGUGGAUCUAACAAUAAGAAUCCACUGAGACCAAAAGGUUAUCAAGUAUUGGCCAUUCAAAGCAAGUCAGAGGGAUUAAAAGCUUUACUUUGAAUGAAACAUUUAUGACGCUCAGCUACUUACAUUUAUGGCUUGGAAAUCUCCAUCCUGACACGGGAGCUUCACAUGGCAUCCAUUACUUCAAGAAACUAAAAGGUUUUAGCCUUUCAUCCUUGGGGAUUUCAUCCUCCAAGGAUGUUUGGCUACUAAGAAAAUGAGAAAGAAAAGAGAAAAGAAGCGUAUGAACAAAAGUGCUCUUAUAACUUAUAAAGUUACAGGUUACAAGAUGAUCGUGUCUGAGGCUCUUCACCUCUAUUUAAAGACAAUAAAAAGCUAAAUUACAAGAGCUAUUACAAAAACAACCUUUUCAUUGGUUGAUUACAAGGGUAAAAUAGGUAUUUACAAAGCUAAAAGUCAAGCAAAAUAUCUUGGAGAACCGACAGUGGAAUAUCAUCAACAGCGUCUCAAAACAAGGGAUUUCAAAGGCAUUUCGCAAAGGGGGGGAAGAUGAAAGGUCCAAAUUUCGCAAGGUGCCUAAGUCCACCUUGCGAAAUUUCGCAAGGUAGUUCUUCAUGGUGCGAAAUGGCCAAAUUUCGCACCAUGAGGAAAAUCCCCUUGCGAAAUUUUGGCAAGGCGAAAUUCACCUUGCGAAAUGGUGUUCCCAUUGCUUGUGCUCGUGUUUCCACUUGAAAUUCAAGCCUGUAAACGUCCAAAAUCCUUGCUUGACUCGCCCAAGUAGCUCCUCCAUCAAUUGGUAUGCUUGAAUUGGUUCAUAAGCUGAUGAAAAACAUGUAAACUUGCCACUAAAAAUGGUUAGAACUAAUUACUAAGCAGCUUAAUGAAUUAAUUGGGUUAAAUGAAUGUGAUUACUACACAAAGGUGCUUAAAACCCUUAUAAUUAGGUCUACAAAAUAGCACUUUUCGGUAGUAAUCAAUAUGUCUGAGAUUAACAAGUUGAAAACUCAACUUCAAGGAGAGUUUGAAAUAAAAGACCUUGGAGUUGGGAAGAAAAUAUUAGGUAUGAAGAUUCAUAGAGACCGAGAAGUAUGGCAAUUGUACUUAUCAUAGAAAAAGUAUAUUGAGAUAGUGUUGGAACAGUUUGGAAUGCAAGGGUAAAAACCAAUGAGUACUCAACCAGCAACUCACUUCAAACUUUCAAGUUCUUUAUUACCAUAGACCAAAGAAGAAAUGGAGUACAUGUCACAUGUUCCAUAUGCUAGUGCAAUUGAUAGCAUUAUGUAUGUCAUGGUUUGCACUAGGCCAAACAUUUCACAUGUAGUUAGUGUGGUAAGUAGAUAUAUGGAUCACCUUAGAAAGAUCCAUUGGGAAGCAAUGAAUGGAUACCUUGGUACUUGAGAGGAACAUCACAUAUUGACUUAGUAUAUGAUAAAAGUAGUGACAUCUCUGAGGAAAUCGGUGGUUAUGUUGAUUCUGAUUAUUCUAGAGAUUUGGAUAGAAGAAGAUUUUUAAUAGGGUAUGUAUUCACUUUAUGUGGUAGUGUUAGUAGUUGUAAAGCAACUUUGUAAUCUACAAUUGUUUUAUCAACCACUAACGUAGAAUACAUGGUGGUCACAGAAGCAGUGAAAGAAAUUAUUUGCCUUAAGGGUUUGGUUGGUGAUUUAAGCUUACAAUAGGAGUUGAUUGUUAUGUAUUGUGAUAACCAAAGUACCAUAUUUGACUAAAAAUCAAAUGUUCCAUGAGAUGAGCAACCAUAUUGAUGUCAAUGCAUUUUAUUAUGGAUGUGAUCGCAUAGGGUGCUAUUAUAGUGAAAAAAAAAUCCUUAUAGUGGAUAAUCUCAUAGAUAUGAUGACUAAGUCCAUUUCUAUAGUUAAGUUUAUGCAUUGCUUAGACUUGGUGUUAAUAGUAUCUAAAGGCCCUUUUCAGGUGUGAGGUCGAAGUAACAUGGAAGACUUUUGAGUUUUUUUUUUUUUUUUUUUUUUUUUAAUCUUGAGAAUUUGAGCCAAGGUGGAGAUUGUUGAAAAAUAUUUCAAAUUCUAUUUUUGAGUCAAUUGGACAAUUGUAGAUAGUUUUCUAAUAGAAAAUAUUCUUGUAAGUGAGUUUCCUAUUAUUAUAAAAGAAAUAUUCUUUUAGUAAAAGACAUCUUUGACAAUUAUACACUUAGUGUUUUAUAUGGAAUAUUUCUAUGUAAUUAGGAAAAUAUAUGUAUAGGAAGAGAUUUUGACCAAAAUAGUGGAAGUCUCUUUUUAGGUGUAAUUGGGACUUUGGGAUUUGAAAGCUCUAAGGUUGUAAUCUCCUUCAACAAUAGUGGAAAUUCUUCUUUGUCAUCACCUAUGGAUGUAGGCUUGAGGCUAAACCACAUAAAUUGUUAUGUACUUUGUGUGUUUUGUUUUCAUUUUCUUAUUCUUUUAUCCCUAUUAUUAUUCUUUGUCAUGAUUUUUCCCAAUAGAAGUAUAUAUAUACCAUGAGACUUGCAUGGUGGGAAGGGUAUAUUUCAUAUUAGUGACAAGAAGCAGAGCUUACUCAAUUGUGCUUUUUCUUUCAGAAUAUGGAAGGGGUUUCCUUAUGCUCAAGAAAUGCAUAGAUUCAAUUGAAUAAAUUGAGGAAUGCUUUACUCAAUUGUGUUUUUCCUUUCAGAAUAUGGAAUGGGUUUCUUUAUGCUCAAGAAAUGCAUAGAUUCAAUUGAAUAAAUUGAGAAAUGCUUACUCAAUUGUAUUUUUCCUUUCAAAAUAUGGAAGGUGUUUCCUUAUGCCCAAGAAAUGCAUAGAUUCAAUUGAAUAAAUUGAGGAAUAUGAUUGUUCUUUUUCUUUUUCUUUUUAUUUUUUAAAUAAUAGAUGAGCCAAGAUGGAACUUACGUGGAACACAUUGAUUCCAGUCAUUUUCUUGGACAAAGAUAUGCCCAAAAUAUGGGAAAAAGGCAUUUUAAAAUUAAAAAUGAUUUUAAAUUUAAGAGUUUCUUUUUUAUAUGUUUAAAAACUUUUUAAUGGGUAGAUUUGAAUUGUAACUUGCAAUUUAAUCUAAAGAACAUUCGAAAAUUAAAAAUUACAAUAAUGAGAUUCUCAAUCCUUCAAAAUGAAAUUAAUUUAAUCCUCUUUCUUUGUAAAUUAUCCCUCAAUUAAAUCAAUCUUUUAAAAAUUGAAUCUACUAAAUGAUAAUAUUCAUAUUUAAUCAAUUUAUUGUUGGAAUUUAUAUAGGUGAAUGGAAAUUAGGACUUCUUUUUUUUUUUCCCCCUUGGAAAACAUGCUAUUUCUUAACAGACACAACUUGUUUUAAAGAAUAUGUCUUGUAUUUAAAAGACAUCUUAAGAUACAAUCCUUCAAAGGAUACUAGACACAUCUUUUCUAAUAAGUCACCUUCAAAUCUUUAAAUAGGGACCCCACAUAGCAUUUUCAUUCAUUCAUCCAUUCUCUCCACUCUUUCUCAUUUCUUGUCAUUCAAGUUCUCUUUAACUUCUAGUCUAGUCAUUUAUCUUUUCUACCAAAUAUUUGGUAUACAAGAGAGUACAAAUCACCAAGUGAUUCAUUGUUUCUUGUGAUUUGAAGUACUACUAUCACAAGAAAGUGAUCGUUGUAUCCUGGGAGACGAUUGUCAAUAAACCGUAAGCACCUAAGCGGGACAAAUUCGUCUUAAGAACACAGAGUCAAACUCUUGUUUCGAUCAACCUUAUUUGUAAGUUCCAAUUUUCUAAUUACUUCAUUUUAUUUGAAUAUUUAUUACACACACUUAUUAUCCAUAUAUUUUGAGUGAUAUGGAUAACAUUUAUCUUUUUGUAUAAAUUCCUAAAUUUAUAUAACAUAAUUUAAACUUAAUUUCAUUUUGAUUCAAUUUUGUUUCAUGUUUUAUAAUUCUAUAAGGUUGAAUUUAGGGAUGGCAAUGGGCGGGUUUUUUCGGGUACCCACCCCGUCCCGCCCCUAAUGAGACGGGGUUUAAAUUUAAUAAACGGGUUUGGGACGGGUAUGAGAUUUUUUUUUAAACCCGGGGCGGGUUCGGGUAUUGCUCCAUCCCACCCCGCCCCACCCCGUUUACAUAUAAAAUUAAUUUUAAUUCAACGAGCUUAAUUCCACCCAAGAAUCCCUCUUCCCAAACCCAGAAACCCCACCAUUUUUCCUUCACGAAAGCUCUCAAAACUCCACCUAAUCAGAUCUGUUCAAGAACAAUUUGAUCACCAGCCUCUUACUCGGUCAACACCCAGAUGGGAAAACAUGCUUUCCACUGCAGCAAGCUUGUACCCUCUCUAUGUCACUGCUGGAGGGGUUGUUGCAUGUGUGAAGCCAUCUGUUUUUGCUUGGUUUGUGGCGAGAGGCCCAGCUUCUUAUAGCUUAUCACUUGGGUUAAUCAUGUUGUCCAUGGGUAUCACAUUGAAGCUCAGGGACUUCUUCAAUUUAUUGAUCCAGAGGCCUUUUUCUGUGAGUUUUUUAUGGUUUGGAGUUUUUGGGUGUUUUGGUAUUUGAUUGUUUUUGAGACAUGGNNNNNNNNNNNNNNNNNNNNNNNNNNNNNNNNNNNNNNNNNNNNNNNNNNNNNNNNNNNNNNNNNNNNNNNNNNNNNNNNNNNNNNNNNNNNNNNNNNNNGUUGAAUUCCAAUCAUAAUUAAAAAUUAAAUUGAUUUGUUAUAAUAUUAAAUAAGAUAUCUUUUGAAAAAAUUAUUAUAAUCAUUUAACAUAAUACAAAUUUCACCAAGUUUUUCUAACUAUGGUUCUCUAAUAAUUACCUUGUAAUAAUAAAAUUAAUUCUAACAAUAUAUGUCAUAAUCAAAUUUCAAAAAUCCAAUCUCAAAUAAUUUAAUAGCUGAGUUUAAAUUUAAUUUUUGAAAUUCUUAAUUUCCAAAUGUGACUUGACAAGAAUUUAAACUAUUGACUUUCGACUAAGGUUUUACACAUUUUGCCUAAUUAAAUAAAAUAUUGACACGUGAAUGUUCACUAACAUCACGUGAUUCAUUGAUUUAGACGAUUCAUUUUGGUUGAUGUUGAGGAUAGUCAUCGGCAGUAGACUAACAUCUUCUGGACCAAUUAACAUACCAGUAGUGAUUAGGCCAAGGUGGUGAUCCAAUUCCAUGGAAGAGCAGCAAGAAAGGAGGAACGUUGGAGAGAUAGAACCAGAAGGCGGCCAACCAAGCAGGAACAGUGGCCAAACUGGCCUCGAGCCUGAGGAGCAUAGGAUUGACAUUGUUGAAAUCAGUCAUAGGGAUUGGAUUGAGUCUCUCAGAACGGCAGAAGAAAGAACUCAAUCUCAAAGUCAAUGGCCAAGGAUACCAAAGGUUCCUCAGAUGCUGAGGGGGACCCAGGAUUUCAAGAAAUUCUACGAACCGAGGGUAAUUUCGAUCGGUCCUUACCACCAUGGCAGGCCCCACCUUUACCCAGGGGAAAUGAUCAAGCCUCUAUGCGCCCGAAACUUCCUGGCUGAUAGUAAGCAGGACAUCGAAGCUUUGUACACAAAAAUUGUAAGUAAUAUCGAGGCAGUGGAAAAGUGCUAUGAUUGGAGUAGUACAAAAAAGUAUGAUGAUGAGAAACUCGCCAGGAUGAUGCUUCUGGAUGGGUGUUUUUUACUAUAUUUCAUCUGCAGGGAAGGUAUGAUAAACGUUCUUAAAGUUCACGAAAUAGAUUUUGUGGAGCAGGACUUGUUCUUGCUGGAGAACCAACUUCCCUUUGGAGUCCUCAAGUUGAUUUUUGAGGGAGCAAAUUUCAAGGUUGAUCUACCAAUGGAAAAGAAUAUAAUAAAAUUCGUCACUGUCAUCGGAAUGCCAGAAGGGUUGUCAUCAGAAAUACAGCUGAAAGAGGUGAACUAAGAGCCCUCUCAUCUCCUCGACCUUUUGCGAAGUGCUCUCCUAGGCAGGUUCCACAUGAUUAGGAGUCAGCCCGAAAAAGAGCAGCAACCUAAGAAAAAAGGAAAGUCGUCGUCGUCGUCUCAAGGAGGAAAGUGGGGGCUCCGUUGGCCAUGGAAAAAAGGCAAACAACGGGGCAUUAGGAAGUCUUUUCGACACAUCAAGGAGCUUAAAGCUGCCGGCAUCUACCUCAAACCGAGUAGAACGUGUUUCUUGAGAGACGUUUCUUUCAAAUCCUACUUCUUCUUUGGCUACCUGAAACUUCCCCCAAUAACCAUUGAUGACUUCACGAAGACCAAGUUCUUGAACAUGGUAGCCUAUGAAAUGUAUCCAGAUGCCCCAGAUGACUAUGCGGUCACUUCUUAUGUAUGCUUCCUUUACGACUUCAUUGAUGAUGCAGACGAUGUCAAGCAGCUGAGAUCUAAGCACAUUCUCCACAACCUUCUUGGCAGCGAUGAAGAUGUGGCCCACAUUUUCAACGAGAUCGGCAAUGGCUUGGUAGAUCCCGAAAUUUAUGGAGAUGUGAAAGCUCGUAUUCAGAAACACUACGACAAGAGAGUGAAUACUUGGAUAGCUGAAGCCCUUCACGGCCAUUUCAGGUCUCCCUGGACUUUCAUGGCUCUCAUUGCAGCUGUUUUAAUACUAAUUCUUACUGGGGUUCAGACCAACUACGCUCAUCCCGAUAACUAUAUAAAAUAUUUAUAUAUAUCGUCAAUUAUAAUUGGGAUUUGUUUUUUUCUUGUUCGGCAUGUUUGUGAUUAGACAAAUAAAGAUGUAUAAAUUAUUAAGUUGUAUCACUGGAUUUCAUGCAUGCAAUAUUAUGAGUCUUUUCCUCUCCACAUGAAUUUGCUAUAAUCUAUAAUGUCUGUUUGAAUUCAUAAUUUCCAGCUUGCUUUUUUCCGUUCUUUUUCAUAGACCAGGAUCAUACAUAACACAACAUUCACAUAGAAAAUUUUCGGUCAACAAUAUGUGAUUCCGUGGAUGGGAUGGGAUUGGAUUUACUCACACACUUUUUUAUCAAAGGAGAAAAUUAUGGAUAAAAUUAUAAUUUUGAUAUAUUUAUAAAUUGAGGGCUCUCUAAUUUUUAUUUUUUAUUUUUUAUAAAAGACAAAAAUAUCCAUUUUUAGGUAAUUUAAUGUUUAAUUUUGGAUUAAAAAAAUUUCAUAAAUAAAUACUACAUUUUUUAAUGAAGUCUUCCGAGCUUCAUUGAAAAAAUCUUCAAAUUUUCAACUUCUUUGAGAAAUCUUCGAAUACUCUCCAACUCUUCCAUAAAUUUUUUAUCUUCUUGGAAUCUCUUUUAAGAGCUUUAGGGCUUUUCUUUAGUUUUGAAAAAAAAACACACACACACAGAUUGAGUUAGAAAUGAAAGUGGAGAAAAGAAAAGUACUCGACAGUUUUGCAUACUGCUUGAUAGAACUCGUUAAAAUUGUUUAUAUCUCUGGCACUAAAAUACAUCUUGUAGCACUUAGUGAUCAAAGCCUGUUUUUCCUCCUUACUUCCAAUUUAGACAUGGAGAGGUGACACAAACUUUGAGAUAUUCAAUGAUUCAACAAAGCAUUCAUCAAAUAUUAUACUGUUUGCUUUGAUGGAGGGGCAAAGAAGAUGAUACCAGAAGUUAGCUUCAUGAGGGAUGCGCCUACCUUUUGAAUGGUUGGAUAUGAUGAUAUUGUUGGAAAGUGUCUCAAAAAUUAUUUUUGAGUCAAUUGUAAAAUUAUAGAUAAUCUCCUAAUACAAAAUAUUAUUGUAUUUAAGUUUCCUAUUAUUAUAGUGGGAAUAUUAUAUUAUAAAAUUUUUUUUUUUUUUUUUUUUAGGGAAAGAUAUCUUUGAAAAUUAAUAUACAUUUAGUUUUCUGUAUGCAAUCUUCCUAUAUAUGUAAUUAGGAAAAAAUACAUAGGAAGACAUUUUGAUCAGAAUAGUAGAAGUCUUUUUUUUUUUUUCGGUGUAAUUGAGACUUUGGGAUUUGAGAGUUAUAUGAUUGUAAUCUCCUUUAAUAAUAGUGAAAGUUCUUCUUUGUCUUCAUGGGUAGAUGUAAGUUUGAGGUCGAACCACGUAAAUCAUUGUGUACUUUGUGUGUUUUAUUUUCAUUUUUUUUCCUAAUAUUUUUUCUUUGUCAUGUUUUUUCACUAUAAAUUGGUAUAAGAGCAUAGGUUCUUAGACAUGGAAUGAUAAUAGAGUUUGAGGUUGAGAAGUUUGAUGGAAGAAAUAAUUGAAGUUUGUGGCGCGUUAAGAUGCUAGCCUUAUUAGUUCGACAAGGAUUGUCCAAAGCACUGAAAGGUGGAGAGACUCUACCAACAACAAUGUCUAAUGAAUAAGAGGAUGAACUUAUGGAGAAAGCGCACAAUGCUAUUCUAUUAUGCUUCGAUAAUGGGGUAUUUCGUGAGGUUGCAAAAGAGGAUACGACUACUGAGUUAUGGUUGAAGUUAAAAAGUUUGUGUAUGGCGAAGUCUCUUAUAAAUCACUUGUAUUUAAAAAAGCGAUCAUUUACUCUCUAAAUGACCCUUAAUUGUUAGGUUAUUUAAAUUGUGUUUUCUAAAAGUUUCAUGGUAUAAAUGGUAAACUUUUACAAAGUGAAAAGUAGCGAUGAUGUUUGUUAAAAAAAUGAUUUAAUUAACUUGGUAGUUUAUGAUGUUCACUAAUUUUGUUUUCAAACAUACACCAUAUUUUAUUAAUUACAUAAAAUUUGCUUAAGCUUGAAUAAGAACAGCCCCUUUUAAUCACUACUUUAAAAUUAAUGAAAUCAAAGUUCUUAAUUAAGAAAUAAUUGAUCUUAAUUUAUUUCUAUAAUUAUGAAAGAUUAGGGUGACCCCAAUCACAUUAAGUACUUUUUCAAAUGCAUUAUGAUAAGUGAUAACCACUAUGGAGGCAAUAAUUUAAUUAAUUUAUUUGUAUGCCCUAUCAUGCAAAAUGAGAGUGACCCUAAUUAAUAUAUGUAUAUAAAUGGGCACUUGAUCAAUUGAGAAAUAUCUAUUGAAAUAACUUCUUUUUUUUCCAAAAAAUUAUUUUUUAUUUUUAUUUUUUAUUGGGUAGGUAGACUUAAAGGGUCAGUAACCAAAUGGGUUGGCAAAAAAAUUUAAAAUUUAGUUAAAUGUAUAUUUCAGUUAAUUAAUUAUCUUAUAGCUGUCCAAUUAAUUCAUUAUUGAUUAAUUAUAUUAAACAUAAAUAAAAGUCACUUUCUUAAAGUGGAGAGUCCAACAUGCAUGAACGCCUUUUUUUAUUUUCUAAUUUUAUUGUUUAUUUUUGGAUAGAAAGAUAGCUUUUGACUGUUGCUCUUUCUUUUAUUGUUAUUAUUGUUAUUAUUAUUAUUAUUAUUAUUAUUAUUAUUUUGGCUCAGAUGCAGUGGGCUAAGACAAAUCUCCAUUCAAAAUUGAACAAAAUCCUCCAUUUCAACAUUUUCUUAAGCCCUUUAUUCAUUUUCAUUUUUUUUUCUCUAUAAUUUAUAACAUGCUAUAUAUAAUUAUAAUCGAUUUUUUUUUGGGUUAAAAUAUGACAAAAUUUCUAGAUCCCUUUUAAGUUAGUUAAUGAAAACUUCGUAGAAAGACAAAUAUACUCAGUGUCAUGAAAAUCAUUUUUUAACUUAUUUGAGAAAUUGUUUUAUAUUUAAUAAAAAAAUCUUUUCUAAUUUACUUGAGAAUUUAUUUGAGGAUUUAUUUAAUAUUUAAAGUGUGUUUGAUAAUAUUUUUACUUAAAAUAUUAUUAAUAAAAGUGUUUUUUUUAUUAAAGUGUUUUUUAGAAUAAUCACUUAUCAAAUGUUUCUUCAAAAUACAUUAAGUAAUUUUUCAAUAUUGCAAAUGAUUUUUCAAAAUUUUGAAAAUAUUUCCUAAAUUUUACCACAUAUCUAUUUUUAAAAAAAUAUUUUUUAGACUAAAACCAUUUUCUAAAAUCAUUAUCAAACGAUUAACUUCCACAUCAACAAAAAUUACCCAUUAACAUCAUACUUUAAACUUUGACUUUAAUUACUUAAUACACUCAAAAAUAAGAAGUUAUCUAAAUAUAAAACAAAAUUAAAAAAUUAUUAAAUUUCAACCACCCUACAUACUAUCAAACCAAAGUGGACACAAAAAUUUUGCUCACACUUUUAUCAUAUCAUGGAAUUAAAUUUAUAAGCUAUGGAUGUGAAAUAUGGGUCUACCAUGGUAUAAAUUAUAAAAAUAUUAAAAAAAAAAUUAGGGUAGGGGUGAAGCCCAAUUCAAAUUGAAGUACAAAAAUAUCAUACAUGGUGAGACAACUACAAUUCACAGCUAAGAUCCAUUUAUUUGUCUUGUAUGGAAGGUUAAGGGUCACUAUCUUUCUGGUCACCCAAUGGAUAUAUAGACCAUCACAGCUAAGGUCCCAGCCCCACCAAUCCACCAUGGACAACAUUCUCUUAUCAUAGUACUGUUUGAAUGCCUAGAUCACAUGCCAUUGUAUGCCUUGAUAGAUAAAAGAAAAUUUAUGAUAAUUUGUAUAAGAAACUUAAAUUUAUUAUUUUUAUUUUUAUUUUUACUAUUUACUAGUAUUACUAUUAUUUAGGUUCAGGUGUAAAUAGAUCUUUGAUUUUAUAAAAAAAUUAUUGAACGUUAUUUUAUCAUGUAAUUUAGUUUUAGAAAGCAAUUCGAAAACAUUAAGAUUUUUCUUGGUUAAACAUCUAUAUUGGCUAGAUAGUGAUUAUAAUGUUUACAAUAAUAUUUAUUAUAAGUUUAAUGCUAUGACAUGGAAUCGUAUUGUGCAUGGCAGGUUAUUUAACCUUGAUGUUACUAAUUUAGACUAAUAAAUAAAUAAAAGAUUGGUUAAUAUUGGUCUUAAUAUUAUUUAAAUUGAAAAUUAUUUAAUUUGUUUAUAUCAAUAAAGGUAUCUUUGAUUGCUUAAUCUCAAAUCCUCAUUUCAAUCACUAAUUUUGGGUUAUGUGAAUAUCAAAUUAAUGUAUUUUUGUAUUUUAUCGAUCUUCUAACUAACGUACUUAGCAUAUGUGUUUAAUAAUGUAAAUCAUAAAUAACUUGGUUUAUGAGAUAGACAUUUUGAUAUUGAUGUGUUAAUUAAAAAGUCAAACAACAAGUAUCUCUUUGUCGUGUUGUCUCUCAUGGAAAUGACCCUAACAUUAUCUUUAAGCUAGGUUUAUUUCUAAGCUCAUCAAGCAUUAUUAUUUGUUUAAUUAUUCCCUUUAAUAUGAAAUAAAUAAAUGAAGAUUGAAUCCAUUAAUAUAUUUUUUAUCACUUGAUUAUUAAUUGAUUGAGACACUUAAACCAAUCUUACUAUGCCCAAUAGUAAGAGAAUUGAUUUCAUAAAGAUACACUAAAUUUUUAUUAAAACUUCACACUUAGCUCUUUAUUUAAGUUGACGUAUUAGUGUUAUUAGGAGACGAAAAAUAUUAACCUAUCUUAAAUAAGGAAGUGAUGACUUGAAAAUGAAGUAAAACAACUAAAAAAUAAGCAUACAUACUUCGAUUUUAUAAUAUUUUUAACACAUGGCACAUGAAUCUUAGGAUAACGAUGUAUUGUAUUUAUGUAAAUUAUAUUAAGGCUUUAGCCCUAAUUGACCCAGUACUCGUUAUUUGUAUAAUAUAUACAGGACAAUGUGAAUUUUUAGAGAAUCAAAUAACAAAUUAAAUGUCGAGUUAUUAAUCAUUUGAGUCAUACACAAAUAAGUAUAUAAAUUUUUUUGCCAAAGCAUGCAUUACCAUGCAAGAAAUACCUAGUUUGCUUACCCUAAAAAGGGGUCAAAUUUGUUAAUUGAGAAUGAGAUCUCUUUUACAAAGACUCAACACGUAUAAUCAUGGCUCUUGGGAAAACAUUGAAUCUAUGGUAUUAAUUGGUAAUGUUCCCAAUUAAUACCAAUUGGAAUAACACUUUAAAAUAGUACGAAGAAAAGGAAAAACCCUAUUUAAAAUAUUGCAUGGUACCCACCAAUACCAACUAGAUUCUUUAUCAAAAUUAUUACCACCUAACUCAAAUUCAUACACUAAAUUUUCUGAUAAUAUUCUUUGUCUAUGUAAAUAAAAAUGUUAUAUCUAUAAUUAAUUUUUAAGUAAAAGUAUGGACUUUUCAACAAGAUGUAUGUAUAUUUAUUGUAUCAUACAUCAAGAUUGAAGAUAGUCUUCAAUCAUUGCAUAAAAAAGUUUAAUUAUUAUUAGAAAUGGAUCCAUGAAUGAGCAAAAUAACUUGAAAUAACCUUACACAAUGUAAAAUAUUUAAAAGAAUAAAUUAAUAAAUAAUAAUCCAAGUGUUUAACGAUUAGGGUUUUGACGAUAUGUUAAAUCAUCGCUUAUUUUUAGAGAUUAAAUAGAAUGUGUUUGAGAGUGUUUUUACUCGAAGUAUUUUUAAUGGAAGUUUUUCCUCAUAAAGUGUUUUUAGGAGAAUAACGUAUCAAUUAUUUCUAAACAAACACUAAAAGUAUUUCCUUAAUCUUGUCAACCAACUAAUAUUUUUUCAAAAACACUUUUUGUAAAAACCCACACCCUACCGUGUGUAGAUAUUGUCCGCUUUGUCUCUAAAAAGGUUUUUAUAACUUUAAAACACGUUUACAGGGUUAAGAAGAGCUUAUACUCAUAUGGUAUAAGAAACUUUUUUUUCUAUUUGAUGUGAGAUAUCACAAACAUCCUCUUAUGCAGACAUGUUCUCGUUGUAUCUCUUGGGAUUGUGGGGUCAAAUAGAUAGACACCCCUCAUAGGGUUAGACUAACUUCCACACUAUGGUUAGAAAUUAUCUCUAAUACCAUUUGUAAUAACCUACAUCCAACCAUAUAGAUAUUGUUAAUGACAUAUACCCAAUUAUAUAGAUAUUAUCCGUUUUGGGCUCAAAAGAUCCUUAUAACUUUAAAAUACGUCUACAAAAUUAUAAAGAACUCAUACUCAUAUAGUGUCAAAAAUUUUCAAAAUCACUAUUAAACAUACUCUUGAUUUAAAACUCGGAUAUUUAUACCUCACAAUUAAGUGAUUCAUUUACCAUUUCUUCCAUCAUGAGUCUAUUUCACUAUCCAUUGAUCCCUUGUUUAUUGACAAAAUAUUAUUUUCUAACCAUUUUUAUCCCUUGACACUAUCUUCGACUAUUUCUUUUUUUAUUAAAAUUGAUUAGAUAUAUAUAUAUAUAUAUAUAAUAUUGUUUGUCGAAUUUCCAAGGAAAUUAGGUUGAUUUGCCAUUCGAAUUAGUCAAAGGUAAUGUUUUAAGGGAACAUCCCACAUCAAUAAGAAAAAAGAUUUACUGUCUUCUGGCAGAUUUACUCUUAUAUUAGCUGUUAAUUUUCUUUAAAAAUUAUUAAAUUAUCUUAAUACUUAAGCAAUGAUUAUAAAUUGGGUAGUCAUAUUUGGAUUAGUCUUACACAUCACCUCAUAAAGAGUGUAUGACUUUGUAUUUAAGCCAAUCUAUAAGUUUGAAGCCGGCCUAUUAUUUUAAUUUCUUUAGGUUGAACUUAAUUCAACUUAAAUAAUUACCACUUGCACCUCCACCCCAAUAGGAAAACUCCCCCCAAAAAAAAAAAAGAAAAAAAAAAGGGUUUUUCUACUUAGAAUUAGGAAAUCACUACUUUUUCUUACCUUAAUUUUCUAUUUAAAAAUGGGAAAUGAUAAUAAUUUUAUCAUAACAACACUACUUUGAUAACAAACUAAAGCCCUAUUUGGCCAUAUUUUCUCAAACUUUGUUUUAAAAACUAAUUUUAAAUUAAAGAAUAGAAAACGGUUUUUAAAAAUAAAUUUUUGGUCAAGGGGGCCAUAUUUUCCUUUCGUUUUUAAAAAACUGAUAAAAACAAUUUCUACUUUUUCCUAAAAAUUAUUCUAUAUUUCACUUUAUUUUUAAAAAUUAUUUCCCAAAAAUAAAUAGUAUUAGAAAAUUUUAAAAACGGGUUUCUAUUUUUAAAAACAAAAAACUGUUUUUAAAUCAUUAUACCAAACAGACUCUAAGUUUUAAAGAAUUUAAACAAAAAAUGAAUAAUAAAAUUUGAUCACUCAACGAUUCUCCAUCGAAGUCAUUAACUCUUUUCCUCUAAUUCCCCUCAUUUAAACUUACUUCCAAUAUUAAUCACAACAAAUAAGUAAAAUUUAAUAGUUCUAAACAAAUUUUAAGUUUCGUAUUACUUCAACUUAAAUAGUUAAGAACAAAUUAAACAAAAUUUGUAUCAAGUUAAUUUAAACUAUUAAGUAUUAAUUUAAUCUAUGCCUACAAUAAGAGACAUAUUUGAACUUAAAUCCUAAAAAUUAAAAAAAGAAAAAUAAAUAAAGACUAACAAUGUUGACCAUGAUUUUUAAGUGGUUUUAUCAUCAUUAUGAGAAGUUUGUAAAUGAUAUCAUUUUUUUUCUUUAAAUUUGAAAGUUUGUGAAAAAUGUUUAGGAUGUUUGUUUCCAGUGAUGAAUUCAGAGACGUAGAGAACUCCAAAAUGUGGGUCAAAUAAUUCAAAAUCAAAUUGAUGAUAAAGAUAUGGGCAAAUAAUCCAAAAUGUGGGAAGACAAUGAUGAUGAUGGCUGCCUAAUACAUACUUAAUCAUCAAGAUUUUGGGCAAAAAUCUCAAUUGGUGGGCCCAAUCAUAAAAUGGCUUUUCACUUUUUGUUUGUUUAUUUAUUGGGUGUCAUUCAAAUAAAAGAAUGCUCUACAAGGUGCCACUUUGUGUUUUGGGUCUAAUUGGGCCCAAAAAUUAAGAUAUGGUCCAUAUAUAUUCCAUAUUUAAUAGAAAAGAUAUGAGAUAUUAACUAACCAAUAUACCCUUAAAAUUUCCGGCUCAGAUUGUUGUAAAUUAAUGGGUUUGACAGGUGGUAAACUUGAAAUGCCAUGUCACUUGACUGAAAAAUCUGAAAUAAAGGGCAUAAGGGUCACCACCCUCCUACCCCUUUCUCUCCCUUCGUAAACAACAUGCUCACAGACGAUGUCAACUGUGAUUGUCCUCCUAUUGGUUUCUUCAGCAGUUGAGGAUUGUGAGCAACUUAGAAAAGCCUUUGCAUGUAUUUUAUCAUCAUCAUUCCCAAAUCCAAAUGACGGUGAGUCUGAAUUAUUUUCUCACAUUUUGAUUUGAUCAUGUUGGUUCCUUUGAUGAUGUGGUGGAUGUUUGUUUAUUGGGUUAGUACAAGGUUUGAGGAAAGACAUUUGUUUUGAUCUCGUGUUGGGGUGUUUAAAAAAAUUUUGAACUUAAUAACAUAGUGUUUUUGGGUGCAGGGUAGGGGAUAAAUGAGGCUUUGAUCAUAUCCAUCUUGGCUCAUAGGAAUGUAGAACAACCUAAGUAAAUUCAAGAAACUUACAGUGAAUAUUAUGGAAAAGAUCUCCUCAAAAAUGGCAUUUCACAAGUCUUAAAAUUUUUCACUUUAGAAUCUGCUUGUUAGGUUUAUAGUCCAGAGAAGAAAUGGGUAUCGUCUAGACGGUGAGCUUUGGGGAUGAGCUAGCCCACUUAUGAUGAAUAAGAAACUAAAUUGGGUUUCAUUUUUCCCCUUUUCACUUAGCUAUGACAUUGGAAUGUGGUUAACUCGCCCAUAUGCACUCGUUAAGUUGUAGCUAGAUCGAAUUCCUGCAACUGUACAAGGCAUUUACACAAAGUGUGUAAGGCUAAUGUACUAAAUAUACAAGGGUGUGUAUUUUAAGGGGUUUUAAGUGAUUUUAAUGAACUUACUCAUUUACUUUUUCCAAUCAUGGGGACAUUCCUAACACAUAUUGCUUGACAACACACUAAUUGUAUGCAUUUUAUUUGAUGUUUAUCAUGUUAAUUCAUUCUAUUAGCUCCCAUACUAAUGAUGAAUAUGAACCGAAAUGAGGGUAAACUUUUUCCUCCUUUUCCCUAAUCCAUGAGAAUGAAAACAUUGUUUACACACCCAUAUGUACUCGUUCGUUCGUACCUAUUUUGGAUUUCGUUAUUGUACAAGGCAUUUACACUAAGUGUACAAUGCAAAUGUGUUAAUUAUACAAGUGUGUACAAGACUUUCUAUCUUGAAAGAUUUCAACUGCUUUUGAAAAAAUUGCUUGCUCAUUUCUUUUUUCUAAGGGGUACAUUCCUCAUAGUCAUUGCUCAUAGGAUAUAUGUUUGAUAAUUUUUGUCAAAAGGAACAACAUAGCAUACUUAUUUUUAUCAGAAUUUGCACUUUAGAUAUUGGUAGUUAAGACCUUAGAAUCGGCAUUCAUGAUGAGAAAAUUAACAUGAAAAUAUCAUUAUGACACAUUAUCAAACAUAUAUCCUACAUCCACCAUUACUAUAAAAAGAAACAUUAAUAUUUUGUCUGUAACCUGAAAAACAACAUAGAGUCUAGCUGAGGGUUCUCUUCCUCUUAUGCCUCCAUUUUUCUGGAAACAAAAUCAACUCAGAAGAUAAGACUUAAGUUCAAAAUAUAUAAUUUCUUAGUUAUCUCAGCAACAAAUAGAUCUAGUAUUAUUGAUUUCUGCAAAGAACCCAAUAGAUCUAGUAAAGCCAGAAUCCCAAUUAGGAUAUCCCCACCAAAUAAUAGUACAGAAAGCAAGAUUCAAUUUUAAAAACGGGUUUCUGUUUUUAAAAACAAAAACCUAUUUUUAAAUCAUUAUACCAAACAGACCCUAAGUUUUAAAGAAUUUAAACAAAAAAUUAAUAAUAAAACUUGAUCGCUCAAUUAAUUUCCAUCGAAGUCAUUAACUUUUUUUCCUUAGUUCCCCUCAUUUAAACUUACUUCCAAUAUUAAUCACGACAAGUAAGUAAAAUUUAAUAGUUCUAAACAAAUUUAAAGUUUCAUAUUACUUCAACUUAAAUAGUUAAGAACAAAUUAAACAAAAUUUGUAUCAAGUUAAUUUAAACCAUUAAGUAUUAAUUUAAUCUAUGCCAACAAUAAGAGACAUAUUUGAUCUUAAAUCCUAAAAAAAUAAAAAAAAUAAAUAAAGACUAACAAUGUUGACCAUGAUUUUUAAGUUGUUUUAUCAUCAUUAUGAGAGACAUGGACCCCAAUGGGAGUCACUUGAUGGAGCCAUUGACAAAGUGAUCAAUUAUUACUUGAUUAAGAAGAAAGUUUGUAAAUGAUAUCAUUUUUUUUCUUUAAAUUUGAAAGUUUGUGAAAAAUGUUUAGGAUGCUUGUUUCCAGUGAUGAAUUCAGAGACGUAGAGAACUCCAGAAUGUGGGUCAAAUAAUUCAAAAUCAAAUUGAUGAUAAAGAUAUGGGCAAAUAAUCCAAAAUGUGGGAAGACAAUGAUGAUGAUGGCUGCCUGAUACAUACUUAAUCAUCAAGAAUUUGGGCAAAAGUCUCAAUUGGUGGGCCCAAUCAUAAAAUGGCUUUUCACUUUUUGUUUAUUUAUUUAUUGGGUGUCAUUCAAAUAAAAGAAUGCUCUACAAGGUGCCACUUGGGCUAAUUCAAAAGGGUUCAUUUCAUUCUCAUUAUGAUAGCGCUAAUUCAAAAGGGUUCAUUUCAUUCUCAUUAUGAUAGCUUAGACUCCAGUAUGGGAAAAAGCAUGAGAUUUAAAAACAAUUUCCAUGAAAAAUAUGGUUAAGUGGAAAAAAAAAAAAAAAAAAGGGAUGGAUAAAUAAUUAGGGUUUUUAAAUUAGCAAAAUAAUUUUUUUUUAAUGUUAAGGAAUUUAUUUAUAAAUCAAGAUAAAUUUGCCUUACGGAGAGUCUGUGCAGUGUUUUUAGUUCAUAAAGUGUUUUUAAAAAUAAAUUAGGUUUUUUACAAAAUUAAAAAAAAAAACAUUUUUUUAAAAUUAGAAAAAUCACUUAUAAUAUUUUUUUUUAAAAACACUUGAUUUUCCUAAAAACACUAUCAACACUGUCAAUGGCACUCAAAAGUCACAGGUUUAUACCACUUCCCCAAAAUAAUUUUUAUAUAAUUAAUAUUUGUAUACAUGUUAGAAUUUUGUUUUAAAAUUUUAAAAUAAAUAAAUAAAAUUUAAAAGAAAAGAAAUUUAAUCUGCAUUUUUAUAGUAAUUACCACAAGUUCCUCCUCCGACCCCAUUGAUCCCACACAUGUUCCUGAUUUUAUUUUCUCAAGAAACAAACAGAACACAAGAAAAUUGCAACCAACCCUCUCUCAACUUCUUAAUGACCAAAAGAAGUAACCCUUUUGUGGGCUGUUUAGGCUCUACCAAUACAUUUAUCUGAAAACUUUCAACCAAAUCAAAACUCUGGAGCAUUGUACUACAAGAUUAUGGAGUGACCUAAAAAGAAAAAAUGAAAAGAAAAGAAACUCUGAAGCGCAAGAGAAGCUUCAACAGACUCCCAAAAUGCAAUAAGCAACAAGAAAAUAACUUCUACUCUAUGAGUUUAGAGCUAAGCAUAAGAAAUUAGAGAACAAAACGGAAUUGGUUAAUAAAUUUCAAGCAACAGAGUUCAACCAUGGGCAGAAAAAAGAGGGUGUAAGAAAUGGAAGCCAUUGGAUUCCGCGUAAAAUAGCACCUGCUGCUCUUGAAUUGGUUCGUCAAACAAGUAUAUAAGAGAGUUGAAACUGUCAGAAAAAUCAUUGAAGAUGGAGAAAUCCUCCUCAACAAUCACAAGGACACCCAUUAUGUCAAGAGUAAGAUAAUUACAGGAAUCAUACAAUACUGAAGAAUUGCAGAAACUUGGAUUAUAAAAUGACCACUUGAAACUGGAAAUCCUAUGAAGGGCCACAGCAAGUUGCUAUCAAAGGGGAGGGGAGAGCACCCUAUUCCUCGAGUAACCCAAUAUUUCAUUAACAAGAGAGGCCUUUCUCCUCUUCCCAGAUCAAGAACCAGACUAUGAUUAAAAAGGAUUACAGUUUAGUGUUCGAGUUUCACCCGCUAUAUAUACUUUCAAACCAUUAGAAAACUGAAGGAGAUUGUCGUAUGUUUUGUAUAGCAGACUCACCUCCUCAACAGCUGUUUCUCUAAGAUGGAAAUUCCAAGUUGACAAGCUGCUACUUAUGAAGUACCAUUAUCACAGUGCUGAGUGAAGCUUCCAUCCUUUUGCCCAGAAACUUAUUUUUGGUAAUGAUGUUCUGUACUGUGAUGUGGUCAUUUUCUAAGAUUGGCAACUAGUUAAUGUCGUAAAGACUAUAGAAAAGUUCUAAUUCCAAAUGUAUUUUUGCAUCUAAAAAUUUAGUACAAGAACUGCCUGUCAAUCAAGUAAUAAUUUCAUACUUGAGCAUCUAUAAAUUUUAAUCUCUUGGCCGAGUAUUCAAAACCAAAUAUUAGUCUUCAUGGCCUCAGCACUUGGCUUCCAGACAGAAUGUCUGCCAAUUUCACCUUUCCCAGUCACAAUAAUUAGAUGAAUUCCAUCAUCCAUGAUGUUAACUAAAAGACCCACAUAUCCAAUUUACCCUCCAAAUAAUUGACCUGGAAAAUAAGGAGAAGAAAAAAAGUGUCAUUUGAAAUGGAAACAGAUAAACGAUGUAGAGUAGCAAAGUAUAAGAAGCUCAUGCUUCUGAAUUCUCACAGGAAAAAGUAGUAUUUGUUUUGGCUUCCUUUUUCUUUUCCUUUUUUAGUGCAUUUAGUAGUUCUUCUUUCAAUAGUUCCUCUCAGGUUUGUCCACUGACCAAUCACUGCCAUGAGAACACAGUAUGAAGAGGCAACGCUGUUGCCUUUCUAAAUCGUGUAACAUUCAGUAUGGCUGCUGGCAAGCUGCAAGAUCUAAAACCUAUUUCCAUAAGCGGAUUCAAGUUGAGUUAGCAUGCUCGGAUCAAUUCUUGGGUCUUUUAGGCAAAAAUACACUAUAUUGGGAGCAGUCACAACAAUCUGAAUAUGGAUAUUUAUAUCAUGUUGUCAGCUUCUAGAACAUUACAGUUAUAGCAUACCGCAGUUGACCAUCAUAAUUGAAGUUGAAAAUCCACCAAACAAUACCUUAAGAAAAAAAACUUCGAGUGUUUAUCCAUCCAUCCAUGAUUGACUCUCCAAAUGUUUAGAUCUGUUUUUAUCCACUAGGUUUGUCAUCACAAGUGCAUGAAUGAACAAUUGCAAGACAUAUGAAGACGUUGAAUCUUUAUGCAUAAUAAUGCUGAUGAUUCCCUUCAUUUCCAGCAGCAAAUACUUAAAAAGCCCAGAAGAGAAACAAAAACUAAACUGAGCCAGAAUUUUUGGUCCAAAAUCAUCCCUAUGAAAAUACUAGCUAGUGCUCAACCUUUCUUAUAAUGAGAUUCUGCAGAACAUAAGAGGUCUGCCCUGUUUGGCAAAGACAAGUAUGAAUCAAUUUUCAGUUAUCGGCAUGAUAAAAUGCAUUAAGCAGCCAUGGUUAGCAGGAGCAGCUCAGAGUCAUUUGUAUUGCACAGACUUAAGAAGAUUUGGUCCAAGCUGAAGAGGCAUUGAGAUAUGGAAAAUAGUAAUUCGAUGGUUCUAAGAGGGUUCCCCAGUACAUCAUUGAAGAAAAGAGACUGAAAAAUUGGCAUUCUUAAAAUUGCCAUGUUUCCAGUUGGCAGAGUAAACCUUGCACCUGAGGCAACCCUGAUAUUUAGUGCAUAAGCUUAAUGGACUCAAAAACUCACAUUUCCAGACGAUCAAGUGAGGAGACCCGCAUAGCCAUCCGUCUAUGUAGAGACUUUGCAUUCUUCAAGCUCCAUGAUGAGGCCCAUAAAGGUAGAACAUGUUCCAUCUUAGAGACCUCUUGUGGGGAUAGAACUGGAAACAAAUAGAAUUGUAAGAAUUCAAAAAACAUAAAUCCUGGUUCAAGAUACAAGAUUAUGGAUAUAUGUUUGGCUAAAGCAAUAAAGUUAAAGAGCUGCCUCCAUGUGGAAGCCCAGAUGGAGACAAAUAUGCAUACUUCCAAAAGUUGAGAUGUUUAAGGUUAGGAAGCAGUUUUUGCCGGUUAAGAAUUAUUAGACCAAGCCUCUUCCCUAGUACCAGUAAAACAUUUCAUAGAACCAGUAAAUGAUUUGACCCCUUAUGAAGUGGACAAACCAUGUUCAGUCCUGGUCUUUUCUGGCAGUGGUGUUUCAGUUUCUUCGAAUAGUUAAGCGUAGAAUGUUAAUUCACACGAAUGUUAAUUCAAUUUUUUCCUCUGCCCUAGUUGAUGAGGAAAUUGCAGCGUUUGCAAAAAGAAUUUAGGAAAUUCUUUAAAAAUAGAAAGAAGAAAAACUUUUAAGUAUAAAGAAGAUCUCAAAAGAUCUAAAGGAUCUCCACCUUGGGCUUGUGCUUAAGCUCCUAAAGAUUCUAAAGUUUAUUUUUUUGCAACAAACAUUGAGUAAUGCUAUCUAUAAAUCCGAGUUCAUACAUGAGCAUCAACGGUAGAUGCUUAUAACAUUGUAGACAAAUUGCUACAAAAUUGGGUUUUGUCUUAGAUCGCCAAAACAGGAGACUACUAGGACUCUGUGUGCAUGAAUAAUAUCGUAGGCAAUCCUAUUCCAGAUUAAUUUGUAACUUGAGUCCCGUAAGUAUGACUAGUUCACCAAAAUACAUUCACUUAAAGUUUAAAGUGGCUGCAGCCUACGUGAACACUGAAACACCUAUCCUAUUCUGUCCUUGAACACACGUUAGGGACAGUGAGUAAUCUAGAGAUCCAGUUUUUGUGCAUGGAAAAUAAAAAUGUUUUUUGUAAAUUCUAAAAUUGGUUAAUCAAGGCUACAAUUGAAGAAGACCAGAAUUUGAUAUCCACUUGGUGGCUUAGUGGAUCAAGAAGGAAAUUACACUUUGUCCAAUCAAGAUAGAGAUUUGAUUGGUUAAGUGAAAAAGUUGCACCUAGAUUGAUCAAGUGUUGGUUCACCAAGCUUAUAAAUUCAACCAAUUUAUUGAAGUGUUAUAAUUGGGUUUGAACUCUCUUAAAGAGUUCUGGACUCCAUAAAUAUUGUUAAAGUAUAUUAUGUUAUGGGCUUUAGGCCCAGUUAGGUUAUAGUACACUUUACUUGUACCGCACACUUGUACCGCACACAUAUGCCUCCUAUAUAAAGGCGCUGAUGUAUAUUCUUUAAUCAAGAAAUAGAAUACAAUUAUUCUAUAUUUCAAACAUGGUAUCAGAGCCACUGCUCUGACCUUUUCUUAGCAGUCUUGUCUUCAUUAGUGUGACUUCCUUUAAACGCUUCCGCCAUCACAACUGCCGCCGCAGCCUCUUGCCGUUGAACCUCCGAUGUCAUCCAGCCGUCGUCCUUGGGUUCUGGACCUGUAGCCGCCGUCGUUAAGGAGUUUCACACUGCACAGACCACUGCUCUUUACAUCACCGCUGCGAAUAUUGCUCCGAUUUCAUUUUUGAAGGUACCACUGAGAUCGUCCAGCGCCGAUCUACACAUUCGUGGAACCCUUGCCACCAUCGGAGACCGCACGCGCCCCCACGCACCGCUCAAAGAUUCUGCGACGCUGAUCACGCGCCUCCACGCGCUCUCACGAGCCAGGCCUGGUCUGCUGACAUCAUCAUCUCUGCCACGUCAGCCAUAGCUGUGUCAGCAUCCACUGAUCUGCUGACGUCAUCUCCACGUCAUCUUCAGCCGUUGACCGUUGACUUUGACCGUUAACUUUUCCAGUUGACUUUUUUUCCGACCAGGUUCUCCUUACCCAGUUUUUCAUGUAGAUUUCAUUUCUGCAGUCGGUUUUUGCAUAUUGUGUCUCUAAAUGGAUAAAAAAGAUGUUUUUCUUCCUCACCCCAUCAAUUCUGUAUUGAAGGGGAAUAAAAAUUACUUAUCCUGGUCUCAAGCUAUGCGCAGUUUUCUUAAGAGUCGCAUGCUCUGGCAUUAUUGUACUGGUGCAAUGACUAUUCCUGUCAAGGGAGCAAGUGAAGAAGAUGUUGUCUUUCUUAGUCGCAUGAUUGAAUGGGAUAGUCACAACCACAUGAUCCUCACAUGGAUCCAGAACACUUCCAUUCCCUCUAUUUCCAAUCUAUUGGGCAGCUUUGACGAUGCAAAAUCUGCAUGGGAUAUGUUGACCAAAAGGUACUCCACUACUCAUGGAUCCAUGAAAUAUCAGUUAGUGGUUGAAUUGCAUCAACUCAGGCAAGAACCGGGGCAAUCCAUCAAUGACUAUUAUGAUCAGCUUCGCUUCAUUUGGGACCAAAUUGACCUUUCUGAUCCAACUUGGGCAUGCUCAAAAGAUGCUCAGCAAUAUGCUUCCAUCAGAGAUGAAUUUCGCCUCUAUGAAUUCUUGAUGUCACUUCACAAGGAUUUUGAGCCCAUUCGUGGUCAGCUGCUAAAUCGCAGUCCUGCUCCCUCUCUUGAUACUGCUGUGAAUGAGUUGGUUAGAGAAGAAGCUCGUCUUGCAACCCUUCAAGCCCAGAAUAAGCUCAAUGUUUUGGCUAUUGCUCCAUCUACUCCACUCAUAGAGCAACCUCAGCAAUUAGGUGAUUUUUCUGGCUCUAGCAAUUGUCGCAAGCAAACCAACAAGAAGUUCUGCAACUAUUGCAAGCGUCCUGGGCACACCAUUGAGACUUGUUACCGUCGUAACAAAUCUACUGCUGCUGUUGCUAAUACUAAGCCUACUCCGCCAACGGCUUCCACCUCAGUUGAGUCCUAGUCUUCUGGAUCUACUAUCAAUCUCUCCUCCACUGAACUACAGGAGAUCAUAGCUCAGGCUGUUCGUAUGGCUGGUAAUGCAUCUCUUUCCACUGCUUUAUCUGUUCUACCUGGUAAGUCUCAAACUUGGCUUUUUGAUUCUGCCUGCUGCAAUCACAUGACACCUCACUCAUCCCUAUUCUCCAACCUUGACCCUGCACCACAUCCUCUAAAUAUUCAUAUAGCUGAUGGUUCCACCAUGCAUGGAAAUAGUCUAGGUUUUGUUUCAACCUCUAAUCUUUCUGUUCCUGGAGUCUUCCACGUACCUGCCCUAUCCUAUAAUUUGUGCUCUGUGGGACAAUUAGCUGAACUAGGUUAUCGCUUUAUUUUUUACUAUUCUGGGUGUAUUGUGCAGGAUCCGAGGACGGGGCAGGAGCUUGGGACCGGUCCUAGAGUUGGGCGUAUGUUUCCCAUGAACAAUCUUCAUCUUCCACCUGUUGCUCCUGUUUCUGUUGUUGCUGCAACGGCUGCAAUUUCUUCCUUACCUUUUCUUGCACUUUGGCAUUCUUGUCUUGGUCAUGCACCAUAUUCUCGGGUACAACAGUUAGUGUCUAGGGGUCUAUUGGGUUCUGUGUCUAAAGACAAUUUUGAUUGCACUUCAUGUCAGUUAGGAAAACAGCCAGCUUUGCCUUUUAAUAACAGUGAAUCCAUUUCUAAUAGUAUUUUUGAGUUAAUUCAUUCUGAUGUUUGGGGACCUUCUCCUGUUGCUAGUAUUGGUGGAUCUCGAUAUUUUGUUGUUUUUAUUGAUGAUUAUUCUCGUUAUAGUUGGAUUUUUCCUAUGAAAUCUCGUUCCGAAAUUUUAUCAAUAUAUAGCAACUUUGCAAAAAUUGUUGAAACUCAAUUCUCCAAACGUAUCAAAACCUUUCGAUCUGAUAAUGCUCUUGAAUAUACUCAAUAUGCAUUUCAAGCUCUGUUACAUUCCUAUGGCACUAUACAUCAUCUAACUUGUCCAGGUACCUCUCAGCAAAAUGGUCGAGCCGAAAGAAAACUUCGUCAUAUUCUUAACACUGUUUGUGCUCUACUUCUUUCUGCCAAAGUUCCUGCCCCAUUUUGGGGUGAAGCUAGUCUUCAUGCUGUUCAUGCAAUUAACCGCAUUCCAAGUGCUGUCAUCCAUAAUCAGACUCCGUAUGAGCGUCUCUUUGGGUCACCCCCUAACUAUCAUCACCUUCGUUCCUUUGGAUCUGCUUGUUUCGUUCUUCUUCAGCCUCAUGAGCACAACAAACUUGAGCCUCGAUCUAGACUCUGUUGUUUCCUUGGUUAUAGCGAAACUCAAAAGGGGUAUAGGUGUUAUGAUCCUGUCUCUCAUCGUCUUCGUGUUUCUCGUCAUGUUGUCUUUUGGGAACACCGAUUGUUUGUUGAACUCUCUCACUUUUGUUCUUCCUUGACUAACUCCUCUGUUUUAGAAAUCUUUCCAGAUGAGUCUCUUAUUCCUUCUACAAAUACUUUUGAUCCUCCUUUGGACUUCUCUCUAGAUAUCUUUGAUGCUUCUCCUAGACAAGUUGCAGAUGAACAGAUUAAUGACGAGCUACCCCACUUUGAGCCUAGGUCCCCUGCUCCUGCUCUACCUGAAGAUCCUCCACAAGACAUUCCACCUCGCCACUCAACCCGGGUAAGAUCCAUUCCUCCACACCUCCUUGACUAUCAUUGUUACACUGCCCUUGCUACACUUCACGAGCCUCAAACCUAUCGUGAGGCCUCUACUGACCCUUUAUGGCAGAUUGCAAUGAAAGAGGAACUUGAUGCAUUAACCAAAAACCAUACUUGGGACCUGGUUACUCUCCCUCCUGGACAGUGUGUGGUUGGUUGUAAGUGGAUCUAUAAGAUCAAGACUCACUCUGAUGGAUCCGUUGAGCGCUACAAGGCUCGUCUUGUUGCCAAAGGUUUUACACAGGAGUAUGUGAUUGAUUAUGAAGAGACGUUUGCUCCAGUUGCUCGUAUCUCAUCUGUUCGUGCUCUCUUAGUUGUUGCUGCUGCUCGUAAAUGGGAUCUUUUUCAGAUGGAUGUUAAAAAUGCCUUCCUUAAUGGGGAUCUGAGUGAAGAAGUCUAUAUGCAACCUCCUCCUGGUUUCUCUGUUGAAUCAAACAAGGUUUGUCAUCUUCGACGUGCACUUUAUGGUCUCAAACAAGCCCCACGAGCUUGGUUUGCCAAGUUCAGCUCCACUAUUUUUCGCUUGGGUUACACUGCCAGUCCAUAUGAUUCUGCCUUAUUUCUUCGUCGUACUGAUAAAGGCACUAUUUUGCUUCUUCUAUAUGUGGAUGAUAUGAUCAUAACUGGUGAUGACCUUAGUGGCAUUCAAGAACUCAAGGAUUUUCUCAGUCAGCAGUUUGACAUGAAAGAUCUUGGACAUCUCAGCUAUCUCUUGGGUCUUGAAAUUACUCAUUCCACAGAUGGUCUUUAUAUUACUCAAGCCAAGUAUGCUUCUGACCUGUUGUCUCAAGCUGGACUCACUGAUAGCAAAACUGUUGACACUCCAGUUGAACUUAAUGCGCAUCUGACACCCUCGGGGGGGAAACCAUUGUCUAAUCCUUCUCUUUACAGACGAUUGGUUGGCAGCUUAGUUUAUCUCACAGUUACUCGUCCAGACAUCUCCUAUGCUGUUCAUCAGGUGAGCCAGUAUUUGUCUACACCACGAUCAACUCACUAUGCUACUGUUCUGCGUAUUCUUCGAUACCUGAAGGGUACCCUUUUUCAUGGCCUUUUCUACUCAACUCAGUCUCCUCUUGUACUCCGUGCAUUCUCAGAUGUUGAUUGGGCAGGAGAUCCUACUGAUCGCAGGUCCACUACAGGUUAUUGCUUCCUCCUUGGUUCUUCUUUGAUUUCUUGGCGAAGUAAGAAACAAACUUUUGUGGCCCGUUCCAGUACUGAAGCAGAAUAUCGUGCCCUUGCUGAUACCACUUCUGAGCUCCUUUGGCUAAGAUGGCUUCUUAAAGAUUUGGGUGUGUCCACCUCCUCUGCUACUCCUCUUUAUUGUGACAACCAGAGUGCUAUUCAUAUUGCUCACAAUGAUGUCUUUCAUGAACGGACUAAACACAUCGAGAUUGAUUGUCAUUUUAUCCAUUAUCAUCUUGUCCAUGGUGCUCUUAAGCUUUUCUCCGUCUCCUCUAAAGAUCAACUUGCAGAUAUCUUCACCAAGUCUCUUCCUAAGAGACGCACUCGUGAUUUAGUUGACAACCUCAAGUUGGUCUCACAUCCACCUUGAAGUUGAGGGGGGCUGUUAAAGUAUAUUAUGUUAUGGGCUUUAGGCCCAGUUAGGUUAUAAUACACUUUACUUGUACCGCACACUUGUGCCGCACACUUGUACCGCACACAUAUGCCUCCUAUAUAAAGGCGCUGAUGUAUAUUCUUUAAUCAAGAAAUAGAAUACAAUUAUUCUAUAUUUCAAACAAAUAUAAUUUUUUUUAUAGGCAACAAGAACAACAAAGUACACACUAAGUGUCAAAGGACAGGUACGAAGAAGACAGAGGAAGGAACAAAAAUCAAUACCCUUUCUCCUCCAUACUCAGAACUAAUCAAGUUCACAAAGCCUAUCAAGGACAUGAGAUUAACAUCAACAUAUAAUUUAGCCCAUUCAGCAAAAGUAUAUUCAUAAAUGAUAGUUUAAUUGCUUAUUCUGUCUUUUCUGAAUCUUCAAAGGUCUUUUAGUUUCUUUCCAUCCAAAGCAUCCAGAAUAGAACAUGGAGCUGCCCUCCAUGUUUUUUUCUGCUUCUUGCCCAGAAAGGAGCCAUGUUAGCUUAACAAAGCUUCCCUCACCAAGGAAUGGAACACCUAAACCACACUAAAAAUAGAAAAAAUCAACUACCACAGAAUACUAGCCAUCGAGCAUUGAAGGAGCAAAUGAUUAGUCGACUACUUGUCCUUUUUACACAUGUAGCACCUAUUCUGAAUACUCCAUCCCCUCUUUUUAAGUUGCUCAAUUGUCAAAAUUCUGCUCCAUGAAGCUUCCCAAGCCAAAAAAACUCACAUUCAUGGGGAUCCAGGCAUUCCAAACACAGGUUGCAGGGCAAUGCUCCCUUCUACCCUAUAGACUAAAGAGAGGUAGAAGGAUUUAACAGAGAACUUGCCACCUUUGGAUUCCUUUUACUCCAAACUAUCAUCCUCCUCUCUCCUAACUGAGCAAGUUUGGAGUUUUUGGAAAAAGUUUGUCCCUACUUUAAGCUCCCAAUCACAAAAUUGUCUAGAAAACCAAGGGCUCCACCAACCACUUUUGCCAUAUCGCUCCCAUACAUCCACAACCUAAUGUAUCUUUGUCUGUGGCAAAAGAGAACAAUGAUGAAAAAAAACCUUCUAGAGAUGAGUCACCAUAUCAUCUAUCUUUUCAAAACUUGACCCUUCUACCAUUGCCAAUAAAGAACUGAUCUCUGUCCCAUUAUUUUUUGAUCGCUUUCCACUCACUCACCCCAUAACCUUGAGCACCAUCCCCCUUCUUCUCUAAACUUUUGAGAAAUAACUUGCUUCUAAAAGAAUCCCUCUGAAUCACAAAUGUCCAAUACUACUUGUUGAGAAGAGCCUCAUUUAGAACAUAGAGGUUUUUGAUACCUAGGUCUCUUCUCUCUUUGUCUAAGCAAACUAUAGGCCACUUAAGAAGAGGGUUAUUUUAUAAAUAUUUAACUUAAGAAGGUUAUUUUAUACAAUCAUUCUAUUGCAUAUUGAUUGGAAAAAUCCCUCGUAACUUGCCCUUUCACAUUCCUCGAGUGUGACUUGCAAGUUGUGCUUCCAAUGACUUCUAGAAAGAGUUUUUAAUAUCUGCUAAAAGACAAACAAGGAGUUGUCCACAGCACGACAUGAAUGUGCAAGCAUCGAGUAAGGAUUGGGUGCUGUGAUCCAGGACUGGAUGGUGUGGAUGCCUCAUCUAUAUUUUUGUACUCUAGCUUUGACUUCUAUAGGAUUAGUUUCAAAUGGUUUACUGUCCAACCACGUAAUAAUUUGAAGAGUUCUUCACAUACACAGAAUGCCUUCUCUAUAUAUACUUUUCCUGAUUUAUUUAUUUAUUUAUUUAUAUUUUUAUUUUUAUAGGUGUAUGCUUUCCUGCUUGUUGUGUCAAUCAGAUUGAACGUGUUAGAUUAAUUAAAAUUAAUUCCACUAAUUUUGAAUUGAUUCAUUUAAAUUUUUUUAAAAGUAGACCAAUUCAACAACACUCCACCCACCAUCCCCCCAUCCCACGGUACACACAACCGAAAGGUCUAUCUAGGCUACCAAGAGUGUACUCAUAAGCGCAUACACAAAAUUAUAAAUGAAUUGCAGUAAUAUUCACAAGUCAACACUUUCAUCCAUGAAUUUUCAGUUUCAAUAUGUUGUGAAUAAGCACAAAUUUGAGCAUCAGAAAUUGAACACUACAACAAAAAUAAUUUAUGGUGUCACUAUUUAUGGUGUCACUUUUCAAAUAAUGACACCAUAUGACAUAAAAUUCAUAAAGGUGACACAUCAUAUAAAAAAUUUUAAUUAGGAUAGAUGAUAUUAAUUUUAAGUUUAGUGUCAGUUUUAAAAAAGUGACACCAUAUAAAAUAAAAAUUUUAAAAUAUUAUAACUAAAUGGGCCCACAUUGAGAAUAAUGAUAAUAUCUAAAAAAAACUCAUUGUUUCCACAUUCCCACAAUCCAAAAAAAUCUCAUUCCAUAACUCAUAACCAUAACUUUCUUCUAUCUCUCUUCUCACACCCAUAGUUCACACACAACUGCUCUUCUCUACUUCGUGGACUCUUAGGUAACGCAAAAUCUCUUAGAUAUAUCAUUUUCUUUUUUUUUUUUAUUAAUGCCAAAAUCUUUAUUAGCACAACUGAUUUACAUUCAUUGAUUUGGUAUAUUUGUAAUGUAGAUUGUGUAAAUAAUGUUUUUUUUAUUGAGUUGCAGGAAAGUAAAAAUUAGGUUUAACAUUCCACCAUAUCUUUUGUUUCAUUGUUAAAUCCAUAAACCCCAAAACGAAUGAAAAUAAGAUAAAUGAAUGAUUUUUUAAUAUCUUUGAUACUCAAAAUGAGGGAUAAAUAUUUUACAGUAUGAAAUUUUCUUUUGAUCUUACAAGAAAUUUCUUUUGGUGAGAUUUUCUGUUUGUUUUCUAGGAAUAUUAUAGUAUAUUGUGAUGAGGAUAUGUAUCGGUGAUAUUUGAAAAAUAAUUUUUUAGAAAAUUAUUCUCAAUAUUGUCAUCUCCCACAAAAGGAAAAAUGAAAUAGUUUCCAUAUCAUGUUAGAGUUGAUUUAGAAUGUUGGAAUUAACAAUGAGAAAUUAAUUUUAUUUUCUAUUUAUUAAUGUAAAUGAAUUGUUUUUUAAACUUUAAAUAGGAAUGAAAAUUUUUAUAAUUAUAAAAAUGAUCAAAUCUCAUAUUUUGAUUUUUUUUUUUAAUUCUUUUACAUGGUAUUAUGGUUAAUAUCUCAUCUUGUUCUAUUCAUAUUUUUUUUUAAUUCUUAAAAUAUGUUUUUUGUUUUUUAUUUUUACUUUCUUUUCUUAUUGUUUUUAUAUGCGUUCACCAAAAUUUAGAGUAAUUUGAGAUUGAUGAUGAAAUUUCCCUUUCAAGGUUAAAAAAUUUCUAUAAAAUCCUUUUAUUACAUAAAUUUUCCUUCCCUAAAACUUUUUUUUUUUGAAAAAGAUAUUUUAUAAUUUUCUUUUGAUUUUCUAUGAAAUUUCCUUUAAUUUGUUUAUUUUCUAAGAAUAUUAUAAUAUGUUGUGAUGAAGAUAUUGGUUGGUAAUAUUUGGAAAAUAAUUUUUGAGAAAAUUAUUCUCAAUAUUGUCAUCUCCCUCAAAAGGAUUCUAAAAAUUUGUUUUAUUUUUGUCUUCUUUUCUUAUUGUUUUUUUAUGCAUUGACCAAAUUUUGGAGUAAUUUGAGAUUGAUGAUGAAAUUUUCCUUUCAAGGUUAGGAAAUUUCUAUAAAAUCCUUUUAUUACAAAAAAUUUUCCAAUCAUUUCCAUAAAACUCUUCAUUUUCUUCAUUUUUCUUUUUUCUGAAAAAGAUAUUUGAUAAUUUAUUGAUCUAAAGAAUAUCAAAAGUAAAAUUUAAAAUAUUGAAUAUCUUUUCCUUUGAUGUUUUUAAUCUUUUAUUAUUUUUAUUUGAACAUAUUUUUCAUAUCCAAAUUUUUUAUUAAUUAUUUUAAUUAGAAAAAAUAAAUAUUAAUUGGAGUUAUGACUGAAAAAUUAAUAAUUUUUAUGAAAGUUUCUUUAAUUCUUUCUCAUACUAAUUUUUCUCUUAACAUUUUUUUAAUAAUGAAUUAGGUUUUUUGUCUUAUAUACAGAAUCUUCAAGCUUGUUAUAAUAUCAUGUCCUCUCAUAUUAGUAGUUGAAAACAUUUUUAUAUUUUGUUGCUAAAAUUUUAUUUUAUAUAAUUGAGAUGAAAUUUAAUGGACAUUGUUAUUUCACAAAAUGAACAUUAAAAAAAAUAUUGAAAUUAAAAAAAUCCUUCCAAGAAAUAAAAAAAAUAUAUAAAAAGAAUUAAAUGUUAAAAAUGAUUUUUAAAAGCGCAAUGAAUUAUAAAAAAUUAAAAUUAAAAAGUGCAUAUUUUAAGUGGAAGAUUACUAUUUUCUAAAAUUUUAGAUUUAUUUUUUGAUUUUCUAGUUUUGCUUUAUUUUUUAUUUUCUUGAAUUGUUUUUAUUUGAGUUCAAAUGUGAUUGCUUUGUUAUGAGAUUCAUUAAAGAGAUAAUUGUUGAUUCUACAAUUAUUGUAUUAAAGUUUUUACUCAUUUAAUGAAUUGUACUUAGUUUCAUACUUCCAAUUAUUAUGAUAUUAAUGUUAUUCUCAUUUGAUUUUAGUUUUAUGAUAUAAAAAAAAAAAAAAACAUAUUCUCAGGUAGAAUUUGAUGAAAUUAGAGGAGAAUUAACUUCUUUUGUGUUAUAACUAAUCAUGAAUCAUAUUGAUAAAUCAUGAUUAUGCAUGGUGAGUCCCUUAGUUGUUAUAUGAAUUUUCCAUUGGUAUUGUAUAACAUUACUUAUUCUUUACAAACUAUUUUUAUAUCAAAAUGGGAAAAAGAAAAAAGAAAACAUUAGUACUUAGAUUCGUUUAUUUUUUAUAACAUCAAUUAAUUUUUAUUUUCAAUAAAAUUCUAAAUCUCAUUAAACUAUGAAAUGCAGGUAUACACUCUUGGGAAGACAUUAUGAAGAAUAAAAAGAAAGGAGAAAGAAACAACAACAUUUUGGGUUUUUAGAUGUGACUCUUAUGUCAUACAUUAUAGGACAUCAAUGUUACUUUAUUUGGUAUUGAGAAUUUUGGGUUUUUGGAUGCAACUCUUGUGUCAUUUUAUGAUUAGCCGGUUUUAUGCAUAUGAAAUGCAGGUAUACAUGAAUGUUGGAAUGCUUAACAUUUCUAAAUCAUAUUUUAAUAUGUAUUCACUUUUCUUUUUUAGUUUUGAUGGGUUUGAUGUACUAUCAUUUUGUAAACAUUUGAUAUACAAAUAUCACUGGAUGAUGUAAUGUAUUAUAGGUUAAUCCAUAAGCAUUACGAAAAUAUAAGUUAAAUGUGAUAUGAUUAUUAUAUUUAUGGACAAAAUAUAUACAAGUUGAUCUUAUUUGUUAAUAAGCAUUACAAAAAUCAACAGACUAAUUAAUAAAAAACAACCAUAUCUUUCAUAAUCAUUUACAAUGAUGUGACACCAUAACUCAAAGGUGAUGCAUUUAACGUGACACCGUAACUAAAAGGUGAUGCAUUUAAUAUGACACCUUAUAUAUCUCAUGCAACUCUAUAUCAAAUUAAGUAUAACUAAAAAUAUAUGGUGUCGCUUCUGAAUAUGUCACCAUUAAUCUCCUUUGGUGUCGCUUCCAAAUACGUCACCAAUUGGUACCCUCUAUGGUGUCAGUGGAUAAGGUGACGCUAUGUUGUAGUGACACCCUAUGUUUAUAGUGACUCAUUAUAAAUGUCACCAUAUCUCUUUUUUCUUGUAGUGGAAUCAGAACUUACCAUACAUAUGAAACAUGGUGACCAAAUAGCUACAGAGUUUCCCAUUGUAAUGCAAGCAAGAAGCAUUCCGAAAGCCAUGACAACCAUUGUCUCUACUGUCUCCUGGCUUCCUUCCUAUCAAAGUAUAAAACAAUUUGAUGGUUGAAACUAGUUGCUUAAUCAUAAGUUCAUAUGAUUUCCAUCCAGCUCAGAAUACUUAUAGUCAUACCUCAGCAGAUAUACCUGCAGCGUUUAUGUUGUGUCAAUGCAGCUGUAGUUGCUCCGCCUGCAACACCAGCUAAUUUUGAAGAGUGUAAAAUUGGAUUUUGAUUAGAAACACCAACACAAUGUGCAUUAUUCUUAUUCAACAGAAAUUUUUUUCAAUUCCACUGACAAUAUUGACUACCAAACAAAUGUUAAGAUCACAAACAGUAUUAACAUAUUAACCUGUCAUGUUCACCAAAAUAGUAGCACUUACCAAUAGAUCUUAGUAGCUUUUCAUUUUGUAAUAAUGAAUUGGAGUAUACAGAACCUUAAUGAACAAUCUUGAUAGGCUCCCUAAGCAAACUAUGAACACAAAUGCUGAAGGGAACAAAGGAGAAACAAGAUCCAUUAACAUUCCUGCAACCAACACAGAAGCCUCUCAUAUCAUUUUAAGACACAGAAUGAAAAUGAUAACAAAAUUAUAACCAACUAUAUGGCAACCAUAUUUAAAUUAAAUUAAGUUCCAAGUUCAUGGGGAAUCCAAUACUGUACACUGAUAUGGUAGUCCUCUUACUAGUUAACAUACGGUAUUAUAGCGUUGAUUAUUUGGGGGAGCAAAAGCCUAACUCCAAUCACUUUAUUACAAAUUGAUGAAUACCAAUCCAGAAGUUAGGAGACAUUACACAACAAACUAGUAGCUAAAUUGGUACUUAGUGGCCCCAACCAUAAACAAUGCUCUCCUUAACCAUGUGAAACAAAGAGAAAAUUAAGGGAAAAUAUCCAGGCCAAAUGAGAAAACAGACAUGGGAGAAACCACGGAGGAGAAACAAAACUGCAAGUGCAUACAAUUAGUCUAGUUGAAAAACCAAGAGAAAAUUGAAAUAAUUUUUGUCAGAAGGAUUAACAUAGCAUACUUCUUUUUAUCAGAAUUUGCACUAUAGAUAUUGGUAGUUAAGACCUGAGAAUAAAAAAUUAACAUGAAAAUAAUGAUAAAAUAAUAAUAAUAAUAAUAAUAAUAAUAAUAAUAAUAAUAAUAAUAAUGAUGGUGAUGAUGAUGAUGAUGGUGUUAGAUGUUAAGUUAAUAAAUGAAAUAAAAUAUAAUUAAUGAAAUAAAAUUAUAGUUUAAUUAAAUAAACUAUAUAUUCUUAGAAACAUUAUAAAUUAGAAACUUAUUAAUUUUACUUAAAUAAGGAAUAAAUGAAUUAAAUUAAUAUUAAUAAUUAGGAAUAAAUUUUUUAAUAAAUAAUAUGAUUAGGAUUGUAGAAUCUAUAUAAUUUUAGUUAAUUGUCUAUAGUAAGAAACUCAUUGAUUUUAGUUAAAUAAGGAAUAAAUUAAUUGAAUUAACAUUGAUAAUUAAGAAUAAUAAUAUUAAUAAUUAAAAUUAUUAAGAUUGUGGAAUCUAUAAUUUUAGUUAAGCUUCUAUUUUUUUUUUUCAAAUAUAUUAACUUUAGAUAAUAAGCUAUCUACUAACCAUUUAUUAUUUAAUCAUUCAACUUACAAUAAUGAGAUUCUCAAUCCUUCAAAAUGACAUUAAUUUAACCCACUUCCUUAAUCAAUUAUACCUCGAUUAAAUUAACCUUUCAAAAAUUAAAUCUACUAAAUGAUAAUAUUCAUAUUUAAUCAAUUUAUCCAUUUUUGUAUAAAUUCUUAAAUUCAUAUUUAAUUUCAUUUCGAUUCAAUUUUAUUUCAUGUUUUAUAAUUUUAUAAGGGUUAUAAAAAUUAAAUUGAAUCAUACCGUAACAUUAGAUUAAAUAUCUUUUGAAAAAUUUAUUAUAACCGUUUGAUAUAAUACAAAUUUCAUCAAGUUUUUCUAAUUAAGGUUUUCUGAUAAUUACCUUAUAAUAAUAAAAGUAAUUCUUGUAAUACAUAUAAUAUUAAAAUUUCAAAAAUCCAAUCUCAAAUAAUUUAAUUGCUAAAUUUAUAUUUAAUUUUUGAAGUUCCUAAUUUCGAAAUGUGACUUGGCAAGAAUUUAAACUAUUAACCUUCCACUAAGUCACUAACUUCUCAAAAGUUUCGCCUAAUUAAAUAAAAUAUCGACACGUCAAGGUUCACUAACAUCUUUCAUUUAUUUAGACCAUUCAUUUUGGUUGAUUUUGAGGAUAGUCAUCGGCAGUAGACAUACAUCUUCUAGACCAAUUAGCAUACCAACAGUGAUUAGGCUAAGGUGGUGAUCCAAUUCCAUGGAAGUGCAGCAAGAAAGGAGGAACUUUGGAGAGAUAGAACCAGAAGGCGGCCAACCAAGCAAGAACAGUGGCCAAAUUGGCCUUAAGCUUGAGGAGCAUAGGAUUGACAAUGUUGAAAUCAAUCUUAGGGAUAGGAUUGAGUCUCUCAGAAUGACAGGAGAAAACACUCAAUGGCUAGGGAUACCAAAGGUUCCUCAGAUGCUGAGGGGGACCCAGGAUUUCAAGAAAUUCUACGAACCGAGGGUAAUUUCAAUCAGUCCUUACCACCAUGGCGAGCCCGACCUUGGCCGAGUGGAAAUGAUCAAGCCUCCAUGUUGUCACGGACUUAGUCGUUUCCUAAGCUCGUGUGGCACUUAGACAAGUCAAGACCCUUGAUCUUGUUAAGUCAACCUUACUCCCAAUACUUAGCUUGCUAGGUUAAGACGCUUAUGACUCGGAAGCUUUAGAAGGCGUAGUAGGCAACUCUUAAAGAAUGGAAGCUUUAUUGCUUUCAAAGGAAGCUAUACAAGGCUUGGAAGGUCACUUGCUUGGUUGGUUAGGUUCUUGGGUGGUGCCUUGGCCAAAUGAGGCCCUCACCUAUUUAUAGGCACCAUUGAAACUCUCUGGAACCUUGGAGGGUUCCUUACAAAUCAAGAAGAUUCUAGAACACCCUACAUAAUUCUAUGUACAAACUUAUGUACAAGAAUAUACAAGAGAUUCCUAGAAUUCUCUAGAAAACCUUGAACUCCUCUCAUGCCUUUCACCAUAGUGUAGAGAUGUGUGGACAUCUCUAGGCAUCUUUAGAACCUUCCAUACUCUUCCCACAAAUGGCUUAGUGUGGAUGACUCCAGGAGUCUCUAGAAGCUUCCUAUAUAAACCCAUGGGGAGGCUCAUUUGAGGCAUCCUGUGAUAAUGUGCCCAAAAAUUCCUAGCUGAUAGUAACCAGGACAUCGAAGCUUUGUACACAAAAAUUCGAAGUAAUAUCGAGGCAGUGAAAAAGUGCUAUGAUUGGAGUAGUACAAAAAAUUAUGAUGAUGAGAUACUUGCCAGGAUGAUGCUUCUGGAUG
RNAcentral lists this long non-coding RNA (182928 nucleotides) under Vitis vinifera (wine grape). RNAcentral describes it as "long non-coding RNA (VVIN_LNC004443)". The stretch from base 120120 to 120226 matches the Rfam family "Plant small nucleolar RNA R71". The record is from RNAcentral. Lineage: Eukaryota; Viridiplantae; Streptophyta; Magnoliopsida; Vitales; Vitaceae.